RNAcentral lists this long non-coding RNA (271337 nucleotides) under Brassica napus (rape). Its description in RNAcentral is "long non-coding RNA (BNAP_LNC007579)". The stretch from base 49943 to 50074 matches the Rfam family "MIR9563 microRNA precursor family". Lineage: Eukaryota; Viridiplantae; Streptophyta; Magnoliopsida; Brassicales; Brassicaceae. The record is from RNAcentral.
UGGUAUCUCAGUUGAGACGUCCCGGCUCUGAUAAUCCUUCUGAUCAGAAUCCAUCACCUUUGGAACCCCAGUCACAGGCCGAGAGUGGGCAGCCCCAGGAGGCAACUGUCAGACCUGAAAUUCCAGAUGAAAACGCCACUGGUAAUGGAGGUGCCAAUGUGUCUGCUCCCUCUAUCGUUUCGCCAGUUGCAUCUGCUACCCCGGAUACACGAGCCCCUGCUACUGAUUCUGUCUCAAGCUCGCGGUCUCAGUCAGUCGAAAUGCAAUAUGAUCCAAAUGAUUCAACUGUUCGGGAUGUUGAAGCGGUGAGUCAAGAAAGCGGUGGGAGUGGGGCAACCUUGGGUGAAAGCCUUAGGAGUUUGGAUGUUGAGAUCGGAAGUGCUGAUGGACAUGAUGAUGGUGCAGAAAGGCAUGAUGUACAGCCAGCUAUGCGCUCAAGAAGAGCAAAUUUGUCAGUUGUGCCAUCUUCAACUGGGCGAGAAGCUUCUCUUUAUAGUGUAACUGAGGUUCCUGAGAACUCCGGUCACGAGGCUGAGCAGGAUAAUCCACCAGAGGAGCAACCAGUUAACAGGGAUGUUGCUUCUAGUUCUAUUGAUCCUGCGUUUUUAGAUGCCCUACCUGAGGGACUGCGAGCUGAAUUGAUGAGAGCAAACAAGACAAGCUGCAAUCUGUUUUUGGCUCUCCACAGCUUGUUGAUGCUGACGAUCAGAAGAAGUUGAUUGAGAUUGCUUGUACAUGUAUCCGGAAUCAGCUUCCUUCUGAAACUAUGCAUGCUGUUUUACAACUGUGUUCUACAUUGACAAGGAAGCAUUCUGUUGCUGUCUGCUUUCUUGAUUUUGGAGGUGUGCAAGGACUGCUUUCUCUGCCGAGUAAUAGUCUUUUUCCAGGGUUUGACUCAGUUGCUGCUAGUAUCAUCCGUCAUAUUCUUGAAGACCCCCAAACGCUUCAGCAAGCCAUGGAAUCUGAGAUAAAACAUGCUCUUGCAACACUUUCCAACAGGCACUCAAAUCAGAGAAUCUCUCCACGCAAUUUUUUGUUGCAUGUGAAUUCUGUAAUUGCUCGGGAUCCAGUCACUUUUAUCCAGGCCGCUCGUUCUAUAUGCCAAGUAGAGAUGGUUGGUGAAAGACCUUACAUCGUGUUAGUCAAAGAAAAAGAGAAAUCAAAAGACAAAGAGAAGGAUAAGGAUAAGGAUAAGGACAGAGCUGACAAAGAGAAAUCUCAGACUUCUAAUGAAGUUGCAACUACCACUCCCCCUGGGAGCACCAAGGCUAAAGUUUACCGGAAACCUCCUCAGUCGUUCAUUGGUGUUGUUGAGCUGCUUCUGGAUUCUCUCUGUAAUUUCGUUCCUCCUCCAAAAGAUGACAUGGUUGAAGGUGAUUCUACUUCAGCAGACAUGGAUAUUGAUCAUGCCUCUACUAAGGGAAAAGGCAAAGCGGUUGCUACUACACCUGCAGAAAAGAAAGCUAUUUCACAGGGCAUGUCAGCUUCAUUGGCUAAAAUUGUUUUCAUUCUGAAGCUUUUGAGUGAGAUGUUGUUAAUGUAUUCUUCGUCAAUCCAUAUAAUACUUCGAAGAGAUGCUGAAAUUAAAAGUCUUAGAGGUCCUCAACAGAAGGGUGGUCAAGUUGGUGGAAUAUUUCAUCAUAUUCUUCGAAAAUUUAUUCCAUACUCACGGGUGAUGAAGGAAAAGAAAUCUGAGAGUGAUUGGCGGCAAAAGCUGACAAGUAGGGCUAAUCAGUUUUUAGUGGGUGCAUCUGUUAGAUCAGCUGAAGCAAGGAAGAGGAUAUUUUCUGACAUUAGCAGUAUCUUCAAUGACUUCAUAGGUACCUCCAAUGGGCUUAGACCUCCAGUUAAUGAAAUACACGUUUUGAUAGUUUUGUUGAAUGAUAUGCUCUCUGCUCGGUCACCUACUGCUGGUACAGUGACCAAGCCAAUUGUCUCAUCUGGAAGUUCGUCCAACAGAGCAGAGAGUGAAUGUGAUGUUCAUACUGUGUUGCUUAAUCUUCCCCAGUCAGAGCUGUGUCUGCUUUGUUCAUUACUUGCACGUGAAGGGUAUGUCAGAUGCUUAUAUGUGAACACCUCCUACUUUCUGUUCUUUCUAUCUGUCAGUUAAUGCUUAAAUUCUGUAAGUUCUACAACUAGCCUUACUAAUUGUUGUGCUGUUGAUUCAGUUUGUCAGAUAAUGCAUACACCCUUGUAGCGGAGGUGCUGAAAAAACUUGUGGCCAUUGCUCCAAGCCAUUGUCAUUUGUUUAUCACAGAGCUUGCAAACGCAAUACAGAACCUGACAAGAUCAGCGAUCAGUGAACUUCACAUGUUCGGUGAAGCCGUAAAAACGCUUCUAAGUACCACGUCAUCAGAUGGAUCAGGAGUACUGAGGGUUUUGCAGGCAUUAAGCUCCCUCGUUGAUUCGUUGUUAAUCACAAAAGAGAAGAAUUCCGAAGAGCAUGUUGCUGUGUUUUCUCAGCUAUCGAACAUCAAUUUAGCUUUGGAACCUCUGUGGCUGGAGUUGAGCAAUUGCAUAUGCAAAAUAGAGGGGCAUUCUGAUUCUGCUUCUGCUUCUGCUUCUACGACGUCUCCAACAGCCUCGACGAGUUCAGCAACAACAAGGGGAGCUGGAGUAAGCCAGUCACUUCCUGCUGGUGCCCAAAACAUGUUGCCUUAUGUAGAGUCGUUUUUUGUUACCUGUGAGAAAUUGCAUCCAUCAUCACAGUCUUGUGAUAUCUCGGUUCCCAUGGCUUCUUCUGAUGCUGAGGAGCAGCCCAAGGGUCCAGGACCAAGCAGCAGCUCCAAGGUGGAUGAGAAAUACGGUUCUUUUAUCAAGUUUUCUGAAAGGCACAGGAAACUUCUUAAUGCUUUCAUCCGACAAAAUCCUGCUCUGCUUGAGAAGUCCUUUUCGCUAAUGCUCAAGGUUCCACGUUUUAUUGAAUUUGAUAACAAACGUGCAUACUUCAGAUCAAAGAUAAAACACCAGCAUGACCAUCACCAUAGCCCUUUGAGAAUCUCAGUGAGAAGAGCCUACAUUCUUGAAGAUUCAUACAACCAAUUGCGAAUGAGGUCAACACAAGAACUGAAAGGUAGAUUGACUGUUCACUUCCAAGGAGAAGAAGGUAUUGAUGCUGGUGGGCUUACCAGGGAAUGGUAUCAGCUGUUGUCAAGGGUUAUUUUUGACAAAGGAGCUCUUCUGUUCACAACCGUUGGCAAUGACUCGACUUUCCAACCGAAUCCAAACUCUGUUUACCAGACAGAGCACCUCUCCUACUUCAAAUUCGUUGGCCGUGUGGUAAGCUCCUUUCUUUUUUUUUUUUUUUUUUACCUAAGUAAGUAGACUUAUUUGCAGCUGCGUUAAUUCCUUCCUAAAUUCUAUCUAUCCUGCCUGCACAGGUUGGAAAAGCUCUGUUUGAUGGUCAACUACUUGACGUCCAUUUCACUCGCUCUUUUUACAAGCAUAUCUUGGGAGUUAAGGUCACGUACCAUGAUAUUGAAGCUAUAGAUCCCGAUUACUAUAAAGCCCUGAAAUGGAUGCUGGAGGUAUAUAUAUACUGUAGACACACCUUUGUUUAUUUGUUUGGUCCAAAGCAUUUGUUACUCAUCUGUUUUUUUUUUCUAUAAUAAUGCAGAAUGAUAUUAGCGAUGUCCUAGAUCUCACUUUUAGCGUUGAUGCUGAUGAGGAAAAGCUAAUACUGUAUGAAAAAACGGAGGUAACAACUAUAACUUGUUCAGCCUUUUUUGACAGUGUCUUUGAAAUAAUUUGUUUUGAACGAACAUUAAAAUAAAAUAAAAAUUGCAGGUGACUGACCAUGAACUGAUCCCUGGAGGGCGGAACAUUAAAGUCACUGAGGAGAAUAAGCAUGAAUAUGUAGACCUAAUCGCCGAGCAUCGAUUAACCACAGCCAUUCGUCCUCAGAUAAAUGCAUUCCUGGAAGGGUUUAGUGAACUUAUCCUUAAAGAUCUAAUAUCGAUUUUUAACGACAAGGAACUGGAGUUAUUAAUAAGUGGUCUUCCUGAUAUCGACUGUAAGUAGUAUUUAUAAAAUAUAUCAUAAUCCUCCUGUACCAAGAAUUUUAUUGCCUCUGACCUUUUUUUGUUGGGUGUUUAUGUAUCAGUGGAUAACCUGAGGGCGAAUACUGAAUAUUCUGGGUAUAGUCCUGGAUCCCCUGUUAUCCAGUGGUUCUGGGAGGUUGUUCAGGGAUUGAGCAAAGAAGACAAAGCCCGUCUAUUGCAGUUUGUGACUGGAACCUCCAAGGUAAAGAAAACAUGUUUGGUCUGUUUCAUUAAGAUAAGAUUGUGUUUUUUUUUACAAAGUGGGAAACUGACGUUUUGAACUCAACAACACAAGGUACCUCUGGAAGGAUUUAGUUCCCUUCAAGGAAUUUCAGGGGCACAGAAGUUUCAGAUCCACAAGGCAUAUGGAAGCGCUGAUCACUUGCCGUCUGCUCAUACCUGGUAAAAAAAAAUCUCAAUCCUCCAAUGAAACUAUUAUCUGAUGGAUGAUGGAUGACCACAAAUAUUAAUAUAUAUCCAAAACUGUUUUGUUUGCAGUUUCAAUCAGUUAGAUCUGCCAGAGUACCCGUCUAAGGAGCAUCUGCAGGAGAGGCUGCUGCUUCCAAUCCAUGAAGCAAGCGAAGGAUUCGGAUUUGGUUAAAACAAAAACCAGCUUCCUUUUUUCUUACUAUUUUCAUUCUAUACAUAUGCCUUUUGGGUAAAACGAAUGAUUUUCUGUAAUUCUCACUCUCUACUCUAACGUCCGUUUAAAAGAGUAUGUUCAAUAGUUAUUUUUAUCCCUUAGUUUGCAGAGAAAUUUAUAUGGAAAGGCACUUCCUAGAACACAAAUAACCACUUCUCUAAGGCACUUCCUAUAACAGAAAUAACCACUUCUCUAUUAGAAAGCACUUCCACCCUUUAUUGGAUACAAGAAAUUCUUUAUAUGCUCUUUCAUUAAACUAGCUGUUUUGUCUAGUUGACAAUCCAAACAUUAGUUGUCUUUUAACGCUGAAAAUUUCAAGUUCAAAAAGACAACAUAGUGUUUCCUUGAUGAAAUACAAUAAUCCACCGAUAAAUGAUAUAAAUAACUCAAAUAUGCAUCCAAAAUAAAAGUUGAAAGAAAAAAACUGAGUGGUCGAAAUCAACACACCGAUUAAAUGUGACCAAGAAGCUAUGCAGCAGAGAUUCAAACACAAACACCCACUUUUUUACUCAGGAAAAGUGGUGCCAAGAUGGACCCCAAGAAGCAAUAGACCCCAAGAAGAAAUGGACGAGGCCAACACAUACCUCCCACAGCUACAUAUGACUGAAACUGAUGAUCUGGUGAUACUUUUUGCAAUAUCAUGACCACCUUGAACGGAAACAGAGCAUCUUCGAACCAACAAAUAGAAAAUGAUACAAUCUCGAACCAAAAACGAAAAAUGAAACGGUAUACAACCUAAAUUUGUUCAGAUAUUAAUGAUAUCAUUUAACCAACUUUUGCUAGGUAAUCUAAUUGGAUGAUAAUUUUUUUUCUUUACUCUAACUAGGUCUAAAAAGUAAUUAUAUAAUAAGUAAUACAAGUUGCCGAAGAACCACAAAAAAAUUUUUAUAUUAAUUAAUUGUGGAGAACCAUAAAAUGUUUGAAUUCUUUAAUUUUUUAAACAAUUAUGUAUUUAUAAACUAUAGAAAAUAAACUGUUUGAAUUCUAUAUGCAUUUUCAACAUUGUGCAAGGGCUCCUAGCUUUUCACUGGAAAAAAAAAACGGACAAACAACUUUCCUUUGUUCCUUGGGUGGAAAAUUUGGAAAAUGAGUAACAAGCAAUGCAGCUUUCUUGAAUCAGAAGGUGUGGACAGAGACGGUAACUCAAAAUAACCAGCAAAUCCUAGCUGCUCAUGCCUACAAACCAAUUCCAUCCAUGAGGUAUUACUCCCUGGUACUUUGGAAUAGUCUUUUGGAUACUUCCUGGAAAAGACCAACUGAUAUGUGUGGCAUUGGAUGGUCCUUAUUCAGUAAAGAAGACAUUUCUCAUAUCUAAGGAAGCUAUGCAUCCAGUCCUAUAAACUCACCAUUGAUAGCAGACUACAACUCUUUUAUCAGCAGUUGAUCAGUUAUCCUACAAGAGGGUGCUUUUCUUAGGAAAUUGUGAAAUAUUAAUGAAAAAGUAGCAGCAAUCAGCAGCACAAGGCAAGAAGCUAAAUGUGAUUGAUGCAACACCUGGACAUCUACGAGCUAUCAAAGGAUAAUAAUUUCACUUUCUCUUAUAUAAGCAGAAAUUGUACUCGAUAUGUUGAUCAACUUGCUAAGAAGGCCAUGAUUAGUCAUCAGAAUUAUGUAAUAUCCUGAGUGUUUUAAACAAUCUUCUUGUACUUACCUAUUAAUGGAAGAAAAAGUUGAAAAAAGAAUUGUUAUUGUCCACGUUUAUAUUUUAUUAUUUAAACAAAUCCUACAUAAUGUUAUUCAGACUUAUUCUUUGAAAAAGGGAGAAAAUAAUUAAAAAAACUAAAAUGGCAAUGACUCGAACCUUAACCACUUUGGCACGACAAAAUGUUGUGACUUGUGACUUGUGACGGUCUCUCAGUAUACAAUUAAUCUAAGCCUAAACUCUUUAAUAUAUGGGUUGCAUUAAGAGCAUCUCCAACCCCACUUUAUUUUCAACUCUAAAAUAGAAUUUAGAGUAAAAAAUGCUUCAAUAGUACUUUAUUUCUUACUCUAUAAUAAAGUAAGCUAUUAGAGAUGGUCUAAGCACAAUCGAUCCCUUCUCUUCUUUCUCCGGGUUUUCUUCUCUCCUUCUGCUGCGUUCGUUCUCGUCUCUUUCUAGGUACUCUACAUACAUACAUACAUACAUACAUACAUACAUAUUCUUUCAGAUUCGUAUUUUGGUUCUCUGGUCUGUUAAGAAUCCGAGAUUGAUUAUUUUCUUUCUCAACCCGCAGUUAGAUGGAGAUAAAAAAAAAAGAAUGUAAUAAAUAUCCAAGUUUUCGAUUUUAUUUUUAUUUUUUUUUACAAAAUAAUUUCAAAAUCAGUUUUGGUUCUGUUUUUUUUUUCUAUUUGGUUUUUGAUUUGAUAGCAUCGUUAGACCCAAAAACUGGUCGUAUGAAUUUUAUUCGGUGUGUCUAAAUUGACUGAAUAUUUAUAUGUAAUUUUUUUUAAUGAAAAUUGAUCGAAUAUAAAAAUAUCCAAAAAGAAGAUAUUGUUACCAAAAAGAGUGAGGAUAUUAUAGUAAUUUGAAUUGCAUUCAAAUGAUUAAAGGAUCUUGCUUUCGUUUGAUUCAAAUUCAAACGGCACUUUCGCAUUAGGUAACAAGAUGGAGAAGAUCUGUGUAGCAGUCAGAGUGAGGCCGCCGACGCCGGAAUCAUCAUCAUCGGAGAACGGAUCUUCUCUCUGGAAAGUCGAAGACAAUCGCAUCUCUCUUCACAAGUCACUCGACACCCCAAUCUCAACCGCUUCUUACGCUUUCGGUACCAAAUCUUUCUCAAUCCAUUUAUUCGGGGUUUCGAUUUCUACGUAUCUGGGUAACUUCAAAAUCUCAUCUUUGUAAUCUCUGUGGUGUUUGUUCUUUUGCAGACCAUGUGUUCGACGAAAGGUCUACGAACGCAUGCGUCUACGAACUUCUCACCAAGGAUAUCAUUCAUGCUGCCGUCGAGGGUUUUAACGGUAUUCGGAUCUGAUCCAAACCUUAAUAACAAAAAACGCGAGGUUAAUUUGGUUUUGAGUUUCUUGAUGUAUGGUUUUGUUCAGGUACUGCGUUUGCUUAUGGGCAAACUAGUAGUGGAAAGACGUUUACAAUGACGGGUUCUGAGACUGAUCCAGGGAUUAUUCGAAGAUCUGUCAGAGAUGUGUUUGAUAGAAUACAAAUGGUAGAUCAAUUGAAUGAUUCGGUGAGUUUUUAUAACUAAAGAGUUCAGUUUUUUAACUUGUGUGUGUGUUGAUGAUCUUUAGAUAUCGGACCGUGAGUUUCUCAUCCGGGUUUCGUACAUGGAGAUUUAUAAUGAAGAAAUUAAUGAUCUUUUAGCUGUUGAGAACCAGAGACUGCAAAUUCACGAACAUUUGGAGGUUGGUUUGAUGGAACGUCUACACAAGUGAUGUUACAUCAUUUAGUUUUGCUUAAGUGUUACUAAACCGGUUUGUUCGUCUUUGAUGUGCAGCGUGGAGUGUUUGUUGCUGGUCUUAAGGAAGAGAUUGUUAGUGACGCUGAACAGAUUCUAAAGCUUUUAGACUCUGGAGAAGGUUUUUAAGCCAAAGCUAAGCUAAGAAGUAUUUUGAUUAUGCAUAAUAAUGUGUACUGACAUGGUCUUCUUUAAUUAACAGUUAAUAGGCACUUUGGCGAGACAAACAUGAACGUUCAUAGUAGCAGGUCCCAUACCAUCUUCAGAAUGGUAAGGGUUUUCAAAUCUAUGUACGGAAACUUCUACUGUUUUGUAAGUGAUUAUUUUGAUCUGAUCUCUCUGGUGGGAUAGGUGAUUGAGAGCAGGGGAAAAGAAAACUCUUCUACGGAUGCUAUCCGUGUCUCAGUCUUGGUGAGUGAUAAUUUUACCAUCUUCCAAAAGUUUCUUUUGGAAGCUACAUUUAAAUGAUAAUUCUCUUACUGGUGUUCUGGAAUCUAGAAUUUGGUUGACUUGGCUGGAUCUGAGCGUAUUGCUAAAACCGGUGCUGGUGGAGUGCGCUUGACAGAAGGGAAGUACAUUAAUAAGAGCUUAAUGAUUCUUGGUAAUGUUAUCAAUAAGCUAAGUGAAAGUUCAAAGCUAAGGUACUUUCUUACCCUUUCAUUUAGCUACACGUAACAACGAUACAGCUCAGCUCAUUUCUUACAUUCUUGAUUAUAGGGCACAUAUUCCUUACCGAGACAGUAAGCUAACUAGAAUUCUUCAGCCUGCACUUGGUGGUAAUGCCAAGACUUGCAUUAUAUGCACUAUCGCACCAGAAGAGGUAAAAGAAGUUUUCUUUUUGUCUGGUUUUGCAUUUUCCUGGCUUUUGUUAAUCAUGUACACGAAAUAUUAGUCAAUUAAUGAGUAAUAGUUGAAUGCUCAUGUGUGUAGCAUCAUAUUGAGGAAUCAAAAGGAACUCUCCAAUUUGCAAGCAGAGCCAAACGCAUCACCAACUGUGCUCAAAUUAAUGAGGUCAGCCUGUCAAUGAGCGCAAGAUUCUUGGGAGAGAUUUAACUCACUUUCUUCUUUGUGUCCUGUUGAUUGGUUUUUCUUCUUCUUCUUUAUUGAAUAUCUGACAGUGUUUCAAUGCUUCAGAUCUUGACUGAUGCUGCUUUGUUGAAACGCCAAAAAUUAGAGAUAGAAGAACUAAGGAUGAAGCUUCAGGUAUAGUCAACUUUUAUUUCAAAUACAUCUAGGCAUGGGGACGACACUAACAUUACUAAAUUUUGUAGGGAUCCCAUGCUGAGGUGUUGGAACAAGAGAUAUUAAAGUUAAGCAAUCAGAUGCUUAAGGUAGUUUUUUUGCAUUUUUCUCUUGUGUAUGUAUUCUAUAGAACAUUGAGCAGACACAGUAUACUAAACAUCUACCCUUUUGUUUAAUUUCCAGUAUGAGCUAGAAUGUGAAAGGCUAAAAACACAACUGGAAGAAGAGAGAGGAAAACAGAAGGAGCAGGAGCAAUGCAUCAAGGAGCAACAGUUAAAAAUUGAGAACUUAAACAAUCUUGUCACUAAUUCAGACUAUAAGAAGAACCAGUCAGAGGUACAUAUGCAUUCAUUGGCUUAGAUAGAUUUUCUGAAUAAUGCCUCAACCAUAACACCCAGACAUUUUUCUGAGAAACAGGCUUUAAUUUGCAAACUCCUAACAUCUUAUUGAGAUUGUUAGAGAAGUUAAUUAUUGCUUUUAUGCUAAUGUGUUGGACUCAUGUAGUUUGGUUAUGUAAAGCUUUUGUUAAUGUAACAUCUCUACUGGCAGGACUUUAUUAAUUUAAGAAGGACUCAAGAUGGGCGAUGCAAUGUCAAUGAUAGCAGCGGUUUUCCUGGGACUCCUUGCUUCGAAUCAGCUGAACCUUCCUUUGUGGUUGCUCGGUCGAAGUACUCAGAACUAUCUGAUUUUAGUCCGAUGGUUGAUUCACUGGGGGACGUGGCCGAUGAAGACACUUGGACAAAACUAAACAAGGGUUUUGUCCCAGACCUUGAUCAACUCCAGUUUACACCUGCAAUUAAAAGACAACCCACUCCAUUAAUUGCUGCAACCACGGUUAGUAGAUACAAAUACUUGACCCAUGUUAUCUUCCAAUAGUAACAGAGUUGCAAUGAAUAGAGACAUGUGGAUGCAUAUGGUCUAACAACUCUCAUUCAUCUUUUCUUUGGGGUUCUAGUCUCUUUAUUCGCUCCCCUUCUCAUAUCAGCUUGCACACAAACACUCUGGUGUAUCAAUACUGGCUGGUAUCUAGCUCAUGUAUACUGAGAAUUACUAAAUUUUGAAACUUCAUAUAGAUGAAUACAGAAUACGCAUACAUUAUCCAAAACAUGUUCCUAAGCUGGCCAUAAUUUUUCGUUAACUUUUUUUUAGGAAUGCUCGCGUGAAAAUCAGAAAGUGGUGGACGAUCUCAAAAGUCAGAUUGAGUUGCUGACCAGCGAAAAGGACAGCCUGCAGGUUAGACAUAUUGGCUUUAUUGGUUGUUCAAGUGAAUAUGCUUUAGCCUUUAGCCAUAAAAUGAAUAUUCUGUUAAAAAUUAAAUGAAUGAUACCAGCUGAUUGUUUAUGCAUCAACUAUGCAUUCUCAGGUAAAAUUCAGCGAACAAGUAGUACUGAACAACAAACUUUUGGGAGAGAUAUCUGAGCUCAAAGAAGGAACGCUUCACAUGAAAGAAAUUCCAAAACUGUUAUCUGAGUCGGUUGCUAAUUGCAAGGAUGUAUACAAGGACGUGAUAGUCACAAUGAAGGUGAACAGCUUACCUUUUCUUAUGUGAAUGAUCAUCACUAAAAGGAAAAUUGAGUUUAAAGUCUUUUGUCUUGCAUUUUGUCAGACCUUAAUGGCUGAGAAAGAAUCUCCGACAGCAAAGCUACUCUUUGGUGUAACUGGAAUCUCAACAAGCCUUCUUUCAACUCUAGAAUCACAAUUCUCAAUGAUAAUGGAUGGUCAGAAAGCGGGUAGCAUCGUAGAUUAUCCUUUAUAUGAUCAAUGGGAAACACUUCGUGUUAGUCUGAAGAACACAGCCACAAGCCUGCUGUUAGACGCACAAGCAAAAGAUGAAAUUCUUAACUCCCACGACAAGGUAGAUUCCUUGUCACAAUCAUCAAGAUACGGAUCAGUUUUACUUAUUGUUUCUUUCGUUUUGCUUUUAUACUUUUGUCUCUCUUUUUAUACUUUUGUCUCUCUUGUUAGGACUUAGUCCAGUGAAACCUCUGCAUACGUUUAGUGAGGCCGCCGACGCCGGAAUCAUCAUCAUCGGAGAACGGAUCUUCUCUCUGGAAAGUCGAAGACAAUCGCAUCUCUCUUCACAAGUCACUCGACACCCCAAUCUCAACCGCUUCUUACGCUUUCGGUACCAAAUCUUUCUCAAUCCAUUUAUUCGGGGUUUCGAUUUCUACGUAUCUGGGUAACUUCAAAAUCUCAUCUUUGUAAUCUCUGUGGUGUUUGUUCUUUUGCAGACCAUGUGUUCGACGAAAGGUCUACGAACGCAUGCGUCUACGAACUUCUCACCAAGGAUAUCAUUCAUGCUGCCGUCGAGGGUUUUAACGGUAUUCGGAUCUGAUCCAAACCUUAAUAACAAAAAACGCGAGGUUAAUUUGGUUUUGAGUUUCUUGAUGUAUGGUUUUGUUCAGGUACUGCGUUUGCUUAUGGGCAAACUAGUAGUGGAAAGACGUUUACAAUGACGGGUUCUGAGACUGAUCCAGGGAUUAUUCGAAGAUCUGUCAGAGAUGUGUUUGAUAGAAUACAAAUGGUAGAUCAAUUGAAUGAUUCGGUGAGUUUUUAUAACUAAAGAGUUCAGUUUUUUAACUUGUGUGUGUGUUGAUGAUCUUUAGAUAUCGGACCGUGAGUUUCUCAUCCGGGUUUCGUACAUGGAGAUUUAUAAUGAAGAAAUUAAUGAUCUUUUAGCUGUUGAGAACCAGAGACUGCAAAUUCAUGAACAUUUGGAGGUUGGUUUGAUGGAACGUCUACACAAGUGAUGUUACAUCAUUUAGUUUUGCUCAAGUGUUACUAAACCGGUUUGCUUGUCUUUGAUGUGCAGCGUGGAGUGUUUGUUGCUGGUCUUAAGGAAGAGAUUGUUAGUGACGCUGAACAGAUUCUAAAGCUUUUAGACUCUGGAGAAGGUUUUUAAGCCAAAGCUAAGCUAAGAAGUAUUUUGAUUAUGCAUAAUAAUGUGUACUGACAUGGUCUUCUUUAAUUAACAGUUAAUAGGCACUUUGGCGAGACAAACAUGAACGUUCAUAGUAGCAGGUCCCAUACCAUCUUCAGAAUGGUAAGGGUUUUCAAAUCUAUGUACGGAAACUUCUACUGUUUUGUAAGUGAUUAUUUUGAUCUGAUCUCUCUGGUGGGAUAGGUGAUUGAGAGCAGGGGAAAAGAAAACUCUUCUACGGAUGCUAUCCGUGUCUCAGUCUUGGUGAGUGAUAAUUUUACCAUCUUCCAAAAGUUUCUUUUGGAAGCUACAUUUAAAUGAUAAUUCUCUUACUGGUGUUCUGGAAUCUAGAAUUUGGUUGACUUGGCUGGAUCUGAGCGUAUUGCUAAAACCGGUGCUGGUGGAGUGCGCUUGACAGAAGGGAAGUACAUUAAUAAGAGCUUAAUGAUUCUUGGUAAUGUUAUCAAUAAGCUAAGUGAAAGUUCAAAGCUAAGGUACUUUCUUACCCUUUCAUUUAGCUACACGUAACAACGAUACAGCUCAGCUCAUUUCUUACAUUCUUGAUUAUAGGGCACAUAUUCCUUACCGAGACAGUAAGCUAACUAGAAUUCUUCAGCCUGCACUUGGUGGUAAUGCCAAGACUUGCAUUAUAUGCACUAUCGCACCAGAAGAGGUAAAAGAAGUUUUCUUUUUGUCUGGUUUUGCAUUUUCCUGGCUUUUGUUAAUCAUGUACACGAAAUAUUAGUCAAUUAAUGAGUAAUAGUUGAAUGCUCAUGUGUGUAGCAUCAUAUUGAGGAAUCAAAAGGAACUCUCCAAUUUGCAAGCAGAGCCAAACGCAUCACCAACUGUGCUCAAAUUAAUGAGGUCAGCCUGUCAAUGAGCGCAAGAUUCUUGGGAGAGAUUUAACUCACUUUCUUCUUUGUGUCCUGUUGAUUGGUUUUUCUUCUUCUUCUUUAUUGAAUAUCUGACAGUGUUUCAAUGCUUCAGAUCUUGACUGAUGCUGCUUUGUUGAAACGCCAAAAAUUAGAGAUAGAAGAACUAAGGAUGAAGCUUCAGGUAUAGUCAACUUUUAUUUCAAAUACAUCUAGGCAUGGGGACAACACUAACAUUACUAAAUUUUGUAGGGAUCCCAUGCUGAGGUGUUGGAACAAGAGAUAUUAAAGUUAAGCAAUCAGAUGCUUAAGGUAGUUUUUUUGCAUUUUUCUCUUGUGUAUGUAUUCUAUAGAACAUUGAGCAGACACAGUAUACUAAACAUCUACCCUUUUGUUUAAUUUCCAGUAUGAGCUAGAAUGUGAAAGGCUAAAAACACAACUGGAAGAAGAGAGAGGAAAACAGAAGGAGCAGGAGCAAUGCAUCAAGGAGCAACAGUUAAAAAUUGAGAACUUAAACAAUCUUGUCACUAAUUCAGACUAUAAGAAGAACCAGUCAGAGGUACAUAUGCAUUCAUUGGCUUAGAUAGAUUUUCUGAAUAAUGCCUCAACCAUAACACCCAGACAUUUUUCUGAGAAACAGGCUUUAAUUUGCAAACUCCUAACAUCUUAUUGAGAUUGUUAGAGAAGUUAAUUAUUGCUUUUAUGCUAAUGUGUUGGACUCAUGUAGUUUGGUUAUGUAAAGCUUUUGUUAAUGUAACAUCUCUACUGGCAGGACUUUAUUAAUUUAAGAAGGACUCAAGAUGGGCGAUGCAAUGUCAAUGAUAGCAGCGGUUUUCCUGGGACUCCUUGCUUCGAAUCAGCUGAACCUUCCUUUGUGGUUGCUCGGUCGAAGUACUCAGGACUAUCUGAUUUUAGUCCAAUGGUUGAUUCACUGGGGGACGUGGCCGAUGAAGACACUUGGACAAAACUAAACAAGGGUUUUGUCCCAGACCUUGAUCAACUCCAGUUUACACCUGCAAUUAAAAGACAACCCACUCCAUUAAUUGCUGCAACCACGGUUAGUAGAUACAAAUACUUGACCCAUGUUAUCUUCCAAUAGUAACAGAGUUGCAAUGAAUAGAGACAUGUGGAUGCAUAUGGUCAAACAACUCUCAUUCAUCUUUUCUUUGGGGUUCUAGUCUCUUUAUUCGCUCCCCUUCUCAUAUCAGCUUGCACACAAACACUCUGGUGUAUCAAUACUGGCUGGUAUCUAGCUCAUGUAUACUGAGAAUUACUAAAUUUUGAAACUUCAUAUAGAUGAAUACAGAAUACGCAUACAUUAUCCAAAACAUGUUCCUAAGCUGGCCAUAAUUUUUCGUUAACUUUUUUUUAGGAAUGCUCGCGUGAAAAUCAGAAAGUGGUGGACGAUCUCAAAAGUCAGAUUGAGUUGCUGACCAGCGAAAAGGACAGCCUGCAGGUUAGACAGUAUUGGUUUUAUUGGUUGUUCAAGUGAAUAUGCUUUAGCCUUUAGCCAUAAAAUGAAUAUUCUGUUAUAAAUUAAAUGAAUGAUACCAACUGAUUGUUUAUGCAUCAACUAUGCAUUCUCAGGUAAAAUUCAGCGAACAAGUAGUACUGAACAACAAACUUAUGGGAGAGAUAUCUGAGCUCAAAGAAGGAACGCUUCACAUGAAAGAAAUUCCAAAACUGUUGUCCGAGUCGGUUGCUAAUUGCAAGGAUGUAUACAAGGACGUGAUAGUCACAAUGAAGGUGAACAGCUUACCUUUUCUUAUGUGAAUGAUCAUCACUAAAAGGAAAAUUGAGUUUAAAGUCUUUUGUCUUGCAUUUUGUCAGACCUUAAUGGCUGAGAAAGAAUCUCCGACAGCAAAGCUACUCUUUGGUGUAACUGGAAUCUCAACAAGCCUUCUUUCAACUCUAGAAUCACAAUUCUCAAUGAUAAUGGAUGGUCAGAAAGCGGGUAGCAUCGUAGAUUAUCCUUUAUAUGAUCAAUGGGAAACACUUCGUGUUAGUCUGAAGAACACAGCCACAAGCCUGCUGUUAGACGCACAAGCAAAAGAUGAAAUUCUUAACUCCCACGACAAGGUAGAUUCCUUGUCACAAUCAUCAAGAUACGGAUCAGUUUUACUUAUUGUUUCUUUCGUUUUGCUUUUAUACUUUUGUCUCUCUUUUUAUACUUUUGUCUCUCUUGUUAGGACUUAGUCCAGUGAAACCUCUGCAUACGUUUCUUAAGGGUUUGGAUCAUAACUUAUAUACUUUCCUGUUUCUUGUACAUUUACAUCUCAUUGGAGCUUCACUUGAAUCUCUAUAUACCAAUGUUUCAAUGGGAAAAGCAGGAACUGAUUCUUGUUUAGUUGAUUAGAUCUUGUGGUCCGAUUACUAUAUCUAAGACAGGUUUUGAAUGUGAAUUUUUAAGGGACAAGAAACGGGUGUAAUGGAGGAGAAGCUGAAGUCUGAGCUCAGCAUAGUCAAGGAAAGAUAUAACGAGCUGGAGAAAGAGUUGUGUUUGGAUAAACUGCUUCUAAAAGCUUCAAGAGAGAGCCAUGAGAGGCUGGAAAAGGAAGUACAAUUCCUGAAGGAAGAAAGAGAUUCAUUAGAUGUAGCAGUCUCUCAAUCAACUCAGAGGUUGAGAGUGAUUGCAAAACCCUCACCAAAUACAUAAAAAUAUAAUUCUUAUAGUUAGAGUAUUAAAAUAUAUAUAAAUAUAUAUAUUAUAAAAUAAAUAUUAACCGUAAUUAUAUGAUGAAAUAUGUUACUAUUGAUAGUUUAAUGAAUAUAUUUUUACGGGUUACUCAAACAGACAUGUAAUAUAUAUAUCAAAUAUAAACCAAUUGAACAAAUAUAUUAACAUAAAUAUAUCAUAAAACAUUACAUUAACAUAAAUCGAAGCGAGAGACAGAGAGUAAGAGUCAAUAUUUUAAUUGUUUAAAAAUAAAAUUAUAUAUAUAAAUUAUAAAAAUUAAGAACUAAAUAUAUUAAAAAUAUAUAUCAAAAUUAAAAUAAGAAAUAUUUACAUUUUUAAUGCGAAUAAUGAAAUUAAAUUUAAAGUUUAAAAUAAGCCAUAGACAAAACAUCAAAAAGUAUCUAAUAAUAUGUGAAUAACAAAAGUAAACUAACUAAACAAACAAUUAUAUUUUUUUGCAAACGUAAAUCAUUAAUUUGUAAUAGAUGUAUACACAUUAUUGAUGCUCAAAUCUAUUUUAUUUUUAGUAUGCAUCCACUCAAAAUAUUAAUCCAUUAACAAGAUGAAAUUUUAGUUGGACUAAAAUUGUAUUAAAAUUGGAAUAUCAAUUUCAUAAUAUAUUCACUAUUCAUCUGAACGUUCAUGAAUAUAUAUUACAAUACUCUAAAUAUAAUAAUAAAUCAAACCAGAUUACAUAUUGGGUCAUCUAUCAGUUCAACCGAUAACCAGAUCUCGGAUUUUAGCGGUUGUUACGGGUUUUAUAUAAUUUUUAAAUAACAGUUUUUUGUUUGAAAACUAAAAUGGAUUACAUAUGAACCACCGAAUUUGGCAAUUUAACUGCGGGCCGGGUCGGGUUUCAAAACAUUGAAUAUAAUGUUUCAUUUGUAAUAUCUAAGUGUAGAUACAAUUAAAAUACAAAUUUAUAUCAAAUAAAUUUGGAAUGUUUCGAAAAUAAUCCCGUGCUUUGAAAGCGCGGGUCAAAAUCUAGUAUUAUUUAAAACGAAAGUUUAACUUUGAUAGUACUAUAAUGAAACACGGAAAACAUGAAUCAUUUUUUUCUUUUACAUGUUUUUUCUUUAAUUCGGUAGCAUUUUUUCUUUAAUAUAUUUUCUCUUUUUUUGGUCAACAAUAUAUUUUCUUUUAAAAUCACUAAUUUAAACGAUGAAAAAAAUUAAAAAAUAACUUAUUCAAUAUAACGAAACUUUAGUUUAGAUAGGUAACAUGAAUUCCAAUUAGUACAACUAAAAAAACUACAUCAUAUAUUGAUGAUGAUGCAGAAUAAACUGUCCAAACAUAUAUUUAAUGGGAUGCACUCAACUUUCUAGCAUAUUAUUCACAUUUUCAUAAAAUAGUCAUUAAUUCAAAUUUGAAUUAAAAAUCAUAAAGAAAUUUACAUAGAUUCUGCUCUACACUUAUCUUAUAUAUUAAAACAGAAGUCACAACCUUAAUUUAUGUGUGAUAUUUUUUAAAAUGGACCCUUUAGAUAUUUCAUUUAUUUCUUAAUAACAUUUCUUAAUCAUUAAUGGAUCAUUUAAAAUAAUAUCAAUCGAAUAUCAUAACAACUCUAUAUUACUUAAUUAUAAUCUAACUAAACUAUAUAUUACUUAAUUUAAAUGAUCUCAUAUAUUACUUACCAAAUCAUGUUAUACACCACUGAUUAUACCAUGGCUCCAUUUUAUUAAAAUAACAUCUUAACAAAACGUGACUAAUGAAUCACAAUAUCAUAACAAUAGCGUUCCUUGGUACCCCAACGUUACAACAGUUCAAUCUACCAUUGCCAUUUACCGAACUUUGUUAAAAAAAUUGAAAAGAUCCUCUAGAUCUCUAUAUUAAAUAAACAAUUCUAUAUACAAAUAGUGUAAUAUCUUUUGCUAACGAGAUCUAUCAACAGAUUUCUAUAGAUGUGUUACUCAAUAAUUUCAAGAUUUGCACCAAAUUAAAUGUCUAAAAUAAUUAACUUUACUGAUUUUCAUCAAAGGUUCAUGAAAACUUAACUAAUUUUUUAAAUUGGUAAUAUUGUAGUAUUUAUAGUUGAUAAAAAUUCUUCAAAAAUACUUUUAAUAGAGUUCACGGAAAUUGUGGAUUUGUGGUCAAUAUCUAUAAAUUAAAAUGCAUAACAUAAAUACAAUGAAUUUAUUUUAUAUGACAAAUCAAAUAGGUUAUUCAGUUUUAUGUACUAUUAUAAAGUAUAUGAGAAGUAAAUCAAAAAUUUAAAAUAUUAUAAGAUUUUUCUGGGUUUUUGUCGGAUUAACCGAUGUUGGUUCACGGGUUAAUGGCAAAGUUUUGGAUUUUAUCAGAGCUUUAAAAAUUAAGGUACCCAUUUGAUUCUAGAUUCAGUUUCAAUUUUUUGGUUCCAGAGAUGUAUGAUCUACUCGGUUAUUUAUGAAAUUCAAUUCAAUUUUGGUUUCGGUUUCUUCAGUUUGAUAUUGUUCGGUUCGCGAUUCAGAAAAAUAUGCUCUAACCUAUACACUAUCUUAUAUAAAAAUUCAUUAAAAAUAUAUAUUUAAUUUUGAAAACAAACCCGCGCUUUCUAAGCGCGGGUCAAAAUCUAGUUUAUGUUAAAAUUCCCCUUGAUUUGUGGUGUUUCUCUGGGAUAAAAAUGAUAAUAAUUAACAACCUGUACGACAGUAUAGUUCGAACCCUGGUCUAUACACGGUUAAUUCGCAUAACGACUAUGACAAAUCAACUUAUUGUGUGAACUCUCAAAACUAAUUAAAUAAACUAGAUUUAGCCCAAACUCUAAUAUAUUAAGUUAAGCCUAGACGGUGUCUCUCUGCUCUGUAUCCCUCUCUCCUUUCUGGGGUUUUCUUCUCUCCUUCUGCUGCGUUCAUUCUCGUCUCUCUCUAGGUAUCUCACAGAUUCGUAUUUGGUUCUCUGAUGAUCUGUUACGAUUCUGAGAUUGAUUACUGUCAAACCUUUCUUGUAGAUGGCGACUGGGAGAUCCGCAAGUAUGCCGUCACGGUUGCGGCAGCUUCUUUCCGGCGAAGGCUCCAUCGGCCCUUCUAUUAGGCUCGACGCUGAGCCUGUGAGUUCUCUCAAAUUCGAGUUUUAGGGUUUUUUUAAUUGAUAUUGAUUGAAUUCAAUUAGGACUUUCUAAUUUGAUUUUGAUAUCCUUUCACAAGCUUUUGCCUUUUCUGAAUUUAAUUAGGGUUUAUUGUCUUGUCUUGUGUUGUAGCCUCCGGAGAUCAAAUCGUUUAUUGAGAAAGUAAUACAGAGUCCGCUCUCUGAUAUUGCGAUACCUCUCUCUGGCUUUCGCUGGGUUUACAGUAAGGUAACCAUUCUAAUACAUACACUCUCUCUCUCUCUCUCUUUUUUUUGGUGGGUUUUCUCAGAUGAUUGAUUUAUUGUUAUUAUUNNNNNNNNNNNNNNNNNNNNNNNNNNNNNNNNNNNNNNNNNNNNNNNNNNNNNNNNNNNNNNNNNNNNNNNNNNNNNNNNNNNNNNNNNNNNNNNNNNNNAUAAGUAAAUAUACUAUAUAAGAAAAAAAUAUUACAUUAAACAUAUAUCGUAAUAAAUCAUUUGAUAUUAAAACAAGAUAAUUAGAAUAAGUAAAUAUACAAUAUAAGAAAAUGUAAAUAAUAAGUAAAUAUACAAUAUAAGAAAUGAAAAACUACAUUAAACAUGAAAUGUAUUGUUCUCUGGUUUUUUCUAAGGAUAUAUAUGUAAAUAUAUAAUAUGUUUAGAUACGUUUUGAUAUAUGUUACUCCUUGUGCCAUUAUUUUCUAUAUCCAGAAAAAAAUUAAUAGUUAAACCUCAAUAUAACUUAGGUUAAGCAUACGAGCAACAACAAAAUUGAAACAUCGCAGAGAAUGCUCACGUCAACAUUAUAAUACAAUAAUUUUAACCUAAAAAAUAUGAAAACUUUUUAUUACGCAAAUCAUAAAUACUAGGGGUGGGCACUUUGGUUAUUUUCUCGGUUUGGUUCGAGUUGGUUCGGUUAGUUCGGUUCUACUAUUUUUCCAAUUAAAAUAAACUAUAGUUAGUUUGGUUUGGUUCGACUCGGUUUGUGUUCGGUUCAGUUUAUAUUCGGUUUGGUUUGUAUUCGGUUCCGUUGGAUUUAUUUUUUGGAUCAGUUUACUUAGGUUCUUCUUAGUUUAAUUUUUUUAAGAAAAAUUAUGUUUUAAAGCAUAAAUUAUGUAAACAUAUAUAAGAAUUAAAACAAAUGAAAGUUAACUAAGAAAAACCAACAUCAUUAGUAAUGUCUCUUACAUCAUUAUUAAAAAAACUAGCAAUGAAUCAUCUUUCAUGUGACGCUAUGGAGAAAAAGUUUUGUUUUUAAUAAAAUUUGCUUUACGUUUUAGGUUUAGAUUUAACAUUCAUGUUUACAUAUAUAAGAAUAUAAAGAUACAUACUUUUCUAUUUUUUAAAUGAAAUAUUUUAAUGAUUACAUAUUCGGUUAGAAGAAUAUAUGUUAAUAAAUGAAAAAUGGAAAAUACGUGGUAUGGUAUUAGAAUUUUACUAUAUUGGUAUUACUAAUAUUUUUAAUUUAAAUAAUUACAAAAAUACAUCGGUUUCUCAGUUUGGUUCGGUUUAAAACCGAACCAUUCGGGUUGGAGAAAUCGUCAACCGAAUGGUUUGAAAUAGACUUUGGUUCAGUUUGAAUCGGUUUCGGUUCGGUUUGACUCGGUUCGGUUCGGUUGUUUUGUCCACCCCUAAUAAAUACAAAUCGCUCAUGUCUUCACAUAAACAUAUAAUUCAUAACAAAAUAGCCAAAAUAAUACUCAUAUAAUACUCAUAUAUUUAGUUCGGAGUGUUUUUCUUAAAUCUGAAUAUACUAAACCCUAAAAAACAAAGCAAAAACCGAAGCGAAAAUGCCUAGUAGCUAGUUGCCACUAAUGUGAGCGUGUAAUACUCGUGCACUUGGGUUAAACAUUAUGAAGCUAUUGAAAACUCAUUCUUUAUGAGUACUUUAAUAAAGAAAAAUCGAUCCAAAUCUUUGUCGCACCAUAUGAGCACAAUAAGUACAUACGGAAUUGAAUUGUCGUCCAUUAUAGUUAUUGAACUUUCUUUACUUUCGGGAAUUCUCAUGAUAUUACGGAUUAUAAUUCGUUACUGCGUAGUACAAUACUUAGUGCACGGUUGCUUCAUGAUUACUACAUGUUAAAAAAAACAGUUGUGGGAUUGAAGAAAGAACUGUUGAAAGAUGCAACUUCUGCGAUACAUGUCGGAAAAAAACGGUACGUAAAGAUGCUUCUUUCUGUGAUGCAAGAUUUGGUUUAGAGAUUGGGAAAGCACCCAAUUGGCGCGGAGGAAUUGGAUUCGUGUGUGCAGUUUAGGUGAUGGACACCCUCGAUGAGACAAUUUCUUUUUUUUUUUUGUCUAAAUAAUCGUAUGAUUAAAAUUAACUGAGGCAACGUUAUCAUGUGCUAUGAGUACUAAUUCGUUUUUGCUUUUCAGGUUUUUUCACUCUUUGCUUUUUAGUGUGGUAGAAUAAAAGCAUCUUUGAUUUGGUGCAACGCAUCUCCACUCUACAUCGAGCCUUUGAUGCUUAGUUUUGUACCAAUGUGACAGGUUCUAUAUGUCUAAUCAAUGUAAUAUUUAAUGCUAGUGAUUUUAGUUGGUCCUUGUUUAUCAUUCCACUUUGUACGGUUCUCUACUGUAAAACUAUCGUAUUUUACAACUAUUAUCAAUUUUUUUUUCUCAAAAAAAAAACUAUUAACAUUUUUUUUUAUCAAAGAACAAGAGCAGUAGUAGUUGUAAAAGUUCCGUAAAAAAACAUGCGGUAGUAGUACUAAUUACAUAUAUACCUAUUUUCUUUCUUUUUGUCAGACACAUCUAAACUAUUAAAAUUAAAGUACAAAUAGUAUUUACCCCUAAUUUUUGCCAAAUAAUUACAUUUGAUUGCCACUGGUUUUAAAAAUCUAUCCUUUUAAAAUUUUCCUAAAUCACCGUAAACAAAUUGACGUUAUUUAUCCUAAAAUAACUUGUAACUAAACCGACCGUAUUAUGUGAUAUAUUUCCAUUUUGUAUUUCAUAUGUGUAUCAUGUUUAAAACCGGUACACUCCAUUAUUGAUACUUCCAAUUUAAUUUAAUUCAUACUCUAAGGACAUAGUUUUGAAACCGAUUCAAUCCAUGAUAAACAUAUUAUUUAAUUGUAGUAAGAUUCUAAAAACAUUCUGUUGCACCUUGCACCGAACCUGAAUUUGUAUUGGUUUGUUUCUUCUUCCCUACAGAAUGAUCCACUUCUACUUUAUCUCUCGACCUACGAAUGGUAUACACUAUACAAUUUAAAAUUUCCAAUUAUUAAACUAAACCGGGAUUGGAUAAAACUAAACCGGGAUUGGAUAAAAUAAACUGAAUCGGCCAUACCAAAUAAUUUUGGUAUAAAAUUUAUAAAUGUCCUUCGAAUAUGGUAUAUUUAGAGUAUCUGCUAAAAUAUACAUAGAUUUUGAAAAUAAACCGUUUUCGUCAACCUAAGAUCACAUCUAUUACUCAAUAUCACACCAAAAACCACACAUAUACUAACUUUAAGAUCGAUCUUCCAAAAUCACGUAAUAUCUAACUUAUUAUCUUUCCUAAAUCUCAACUUUUUUCCAAAAUUUAUCCUUUAGUUCAAAAAAUCUAGGUAUACUUGAUAGACAUCUUAAUAAUCAAUGUUUUUGGCCUAUCUAUAAAUAAGAGCAAUUCAUUACAAGCUACAGAAAUAAACAACGACAACGCAAGAUUAUAUUUCCUUAACAAAUUUAUUUUAAUAGAAAUUAAUUCUAAAUAUGUUUAUAUAUUUUAUGUAUUUGUAAUUUUAUUUUAUUUGUUUUUUAAGGGAUGCUAAUAUUUUGGAAUUAGAAAAAAUAGGAGAUUUAAAAUUUAUAUCAGAAUAUUUAUUAAUUUUUAAUUUUUAUUAUAACCUGCAAAUAUUAAUUUUCAAUCUAAAUUUAUGUUUAAAUACUACUAAUACACAAUUUAGUAUAAACAAAAAUCUAAAACAUAAAACAAAUACCCGUCCGGUCGGGCGGGUCAAGUUCUAGUAUACCUAUUACAAACAGAACAACAAAGUUGGGUAGAAAAUCAUGUUUUCGUGUAACAAUCAUUUUAAAAUAACAUAUCCUCUCUUAUAUAUAUAUACACAUUUUUUUCUUCUUUAGUUAAAAAUGAAAACUUGAAGAAAUCCUAGAUAAUCUUGUUCUUUGAAAUAUAAUUAUCAUCUGAAUAACCGACCAAGAAAAAAGUAGCAUAAUUAAAUUUGUUAUGAAAAAACGAAUAAUUUAAAUUUAGUUUGAAAGUUGAAAAAAGAAAUUCGAUAAAACUUAAAAACGUAAAGAAACAUUUUAUAUAACGGAACAUAUAGAGUAUGAAUAAACUAAAUUGAAACAUGUAAUAGAUUGUAACCUCAAACCGGGUUCUUCCCAAAUACUCAAUUCAUACCAUUAUUGUUCGUUGAAUGUAGGCAAAUGGACAUCACAUCAAUAUAUUUAAAGAAAGGUUCGCAUAUUAGGUGUGGCUUGAUUAGUUUUCCAGAAAUGUACAUUGUAUACCGCCAAAAUUUUAUAAAGUACGUCGCAUAGCUACAAAAACUAAAGAACGCAAACAUGCAUUAGGAAUAAUAGUUUUGCAUACCAAACAUUCGUUCUUUUUUGUGCUCAAUUCUAAACAUUCGGUUUUCCAAUCAGCAGAAAAUAAAAUAAUUAUUUGUUAGUUUCGAUUGAUAACGACGCUAAUUAUGGAAACUAAUAAUUGUGUUUGAAUAAAAUCAUAGCGUUCUAAUUGUUGUAUAAAGAAAAACCUCAAUGGAUACUAUUAGUAAAAAGUAAGGUUACAACUUACAAUCAUUGUAAAAUUAAAAAAAAAUGUUAAUCUUAAAUAUUGGCCUUUUAUGUUAUAAUAUUUUUAAUCAUAAAUAUUUUAAAUGCAUCUGUUAAUGAUUAUCAAAUCAAGAUUCAAUUUUAUACAUUACAAUUGGACACAAAUAAUAACUUAGUUAAAACGUAUUUUCAUUUGUCUUAAAUGAGUAAUUAGUCCGAUCCGUAGCCAUCGAUUAGCCCUCGGAUUAUAUGACCAAAAAUUAAAGAGCAGAACCUCUUUGACAUUUCAUUUGGUAUAGCGCCUCUGUAAAUAUUGGACCGGCCCUUAAUUCACUAAUGAAAAGGUUGAUAUGCAUUAUUGUGCAUCUAUAAUCUUUUGUUGUAACGUUUCAUCUUUAAAGAUAGAAAAUGCAUGAGAUCUUUUUUAUAUCAAUGUCACAACUGAAAAUGUUUUCAAAAUAUCAAUUUGUUUAAACGCAAAACGCUGCUUUAGUAGGAAUCGCGUAUGUACAACUUCAAAAAUUAAAAAAUAAGCUUUUGUAGUUGUCAGGAAACAAGGGAUAGUGUUCCAAUUUGGAACAUCCAGCAGGCAAAUAAUGGAAAUAUUCGGUCAUAACUUAUCACAAAGAGUGGCAGCAAACACAUAUAGUGGAUUCUGCGAAUUUGCUCCAUAAGCUUCUGGACAAUGUUUUUUUUUGUUUUUUAGUUUCUUUUCUCUUUGUUUUUAAUUCAUUUUAUACGUUUCUUUUCUAUCACUUCCACUAUUUUGACGUACACAUAUUUACUAUUAUUUAUUAGACUGCACUUGUAAUAUUUCACCCUUUUGAUAAGUCUUACACAUUGCAGUUUGAAUCAUUUAUUUUAUUUUAUUUUAUUGUGGCUGCUUUGUGAAGCCGACAGAAUCACUCUUCUGAUUUCCACUAUCAGAACAUUUGUUCCUUAUUAGAGAUAAGGAGGAAAAUAUAAUAUAGAAAUACGCAUCCAAACUGACAUGGCACUACGUGGUUACAACUCUCAUAAGGCUUCUCUUUCACAUUUUCUUAGACAAAAAAAAAACAUCUUCUUAGACAACCGUUCAAAUGUGGUAUAUGUCCAAGAUCAUACAAGAAGUAUGACGAAAUCUGUUUACUCAGUCUUAGCCCACUAUAAUAUCGCUUUGGUAUCUAACUUCAAUUUUUAAAAAGCCACCAGAUUGUUUCGAUAUAUGAGAAAUAUUUUGAAUGUUUUUCUCUUUUUUACACUGACCAUUCCUUUAAAAAGGAAUUGUAGUUAUACAUAAAGUUUUGUUUGUCACAAUGGUCCAGGAGAAGAGUGGAUAGAAAAUAAGAAAAUAGUGAAGAUAGUUGAUAAGGCAGCUUUUGUUUGUUUAUUGUUUUGUUUCUUUAUUAUAGUUUCGUUGAUUUUGUCUUGUAUCCCAGUAUGUUUUUGCCCCCAGAAGAAGAGGCAAAUGAAUUAGUCCAUCUCUCACAGUGAAACAAUUUUUUUUUUGUUCACAAUAAAAUAAUGGCUACUGGAUUGCAUUCUAUCUCUCUCCACUUGUCUUUGUGUUAAAUUAUAUAUGACACUAACUACCUACUUGGAAUGCAUAUCUCCACGUAAAAGUUAUCCUUUUCUAAUUGCUGUACUAUUGUUAUGAGGACUUACAUUUUUAUUGGUCUAGGUGUUUACGGUACCACAUGUAUUUUAGCACUUGGGUUGAGAAACGUAUUUUCAUUUGUCUUAAAUGAGUUAUUAGUCUGAUCCGUAGCCAUCGAUUAGGCCUCGGAUUAUAUGACCAAAAAUUAAAGAGCAGAACCUCUUUGACAUUUCAUUUGGUAUAGCGCCUCUGUAAAUAUUGGACCGGCCCUUAAUUCACUAAUGAAAAGGUUGAUAUGCAUUAUUGUGCAUCUAUAAUCUUUUGUUGUAACGUUUCAUCUUUAAAGAUAGAAAAUGCAUGAGAUCUUUUUUAUAUCAAUGUCACAACUGAAAAUGUUUUCAAAAUAUCAAUUUGUUUAAACGCAAAACGCUGCUUUAGUAGGAAUCGCGUAUGUACAACUUCAAAAAUAAAAAAAUAAGCUUUUGUAGUUGUCAGGAAACAAGGGAUAGUGUUCCAAUUUGGAACAGCCAGCAGGCAAAUAAUGGAAAUAUUCGGUCAUAACUUAUCACAAAGAGUGGCAGCAAACACAUAUAGUGGAUUCUGCGAAUUUGCUCCAUAAGCUUCUGGACAAUGUUUUUUUUUGUUUUUUAGUUUCUUUUCUCUUUGUUUUUAAUUCAUUUUAUACGUUUCUUUUCUAUCACUUCCACUAUUUUGACGUACACAUAUUUACUAUUAUUUAUUAGACUGCACUUGUAAUAUUUCACCCUUUUGAUAAGUCUUACACAUUGCAGUUUGAAUCAUUUAUUUUAUUUUAUUUUAUUGUGGCUGCUUUGUGAAGCCGACAGAAUCACUCUUCUGAUUUCCACUAUCAGAACAUUUGUUCCUUAUUAGAGAUAAGGAGGAAAAUAUAAUAUAGAAAUACGCAUCCAAACUGACAUGGCACUACGUGGUUACAACUCUCAUAAGGCUUCUCUUUCACAUUUUCUUAGACAAAAAAAAAACAUCUUCUUAGACAACCGUUCAAAUGUGGUAUAUGUCCAAGAUCAUACAAGAAGUAUGACGAAAUCUGUUUACUCAGUCUUAGCCCACUAUAAUAUCGCUUUGGUAUCUAACUUCAAUUUUUAAAAAGCCACCAGAUUGUUUCGAUAUAUGAGAAAUAUUUUGAAUGUUUUUCUCUUUUUUACACUGACCAUUCCUUUAAAAAGGAAUUGUAGUUAUACAUAAAGUUUUGUCACAAUGGUCCAGGAGAAGAGUGGAUAGAAAAUAAGAAAAUAGUGAAGAUAGUUGAUAAGGCAGCUUUUGUUUGUUUAUUGUUUUGUUUCUUUAUUAUAGUUUCGUUGAUUUUGUCUUGUAUCCCAGUAUGUUUUUGCCCCCAGAAGAAGAGGCAAAUGAAUUAGUCUAUCUCUCACAGUGAAACAAUUUUAUUUCUGUUCACAAUAAAAUAAUGGCUACUGGAUUGCAUUCUAUCUCUCUCCACUUGUCUUUGUGUUAAAUUAUAUAUGACACUAACUACCUACUUGGAAUGCAUAUCUCCACGUAAAAGUUAUCCUUUUCUAAUUGCUGUACUAUUGUUAUGAGGACUUACAUUUUUAUUGGUCUAGGUGUUUACGGUACCACAUGUAUUUUAGCACUUGGGUUGAGACAUGAAUCUAUACACUAUAUGAACUGUCCGAUUCUAUGGAAAUUCUAGCAUUAUCUACCUUAUGUUAAAUUCAUAUAGUGUACAGAUUCAUGUAAGCAACCAAUAAAAGAUAGCUAAACUCAGAAAACACAACCAUUCAAAAAAAAUAACAUUUCCAACGUUAGUGAAAUGGUUUUCAAACUGAACCAAAAGCAUUACCUGCAAGAGAAUAUGACCUGCAAAAACAAACAGAGUACAGCUUAUUCCAAUUGUGGAGCUCUAAUCGAGACCAUAAAUGUAAAGUAAUGCCACUUGUAGUUUGCUGAUCACCCUAAAUUACAUUAUAAGUGUUUGAACGCAUUUAAUUAUCAUACUUUAUCUUUAAUACUCUUUAAGAUGUUUUAAAAGAAGAGUAGAUAGCCAACAAUUUAUAUAUCAUAUAGCGUUGUCGUAUAUCACCUUUACGUAAUAUAAAGUCACCAUAUUAUUCAUGUCUUUUUUUCCCUGUAAAACCAUGACUAAGAAAAUAUAUUUUCAUCUCCAUGACAUAGAUAAUUUCUAUUUCACCCAUUAUGGACUAAAAGUACUAGAGUCUAGGUUAAGUAUUACCUUGAUAUUUCCAAACCGUGGUUAAAUGUUGGCUGUGCAAGCUUAAAACUCCAUGGCAAGUACUAAGUACUAACAAUAUAAGAAACAAGAAGCAAACCAACGUAUUUAUAUAUUUUACACGGCAUAUAAUUUAAUUAAAANNNNNNNNNNNNNNNNNNNNNNNNNNNNNNNNNNNNNNNNNNNNNNNNNNNNNNNNNNNNNNNNNNNNNNNNNNNNNNNNNNNNNNNNNNNNNNNNNNNNNNNNNNNNNNNNNNNNNNNNNNNNNNNNNNNNNNNNNNNNNNNNNNNNNNNNNNNNNNNNNNNNNNNNNNNNNNNNNNNNNNNNNNNNNNNNNNNNNNNNNNNNNNNNNNNNNNNNNNNNNNNNNNNNNNNNNNNNNNNNNNNNNNNNNNNNNNNNNNNNNNNNNNNNNNNNNNNNNNNNNNNNNNNNNNNNNNNNNNNNNNNNNNNNNNNNNNNNNNNNNNNNNNNNNNNNNNNNNNNNNNNNNNNNNNNNNNNNNNNNNNNNNNNNNNNNNNNNNNNNNNNNNNNNNNNNNNNNNNNNNNNNNNNNNNNNNNNNNNNNNNNNNNNNNNNNNNNNNNNNNNNNNNNNNNNNNNNNNNNNNNNNNNNNNNNNNNNNNNNNNNNNNNNNNNNNNNNNNNNNNNNNNNNNNNNNNNNNNNNNNNNNNNNNNNNNNNNNNNNNNNNNNNNNNNNNNNNNNNNNUCAAACUUAUAUAUAUAUAUAUAUAUAUAUAUAUAUAUAUAAUUUGAAUAUCUAUUAAAUGAUACUUCAUAUAUAUUCAUAUGAUUUUAUGAUCAUUUGUAUCUUUUAAUAGUUCACAAAACUUUUAUUGUAAGAUUUUUAAUAGUUUUAGCAAUUUAUAGUCGAUUUAAAGAAAAUUAAAAUAUAACAUAUAAGAAAAAAAUGUAUUUUUUAUUAUAUGGUUAAUAUGAUUGUUUAAUUUUUUUAAUAAUAUAAAUUAAACAUAAAGAAUGGUGGAUACAAAUUUUAUCAUCAAAUCUUUUUUAUUCAAAAUCAUUAGUUGUCAUAUAUAUGUUAAUAAUAUUAUGUAAUUCUUUAGCUUUUAUUUACUAGUGAAUAUUUUUUUAUAUAUUACUAGCCAGUUUCAUAGUUAAUUUAAUAAAAAUAUAAUAUAUACUUUGAUAGACCAAUUUAUUUUUUUUAAGAAUUCUGAAAACCAUUAUGGUGAUGAUAUGUGCAUAUAUUUAAAGGUUGUAAUGCUCUUUAAUUAAUAUAUAAGAGAUUUUUCUGUAGAUAAAUUCCGACUUCUCUUUUACUGCGUUCUCCUAGUGGUGUGAAUUUUGCGAUAGCCGUCCAACGCAUAACUUGUAACCAUGUGUGCAAUUAUAAACUCAAUAAUGGCUCAUUUUCAUAAACAAUUCGUUUUUCAUACAUAAAAUAAUCAGUUUAGUAUUUUUCACUCAAAUAAGCUUAGGAAUAAAAAUCAGACAUGCUCCACAGAUCUUAUAUCUAGAAUCAAAUAAAGUAACAGUGAGAGAUUUUAGAAUCUAUUCGAAUCCAGAUUAUGGAUACAUAAAAAAACAUAUCAUAUAAUUAACCACCACCAUUAAGAAUCUCUAUGGUAUAGAUAGAUAACAAUAACAUAAUAGUUAACUAAUUCUUCUUUUUCGUUUUCUGAUGAAGAUGUCUUUUGUUGAUUAAUUAAAUGUUGUUGCUAUUAACGUGCUAUAUUAGAACAAUAGAGCUCGUCGGCUCGUCCUAUGUUCCUAACCCAACUAUUAUAUAAUGAUAUCUAGAACUAUACAUAUGAAAGCUAUGCGACACAUCAUGACACUUAUUAAAAAUUAUUUAUGCGCAAAGGACACUAAAAUAACGGACUACAGUCCAAUGAAUGAAACAACACCGAAGAUUAUGUUUUUAUUUGCUUUGUUCAAAAGAACACGGAACAUUAUGUUCUUUGUUUUGUUCUCUUUUAACCUCAAAAGUCCGACCAAACCACUUCUUAAUUCUUGAAACGUUUGGAAGAUAUACAUAAUUUUGCCAUGUAAUGUUUCUUGUGGCCAAACAUAACAGAAAACUCAAACUCUGAGGCUUUUACCAGUACUUGUUCGAAAAUUGGAUAUACUGUUUCGAUUAUCUUGUAGCAUAGUUAGGUUUAAUGGACAUGAGAACUAUGUAGCAUCCACACCAAGGGUUCAAAUCUUUCUUGUUUAAGGCACCACAGUAAUAUGAAAUCAGCCCCUUUGGAUUUUUACCUAACACGAAGAUAGUAACAUUGUUCUUUCUUUUAAUGUCUUUUUGAUCACCUUGCGAUCUUUAAAUCUUAAGUAACGAAAGAGAAAAUAUUGUAUCAAUGGGACCAGAAAGAUAGUAAAUGAGAGAAGCAUGUCUUGUUGUAUUAUGUGUUAUGCUCGCCACUUGAAUGUUUCUUGAAGACAAGAAGAGAGUGGAUUUUGUUCACAUCGAUUUUGUUGCUCACUACUCAACGAAAAAUUGCAGUGUUUUUUGCCUGUCAGCACGAGACAGGCAGCACUUCCCAAACCUUUUACUAUAAUGACCCUUGUCCCUUUCCCUCAUUGGAACUUCUCUGUCAUACUAGAUAGAAAAAGGAUCUUUCAUAUUUCCAAAAGCAUUCGUACCGUUAUACAACGAGGGGCAUAAGCAUGAGAUUUUUUCGUUUCUUUUAAUAAUGGUUCAUCUAUGUUCUUAUAAAUUUUCGAAGAAUUCCAAGAAAAGGUGGGUGUGUAUCAAACUAGCUUUACUCUAGCCUCUAGGAUAUGUGAUUUAUUAAAAACCGUUGUUAACAUCAAGGAAUAAAUAACUAAAACAUAUGACAAAACCAUAUGUUAUUUCUGGAUAUAUAUUUGUCUUGACGGGUCUUUGCAUGAGACGGGAAUGUCUGUUUCCAGCUGAAAUAUAUAGAGUUGGAUUUCCCCCACUAGAGGAAUAAGGAAUUUACUUUAAGAAAGCUUCCAAUCUGUUGAGUUUCAACACAAUGAAAGAGUUACUUCGAGCUGACAAGAGGAUAUAAAGGGGGUUCUUUUCCAAAAAAAGCUUUGAUGCCUAAGCCAUACAUCAAUAAACGAUUAAGUAUAUUAACUCCGAAAAUGAGUAUGGGUUGUUAUAUGAGGAGUCCCGUCUGAGGAUCAGGACUCUCAUCUGUUGGAGGAGUGCAGUUAGAAUUCUACUCUGACCGCCCAUUCAAAUAUCAUCUAUGUUUAGAACCACAUUAAGCGUUAGCCAGGGCGGUCGAUCAGGAUCCAGCAAGAUAAUAAAAAAUGAAGACUAAUCGGUGUUUUGUAAUCUUAUAUAUUAAAACAGAAGUCACAACUUUGAUUCAUGUGUGAUUUUUUUUUAAAUGGACCAAAUGGACCUAUUACUAGAAAGUCAUGUUCCAUUUAAUCUCUAAUUUUAUCAUUUAAAUUUUGGCUUACCAGAAAUUUUUAUUGGACUAUCAAUAAUUGGAUUUAAAUAAUAGAUGAUCUAUUAGAUUUAUAGAUAGUAUAAAUUAAAUAGAUUUUAAUUUAAUAUUGUAAUACUAUACCUCCAUAUGUUAAUUAUUUAAAUAUUUGUCGAUGUUAACUUUUAAAAUUAUAAAGAUUUUUUUUUAAAUAACAAAAAUCAUAUUAUCUAAUAAUGAUUAAUAUUUACUACUUUAAAUGAAUGGUCGAUAUUGCGGUAACAUUUAAAUAAAGACUAAAAAUUUAAAUCAUAUUAUAUAUUUUACUAAUGAUUAUUUACAAGUGUUCAAAUACUUACACUAAAAAUUUCAUCCUUAAAAUAAAAAUUCUCACAAACAAACUAAAGUUUUUGUUUUUGCCGAUUCAUUACAAUUAGCUGAUAUGUUUAAAAUUUUCAUCUUUAAAGAAAAAAUUCUCACAAACAAACUAAAAUUUUUGGCUUCAAUUGGUGACCAGGAAAAUGAAUGAAAUGAACAUAAAAAUGUUGAACAAAAUUCCAUUUAAGGAAUUGAAUUGAAAAAAAAAAAUUAAAUAUGCAGGAACGUUUGUUCCUCAUCAAAUUUAGAUGUGGAAAAUACUUUUCAUUAAUUCAUCAAUAUAUGAGGAACAUAGAUGAAUAUGGUGGGGUUCAUAUAUUUUUAAUUUGACAAAAAAUUUAACUUAAUUGGUAUCAAUUUUGAGGAACAACAAAUUCAUCAUCAUUUUGAGGGUCACCAAUUGAAGCUUUUGUUUUUGCCGAUCAUUACAAUUAGCUGGUAUGUUGUUUUCAUAAUACAUCACAACUAUUUUCGAGAUUUAUGCUACAGUUUCAUCAAACAUGCAAUUUUAAAUAUCAAACCGUUUUAAUCGGAUUCUCUUUUGCUUUAGUAAGAAUUAAGUCGACGACAAAAACGAAAAAAAGAUUGAUGCCAUUUUUAAUGCCCUUUUACUUAGCAAACUUUCGAUAUUUGAGUAAUUAAAUCUUAUCUUGUUUGACUAAGAAAACCUAAGUCAAACCGUAAGUAUAUAGGGAAAAAGCAUUAUCUUCUCGGCUAGUGUAUGGACUCGGGACUUAUGGAGUAAUCUUGACUCUUAAGUGAUGAUUUAUCUGUUUUUCAUAAUUACAUCUACUCCUCAAAAUAAAGGAUUAAAUAGAACCGACUUACGCUUCUUAAUGUUUUGGCGGUAUUUAAAAAUAAUAACUAAAGUAAAUCAAAAAGGUAAAUUUAUCCCAUAUCUUUCUCUCUACACUUAUAAUUCUGCCAAAGUAGGCUUUGAUUUCGAUCUUAGCAAAUCAAAACUCAAACAUCUUGUAAAUUUUUUUGUGUUUUGUUUUCGAUUUAAUUUAACAUUUAAUUAAAAAAAGAUCUCUGCCUUGCCAUGGCUGGAGCCAAAGUGAAACCAAUCGGUAGUAUAUUAUAUGAGGUCAUAUUUCGUCAUGUCAGUAAGUCCUUUUUCAAUACAAAAACAGCAUACAAUAACAUAUUCGUAUAGGAGAUAUAACAUUUUAUUAUAUAGUCUUAAUAUUCUUAAUAUAUUUAGUGAUCUGUUGAAACAGCAAGAAUUUUUUUCUUCUAAUUAUUCUUUAUUUUGAUAAAUAGUAUUUGAAAUAACUCCUAAAACAUUUUAAGGAGAAAUGAGAGGUUUUUCUCCAUAUCCUUAUAUCCGAGAGAUUAAGUUAUUCAUUUUCUAUUCAAGAUACUUUCCCAGCCACAAUAUAUAUUUAAACUUAUAACCAUUUUAAAAAUUUAUCAUGUAAUUAGUUUAGAUGUUUAAAACUAAAGUCCUUAAAUUCUUGUAAAUUAUGUUUACAGUUUUAAGAAAUUCAUAUUUAUUUGCCCUCUUCCUCGACAUAAACUUUCUUCAUAAUAAUCUAUACUCAUCCUUUAUCCAUGACAGGAAAAACUCUAUACAAUUUGUAUUCCCUAAAGUUGUAACUUUUGGUAUCUAUUUAUUUAACCAGUUAUAAUAUAUUUUUUAUAAAAUACUAGUUACAAUUAUGUUAUUUUCAACCAAAUAUCAAAAUUAAACUAUGAUAGUUUUUAUUAUGUAACACAAUAAAUUAGUUCUAUAAUAUAUUUUCUGAAUUUUAAUUUUAAGGUUGAACAGUUGAAGAAAAGGAAAAAUUAAUCUCCUUACGAGAACAUGAAAGAAUGAGCACUUGCACCUUUUCUAUUUCCAUAUCAUCACUAAUUAAAUAACCAUUGGUUAGUUUUUUUUUGUCAACAAGCAUUGGUUAGUUUUAUUAUACCAAUGAACCUUAGAUACACCAAACAUAUAUAUAUAUAUAUAUAUAUAUAUAUAUAUAUAUAUUUUGUCAUCAACUUAUACAGAUUCAGAAAGACUUUGUAAACCAAACGGGGUGAUAUAUAUCCAUGUGGACGACAAAAAACAGUUGCACCCUAGCAUUACGGGCUAGACUAUAAUCCGCCAUUGAAUUUUGUAUCCUUGGAAUAUGGAUGAUUUGUGCUUGGAAGAAACUCUCUUUCAGGACCUUGAUAUCUUCCAAAUAAUUUGCAAAAGCUGGUCAUUCUUCUGGUGUCGAAACCAUCUUCACCAAUUGAGAACAAUCCGUUGCAAACGUAACAUGGAAUUGACGUAAAUUUCUCAUGCAUUCCAUUGCCCGGAAUAGCACUUCCAUUUCUGCAUGAAGAGGAGAAAGGCUAACCAAACAUUCCUCGCCCUCAACAGUCCAGUAAAUCCUUCUAGAGUGCUGAGCCAAACUUGUCCAGAAAAACUAUCGCUCUCUUUUCAAGAACCAUAUGUGAAACACCAUCGUCCUGGAAUUGACGGCAGAGAAGUAACCGCAACUUGUGGUACUGUCCUUUGCUCAUUCAAAAUUUGUGCCUCAGCCCAUAAUGUUGACUCUGUUUCUGCCAAUUUAAGCGUAUCCAUGGGAUCAAUAUCCAAAUUACUGAAAACUUUAUUAUUACGACAUUUCUAUAUGUACCAUAGAAUCCAAGAAAACUGAUGAUCCUCUAUAUGUGGUAGAACUCUCCAGAAGAGAUGAUCCAUGUGUGUGAAUAGAGAACUUGUUGGAAAGAUUUCUGGAUUUGAUGGUAUCUUCGAGAGAGUCCAAACCUGAAGUGCUGGAGGACAUUCAAAAACACAUGGUUUACCGAUUCUUCAUGAGCUCCACAUCUUGCACAACAAAUAUCCCCUUGAAUCCAUCUCCCUUGUAGAUUCUUCUUAACUGUGAUACACCAUGUUACUAGUUGCCAUAGAAAAUGUUUUAACUUUGGUGGGCACCGUAUUUUCCAACAAAAGGCCUUCAAGACGUCAACUGUGGGGCCUAUCAAAAGUGGUGGUCUUACCCUAUCUGGGUAAAUCCGUUCCACCUAAUAUCCUGAUUUAACUGUAUAUUUCUCACUUUUUGUAAAGUGACAUCCAUCCCUAUCCAUCCUCUGAAUCCUACUCAGUGGUAUACUUUCUAUAAGUUUCACAUCCUGUGGGUCCACCAAAACCCGAAUUGCCUGUGAGUUCCAAGUGCACGAAGUAAAGUCAAUGAGAGAGUCCACUGUAAGGUCCGGGUAUAAAUUGUGUUGAUUUUUAUUGGCUGGUCUCCGGCAAGUGGUUGGGAGUCAUGGAUCAUUCCAUGCAGAUAUAGAAGAACAUGAUCCCACUCUUUUGAUUAGUCAUUUGCUUACCAGAGAUCUAGUAGAUACAAUACUUCGCCAGCCAUAUGAUGGAGAAUAUGAACGAAUCGGUUCCAGGGGUGAAGCAUUCCUGUAAUACCGACCUUUAAAAACUCUAGCAAAUAAUGUGUUUGGCUUCUCUAUUAGAUGUCAAACCUGUUUACCAAGCAUCGCUGUAUUAAAAUCAGUGAUAUCUUUAAACCCCAGACCUCCUUCGUCUUUAUCGACACAUAUUUUGUCCCAUGAUUUCCAGUGCAUGCCUCUCGUGCUUCCCCCUGAACUCCACCAAAAUUGUGCAAAUUUCUAAUAUUGAUUUAAAAUAGAAAGACAAAACUCAUUAUAAAAACGUGUUACAUGACUGGAAACAUUUAAGGAGCUAAAAGUUAAAACUACUGUGAUGUUAGAUCAAAUAUUUACCAGUUAAAUCAAUAUAAUAAAUUUAUUGAAAAUAAAAUUAGUUUUUUGUAUAAUAUUUGGUGUUGAAAAUAUUCAAAACAUGUUGAAUAAGAAAAAAAUAUAGAAUACCAAAGUCACAUACCAUUCUCUAAAUUUUUGAUAUUUUUAUAUUCUUCUAAUUGUUUGAAACAAAUAAUUGUACUAUAAAUUAAAUAAUAUAUUUUUAAUUCUCAUAUGAAAAUUUAUUAUUUUUAAUUAUCUAAAAUAAAGAUUAUUGUUUAUUUUUAUUAAAAAUAUUGUUAUAUAUAAAAUUUAAAUGUUGUUGAAUGAUGAGUUGGAAGAAAGAAAAUAUGAUGUAGAGCGUUAAAAAAAUGAAAAAAUAGUGUUAAAUUUUGAAACCGUAGUGAAUGAUAAGUUUUUCUUGUUUGCUAGUUGAAAGCCAUAAUUUUAAAAGAUUUUGAAUAUUUGUUUAGUGACUAUACAAUUGCUAUAUGAUUUUUUGUAUUUUAGCUUUACAUGUAUUGUAUUUGUACUACGUACAACCUAUUUUCCAAUAGAUAACUAUUCUUCCAAGUAUCCUAGUUCAACCACGCUUAUCUCCAAAAUUCUUAAUUGAUAAAUAACCGAAAAAAAAAACUUACUGACAUAAAUAACCAAAUUAAUUUUCAAUAACCUUCCAACAUAUAUAUAUUAAAAAUCGGAACCUUGCAAUCACUUGCAUCCAAGAAAGCCACUCAUGUUACUGUAAACCUACAUAGAACUCUAUCGUACUAGUCUUGGUUCGAUUCCGAUACUACUUAUAAAAGUCAUAUAAACUCUUCAUGUGUGUUUACGGCCUCGUCUUGCGGUUGGACGCAUUAAUUUUAAGAAGUUUGAAACACUUCAUAUUAUCUUUUUUUUCAUGCUUUGGAUUUAGUCCAGGGUAUGACAAACCACUUUUGAUAUGUAAUCCAUUCUUUCACUGAUCUAAUUUUAAGCCUGUUUAAUUUUGAAGUUUCACUGAUCUACUUUAAGCCUGUUUAAUUUUGAAGUAGUGUAAAAUUAAUAGCGAGAUCCUCCUUUACGUGCAACCAAAUCAUACUCCCGAAGUGUUAUAUUGUUGGUAAUGUUUUUCGCUGAAUAAAUUAAUUCAUCAUCAUUAAGUGUUAAAAAACUUACAAGACAUUCUAAGAUUGAAGGAUUAGAGUUUUAUUUUAUUUAUAUUAUAUUAGAUGAUGUCCCGCACCUUGUACGGAUUAAUAUAUCUAUAUAUCUAAAAAAAUUUAAUUCUAAUGUUUAUUUUUAUAAAAAAUAAUAAUUAAAGUAGAUAAAACAUUUAAUUUAUAUUAUCAAUUACAAAACUUCAAUAUUCAUAUUGGUAAUCAAUGUAUUAAAUUAUGUUAUUUUGUUUCAUAUUUUUAUUUAUGUGAUGUAGAUUUUGGAUCAAAAUAUUUUAUAUGGUAAUAAUUAAAUAAAGAAAUUUGUAUUUGAAAUUAAACACAUAUUGUAUUUAGACUGAAAAGAAAUCAUGUGGUACUGAACGGAUUAUAAAAAAUCACAUAAAACAUCAACAAAAAUGAUUGUAUAGGAGUGUUCAAUCCAGUAAAAACCAAACCAUUUAAAACCGAACCAAAUAGAAAUAAAGAAAAUAGUCUAGGUUUGCUAUUACCGAAUAAACCAAAUGGAUAUUAUUUUUAAGAAACUGAAGUAUAUGGACAUGGUUCAGUAUAUUAAGCGAUCAAACUGAAUAAACCACAUAAACCGACUAAUUCAGAUAUAUUAGCAUACUUAUAUAUAAAUUUAAUAAUAAUCUAUAUUUAAUCAAUAUUUCCAAUAAAAAUUAGAGAACUGAGUAUAAUAUUAGUUAUUAAAAUCAUAAACUAAAUAUAAGAUAAAAUUAAUGAUGAUAUUAUCGGUAGAUAUUUUUAAUAACUUAAUAUCAGUUGUUAAUAUCUAUUUAAUUAAAUAUCCUAAAUAUCAUGAUAAUUAAUAUUAAAAUAUUUUAAAAAAUAAUAGAAUAUAUAUCAGUAGAAUAUGUUAAUGUUUAUUAAUUAUCUUAAAUAUCAUGAUAAAUAUAUAGAUAUCAAAAUAAAAUUUUAAAUAAUAAUAUUAAUUAAACUAAUGACUUAUCUUAAAAUUAUGGAAAAUAUGACAAGUAAGCAUAUUAACUAAAAUUAUUGAGAAGAUGAUAAUUCAGCAAAUUUACUUCUCAAAUAAUGUAUAUAUAGAGUAGAAUCUCUAUAAAUUAAUACUCAAUAAAUUAAUAAUCUCUAUAAAUUAAUAAAUUUCGCGAGUCCCAACUUGGACCGGUUUAAAAUUUGAUACAAAUCGAUAAAAUAAUAAGAUAAUAUUUUCUAGAAAAUUCUAUAUAAAUAUAUGGUCCCAUUCAAAUUAUGAAUUAAUAAAUUAUAUAUAUAUACAUAUUUUAUAUAAGUAAUAACCUAUUAUUAUAUGUUUGUUGUAUAUUCACAGUGGACCUAUCUUUAUAUUUUCUUAACACUUAUAUAUUUUUGAUGAGAUUUUGUAAUAUUCUAUUUAAAGCCACAUUUAAGUUAUAUGCAAUAUAUAUUUUAUACAUCAUAUAAUAUAAUAAAAUUAAUAUACAUGUUUAAUUUCAAAUAAUAAUAAUUAAUGUCUAUACAGUAAAAAUAAAUAUUUUUUCAUCUUAGAAUAAAUAUAUAUAAAAAUAAGAAAUCUAAAUAAGAAAACUUUUGUAAAUUAAUAUCUCUAUAAAUUAAUAAAAUUUUAAAAUCCCAAUAUUAUUAAUUUAUAGAAGUUCUAGUGGAUAUAGUUCCUUAUCAUACAUAUUGUUUUUGUCCCUAUUGUCCUUUUCCAGUCGACACACGAUUUUUUAAGUCAAAGGAAACAAAAAAAAUCCCACUAAGAUUAGAAAGAAAAUGAUUUUAUGUUAAAAAGAAAUCAAAACUAUUGUAGAGCCACAUGUCGAGAUAACAUCAAUUUCUGCAACUAUAAAUAGAACGUUUUAUCCUCCAAAAAGCCCAACCAAUAACCACAUUAAAAAAAAAAAGUUCCACUCUGUUUCUUUUUCAUUUGCAUAAAUCAUUUUGCCUCCAAAAGGCUUCUGGGCUCUGUCUCUUUGUCUCUUUUACCUCUACUCCGCUCAAAACAAUUUUACUUGCCUCAACAAACAUGUGUAAUUUAACACCAUCUUCUUCCUCUUCCUUACUAUCAUCUCCCAAAGAAAAAAACAAUUUCUCAAAACUCGAAACCUGUGAUGCAGACCAUCCCCAUUAUUCCGACUUUACCGAUGACGGUUCCCGAGACCUUAAUAGAUGUCCAACUUUUCUCGAGGUAUACUAACUCUUUUCAUUAAAAAAUAAAAAGUAAAAUUCAUUAAAAAUAAAAAUUAUACUACUCUUUUUUCUCAAAACUCCAUUCAUCGUUUGGAACUUUUUUCCAGAGGUUUUUUAUUCGACUAUAAAAAUUAACGAUUAACUAUAUGGUUAAAAAGUAAAUAAAUCAUUACCUAAAAAAUAUAAAAGUUCGGUUUGAUUAAAAUAUCUACAGACGUGGACGGUUCUUGUUCUUGACUUGCUUUUGUCUUUGAUAAUUUGGCGGCAGGGCUUAGAGGAAGUGAAAGCGAUUGGAAGAAUCUCAGGGCCGACGGCAAUGACCGGACUUCUUAUGUACUCAAGAGCAAUGAUAUCGAUGCUGUUCCUUGGCUACCUCGGCGAACUUGAGUUAGCCGGAGGAUCUCUCUCCAUCGGCUUUGCCAAUAUCACCGGCUACUCCGUCAUCUCCGGCUUGUCCAUGGGGAUGGAGCCAAUCUGCGGGCAAGCUUACGGUGCUAAACAAAUGAAGCUUUUAGGACUAACCCUUCAAAGAACCGUCCUCCUCCUCCUCUCGUGCUCGGUCCCCAUCUCCUUCUCUUGGCUCAAUAUGAGGCAAAUCCUCUUGUGGUGUGGCCAAGACGAAGAGAUCUCUUCCGUUGCGCAAAAGUUCCUUCUCUUCGCCAUCCCUGACCUCUUCCUCCUCUCUCUGCUUCACCCUCUUCGUGUUUACCUCCGAACACAGAACAUUACAUUGCCCGUGACUUACUCCACGGCCGUCUCCGUCCUCCUUCACGUUCCGUUGAACUUUCUUUUUGUGGUGAAGCUCGAGAUGGGAGUCGCGGGAGUCGCUAUUGCUAUGGUCUUAACCAAUCUCAACCUCGUAGUCCUCUUAUCUUCUUUUGUAUAUUUCACAAGCGUGCAUAGUGAUACAUGGGUCCCACUUACUGUGGACUCUCUUAAAGGUUGGUCGUCUUUGCUCUCGCUUGCAAUACCCACUUGUGUAUCCGUUUGUUUGGAAUGGUGGUGGUACGAGUUCAUGAUCAUUUUGUGUGGAAUUUUGGUUAACCCAAGAGCCACCGUUGCUUCCAUGGGAAUCUUGAUCCAAACAACAGCUUUAGUCUACGUCUUCCCAUCCUCUCUCAGCCUCGGCGUAUCCACAAGAAUCAGCAACGAGCUUGGGGCUAAACGCCCGGCGAAGGCUCGUGUAUCCAUGAUAAUUUCCCUCUUCUGCGCGACCGCCUUAGGCCUAAUGGCAAUGGUGUUCACCGUGCUUGUUAGGCACCGAUGGGGACGCUUGUUCACCACGGAUGUAGAGAUUCUUGAGCUGACUUCAAUUGCAUUGCCCAUCGUGGGUUUAUGUGAACUCGGGAACUGUCCUCAAACGACCGGUUGUGGUGUUUUGAGAGGCUGUGCAAGACCAACACUCGGUGCCAACAUAAACUUGGGUUCGUUUUACUUUGUGGGCAUGCCGGUGGCUAUUCUCUUAGGGUUCUUUUUCAAACUAGGAUUUCCAGGUCUCUGGUUUGGCUUGCUUGCAGCUCAAGCGACAUGUGCUUCUCUCAUGCUGUUUGCACUCUUGAGAACAGAUUGGGCAGUCCAAGCAGAGAGGGCUGAAGAACUGACGUCAAAAACACCGGGAAAAACUCCUCCUCUCCUCCCAAUCGCCAAGACUAAGAGCAGGUCUCCACCAGAUACAGAUGAUAUGAUGAGAACCAUGUUGGUUUAGAUUGAUAUCUAUUCUUUGGAGUCAUUUGCCUUCAAUGUUGACGUAUAAAUAUUCUUGUCAAACAUCAUUUUUGGAGUUUAUAUUACUCCUUAACUUUUACUCUUUUUUUAACAUAAGAACCACUUUGUUUUGUGGGCUUUAUUGGUGUUUCAUUUUAUCUAUGGUUGUAUGGAUGUAAUAGUUUCUAGAUUUGACUUUACCAGUUUGUACUAUAUUUGUUUCCUUCUGCAAUAACAACUCAUUCGGAUUAGCUUUAUCUUAGUACGUUUUGUAGUAGAAGAUCGAUAUUUAAUUGGCUUUGAUUAGCUUUAUUUUCGUGAUGACAAAAAAAAAAGAAAGGCUUUAUUUUCGUACGUUAAGCUACGAAUAUAAUAAAAUGAAAAAUUAAACUCCACUACAUACAUCUUCAAAACUACGGCAUUAGAGCAUCUCUAAUGGAGUAAUCCUUUUAUUUUUUGUUCAUCACUCCAUUUCUCACUCCAUUUUCUUAAUUUUGGAGUAAAAUAUGGAGUGGGGUUGGAGAUGCCCUUAGAGCGUGUCGUCCAACUUAUUAAGUUUCUUACAGUGGGUAUUUACAUGAAUAAAUAAUAUAUUUUAAUUAUCUGUUUUAAUUUUUAUGUUCAAAUGAAAUAUAAAUGGACAAGAAAGUAAUACACAUAGGGGAAGAAAUUUCAGAUAGGUUUCUAAUAAAUCCGUAAAUCAAAUACUUUCUUUCUUUUCUUUCCACUUUUUUUUUAUAAUUUAAAUUUUGACAAAAACUCCUACAAAAAUCUGUUAUUGGAGGUGGUCUUACAAUCUUGAGGAAACCAUUAUUAAGAGUAUUUUUAUCCUUAAGAAACUGUGAAGAUUUCUGAAAAGAUAAAAAAUAAAAAUAUUCUUGAUUAGGAAAUUAUUUUAGUUUUUUACUAAUUAUACCACUAAUUAAUUAUAUGUGUUAUUUGAGUAUCUCAUAGUAAGUAUUUGAAAACUUUCAAACGAGAAACCGAUGAAAACUUUUCCUUUUUUUCUUACUUUUAUUUACUUUUAGUUACACUUUUUUUUUUACUUUUUAUUAUUUUUAUUUAGUUUUAAUUAUGAUUAUAUCUUGCAAGAAGUUUAGUUGGAGAAGCUCUAACAUAUAUUGAUAUCAGUAAAAACUGUAAGCAAAAAAUACAGUCGGAAUAACUUCCGAUAAAGUAAAAAGCCUCGAAUAUUUUCCAAAAAAAUUAGUUUUUGCCAAUUGUAUUUAUUCUUUUAUUGUGGAAACUUUGCUGAUUUAACAAUCAAUUCUUUUCUUAAGGACAGGCAAGAUGCAUCUUUAUUUUUUAAACUUUUUGGUUUGUUCCAUGUUCCAUAAAAGGAAAUAUAUUCACAACCAAAAAUGGGAAAAAUCCCUUUAAACUCUAUCAUAUUCUUUGUCUCGAGCCAUCAGAUUCGAUGCGUUUAAAAUUUCAAUUGCGUUCACAUUAUUUGAUUUUGUUUGCUUCUUUAAUCAGAGAGAAGCAUCUUUUUUCCUCCUUGACACAAAACUAUCCGCUCUUUUCUUUUCUUGGGACCAGAACAUGAAUUUAUACGAACUACCCAGGCUCAAACAAUGUGGCCAAAGAAUAAAACGAUAAUAUGACAUGUAACUAAAAUAAAACUGAGUGGAAUUAAUAGUGCGUCUACGUGUCGACACUAUGAAUUAUCUUUGAUAUUUCUUUUUGCAUAUACUUAAAAGAAAUAAAAUGAAGUUAAACCACAACUGAGUUCCAUUGGCUCGCUAAAAAAUUCAUCGAGUUUCAUUGGCCAUCUAUGAAAAAGUUUGUAUAUCACUGGCACGAAAGAAAAGACAAUUUGUAUUAUAUACUUUGCGCGUUAUUUACACGUGAAUAAUUUUUUUUUUAUCUUUUUGCUAAACACUAUGCUGUCAAUCAUACUCUUUAAUGUUUACAUUUGAAACCAAUGUUUUGUUGAAUGUAAGUUAUAUCUUAUUGCCGACAAACAUGGAAAACUACCCCUAAGUCGAACAUGUGAGUAUUACUUAUGCGGCUGGUGACAUUUCUUCUGCUUAAUAAGUUCUGAAUAUUUGACCUACGAUCCUUUUAUCCCGAAACCAGUUUUGAUAACCGAUGCUAAGACGUAAAUCAUUCGAGUUAAGUAUCAGAACAAGGACUCAGCAUUCUCUCAAAUGUAUGAUAUCCACAAGAGCUAGUGAGCUACGUAUGUUGGUUCUGUGGCACAUGUUUUGUACCUCAUUGAUCCAAAAAGUGAUAUAUACAUGUGUACUCAAAUGUAGUAUACAAUAUAAAUGGAGUAAAUACAUCAAUCACAUGUUCUGACCGUCUUUGUUUGGAUCAAACCUUUAACUGUAGCCACAUGCAGCAUUACAUAUAUGUAAAUAUAAUACGCAAUAUAUAAAGACAAGAGAGUUGUAAACAAAUUUGUGUUCAAAUAAAAAUUGAUUUGAAAGAUGCCAAGUCUAUAAAUCUAGCGUGUGGUAAAGCUCGAGUUUGGAGGAGAAAGAGAGUAAGAGUGCCGUAAAGCCUAUCUUAGGCAGGCAGGGUCCCCCACGCGGAGACAUAAAACGUUUACCUUUAUUUCCUGUAAAUAAUAUUACCACUACAAUCCAUUUUAUCAUUUAUUUUCUUUUUUUUUCUUGAAAGAAUUUUCUUUUCUUUUUAACAUCGUCUAGUUUAUCAACUUCUUCUUCAUGAAAUAUGAAUCUUAAUUAGUUUUAAUAGAAGCUCCAUUAGUUUAUGAAAUGGUUAAUUAAUGUUUCUACACCACAAAUAUUGAGGUUUAAUUCUUAGAAGAUAUAAAUUAUACGGUUCAGUUCUGCAAAUCAUGAUUUUUUAUAGAACAUACUCCAUCUGUUCUUAAAAGAUUCAUGUUUUGGAAAAAUAAUUUGUUUCAAAAAGAUGUAUGUUUUAUGUUUUCUAUGAGAAAAUUGCAAACUUUAAGAAAAUUAAUUGGUUUUAUUAGAUUAUUAUUGGCUAAAAGUUGUUGAAAACUGAAAACUACAAAAAACGAUAAAUUUAAUAUAGUGAUUUAAUUUGUUUUCUUAAUAUGCGUGAAACACUAAAAAGUCUAUCUUUUAGGAACGGAGGGAGUAUAUAAUUGUUCGUUAAUUUUUUUUGUAGUUUUUAAAUAAUAUUUAAUAUAUCAAACAAAAAUGGUUUUUAUGAAAUAUAAUAUUUAUAUGUCAACAAAAAUAUCAGUUUACAUAAAUACUUUUAGAUCAAAUUGUUUAGUGUUGUUAUUGUAGAGCAAGGCUUAACUUAUACAAACAGAGCAGAUUUUGACUAUUCUAUUUAUUGAUCUGGAUCCGAGUGAUGUUCAUCCAUCGGGCUAGCACUUCGUCCUUGGUCUCUUGCUUGAAAAGCGGGUUAGUUGAGGUUUAGUCGACUUAAGAUUUGCUUGUGAAUCAUGAUAGCAUAACUGAUGAACAAUACAUAAUAAACUUAAGGUUUUAGAUUGUGCACAAAAAGGUUUUAGAUAAAAAAAUGGAUUUAGCAAAGAGAUAAUAAUAAAAUGUGGUAGCUAAUAUGUUUCAUAUUUCAGAUCGAGAGGUUUUUUACAAGAACAUAGAAUUGUAAGAACAAAAUAAUUAUGCGUUUAAUGUCCCCAUUGUUCCCAUUACUCUAUUAUUGGAUGCAUUAACCGUUAUUAAUUUGGAUGUUUUUAGGCGUAUGGAAUUUGAAUGGUUUAGUUUGAAUAAUCUUGAAAUAACCAAAAUAUCAAACUGAACUAGACCUAACUUAUCCUGGCUAUCAACUAGUUCUCAGUCUUAUUAUCAAAUCGAACCAAAAAAAAAAAACGAACUGGAAUUUCAUAUAUACUCAGAAUUGUUUCUAUAUCUGUAUACAAUAUAUCCAAAAUCUUAAGAAACUGAAUUGAAUAUCCGCACGUCAAGACCUAGUUGCAGUGUUAAUUUCUUAUUUAAUUUUGGUAAAUCUUCAUAUUAAACCCAACAAGCUAGACCUAGUUGCAAUGUUAAUUUAUUAUAUAAUUUUGCUAAAAUCGUUAUAUUAAACCUAACGAGCUCCAUAACAUGUGAUUUUCUUGGGAAUUAUUACACUAAAAAAUCAAACCCAUAACCCUUUUAAUUGGAAUCAGAUUUCAGCAAGUUUUAAUUUCUCAAUUAAAACUCGAUCCUUGCUACCAUGGCGCCUCAAAGACCAGUAACAGACGAAAAUACAAUGACAUUCUCUGAACACUGUAAACAUUCAUCCUAAGGCUUCAAGAUGCUUAACAACAGUCGGCGGAAAAUGCCUUAUUACCACUGUCUUACAAAAUCAACAUGAUCUCUAUCUAGAUCCUCGAGAUGUUCUGCAGCCCGUCAGUUUUCCCCCAAAACUGCGCUCACGAGGAAGAACAUGAGGAUGAAGAUUUAGUGGAAAAUUUUGUUCCGGUUGAUGAACAACAUCAACGACAAGCUAAAUAUGUUUUACGAUCAUGAUUAGCAAUAUGAAAGUAGGUUCUACAUGCGAACAAUAGAGAAUAAAGAUAUUGGAAGGUGAGAUGUUUGAAAAUCGGAGGAAGAUGAUGAUGCUCAACAGCAGAUCUGAGGAUUUAAAUCAGAUUCUCUCGAUGGGACAACCAACUAAGGUGAAUUGGAGACUAUGAUAUCUAGGAGGAGAAAGGGACUCUCAAGUACAUUAGAAGGGGUUGGCACAAUUUGUGCGGAUGAGCAGAUAUAAAAGUUAAGGCAAGGAAGUAUGAUAGAAAUUAAGGUUUACAGCGGGAAGUUGUAAGUUAUAAUCCAUCGAAGCACCAACAUUAAGGUCAUACAUGAGGCUCUGGAGAAUGAUUGUGCAUGUAACACCAAGAUAAAUACGGAUUGGUGUAUUAACAACUAUGUCUGAUGAAACAAAAACAACAUGAAAUGUGAUGUUAGUUUUGUAGAAAGGUUGGACACAAGAUUGAUGACUGGUUUUCUUGUAAGAACAGCAGAAACAGAGCUGGUAGAUGAAAAAGGGCUUCACUGAACCAAAUAAGGUUAAAAGGAGUUAUAGACAACUUUGCCUUGCUUGAUGGAACUCUGUCCGAGUUGGUUUUGACCAAAUUCAAAGAACAUAAAGUCUAGAGCUUGGAAAAUAUUUUAUUGUGGACCUUAUUCAAUGUAAAAAGAUAUCAGUAUGCAUCAAUAAGUUUACAAUGUGAUCAUUCAAAAAGUGAUUGAUUUCCCGGUCUUUUCUUGUAGAAUUAUUAUUGUAUCUAAGCAUACCUUUAAAAAUUCACCCAGGGACUAUAACAACGAGUACAUUAUGUAUUUCAUAUGGAGAAGUGAUACACUAAAAUUGACUCUUUGUCUAGUAUCAACUUAACAGUGGUUGUUGUAAUAUUUUAAAUUCAAUUACAGAGGACCAGAUUAAAUUUUUAUGGGAUCAAUAUCAAGCUAAAACAUUCGAUGAUUUUAAACUAAAGGAAAACAUGACAAGCAAGUAAACAGGGUUGGAUUGGGGUUUUCAGAUUAUGAAGAGUGCUAGCCUAGGGUGGUUUGAUCAAGUGUCAAAAAAGUGUGAGCCAAACAUUUAUUCAAAGCACGAGUCUAGAACUCGGAACACAUAACUAGAUCAAUCCACUCUCGUGGUAUCUCACCUUUUAUCGAUCGAUCUUAAUACGUAAACUGUCGUUUGGACCGAGAUGCGAUGACAAGCAUUAGCGAUCAGAUCCGAUUAGUUCGUAAAACACCCCAACAUCUACUUUCACUGGCUAGGGAAGUGAUGUUCAUUCAAGUUAUGUCGAUCAACCUAUUACAUGUUUAAUGUAUAAGUUAAGCCUAGGUUCAUGCUUUAAGUUAUCAGUUUAAUGCAAGCUUUAAUAACAACAAUGAAUGAAGGCAAUCGAUUUAUAACUUAUGUAUUUCUAGCUCAUGGAUCUAACAUCCUAACUACAUAGACUAAGCAAGCCGACUAGUCAGCAAAGAAACACAUAGAUCAAUAAAGAAAGCAUGGAAUACAAUUGCAAUAGAUAAUAAGAAAUAGGGUUCAAGGAAUUUUUCUCUAAAUCGAGAGAGUGGUCUUUUUCCUUACAAGGUAUCGAGUAGCAAAUCGCAACAAUGGAAAAUUCAAGAGUCUGGUUUCUUUAAAAAAUUAGCAUAGAAAACAAAGGAGAAGAGAAAAAGAAUAUAUAUUAGAGUCGCUGGCAGCGGCUCAGAGGAAAAUAUGGGAUCAGUAGGAUAAAUCCUAAAAUAUCUUGAAAGUUUACAUAAAAAUCUCCAGCGACGGAGCAACUGCUCCAGGUAUAAUCAUCCACUUUGGUACUCUUUUCGGCUGCUCUGCAUGAAAAUUUCUAAUUUGUACUCUUUUCCGCAUGCACCAUUCCAAAAGCCUCUCAACCUACUGAGGACCUGAAAUGAUUCGUAAAGGAUUAGAAUGAUUCGAUAAAGACUUGAAAACACUUUAGAAAACAUAUAUUUAAUGUGUCAAAACAUAAUAUAAAAAGACAUAGAAGGAUAUGGUGGUUGAGAUGAAGAAAUAAAUCAGGUCAUGAAAAAAAUUUAGUCAAGAAGUAUGUCAAAGAAUGCAUUAGAGUAUGAUGCAGUACUCUUAAGUAAUAUAUUCCGCUGCCACACAUAAUGUAUCAUGAUUACACAUGAGCAGACAAGUGUGUCUAUAAAGUAAGUUUUGACAUCUAAGUUAUGUUUUAACUUGCAUGUUCUUGAUUGUAUAAUAUUUCAUCUGAAUGCUUGAUUUAUGGAUUUAUUUUGUUUAUUUAUAUUUGUAUGUGUAUUAUGGUAUGUUGCUAAGAGUUUGUUUGUCCGACUUCUAUUAGUUGUUAAUAGAUUCCAAAUCCGACAUAUUAUUUUAGCUAUUGGAAUGAUGUUUGUAGUGUUAACCACAUAACACGUAAUAGUUUAGGAAUGUUAUCAUGUGAAUCUCGAUAUAUUAUUUUUGUCCAGAUUUAUAGCUAUACGGUGGUCUAUCUUGCGGACGUGACAAUUAUUAUUAUUUUUUUGAUUAAUCAGGAGGUGAUCCGGCGGUCGUGGCUAACUGACUAAUCCCUCUGAGCCUGGAACCAGCCUGCGUCUGUACCUUCAAGGGGCCUAAGUUAUUCCAUGACCAGAGCGUAUUAAACCCGGAUUCGUAUUGGAGCUUUUUGCUCCUUCAAGACCACUAGGUCAAUUUGAGCUGGUUAAAAUAAGUGAAAAAGGAAAAAAACGUGACAAUUAUUUUUCCUUUUUAAAAUCUACCUGAACCCAUAGUCAUUACUGAUCAUCGCGGGUGUGAUGAUAAUUUUCCAUCCACUAGAUGUCAUUUUACAUAUUAAUUUUUAUGGUUUAUACAGUAUUUUGUAAGACUUUACACACAUGUAUGCUCUUUGGCUAUAAUUAUCAUAAACUGUCAACUAAAACUUUAUAUAGUUCUUGAAUUUUCACACAUUCUAACAACUUUAUUAUUAUACAUGAGGUUUCUUGCUCUACCGACCCUCUUUCACCAUAAGCAUGCCCCAUAAUAUAUAUAUAUAUAUAUAUAUAUAUAAACGAUAAAUCUUUUAAAUAGAUUUUAAAAAAAUUAUCUACUAAAUAGCGAUUAAAAAAAUUAAAUGAUCAAAAUAUGUUUUAUUAGAAAGGCAAUGAUAAUUUUAUCUAUAUUUUUAUUUUUAUUUUAAUUAUUAAGGAAAAUCUUAUGAUUAUUUAGGAAAGUCUUUCUAAACUCAAGUUUAAGAAGAUGUCAUAUAGAUUCAAGGUCCUUAUAAUUUUUUAUAAAGAAAAAUCAUUUCGAACCAAAAUCAAAAAUAAAUUUUGAAGAGAAAAUUUUGUAAAAGAAUAAAAUUUCUAAAACAAAAUUCAAACUUUUGUUGAAAAUAAAAUUUUACAUUUUUAUAGAUUAUUUAAAUAUUUAUGUAUCUAUAGAAAAUGGAUAUAAACUUAUUUUUGUUGUUUUGAUCAUUGAGUUCUAGUUUGAGAAUAGUAAUUUGUUUUCAGGCUGAGGCCAUUUUUAAUAUAAAAAAUAGGAUAAUGAUUAAAUAUUUCUAAGAAAAUUAACUCAUUGGCUGUCCCAGGUGAAUCACCGAUGGUUACACUUUUUCUUACUCGCUUUGAGUUGUUCGUCAUUAUUUUAUUGAAAUACCAAAAAAAGUCAAUAAAAAGAGCCCAAAAGGGAAACUAAAUAAUUAAUUUAUCACUUAUCAAGAUAAGAAAAGAAGGCCACUCCUUUGACACCCGCAUUAAAAUGUAUAUCAUGAUAAGUUGAUAACAAUGGCAAGUUUGUAUUCGUUGUACACAAAAAACUCAAACUUACCCGAAAAAAUUAUUAAACUAACUACAAUAUGAACAUGAAAAGUAUAGCACAAAGGCACUUUCAAAGUUCUAACUUCCUUUGGAACUCUUUUAUUUAAUAAUUAUUAUUAGACACAAAUAUGGUUUAUACAAUUAACAUCAUAGACUAUCAUGCCGCGUACUAACGUCCUUGUAGAAUAAAAGAAUUCUGAUUUUCUCUUCAAUUUUUGAUUAUGGCUUUGAGAACUACAUAUACUUGUAUACUAAUACUAUAUCUUUUGAAAUUCAAAACUAUAUAUACUUAUGUUAUGAAAAAAUGAUUAAUGAACAAAAAAAAUUUCAAAAAGUAAUGGUCAAGUUUCGAAGAAAAACAAAUUAAUGAUUGACAGACACAAAAAGUAAUAAAAUGCAUAUUUAUUUCCUUUUCUCUGGUCGGCAAGAUUGAGUUGAUUUAGGUUUCGCUUUUGAGAAGAUGAUAAAGAACAUGUAAACUAACAAAACCAUUAUAAAAAGAGCUAAGUAAACAUUUUAUUAGUGUAUUAGUUUCGUUAUGUUUUUGUUUAUUUAACAGUUAUGUUUUGAAUUGUGCACUACAACCCUUUGUUUAUGUUAGUAGCGUGGGUGUACUUAAUUACACAAUAUUGGACAUACGUUAAAACGAUAAUUUCAUUAUGACAUUCUGCAUUCAACCAAAAACUUUCAGAGGAACAAAGAAACACGUAAUAAACUUUCAUCGCAGUUUCAGAUUAUGGACCAAAACCUUAACUAUACAUUUGCCAAAUGGAUGUGCUUUCGGUAACGUCUUUGAUUUUUUGUUUUGACAACGUCGCUGAUGGUUUGGUCAAAGACACAAUUUUGUUACAUUUUCUAAUUAAUUGGUAUCAAAACAUGAUCUAUUGUCUUGUGUUUAUCCGAAAUUGAUCUACACAAAAAGAUACCACGUUAGUCAAUAUUUUAAAUUUAUCAACAUAGUGCAUAUGUAAGCUUCUUGAACUGUUUUGGUCAAAUCUUUUUCUAUUUUAUGUAAACGUUACAAAUCAAAACACUCACUCCAGGAUAACUAUCAUCCGAGAGCGAGUAUGUUUAAACAUUAAAUAUAAUUAAGCAAACAUUCUCAUGGAUGGAUAAUGAAAUUGAAAUACACAUAUAUAAUCAAUACCAAAGUCCAUGCUAUUUCUGACAAAGUGACAACCAAAGUUGAGAGACAGAUAUAAUCAAUAUAAAGUUAUUUUGUCUUCGCACACAAAAUUUGGAUUUUUGACUCAUUCUUCGAUAAUAGUUAUUGUUGAGGAUUCAAGAGACGUAGAAUUUGUUUGUUCUUUGUAGCUUUGAUAAUAUUUGUUUCAGAUUCACAUACUUAUUAACGUAAUAUGUAGCCUUGAGUUCGGUAGCACUGAAAUAAAUACUACGAGUAUUUAUAUGGAAAGUCACUAUGUGAAUUAACUAGAAAAGAUGGAGAAAAAGAUAUUCGCUUUCAAGAAUGUCUGACAAAUGUUGACUAAUCCACUGUACAACAUAGCAUACAGUCUUAUAAGCAAGCAAAAGUCGUCAAAGACCAUAGCACUCGUGCAACCUAUUUCACAUCUAUUAGUUUUGGGCAGUCUAUUUUUUUUAUAAGAAAGUAUUAUACUUUCAAACAACCUAUUACGCAACCAUCACAUAUUCCAAAGACCAAGAUAAUUAUGUGGUGAUCCAUUUUGAAUCUUGAUUAGGAACAUACUUGAUAACAGACGAUGGAUACUCAAUUUUUCUAUUUAUCACGUUAUUCUUUUUACGUAAAAAAGGAGGAUAUGAAUAUUAGCAGAAAUAAAAAUGUUAAAGCUGUUAAGUGUGAUUACAAUCUUCUGUGGCUAGUUUAAUUGGAUUGAGGAAGAACCGGUUAGGUAACUUGAUUAAGAACCGGAUAUGUGUUGUUAAACCAUUGAGGAGUCUCUAGAGGUUUCGGAAAACUUUGUAAACAGCUUAGAGCAUGAUUAUUGGAGGAUUCUUAGGAUGGAAUUCUUAGUGGAAUAUAAGAAACCGUCUCUUAACUAAAAAAUUUUAAUUAAAAAAGUUAAGAGCCGACUCUUAAAUAUCUUAUUUAAGAGCCGGCUCUUAACUUUUUUAGUUAAAAAUUAAGAGACGGUUUCUCAUAUUCAGUGACUAAUAAGUAUUUCAAAUCGGAUGCUAACAUUGGGUAAACAAAAGCCACCUAAACUUGUGUUCUUACCUUUAUUGUUUUUCCUUGCAUUCAUUCGAUCAAACGAGAAAAAGUGAAUGAGAGAUCGAGAAGAAGGUGCGAUAACCAGGGCAGCCCUUGGGCCAAGCAAAAGAAGCAAUUGCUUCCAGCCGACAUAUUUAUCACUAAAAGUUGGCCACAUUUUUUUAAAAAAAUUGCCUUAGUCUAGUGUUAUAACAUUAAGUUCAAAGUCUAGGUAAACGGUAAACCCGGUUUCGAUUCUCAUAAAGCGGCCAACAUUUUGUUUUUGCUUCUAGCCACCUAAAAUCUAGGACCGGCUCUCGCGAUAACCAACAAAAAAUUAUUUAAAAAAUAGGGAAAUCCGACAAAAACACUAUAAUUCACUAUCUAACCAAAAUCACACUCUCUCCUCUUAUCCCUUCCUAUCUCUCUCUACAUUUCUCUCUACAAAUUUAGUUUCCCUUUUUUUUGGUUAUUUCACAAAUAACCCCUAUAAAAUAAGUGCAAUCAUUUUUUCGUAUCAUGUAUACGUACAUCAUAACAUCCUAAUAUGCGUAUGUCAUAACAGGAUAACAUCAUACAUAGAAUGAUAGAAAGGGAUCUACUGGGUUCUAAAAAUAUGUUGGUCAUAAAUCAAUUCAAAUUUAAAAGCUGAACACAGUGAUGGCCAAUACAAACGGUUUUCUACAUGUUUUUUUCAUUCUAUAAGCAUAUUUUUAGCUUAGAAAUUGCAUUCUAAGAAGAGGCCAUAGCAAAUAGCUAUCUUGCUUGCACGUUGACUAGUCAAAGUUGUACGUGCAUAUCAAAAUGGUGGUCCUAUUGCACUGUUAUUUCUGGAAGAGGACACGAAUGGCUAUAUUGCGUACCUCAAUACCUUUUGCAGAAAAUAUCAUAAUGGUUUCUCGAUCCUUUGAGAUUGACAACAUCUCUCGAGCUUUUCAUCUUUCUAUUCUCAUUUCAAAAACGUCCAACAGCAAUUAUGCAAGCAAAGAAUAUCUCAUUUGACUUGUCAAAAAAUACUAAACUUAGAUAUUUGGUCCCAAAUCAAAUAUAUUCAAUACAUCUAUCGCUCUUGACAAUUGGCACGUACGGAGACAAACAAUUUAGAGCACAAAUAAUUAAUCCUUUGACGCUAACUUUACCUAGACAUAGAAAUACAUGUGGUGGAAACUAUAGUAGUAACGUCGUCACAUGCAUGUGUGACGCAAACCUAUAGUCAAAUAAUUGUAUGCAUCUCCUUUUUUAUCGGGAUGGGACGAGAAUGAGAGUUAAUCAUGGAUCAAGGCUACAGAUCCUAAUAAUUGAUGCACAACAGAACCUUUCAUGAUGAUGAUAGACCUAAAACCUACACAAUGCCUCAAGGUUUUCGUAUGCAGAUCCCUAUCUUAGGUAGAAAAACUUUAGAGAGGAAUUAUGGUGUAAAGACAAGCGAGAAAACCAUGAAAGAAUGAGCUGGGGAAUAUGUCGAUAUAAAGAUUAGUAAUUUAUGUCUAUCUUCAUAUCAUACGUCAGAUAAAUUAUAUUGCCAAUAAAUUCGAAGAAUGAUGAAAAACACGGGAUUUUCCCCUGUUAUCUCAGUUGUGCAUAAGGACUUGCGUGUAUUUUUAUAUCAAAACUGGGGCUGUGAACUAUUCAUAACGAUUUUCAGUAUGAAUAAUAUGAUUUGAACAUUAUAGCUAGGCCCAAUUACGAACGAGUGAAUAUGGGUCCUCGAUAGCUUAGAAUAGGCAGUUUAGAUAGGUCAAGGUGUUUGAUCAAAACAAAAGAUAGGUCAAGGUGCAUGAAUACAUUUUAAAGAAUCAUAGUAGAAUUUGAACGUAUAACGUGUAGAAUUUGAUGACUCAUUCUAACGUAGAAAUAACGUAGGUAGUUUGCAUCAUUUUGUUUGUAUAACUUUGAGCAUUUUUUAAGAAGAAAUAGAAAACCCUAGUAAUUGUAUUGACAAAGAAAGAAAAUAGGGUUCAUAGUAGGCUUUGCUUUGGAAUUUAUUGGCAUGAAAUGAUACAAGAGUUUCACUUUUACAUAAGAAAACAUUGGAAUAUAAUGCACAGACUAGGGGAUAUAACAAAAUUAGGGUCACUAUCUGUGAUUGUACAAAAAGGUUAGAGCGACUCAUUGAAAGUGGGAGAAUGAUAUAUAUAAAAUUUAUAAAUUGCAUAUAGCCACCGACGAAUUCAACAACGGAUUUUAGCAGAGUCGAAUGAUGAUUAUUGCUAAUGAAGUUUCAACAAAGUAGCCACUUCUGCUAAUAAAGUUUCAAUUGUCGUUCGACUGUGCUAAAAUCCGUUGUUGAAUUCGUCAACUCAAUCAACCAAAAUCUUAGCUUCGUCAAUUACAAUGGGUCUAACCUAGGUUUUUGGGUUGCCAUAGGAGCCCCUAAACCCUAUGAAAGAUGCUUGAUAUUUUUUAAAAGUUACUCACACCAGAAUGGUUUUAAUCUCAGAAUUUGAUAAAGAUGCUUUCGGAGUUCAAAAAGCUAUGCACAUCGUAUGAACAUCCAUAAUUCUCUUUGGAAAUCCCAAGUCCUAGUAGAAACAUUAAGUAUAUGGAAUAGUUAAUUAGAGUUUCCAAGCUUCUUAAUGGUUAUUAUGCAAUUCUGUUGCGAACAAAUAUAUAAUUUAAUUUUUAUUAUAUAAAGUAAAGAAUACUUAUCAUAUAUUUAUAUAUAAUUAAUAUAUAUAUUACUAUAAUAUAACUUUUUUAUAGAACUUUCUCAGUAAUUCUAUUUAUAUAAAAAAAUGUAGAUAGAGAUUAGAUAAAGAAAAAGCUCCAAUUCGAAAGAGAAAUAAAUAAAAUCACAAAAAUAGAAAUAGAGAAUCCUUUUUGAUUUUGUCUCGUCCCAAAUACAAAUAAAAGAUCUUUUUAUUUAUAGCCUGGCUUGGUGAAUUUCGUUCUCACAUCUGUAUUGAUAGUCACCUUUUAAGUGAUAGUAAUAAUUCUAAUGAAAGUUACAUUUGUGAAUCAAAAUUAUAAAGAAACCAAAGCAAGCAAAACAUAUUGAGGUAAAUACUCGUUUAAGGUUUGUUUAUUAUUAUGUGAAUAAAUAACUUUACAAUCCCUUAGAUACAUAUUUAUAACAGAUUCAAACCCGAUUUCAUUUUUCCUCUAGGAAUACAUGUAAAUUUUUUGAAUCCUAAAAGGCUUACCUACCCAACGAAUACUGGAUUUGUACUGCUGUACUGAGAUUUAAGACUCAUCCAAAUGUAACAAAUUUCUUCUCCACAAUAUAUUGAAAAGAGUGUUUUACACUAUAGGGCAGUUUCCAAGUUUUUAUUACAUCCUAGGACAGUUUCAGCUACUAGGGUAGUUUAUUUUGGUUGUUUACCUUGAUGCCCUCAACUAAGACCAAACCAAAGUUACAUUUUCUAACUAGUGGGACAUAUCCUCUUAUUUCACGUGACUUUCUUCUUCAUUAGUUUCGUUCUUUCUUUUCUUUUUAACAGACAAUUGAUUUUGAGAAUAUUACACCAUAGGGCAGUUUUAAGUUUUCUAUAACACUAUAGGACAGUUCUUAUUACUAGAGCAGUUUUUUCUAACUAAAACCCAAUUUCUACUUAUAUACUAAUUAAAUAAGCUAACUAACCAUAAAGUUAACCAACUAAACUUUUAAAAGGCAAGUGGGUUCUAGCAUCUUUCUCUCUCUCUUUUCGAUUUUACUCUGACAUUCUCUUUUUUAAAUCUCAUAUGAGAUGCUUUUAAUUUUUCAAGUAGCUUCACAUCUAUAUCACUAAUCGAUAACCCAACGGCAGCGUUCGAUUAGGCGAAAUAGCAGCGAACAAUACUAAGAGGCGUACAAUUUACAGGGAAGAAAAUCAAAGAAAAGUAAGAGCAAAUUGUUGUCGAAGACACGAAUAUUGAUGAAUUUGAGUUCUGGAUUCAAGAACUCUGAAACCCUGGAUGAUGAAAGCUAAAGAAAAAUUGAAUCUUUUGGUGUUUGUAGUUGACGGGUCAAAAACGAGUUACAGUCCGAGAGCUCUCAUUCUCCUCCUCCUCUCUGUCCUCAGCUCCUUCGUCCAAGAUGCCAAUGAGCUAAAAAUCCCCAAUUUCUGCAAAAUUCGUAACCCUAAGAAACUUGGGAAGAAGAUGACAUAAUUACGGUUAUGCCAUUAAUAAAUUAAUUAUUUUAAAAAAUCGCGUACACGUAGAGAUGUGUACAUAUGUACAUUCUAAGUGUACAUGUUGAUGUUGUGAAAACCAUUAAAAUCACCAAUAUAUUAUGUACACCACUUUCAUCUUUCAGUUAUUGUCUUGUUUCAUAUUGUCACAUGUUACCAACAAACAACAAAUUGGUUGCAUUUAGAUUGAGCCAAAUGACAUGUAUUCUUGGUGCUUGAAAUCCCCUAAAGUUUGGAUUGACACCUUAAGCACUACAACUACUAAAGGAUUAGACUUAUCCCACAUCAGUAAUAUUGCAACAACUCUCAAAAAUAUAAUUUACAUUAUGCAAAUGUACAUUUCUUUAAUAAUAUGUACACGACAUAAAUGUACAAAAUCGACAAGUAUAUACGUGUACAAUAUACAUAUUAUCUUUUAACGGAUAUUUACAUGUACACAUAUGUUUGAGACACAUGUUACAUGUUCAACAUGUUGUAAAGUUGUGUACAUUCGUUAGUGUACAUGUGUAAAUUAAAGGUUGGUGGCGUACAUGUGUCCAACAAAUGUGGUAGUGUACACGACAUGGAUGUACAAAAUCACAAUGUACAUUUACAAAAUCACAUUGUACAUAAAUUUAUAUGUAUACAUAUAUAAGGAUAACAUAAUACCAAACUGCUCACAAGGACCAUCAAUUUCUUUUCACUUAGUUGAAUAAGUGAUAACCACAAACUCAAACUGAUUUCUCUUUUUACAAAAAAAAAUAGUGUACAUGUGAUUCGUUGUACAUGUGGAUAUUGUAAUUGUAUGUACUACAUAUCAUAUACAUAUGAAUCAUUUAUUUUUUCAUUUUUUAAUGAGUGGCAUUUUCAUAAUUCCAACUUCAUCUUCCCCAAAAUCAAUUAGGGUUUUCUGCAAUUUCUCUCUAUGGCCGCCAGCCAUUAUUCUCACCUUAAUCAUCAGUUUUUUUCAUUUUUCUUGCUUAUUAUACUUUUAAACUUGUAGAAAUAUCAUAUAAGACACGAUUUCAAGCUCUAAAUUACUUUUUUCUACAACAAAAACGUAAAUCUUGCUUCUUUUUUAAUUACUGUCAUAGUGCGAGGUGGAUGAGUUGCAGAGCACGGCGUGGAGGAAGAAGCUUGGUCGUGUUGAUCGAUGGCAAAGGAGAAGAUGAAACGCAAUUAAGGUUCGUUGAGGUUCAUCAGGGUCACAGACGAGCAGAGCCAGUCCUUCACGAUGAAGAGAAGUUGUGACAUAGAUGACCUGAUGCACCAUGGAAGUUCUUGAAGAAUUGUGUUUUUAUUUUAUGAAAUUAGUCAACUGAAAAAGAAACAAGAUCUGAAAAAGAUAACACGAUUGAGAAAGAGAAAAGAAGAAAAAAAAAUGAAAAAGCAGUGGGUCCAACAGAUUAUGCUCUAGUUACAAUUUAGUUAGUAGUGAAUGAAAUAGAUUAAGAAAAAGUGUCCUAGGAGUUGAAACUGCCUUAUAGUCUAAUAUAAACUCAGAAACUGCCUCUGAGUGUAAAUGUCUCUAUUGAAAACCACAUUGAUUAGUCCAUCCAAAGGACAUCUGUAGGACUUACCUAAUACAUUCUCCUUCUAAAGUAAAACCUUUGCAAAAAGACAUGUUGACGGAUCAAUAUCUUAGGAGUACCGUAUUCAAGGUAUUCCGACUCUGUUGCCUAUAGAGAUUCCUAGAAGUAGGCUUCAUUUUUGUUGUCCAUGGAAACCAGAUAGCAUCGUCCAUUAACACUGGUUUUGAGAGACCUAAGAUUGCUGAGAAUGGGUUGACUUUGAAGCAGUUAACGAAGGCAUUGGAAUGUGUGAAGUUUGAUGGCAGUUUCGAUGUUCAAUUUUUUUGUCCAGCCACCCUGAGAGCAUCAGAAUGUAUGGAACCAUUAACUAUAGAGAUUUGUCAUGUAAAACAUUGUUAUCUAACUAUAAAGAUUUAUCAUUUAAAUGAGUAUAUACUUCUCUGUACUCUACAACUAGGAUAACACAUGCGCCUUGUGUAGGGUGAGUUUAUUUGUAGAUAUUAUCGAUAAUUUUUUUAUAUUGAUUAUUUUAUUUAUACAUAUACAAUAUUUUUUUGUUGUUAUUAUAUAAUUUCUUUCCGAUGGACUAGAUCAUUUUUUAUUAAAAAUUGUGAAACUAAACUAUAAUUAAUAUAUCAUGGAUUGAUCGGAUUGGACAUUAAACAAAUUAUGACACAAAAACCUUUUUUUUUCACCAAACACAUUCUUGAAAAAAAUGAACAGUACUGUUUUCACAGUUGAAUUAUUUUAACAUUUAUUUUUCAUAUGGUUUUGAAAGGUUACAAAUCAACUAUCGAAUUGAUACAUGUCAUUUUAAUAUAAAAUGCUUUUAGUCGUAUGCCUAAAAAACCUUACAUUUUUGUAAUUUAAAGUCAUUUUAAAAAAUUCAAAAUAUAACAUAUAAGAAAAAAUCUAACAUAUAAGAAAAAUAUAACAUAUAAGGUUUUUUCAUUUUUUUAAUUUAAAGUCGUUUUAAAAUUUUUUAAAAUACAACAUAUAAGGUUUCUUCAUUUUUUGUAAUUUAAAGUUAUUUUUUAAAAAUUCAAAAUAUAACAUAUAAGAAAAAAUCUAAUUUUUUAUUAUAAGGUUAAUGUAAUUGUUUAAUUCUUUAAUAAUAUAAAAUUAAACAAAAAUGAAGGAGGAUGCAAAAAUUGUUAUCAAAACUUUAUUAUUCAUAGUCAUUAAUUGUCAUAUAUAUUUUAAUCAUAUUAGGUAAUUUUGUAACUUUUAUUUAAGCAAAGAAUACACGCUUCUUAUAUUUUGGGUUCAUAUAAUGUUCCCUAGUAAUUAGAUUUGGACCAAUAUUUUUUCAAUUGAUUCUUAAACUGCCACGUAAGCUUAAUUGUCAUUCUAAUUAAGUGACACCUAAGCUGGGUUUCUUUUUAAUUAGUACAAACUUAAGAUUACAACUUUUUAAGCGACCAUCAAUUAAUAUAUAUGGGAUAUUAGAAGGAUUUUUCUAAGGCUUCUUGAUGCAUCGCAUCCAUCUACUAUGGACCAUAGGCUUAGUACUAAAUCAGCUACGGGGUUUAUUUGUUCAUAGAGUUUCUAUUUUAUUUAAUAACUAGAUUUUGACCGCGCUUAGAAAGAACAUUGUUAUUUUUCAAAUUAAAUAAAUUGUUCUUAUAUAAUUUCUAUAUAAGAUAAUGUAUAGGUUUGGGUACAUUUACACAGGUACACUGAACCGUACCAAACUAUAAAAAAACAUUGGAACCGAAAAAUAGAAACCGGAUUGAGAACCAAAUGAGUAAUUAAAAUUUUAAAAUACAAAUUAUAUACCUACAAAUAUUAAUUAUAUUUAAUUUCUAAAUAACCAAAUAUCCUAAAAAUACUAUUUAUAAACCAAAUUAUGCAACAACAAAAAAUUAAUGACUCGAAUAUUUUUUAUUCAAAUAAUUAAUAGCAAAUUAUUUAUCCUAUAUUUUUUCCAAAAAACCUACACUACCCGAUUUAAAGAGGAAGAUAUUUUACAUUUGUGAAAAUUCAAUAAAACGUAUCAUAUGCAUUGUUAGAAUUGGUAAAGUAAAUAAACAUGUUCUAUUUAAACCUGUAUUUUUUUUUACUAAUUCCAUUUAAAUCUCCAACCCGUUUAGACCAUUUGAUAUUUUUUAUGAUAAGAUUAAUAAUUUAGUUCAUAUAUAAGAAUGUAAGAUCAAAUAUUAAUAAUUGAUUGCAUGUAAUUAAUUAAAUUAAUGUUUCAUAGUUGAAUAGUUGACAUUAAGGCUUUUACUUUUCAAUUCACGUAAAAAUGAAAAAAUAAAUAGUUAUACCAGAGGAUCUCCAUUACAACAUAUAUUAAACAUAACUAAACCAUUGAAAAUUUUAUACUAUUAAUGGAACUAUAUGUGGUAAUGAUCACGUCAUGUAUAAACAUGUUUGAAUAAUAUGUCCUAUAUUCAUGGGAAUUUAUUGUAGAGUAAUUAUAUAAUCGAUUAUGAGAGAAUAAUAAAUGAGUUCAUUUAAAUUAUGCAAAGUAUUUAUAUAGUUAGAGAAAUAUAAAGCAAGACCAAAAAUUUUUAAUACUAUUAAUAGAACUAUAUGUGGUAAUAAUGAUCACGUCAUGUGUAAACAUGUUUGAAUAAUAUGUCCUAUAUUCAUGGGAAUUUAUUGUAGAGUAAUUAUAUAAUAGAUUAUGAGAGAAUAAUAAAUGAGUUCAUUUAAAUUAUGUAAAGUAUUUAUAUAGUUAGAGAAAUAUAAAGCAAAACCAAAAAAAUAGUUAAGUUUAAUAAAAUGGUCCAACAACCUUGUUUAAGUAGAUUUUUUUUUUUUUGAUGAAAUUUCAAAUUUAUUGAUCUAAUCAAAAAGAAUUGUUAUGUACAAUGAGGAGCCUUCUAAGAGGUUAUCUAUUUGCUAAAGCUAUAAAAGACCAAAAUCAAAGUGUGAUUUCAAACCAUCUUGUUAACAUUCCUCCUAGCUUGUGCUCUGGCCGAUACUUAAGGGAAUAUAUCCUGUUUCUCAUUGCCUUGUCUAUGAGCCUGCGCAUCUGUUCAAUGGAGUUUCGAGGUUGCUGGUGGCGCCUGGCGUUCCUUUCUCGCCAUAUGUGAUAGAUGAGUGUCUGAAAUAGGAGUCGAGCAAUGCAAGAAUCAACCCCUUUUGUACCCAUUGUCUCCAAACGCUGUAUUGUCCACUGCCAAUCCGGAUUGAUACCAGAGCCCAUCAGUUUACGCGCUGUUACUUCCCAAAUAGUGUAUGAAUAUGGGCAUGCAAAAAACAGAUGAUCUCUUGUCUCAUCCCUUUCUCCACAUAGCUCACAACCUUGGAUCAUCCCCCAUUGCCUCAUGCGGUCACCAGUAGAGAGCCUAUUUUUUAUAGCUAGCCAGGUGAUGAAAGAGUAGCGUGGCACUCCCUGUGGAAACCACACCACUCUGUACCAGUCGACUUUAGUGCGCUUUGUUCUAAGCUGAUCCCACGUAUUAGAAGAUGAAAAAGUAUCCCUGAAAUCAUCAUCACCGUGCCUCCAUAGCACUACAUCUCUGCCUCUCUCCAUCUGCGGAACGUUUGUUGCCAUAAUGACAUUGUGAAGCUCUUGAAAAUGUCUGCUUCUCCCACCCCGUAUGUUCCAUCCAGCCGUUGUUACCGCGUCACUGACCAUGGCGUGCCUUUGAACUCCAAGAUAAAUAGUUCCUGCAGCUCCAGUGAUAUCUAUCAAGCGACCCCUUCCCAACCAAUCAUCAAACCAGAAAUGACAGCUUCUUCCAUCCCUUAUGUCCACCCUGAGAUAGUGAUAAGCGAUAUCCCUCAGUUUUAAUAAUUUCCUCCAAAUCCAAGAGCCUUUGGAGUCAUCUCUGACGUCCCAAAAAGAGUGAUAUUUUAGGAGAUAGUGCCGCACCCAACUCACCCAGAGAGAAUCAGGUUGUGUGAAUAAUCGCCAUAUGAGCUUCAGUGCAAACGCUUUGGAUGAGUCUCGGAGCUUUCUAACUCCAAGCCCUCCCUCUUCUUUCGGGUAACAUACUUCCUCCCAGCUGACUUUAGCCUUGUGAGUUUGCGUUGGUGAGCCUGACCAGAGGAAUGCACUACACAUGAUUUCUAUCGUGUCGAGACACUUGGCUGGUAAGAUGAAUGCCGAGCUCCAGAAGUUAACUGUGCUAGAUAUGACAGAUUGUAUCAGCUGAAGUCGUCCCGCAAAGGAUAGAGCCUUGUUCGACCAGCAGAGCAUGCGUCCUCGAAUUUUUUCUAUCAAAGGUUCGUAAUCAUGAGGUGUGAGAGCCUUCGUAGUGAGAGGCAUUCCUAGGUACCGGAUAGGUAGCGUUCCAGCUCUUAUACCCAGAUACUCUGCUGUGGAAAGGAGGUCAGUUACAUUGCUUCCUGAUGCAAAGAUAGAUGAUUUAGUUGCGUUGAUGUGGAGGCCUGACAUUCUCGCAAACCGCUUCAUUACUUCCAGCACUCCGAGCAAAGAGUCUGAUGUGCCAUUUGUGAAGACAAGAAUGUCGUCUGCGAAGCAUAAAUGAGUAAGCUUAACACCCUGGCACUGGGGAUGAUAGUCAANNNNNNNNNNNNNNNNNNNNNNNNNNNNNNNNNNNNNNNNNNNNNNNNNNNNNNNNNNNNNNNNNNNNNNNNNNNNNNNNNNNNNNNNNNNNNNNNNNNNNNNNNNNNNNNNNNNNNNNNNNNNNNNNNNNNNNNNNNNNNNNNNNNNNNNNNNNNNNNNNNNNNNNNNNNNNNNNNNNNNNNNNNNNNNNNNNNNNNNNNNNNNNNNNNNNNNNNNNNNNNNNNNNNNNNNNNNNNNNNNNNNNNNNNNNNNNNNNNNNNNNNNNNNNNNNNNNNNNNNNNNNNNNNNNNNNNNNNNNNNNNNNNNNNNNNNNNNNNNNNNNNNNNNNNNNNNNNNNNNNNNNNNNNNNNNNNNNNNNNNNNNNNNNNNNNNNNNNNNNNNNNNNNNNNNNNNNNNNNNNNNNNNNNNNNNNNNNNNNNNNNNNNNNNNNNNNNNNNNNNNNNNNNNNNNNNNNNNNNNNNNNNNNNNNNNNNNNNNNNNNNNNNNNNNNNNNNNNNNNNNNNNNNNNNNNNNNNNNNNNNNNNNNNNNNNNNNNNNNNNNNNNNNNNNNNNNNNNNNNNNNNNNNNNNNNNNNNNNNNNNNNNNNNNNNNNNNNNNNNNNNNNNNNNNNNNNNNNNNNNNNNNNNNNNNNNNNNNNNNNNNNNNNNNNNNNNNNNNNNNNNNNNNNNNNNNNNNNNNNNNNNNNNNNNNNNNNNNNNNNNNNNNNNNNNNNNNNNNNNNNNNNNNNNNNNNNNNNNNNNNNNNNNNNNNNNNNNNNNNNNNNNNNNNNNNNNNNNNNNNNNNNNNNNNNNNNNNNNNNNNNNNNNNNNNNNNNNNNNNNNNNNNNNNNNNNNNNNNNNNNNNNNNNNNNNNNNNNNNNNNNNNNNNNNNNNNNNNNNNNNNNNNNNNNNNNNNNNNNNNNNNNNNNNNNNNNNNNNNNNNNNNNNNNNNNNNNNNNNNNNNNNNNNNNNNNNNNNNNNNNNNNNNNNNNNNNNNNNNNNNNNNNNNNNNNNNNNNNNNNNNNNNNNNNNNNNNNNNNNNNNNNNNNNNNNNNNNNNNNNNNNNNNNNNNNNNNNNNNNNNNNNNNNNNNNNNNNNNNNNNNNNNNNNNNNNNNNNNNNNNNNNNNNNNNNNNNNNNNNNNNNNNNNNNNNNNNNNNNNNNNNNNNNNNNNNNNNNNNNNNNNNNNNNNNNNNNNNNNNNNNNNNNNNNNNNNNNNNNGGAUGGCCCCCCAUUGUUUUGAAAACCCGCCGUUGUACCGAAGUUUAUUCUUCCAAGCGAAGCGGCUGCUUAAGUUGCUUUAGUUUACAGUGGAAACGAGAUAAAGCAGUCCUUGAGUGGUGGAGCGGGUCAUCAGAUUCCCAUACUUCCUUAAUCGUAGGUAAGAACUCCACGUGAUCAGCUAAGUAGUUAAAAAACCGAAAAGGCUUCCUCGCUUCAUUAGUAGCACCUGUGACCCGAACCAGACAUCUCGCAUGAUCAGAGAUUCCACCAGCAUCAAAGUGAGCGUAAGACUGAGGGUAACAAGUGAGCCAAGCAGCAUUAACUAGUGCUCUGUCCAGCUUUUUUCCUAUGGGAUCCUCAUCUCUCUUGUUCCACCAGGUAAAUAAGGCUCCAGUAUAAGGGAGGUCUGUCACAGAACAGUCGGUUACUGCUUCCUGAAAAUGCCGCAUUCCCACUUGAUCAGUACGGUAGUCCAGUGCUCUAGAGUGCUCACUUGAUGCUAAGGUUUCAUUGAAGUCCCCUAUGAUAAUCCAAGGCAGAUUCAAGUGAGCAUAUGCUGCACGGGUACCACGUAAAUCUUCCCACAGUUGAUGUCUUUCUGCAGCAGUAUUGAAUGCAUAAAUUGCUGAGCAAAUAAAUUGCUCCCCAGUGCUAGGAAUCUGAAUAGCACACGUUAUAACCUGAGCGCUCAUAUGUAGUCUCGUAGCCACCACACUUGCAUCCCAACAGAACCAUAUUCUACCAAGGUGAUGAUACUCAUAGUUAGUGAGGGAACUCCAGGAAGGCAUAGCCGCGCUCAUACACUUUUGAAAAUUGAUUUCCUGGACUCGUGUUUCAACUAAGCAACCAAAAGAAGGCUUUUCCUUUUGAAUCCAUGAUUUGAGCGUUCUGUGCUUGCAUGGCAUGUUGAAGCCACGCAUAUUCCAAGCAAAGAAAGCUGUCAUAACUUCCUAACGGAAGUUUUUUUGUGCGCCCCCUGCUUGCCAGCCAGCAUCAGAUCCCUUGCUCGAACAGUUGCACCCCUCGCUGCUCUCUGCGAAGAUACAUGUGUAGGUCGUUUUCCUCGGUGGGGAGUCUGGUCGUUGUAUCAAUUUGCCCUCCGAUAUCUCUCCAUCCUCAAGCUCCUUAUUCACUUCCAUGGUCUCCUCUUCAUUCUCUUCCGCAUCCUCCUCAUCUAUGCCCAGUAAAGGGCUGAAACGAGAGGGUGAAACUACUAUCCCUUCUUUGUCAUUAAUUUGUACUGCAUCAACUUCUGCUCCAUGUUUACUUCCAGGUAUCGUUUCCCAGUUACCUGCUUCAUUGGUUUGGAAACCCUCCGUUGAGGCCUCUGAUAGUGGCACCCCCUCAUUUCCUUUCACUCCUCCACUGCUGGGUGACCUCGUGGGCGAAGUCAGAGGGAUAACAGCCUCCAAGUCCUGCAUCAAAUUCUCAAUAGCAUUCCCCUUCUCUACUGCACUCCUCUCCACUUCUAAGUUCACUGGGGCAAAAACAGUUGUCUCCUUUACCUCAGCACUCCUCUGUUUCAGCUUGAUUUCUUUACUUGUACACUCCUGACUCUUAUGACCCCAUCUGCUACAGAUACUGCAACGAGAAGGUAGCCAUGGAAAUAAAACUUCAACUUCCUGCUUGCUUCCCUCAUUAUCGGUGUAAGUUAUCUUCUCCACUAAAGGUUGGUGAAGAUUAACUUCCACCAAAGCACGAGCUACGUCUAGUCUAACGCAUCUCUCAGUGUUCGGGUGGAGCUUGACAAAACGACCAACCGCUCUGGAUAGGCAUUUCAGCCCCUUGUGCGAGUAGAGGUUGUUUGGAACUCCCUUGAGAUCCACCCAUAGAGGCAUAGCUGAGAGGUCUGGUGGGUUCGCAGCUGACUCUGGAGACCACACAUUAACCACCAGCGGAAUGUCUGCAAUAUGCCAAUACUUCCUCUGCAGUACUCGCGAUCUCAUCUGGCUAUCAUCGAUACGGAAAAGCACUGUAUUCUUCUCUAUGAAUUGGACAUCAAUUUUUGAACCAGCCUUUGGUGUUGACCAGAUUCGAUUGACAGUGGCAUGAAUUGAUCCCACAUGUGGUGCAUCUCCUAUGAAAUAUCCCACCACAAAACUCUUCCAAAGAAGCUCCGCCUCAUCAAAAAUCUCUUCUGGUAUCUGGAUAGACGCAACUCCAUCAACUACCUCAACUGUCCCCGAUUCACUUUCCUCUCCGACCGUCUGACUCUUCGUCCAAACACCCUUCUGUUUAGACUGUGACCGAGAAUUCACAGUUAUCUUGCUUGUGCCAGAAUCCCCUUUUUGCAGGUCUACCCGCUCUGCGCCUUGUGAAGAGACCAGAACCCCCGCUAUCGCAGUACCCUUGGUCGUGAGACCAAGACCCCCGUCCCCGUUAUCCGCUCCUGCAAUCUCCAGUGACAGAUCAGAGCUAACCGUGAGAUUCGGACCCUCCUUGUCACUCGUGUUGUCGCCAUCGCCGUCGCCAAUUAGGGUUGUCGCCAUCCUUUAAUUGUUACUCAGUUUAAGUAGAUUUUUUAAGAAUCAUUCACUUUUAAUAGUAUACUAGAUUUUGACCCGCACUUAAAAGUGCGGGUUUGUUUUUCACCUAUUGAUCCAAUAUUGAUUGGAAAACUACUUUUAUCUUUUGUUUCAAAUCUUACAAUUUUAUGUUUUUGAAAAAAAAAAUCAAAGUGUGGUAUUUAUUCGAAGUAGAUUUAAAGAUUAUAUGUGUAAUUUAAUAGUAUAUAUAUAUAUAUAUAUAUAUUCUAUAUUGAAGAACAAUGUGUUUUCAAUAUUGAAAUGUAGUAACGAUAUGAGUUGCUUAUUUUAAAUUGAAAAUGAGUUUCUAUUGUUACAUAUUUGUAUCAUAGUUAUAACCAUCAGUAUAUACUAUUUUUUAUCUAUAUUCAAUUUCAAAGGUACUACUUCUUUGACACGUUUUCAAAGCACAAGUAUCUUUUUUUUGUUGACAAUUUUGGUAAAAUUUGCAUGAAUUUAUAAAAAAAAUUAUUAUAAAAAAUAAUUUAAGAGUUUUUUGUUAUGAUGUUUGAAUUUUAAGAAGCGUUUUUCUAUCCGACUCGGAGCCGUGAUCAAACAGUAUACCCGGUACCCAGUAUAUAAUCUGGUUCGGAUUUAAAAAAAAUGUUAAUUAAAAAUCUGAUAUAAUCCGGUAAAAACUCCAAAAGCCCACUAUUAUUGGAAGUAGUCUUUAUAAAAAAUGAUUUGAAUCUAACAAAGUUAAAAAAAAAAACAAACUCGUGGUCUCGAAUAAAUUAAUUUAAUUUCUUAAAAAAUGAUAUAUCAUGUGGUCAAAUUCAAUAUAUAUGAUCCUGAUGGGUUAUAGUCAUAUUAUUGUAGUACAUUGUUAUACUAUAAUUUUGAGUAAUUAUAUGUUAAAUAAUAACAUAUGUGGCUAAAACAUUUUUCUACUGAUUUGUGUAUACUAAAAGUAUUGUUUAAUUUUGUCAUAAAACUUUCUUAUAUGACAAUUCGAAUGAUUACUAAUAACAUUUUAAUGUUGCAGCUCUAAAGUUGGUUGUUCGUGUUUAUUAUUUGUAGGUGGAAGAAAAGAGCAAUGCAUGAUUUGCAUAUACCAGUUCGAUGGGCUCUUAUGCAUGAAUUGAAGUGGAUAUGUCAACUUUGUUUAAUAAAGUAGUGUUUUAUCAUAUUUGAAAUGGUAAGGUAUGUAAUCACUAAUUUAGUUACGAUUCAAAAUAUUAAUCCUAGAUAGUAGGUAUUAUUAUUAGGAUAUUUUUUAAAAAUAAUAGUUCCACAAAAAUAGGAUAAUUAACAAUAGGAUAUAAGAGAAAAAUAGAAAAUAUGACAUAUUAAUAGUUUAGAUAUAUUUAGUUUAAUUUGUAGAUUAAAAGGAAAAGGUCGAACAACCUUACAUAAGUAGAUUUUUUAGGACUCCUUUCCUUUUAAUAGUAUUGAUUGAUUGUAUUAGUUAUAAAGAUAAGUACAAAUAGUGUAUAUAAGAAUAUGGAGAUACGAUUAUGAUCUCUUUAGACUAGUAUAAAUAGUGUGAUCUAUAGUUUGUAAAAAUAUUGAUUAUUGAAUAUAGAAAAAUCCUAGAACUUUCAGUUCUUCUUCGUCAUUCUUCGGAAUCAACGAUUAUCAAGAACCCUCGUUUAAAGCCAAUUCUUCGGAAUCAACGAUCAUCGAGUCCGUCAAACGACAAUUCUCGUUGGAAUCAACGAUCUUCGAGCCUAUCAAUGUUGUGCCAGUUUGGUAUCAGAGCCAGGUUGUUUUUGUUCGGAAAUCUUUUUUGGUUUCUUUUGAAUCUUUACACUUACAAUACUACAAGGACUGUUCUAAGAUUUUAUGAUGUUUAAGGAUGAACCUCAAAAUCUCAUCCCAUUAAACCAUUUUAGCCCAACAUUUAGCUUUUCUUUUAUUGGGCCCCUUAGUAAAAUCUAAAACGAAGCUCAUAUAUUUCUACUUGCAUUUCUAAAAAAGAAAAGUAAACACAUCUUGCUUGAAGGACGUACAUUGCUUGUAAACCCAAGUAUCUAACGUUUUUUUUGCAGAAAGAUAACUAUAGAACUCUGUGCCCAAGCUGAGGACACCUCUCUUUAAAUAAAUCAUAUUUCAGCCCAAAAUUCCUAAAAUGUUAUUUUAGUGUAGUGUUGAUCUAAAUAUCUCCGAAGCUAAGAAUUGGGGACUUCAAAUCGUGUAAAAUUGUUUUCAGUAAAUUAUAUGUUAUUUUAAAUAAAUUAAAACGAGCUAUUUUUCUCUAACAUCAGAGAAGGAAGCAUAUGAUGUUAGUUUGUGGUAGACAAUGACAAUGUCAGAAACAGAGGAAUAACCGUUUACAGAGGACUAUAUCAAUGCACGUGAUGGUUUUAGGUUUGGAAAAUCAUGAUGAGAAAUUUGCAAGGGAUCCAACAGUAUUUGCAAGAAAGGGAAGAUCCGCGUAAGUUGCAGUAAGAAUAGCUGCACAGGUGGGCGUGUUUGUGAUCUGCAGUGUUGGAGAUUGAUUUGAGUCCUCUAGGAUGGAGGAUAUCUCAAGGUAAAAACAGACUCAUAUUGAAUCAAAGCUAGGUUUAAGGAGAUGGAAUCAAAGGUCGUCAAUCUCUCAGGGACUGAAAAUUUUCAGAGAUCACAAAGAAUGUAGGUUAUCUUUGUGAAAGAUUGUUGGGUCAAAAUUGGUAACUACGAAAUCAAUUUCGGAAAGUUCACAAUAAACCUUUCUAAAAAGAAAAUGAGAAUGUAGAAAACUAAAACUUCGUAUUUCUAAGAUUAUUGCACGACAAACUCCUCGCAAGGGAUCAUUCAACCUAUCGAACGGACAAGUCCGGAGCAUCAGAACAAACAAACCAUCAUCGUCUGACCCGCCAUUGGAGAAGUUGGAUAAGCCGAGACCAUGGACCGACCAAUCCAACUUGCCGUUGGGCGAGUUGGAUCAGUCUUGUCCAAUUCACCCAAAGGCGAGUUGGAUCAGUCCAUAAUCAUGCAUUCUUGUCUCCAGAACUACCCCCUUCAGGUCUCGGUCAAGCUGUGUCUUGUUUCGUCUCGAUCAGAGUUACCAAUGAAGCUUUACGAAAAAAACGAUAAAGACAUAUUUUCUCGUAUAAGUUUGAUCGAUCGUAUAAAUCGAUAACGGUUUACUAAACACCAAGGUUUUCUUAGCUAUACGAUUGAUCUCCACUGUUUUGUAAAACCGCCGUUGUACCGAAGUUUAUUCUUCCAAAAGAAAUCAUAAAAAUGUUUUCAUUAAAUACGGCCCAAAGGGUCGGCAAAAACCCACUUGCGAUUUUUAGCGAAGAAUUGGCCUAAAGUCACUAUGACGGUUUAUCGAUUAUUCGCUAGAAGAGAUAAAUGUCAAGUAUAGAGAUAAAUGUCAAGUUCAAAGAUAAAUGUUAAGUUUCAAGGGAUAAUCAUGAAGAUCGAGAAAAAAAGGAAUAUUUCUGCGAGAAGAUAAACUCGAAUCAAGGGUAGAAAAGAAAAGACGACCGACCUUGGAGGCAUAUAUAAGGGGAGCCAAGGCAAGAAGCGCAAGGGGACGAUUUGAAACUUAGAACUCUCUGUACUUAGAAAUCAUAGGCUUUAUUCUCGACAAGUUUGGUUUCUAUGACUGGCACUCGAUUACUAGAUGAAGUCGCCCAGCCAGUUCGAUCUCUUGUUCUACUCUUUCAAUCGAACUACGUUCGGUUUGAUCCUCGAAAGGGGUACAUAGGCAGCCUUUCAUAACGUUCAGUCCGAAGUCAAAUCAAAACAUUUUUUGUGUAUUUUUUGUCUUUUGUUAUCGAGCUCUGACUCAACUAGGUUUAAGGUUUUGGGUGGCUAUAACUAGGUAACUCGCUGAUAACUCUUGCGACCGAAGCUUUUAUAAUCUUUUGUAAUGAUCGCAACACUCUUACGUUGAUUCGAAAUAAGAUCUACUUUUUCUUAAAAUUCGUUUUGUUAUCUUUUUAUAUUUUCCACAUUUGUUUGGUUACUUUUAGUUGCCUCUCGCAGAGAAUCCGGGACCUCAGAUAAAGUUAAGAUUUCUUGACUUUCUUUAAUUUAUGGAAAUUAACAGUGUGAAUUUUGGUUCACACAAAGAUGAUCAACAGAUCUUGCAGCUGUACAUGUUGGUUGUCGUGUGGAAACAAUAUGACGAAACAUAGGUGAUUUGCUUUGGGUCAGUUCAAGUAAGUCUCACGGGUGCAUGAGAGGAAAGGUUUCUGGCGGUGAGAAGAAAGGCAGAGGAGUCUCCAAGUCAGUGUGGUUAAAACAGGUUGUUAUUCCACGAAGAAGCAACUAGAGCAAGGACAAAGUGGGUAAAACCCUACACAAGGGUAUGUCGGAGAAAAUGGUUAUUUGUGGUAACAACAUGUAGCAGCUUUAGUGAGGUCGUGAGAGUGACAGGAAAAACCUAAGGGAAAAAAGUGAUUCAAGGUUCGACUUAGCUUGAAGAUUCUGGUCAAAAACAGAGAAAAAUGCGCAAGCAGAAUCAGGUUGAAUAUGUUGUUAUGACUAGUUAUAAUCAUGAGGAUAAAGGAUAUGAGACAACAGUCAUCAGCACUUGUUCAAGAAACAGAAAGUCGCUACCACAGCUAGCAUAAGCGUGUGUGAGUUUGCCUUAGAGGAAUCGUCAUGGAUGUCUGAGUCGGGAAUUCCAGAUGAAUAGACUCAUAGGAGAAGUAAGGGACGCCGGUCUGGUGUCACGACCAUAACUGUCAAGGUGGAGCUCUCGAACAUUAAUCGAAGCUCAAAAGCAAAAGGAGAAAAUUUGCAGACUUGACUAGGUCGGAGUUUCAUGCUUGAACAGGUUAUGGUUCAGGUAAAGUUACAGCUAGAGACACUAGUCAUGAGCUCGAGUUUGACACAAGAAAAACUGUAAGGAAAUAUCUCAGGAGCAUCACGGCCGUGAAUGAUGAGAGAUAUGGUUAAAAGGCCGACAGGAACAACGAACAGUUGUAGAAACUUUACAGAGACAUGAUACUUCCAAAGGGUUAUUUGAUUCAGGUAGAGCCACUGAGAUUAUAUAAGGAUUGAUGCAUCAUGAAUAUAUUUAAUCCGAUUCUAGGUGGAGUGAAUCACUGGUUUUAUGUUUUAUAAGAUGUCUUGAUUGGUUCAGCUGAAGGGUAAAAGUUUCGAUUAGCAACUUGGUCAGCUCAAGAGAGUAAGAGCUGAAAGAGAAAUUGGUUUGUGGACAUGUUCAGAGUGUCAAGGCCAGGAGUGUCAAGAUCUGUAAACAAAUACAAGGCACAUCAUAAUGAGAUUUGUAAGAGGAGUCUUACAUAAGGUAACUUAUAGGCAAGACAAGUGAAACCGGCAUACGUAUCAGGAAUACACUAGUGAGGUUUGAUACAGAGAACCACGAAAUCUGAGCCGAGUAUGAUGCAGGGUAACAUGUGGUGAAGUACUUAGUUAAACUGAGGUAUUGAGCUGUGAAGAUGAAGAAUUGUGAGAUGAAGCAAAGUAAGAAACUGUUAGAAGACAUUACAGGGAUUGCAGAGAAUUGUCUUACAAUUUGUCCAUCUUAGGAAGGGUAAGACUUGUUCUUUACAAGCAGGCUCAUCUUAAGCUCAAGUCAUGGAACUGAAAGAAAUUUCAUAAAGGUCUAAAUGCAAGGAAAAACUGAUUGCAUUUAGAGAAAAGGAACCGGUGGAGUUUUGGAAAUAUGGUCACAUCACAUGGAGUACUGAGGAAGUUUCCUCAUGGAAGUCCAUUAGCUAAUGGCCAGAUAUUCAUCGAUGGCCAAGUACUCAUCAGGCUAAUGGCGAGUUCCAUGACUAACAUGCGUGUUCAAGUCGUUGAUGGUGCACACGUUUCAAUUUUGGAGACAUCUCAACACAAGAAGGGUAUUGAGAUAAUGAAUUCACAGCUGAGUAAAGGAGGGAUAUCAAGGAUUCUAGAUAAGAUAUCACAUGCAGAUCGUGAGGAGAGCUAAGGCGUAUUAUGAAUUAGAUGGUAUGAGGCUCAGUUCAUUUAACUAAUAGUGGGGUCUAAAUCUGUUAGUGAGGUUUUGUUGUUGCAGAACAGGUUGAUCAGAUGGUGGAGCAAAGAUAUUUGUGUCGAAAGGCUUCCAAAUCAUGUGGGUUUAGGCGGCGUGACCUACUUGUGAUAGUAACGGUACAAAGUGAUGCUCAAGUGUAAUGUGUUUCAAGAACAUCAAGGGUAAGUCAAAAAAAUGUUUCAGAAUAUGGAGCAUGAGUGACUUCAAGGGUUUGCGGUUGAUUCAAGGAUAAUUAUGUGGUAGCAAUUUCUGUUAAAAAUAUGAAGGGUGAACCAAAGUUGUGUCGAAAGUAUGUCCAACAGUGAUGGUUGGAUGGCGGGUCCUAUUUGGAGUAACAGCAGAACAAGAAGAUGGUCAAGGCUGCCAUGUUUAAGCAAGAGAAAUAAUUGAAUCAAGGAUUGUUCUUGUGUGGAGCAUGUAUGAUUUUGAGCUAGCUGCACAAAAUUCAGGUAAUUUGGUUCAAGGCUCAGUGCACAUUAGUGGAACCGAAAACCCAAGGAGGAAAUCAACUUGGAGAAGAUGUUCAGGUUUCUGUUCAAGGAUUUGAACAGGUUCGUGAUUUUGACAGCAAGGUUGUGUUGUUGAUAAGUUCACGAGGAGAAACAAUAUAUGAAGUAACACGACAUCAAUGAGGAGUUGAACUUAACAUUUGGAGUGUAACAGCUGGGUUCGCAAUUCAAGACAAUAUAUGAAGGUGACGAAAAUUCAGAAUGGCAAUGGGAUUGUCCCAUACCCUUCAUCAAGCGUGAUGUCUAAUUUCAUUGAUGGGGCUAAAUGGAUUUAAGUGUUUAAUCUACUUAAGCGGUUGUGGUGUAUAAGUGUAAACUUAUGCAGGUUUCAAGAAGAUCAUGAAGGGACUUCAAGCUUUUGCUCAAGAUGGAGCUGAGAGAAGUAAGAAGAGAUAAGAGAAGACAUGGAGAUGCAGAAGAUGAGCAGGUUUGCUCAAGCAUCAAGAGGUGUCGGCAUAAAGGAAGGGUUAUGGACUUAGACCAAACAGGUGGAGUUUUGUGAGGUUUGGUCAAGCUCGUCAGACAUGUUCAAUAUUGGACGACUUGUACAAGUUAUGUGCAAACAACAUAAUGGGCCUAAUCGUUGAAGCUCAUUAGGUCAAGUGAUGAUACAAAGAAGGAGAGAUCACGACAUGGAUCUCUAAGCGAAGCAAAAGCCAAGUCUCUGGUAGGCAGGAGCCUCAAGCAUCCAGGAAGUGCUUCCAUGGCGUCUCGUGGAGAGAAAAAGUAAGCUAAACAUAGAUAUGUUGUUCUAGGCUUAGUUCUUAGCCAUGUACUCUCUUGUAUACUCUCUAGGGAUUGUAUACCUGAGAGAGUAAUGAUUUGGUAAACCCUAUGUUACAUUUAAGUGGGUACUUGGAAACGUAAUCAUAUGGAAGACAAGAAGUGAGAUGUUUUAAAAAUUUAAAAAGCGGGUACGUGUUGGAAGCGUAUCUAUAUAUAUACAUACAUGUAUAAGAUUUUUUAAGAAAAUCUAGAACUAAAAAUUAUGUGAUUUAAAUUUAAAAUAAAGCAUUUAUUCAUUUAUAAUAAUUUGAAAUUAUUUCAUAUUAAAACUGUGAAAAUACACAUAUAUUAAAUUUAGAAUAAAUUAUUAUAUUAAUUAUUUUUAAUACUUUAUAAGUAAUUGGCAUAAUAUAUUUGAAUAUAGAAUUUAUCUUUAAUAAAAACCUCAAUGCAUAAAGAUAAUUUAUAGUGUUAAUUUUAAUAUUUGUAUAUUUCUAUUCUCUCUAUUCAAUACUAUUAAAUUUUGGAUUUUAUAUAAAUAAAAAUAUAUAAUUUUAUAUUUUAAUUGAUAUAAGACAUUGUGUUUUUCUUAAAAAAAAAUAAUGGAAGCGUGAUUCCAAAACAUAAUCGUAAGCUUCCAACGUGUUUUUAAAGAGAAUAUUUUAAAAGCGUUUUGGAAGCGAGAUUGCGUAAGAUUCCACAAGGUUCCGAUUCCGGUUCUGAAGCGGGAAGUAGACGUCUGAUGAAGCUUCCGUACAACGUAGGGUAAACCACAUCGAAAGUGUUUUCUGAUACUUCAUAGUGGAUGUUGUGGAUCAUGGAUCCACCAUAGAUGUAGCGGUGCGGCCUUGAACUGUGUGAAAAAUUCUUGAGUUAUGAACAAGGAUUGAAUCAAUACAAAAGAUCAAGGGACCUGGAAUUAGGAGCGAACGAUACCAUAGCUUCAAAUCACUUAACAAAGUCUUGUUAGAGAUACGAUUGAACUCUACAGAACAACGUUUAAGAAUCGGUAGGCGGUAACUAACCUAGAGAACUAGCAACUAUACAAAUUAUUCGAGGUCUAGAUUUAUUUUGAUGAAUUAUCAAAAUUAGAUAUACAAAACAAAAUAAAUUAGAUAAUUUGUGAAUUUGUACCAAGAUUAUUGCUUAAUUUAAUAGAUUUAGACUAGUAUAAAUCGAUUUAACCAAUUUAAACAGAUUUAGAAAAUUUUAAACCGAUUUGAGUCAUAUAAAUCAGAUUUUUUUUAAAAAAAAAUCGUUUUGGCUUAGACCCAAUUGCGGCCUAAACCGAUUUUUAGAGCCAUUGGGAAGAGUAAGGAGUACCUGGGGUGACGACAGGAGAAUUAUAUUUCUGAAAUUUUUCAACAUCUCUUGCUAAAAAGAAUUUAAAACCAAAUAUUAGAACAGAACAACAAAAACUGAGCCUGUGAAGAAAAGUUAAGAUCUUUGUGUCUACCUUGCAGAGUUUGUAAAAGAAAGUCUGUCGGAGAUCAGGAUCAUCAGUGAGUGUAAGCUGAUGAAUAACCUGUGUACUCUUUAACUUCUUUAAGAGCUAAAGUCCCGAGUUAAACAAAGAGUUUGUACUGUACAGGUAACCCAAGUGAGAACCCGAAACGAUAGAUAUGUGUGUAGAUACUUCCUGAAUGGUUCCAUCAAACCAUCUGAAACAGCAAAAAAAAACGAAGGUGAAACAAAACCAAAAGAUGAAUCACUCAAAAUCAACAAGAUUUUCUAAGAAUAUUUACAGCGAUUGCUGUUCUGAUGAUGACGUUGCCAAUAGAAUGCCCAACAAAACUCAGCUUACCAAGAUUUUAUGAUGUUUACGGAUGAAACUCAAUAUCUCAUCCCAUCAAACCAUUUAAACCCAACAUUUAGCUUUUCUUGUGUUGAGUCCCUUAGUAAAUUUCUCAGAGGUUAAGAGAUGGUGAGUUCAAGUCAUGAGUGUGCAAAAUUGUUUUUAUAAAUUAUCACAUUUGUAAUAAAUUAAUACGGUCGAUUUUUCUCUUUGCGGCCUUGUAAAAUUCUGCACCGGCACUGAGCUAAUAUACAACAGUUUAUAGUCCCACCAAAAUUUGUACAAAAUUCAACAUCCUGUUCUGGAAAAAUCAGCGGAACAGAUCUUGAAAUGACCACAUUAUGAAUCUUGCAAAGAUAUCAGACUCCAAGAACUCUAUGUGGGCAGCACGUCCGAUGAACGAGUUCAGGUUACGUCCAUACACAGUCAUGUCGAAGUUAACAUCGCAGCGCAUGAAAACCCUUUGCUGAUGCGGCGCUUCAGGGGCUGGUCCACGUAACUGGUCCAUACAAUUAUUCAGCAUUUCCAGGAAUGCGAUUCCCCUUUUUGUACUGUCGAAUGAAGCUGGUUGGCACGAUUCAAUUCUUGCUGAGUGAUAUGGAACAUAACCAUCCUGCAUUGUAUAACAGUCACAUAACAAAAGAUGUUUCAUUAUCUUCACAAGUCUCAAACUUCUUCACACAAUCAACCUUAAAGAGAGAGGGAAGAGCAAUGUUCAGAAAAUAGGUAGGCGUUAACGAAUUAUUGAUUUAUUAUAUUUAUAUUUUACAUUUAUAUAAACUAUUUUAGUUUUUGGAUUUAAUUAUAAGGUUAUUUUGAUGAAUUAUAAAGCAAAAGAAAUUAGAUAAAUUUGUGAAUUAGUACCAAGAUUAUAGCUAAAUUUAAUAGAUUUAGCUAUAUGAAUUAUUUAGACAUCUUUAACCAAUUUGAGUCCUAUAAAUCAGAUUCUUCAAAAAACUCAAAUUUAAAAAGACUAAAGACCAAGUUGCUGCCUAGACCGAUUCUUUAGAGCCAUGGGGAAGAGAAAGGAGUACCUGGGGUGAGGACAGGAGAAUUAUAUUUUUGAAAUGUUCCAACGUCUUUUGCUGAAAAGGAUUCAAAACCAAAUAUUAGAACAGAACAACAAAAACUGAACCUGUGAAGAAAAGUUGAGAUGUUUGUCUCUACCUUGCAGAGUUUGUAAAAGAAAGUCUGCCGUAGAUCAGGAUCAUCAGUGAGUGUAAGCUGAUGAAUAACCUGUGUACUCUUCAACUUCUUUAAGAGCCAAAGUCCUGAGUUAAACAAAGAGUUUGUACUGUACAGAUAACCCAAGUGUGGACCCGAAAGCGAUAGGUACGUAUGUAGAUACUUCCUGAAUGGUUCCAUCAAACCAUCUGAAACAUCAAAAAAAAAAGAUGAAACAAAACUAAAAAGAUGAAUCACUCAACAUCAAGGAGAUUUCUAAAGAACAUUUACCAGAGAUUGCUGUUCUGAUGAUGACGUUACCAAUAGAAUGCCCAACAAAACUCAACUUGAUGCUUUUCAAAUGCCCUUGUCUUGCAUACCUAUCCUUCUUCCUCUUGAGGAAAGAAACAACCUCUUGCGCCAGCCUUUGUCCCAUUUCUCUGAAAUCGCCAUGUGUUUUCUCCUCAUUUGCCUCGGACAUGAGAAACUCUAUCUUCGGAUCUAUCAUAAGCCACUGGUUCCGGACAAGCCUCAAGUCCAAGUGAUGCCCCUAUUAUAGCAAAUAUGAACAAAAACUCUAUCAAUUGAGUGAUAAACAGAUGCUACUAGAUAAGACACUUGCCUGGAAACCAUGAACGAAAACAACUAUCUUUAGCUCACGAGCACUUUUCUGGGAGCUAGUAGCUUUUGUUUUCUCCCCUUCAUCAUUGACUGCGUUGAGCAAGCCGGAAUCGAGCAUAUCCACGUGUCUCAAGUAAGAAUUAUCACUUAAAGUGCGUCUUGGUGCAUUCAAGACUCGUUCGAUUAUAAUAAUAGGAACUCUCAUAGGAUCCCCAAGUAUAUGCAUGUCUUGUAUUGACCGGUUGUUAAUCUGCACCACACAAGAAAAAAUGCAUUGACACAUCAAAAUCAACAGCUUGUGAUGCCAAGAUGGGACAGAGAGCACAGAACAAACCCUCAUUUGCGCGAUGCUUCGACGGUGAAGUUCAGCACGGUUAGCUGCAAGUUGUGCAGGCUGCAUCAGAGCAAAACUUGUAUGAGCCAACAAAAAAUUGACAAAAUAGAGACAGAACACUAAAACUCACAUCAGUCAACUUCAAGACACUUGAGGCUCGUUUGUGUGCACUGUGGUUUAUGAUAUCACUCAUUCCACUGUUUAUAAAAUGAUGGGGCAUUUCAACCUUAGAGUACACCAUCCAUAUCGACCAUUCAGCUCUUCGAUCUUUUCUCCAAAUAUCACGAAGAUACUCCAAUAUUUUUGUGUUAUUAUCCCUAUAAAAGCCAAGAAUGUUGAUCUUAGCUUUUAGAGAACAAUCAUAAAUCAUUUAAGUCCAAAAGAAAUUACCGGUGAAAUCCAAGAAACGUGUUCCAAAGAUAAUGAAGCUGAGUGCCAAGUAAGUGGAAUAAACGAGUUAGAUGAUCCUUGGAGAGUUCAUGAAGCCAGUCAUCAUUUGCUACAUCAAAUGUAAUAUGCAGCUUCUGUACCAAAGAAUGGAAAAUUUUAAAAUAAGAAGAAAAAUAUAGUCAGAUAAAAAAACUAGUUAGCAUCAAAAAUAAAAGCAAGGACCUCAAGAGGACUGUUUUGUUCCUUGCCUUGUCCUGAACCAGCAACUGGUAACUGAGAUAAGGGAACACUGUUCAUAUCUGAUACAAAUUCAGACAAAUCAAUUGAUUUUCCAAUUGCCUCGCUAAGUCUUGUCAUUUCCUCGAGUAGAAUGUCGCGUGCUCCAAGUAAUGCUUUAACGAAUAACACCAUUUUCUUGUCAGCAGAAGCAAGCAGACCAAGUGCCUAGUCAAUUAACAAAAGUGUUUACAAACAAUCAAUAAGAGGUUUAAAUCUAGACAAAACAAAAGACUGAAACAGUAAUGAAUCAUAAGGACAUACUUUCUUGAAAGAUUGAGCACUGCUGCCACUGACACUUUUACUGUUACUUACCACUCUGCUUCAAAACACGUUGAGAUUGAGAUAUCAAAUAACUAGAAAUAUAAAGUUAUGUAGAACACAAACAUUUUUAGGUUUUGGGAUAAAAUUUCGGAACACUUUUGGAUUUAAAGUAUAUUAGGUUUUUCAGGUUUUAAAAUAGUUUUAAAAUUUUCAAUACAUUUGGGGUUUUUAGUAUAUUUUUCGGGUAAAUUUAAGGAUGGUUGACCAAAACAUCAUUUUGGUCAAAGUUGAUUUAGGUUUGAAUUUGAUAUUUAGAUAAAUUAUUUGAAAUAAAAUGUUAGUUUAAGAUGAAAUCAUCACGAUAACAAAGUUGAGGUAGGAAAAAACACGAAGGAAAUUGUUUGAGGUUGGAACUGAACAUUUUCCCGAUAUUAAGUUAUGUAAAAUGCAAAAAAAAAAAUCUUUUUUGACAAACCUUGAUAGACUUGGAGGUCGUCUAUAAGCAGCAGAUUUCAACACACUGAUGUGGACACUCACAUCAACAAGCACCGCAUGGAGUGUAUCAAAAUGCACAGGACAGUAUGAAUGCAAGCCUGUAAGAGCCUUAGGUGGAAUACGAAACUCAUGAAUCGCAGCAGGCAAAGCUUCUAAUUGCUUCGUUGAUGCAUUAUCCAUAGCUGGGGCAUACAUGAGCUCAAAUUUCAAUAUAGCAGCAGAUGUAGCCGACCCCUGCGUUCCAAAGAUUCAUCUCACAACUUCAUAUAACAAAACAUAACUUUCGAAGUUGUUAGGGUGCGUAAUGAGUAGGUAGAGAUUGUUACGUCGUAUCUUUGUAGUGGCAAAGUGAAUGAAAUCAUCAUACACAGACGAACGUCCUGCCUUGCGUAUUUGAUUUGGAAAGGCUGUGUGAAGAAACUAUUAUCUUUAUCAUCUAUCCUCCACACUCCAUUAGAGCCUGAUUCCAGAGCUGUAACAAAACCAAUCCUCUCUGUCUAAACUAUACUCAAAAAGAGACAAGAUCACAAGAAAGCUAUAUAAAGUACCUUCAUACUGAACGACUCGUGAAGGAAUACCACGAGUAGUGUUAUCACCAUCUUCCCAUCUCAUGGUGAUUUUUAUUUGAUACCAUCUAAUAAAAAUAAAUGAAUUAGAACUCUUUUUCUAGAAAAAAUGUUGAGUUAAGGCAAAGAAAUGUCACAUACCCUUGUUGGAAAAGAUCAAGGUUAUGAAACCUGUGGAUAUAAAUGGCAACUUCUUGAACCGUGUCAACCAUUAGUACUGGCUUAACCCUAUUAUCUAUGUAAGGUUUAGCGUCAAGUGUCUUUGCUCGCCUACUUCUUCUUCUGCUCAAUCCAAAUAGCCAUCCAAGAUGGCGUAACAUAUGUGAAAUAUAAAAACGCACAUCACUUUUUCUAAAAUCUUGGAAUGUGGGUGUUUCUCAAGACCAUCCAACGAUUUUGAAUCAGCUCUUUGAGCUACUCAGAGACAAGGACCUGCAACAAAAAGUAUUUAUUCAGAAUCAUUUCCCCAAUUCUCAGUUCAGUUAUUCGAAAUAAAUGUGAUCAUCUUAUAUAAAAAGCAAACAAGGUAACAUCUUCAGGAAAAGAAGUUCUCUAACAAGUUUUGGUUUCAUUUAAUAUAGUCUUCAUCUAAGCUAGUGGAUAUUGCAACGAACAAAACCAUACCAAUAAUACCAAAUCUGUGCAUAAAAGAAAAAACAUUUUUUGUAAAUAAAAUCAAUAUCAGAGAGAACCCAAAAAAAAACUAAUAAAGACGGAAACUUGAUCGAGACCCAUCAUUUGUCAGAGCUUAUAUAACAUCUUAACGCAAUCACAGAGAAGAAACAGAACCUCUAAGUCUUCUCAGAUCAAGAUCUCACGAUUUGCUACGUCUCUGUUUUCAUUGUGUAUUCAGCUUAUGGGGGAGAAAUGGAGAAAAGGAUCUGGGAAAGCUACAAACGAUAGUACAGGAACAACAUUUUGUUCGAGCAAUUUGAGGAUUUUAAUUAUUUCUUUUUAAAAGCUGUGGUCGGAUCUUUUUGAUUAAAGUUGUCGGGUAAGAAGGAUGAAUGUUCAAUUGUUCAUACGAGAGACCAUCAUCGCGAUCCACGCCGUGUCCUUCUUUUCGAUUCGUACAGUGAAGAUUCUGACCCGGUAUGUUUCGGGUUACUUGACUAUUUAGGUGUGGGCUUUGGUUUAUCUUAAUGGGCUGUUAAAUAUUAUGGGAUCUGGCACGUUAAAUUUCGGAUUCCUUCACCAAGUUAGUUUUGUUAGGCUUCGUGGCCGACAAAGUUAUGGCCUAACCAUGUGGGUCGAAUUCGAAACCUAACUCUUUAAAUUCAAGAUUUAGGUGCGCUGCUUCUGGUUUCGGUUCAGAUUAGAUCUUUUAAAUUCUGGAUAUGUUGAUAGGUUUUUUUCUUUCUAAAUAACUUGGGGAGUCAUGCCCAACCGACUAAUCCAACGGAUAUUUUGAUACGUUUUACUCGAGUAUCCAUAAUUAUUUGCAAAUAAAAAUAAACAAUUAAACUAUAUACGACGAGUAUUUUGAUAGGUUUUACUCGAGUAUUUUUUAAUUUUUGUGGUCAGGAUUUGUAUGGUUCGGUUUUUAUUCAAAUAUUCGUUAGUUUAUUUUUUUUAUUUGCAAAUAACUAUGGAUACAGUUCAGUUAUUGUAUCUAAAUUAUUCAAAAUAUCCAAACUACAAAAAUAACAAGAUAUUAAUUAAUAUAUUCCAGUUUAUAAUUAUAAUAUAUGAUACUUAAAUUAUUACAAAUAUUAAUAUAACUAAUAGUUUUUUAAUAUAUAUUUAUUUUUAUUUUUUUGAAUAUAUUUUUAUAUUUUGGAUAAUCAUUUGAUUCUUAUGUCAGAUCGAGUUUAAUACCAAAAUUUUAGGUAUAGCAGUUUGGGGCUAUGUAUUUAUAUCAGUUUCCUUUUGAUUCUUUGGGUCUGGAUAUUUUGUUGACACUUAUCUAAGAAAAUAGCAAGGCCGUUUGCUUUUGUUAUUUAAAUACUAUAGUUAUGCGUAAAAGGUUUAUUUGAACAUUUAGUUUAUAAAUCAAGAACUUGGAAAUUCUGUGAUUUAACUACAGCUGAACAUGUGAUUUUCCAUUGACAUGUGAUUUUUCCAUUCAACGACUAAACAAAGCAUAAAACAUCGGAUGUCCAAAAAAAAAAGCAUAAGACAUCGUAGGAUUAGGUAUUUACAAGACUUUACACCGAAAAAAAACUAACAAAUUCACUCAUGUUUAUUUUUUGUGUUUGCCCUAUCUGCACAAAAAUCAAGAUGUCUUUAGAACUAUCAUAAGAUGUCGAUAACAUUCUUAGGAAAAUAUUGAAGAAAAUAAAGCGUGAAGUUUUAAAAUUGGUAUAUCGGCCUUUUUAUCGGCUUUGCCAAGUCGAUAAACCCUCGUUUGAUACUGGCAUUUUUUGACGGCAUCUUCAAAGCCAAAAAUUAGAUGUACCCAUGUCCAAACUAAAAAAAAAAAAUUCUGUUUUAUCCUCAAAGUAUCUAUGAAAUCAAUAUGUAAUAGUAUAUAUUAAAUUGUGCAUAUAUGGACCAUUGUAGAUUCCUUCACAAUUGUAGGCUAACGCAUAAACCCAUUGAAGAACAAAGUUGUUAGAAAGAGACACAUCUUUUUGUAAAGCUAAAUGGAGAAGAUCGUUAGCAUCACGAGUGGCAUCUUCAUUUAUUUAUUGAGCUUUGUUUAGCAAUACAAAGUCUUAAUGUUCUUUUCAAACUCAGAAUCUAAACAUCAUGAUUAUUAUUGAACCCUGAAUAUUUGAUAUCUUGGAUAGAAAGACAUUGUAUCAUUGUAUCAUUUUUUGUAAAAUGUUAAAUUUUUUUAUACUAAUGUUUAUUUAUAACAAAAGAUUACUUGAAAAAUAAGUAGCAGACUUCUUAUUCUGAACUCUAUGGCUGAGCCAUGCUCUUGUUACUUUUCUAGCAGUAUUUAAUAGCAAACCUUUUGUAAAAAAAAAGUAGCAAAAAGAACAAAUAAACUGCUAAAAACCACAAAUGAAAUCUAUGAUUAUCGUAAAACUCCUAUAUCGUAAAUUGCAAUAUCAUAAGCUAUCCGCGUGAUCAUUUGCAAAAGAAUGGAACAAACAUGCAUUAAAUUUGUCGCAAGUUACUGAUAUAUCCAAGAGAAGCUCUCAGAUAGUUAAAACAAAUUAACGACGCCUACAGCUUCUUCAUUGACAUACUGCACCUUCGAUCCAUAAAAUAUACAGACAAGACAACCAUAUUCAAUUAUAUUAUAAAUACCCACCGUCGAUUUUAUAAAUUAAAAAUAACUACCCGAUAGUGGUUUUUUAGUAGAGAAAUUGGCAAAUAUAACCAUGAAAAAAAAUUAAUUAGGCAAAUAACCACAGCAACUAAAUGGCUAGGAUACACAAUAUAUAUUAUGUAUUAAUUGCAAUUAUAACCUUAUGUAUAAGCAUAUGUAGUGGCUUUGUUUUUUCUUUAUUUUCUUUUUAUUUUGUUGUAAGAUGUUUUCCCUCUAAUCUUAUUUAUUUUCUAGCUUCUUUAAAAACAAUUAUUCAGAUUUAUAAAAUACUCUCAGAAAUAUAUAUAUAUAUAUAUAUUUCUAUUUAUGAUGUGUUUCGAAAAUUUUAAAACAUAUAUAUAUAUAUAUAUAUUAUAACAUUUGAUAUAUCAUGUUAGAGUAUAUAGAUUAAAUAAUUUUAUAUGAAUUGAUUUGUCUAGAGUCUUAACUCUCCUUGAACAACUAAUAUGUAAUUGGUUAUAAAAUAUUGUAAGUACUAAAUACUAUUCUAUUUUAGUAACACAAUAUAAUUUUUUUAUAGUACUUUUUCUAUUACAUAUUUCUCCACUUUUUUCUUCUCUUUGUUCCUUUUUAUUUUUCUCAUUCUUCUUGUCCUUCUUUUUUCCCUCUUUUCUUCCUCAUCUUUCUCUAUGUUUUUGUUUCGUUUACGGUGAUAAUGGAAAAUUAUAAUAUGUUUUGGUCUUUAUUUUGUUCCAUGCGUUGAGUGUUUUUAUUUUGCUUGGGUUAAUUAUUGUAGUUAGUAAGACAAUUAUGUUUACUUAUAUGCUAUUUGUAAAAAUUGAUUAUUCUAUACUAUUUGUCAAACACAUAUAUUAUAGUAUAGUUUUUAUGAUUUAUAUUAUGAUAAUUAUUUUCUUGUGUCAACUUCCCAAUUGCUCGAAUCUAUCUUUUACGCGGUGAAUAAAGAUUGCUCCGGUAAGCAAAGAGAAUUUCUAAAACAAAACGUCGAAAAUAUGAAAUUAUAAAAAAAAUGUGUGAAUAUAAUAGUAUAGUAAAAUUUAGACAAUGCAUUUGCCAAACUUUCACACGCAGAAAAUGAGAGAGUGAUAUAUUUUCAUGCCAAAUUAUCACCUCAAACUUCCUACUUUAUUACAUAGUUAUUUGUCUAAUAUUUUUCUCAAUAUAAUUAUCCUACCAAUUCAUUCUUAUUAGUAUGAGAACUUUGGAUUUUAAAGCAAAAUUGACUCAAAGGCACCCUAACUAUACUCCAUCAUGUGAUCACGUGGAUAUGAAUCUAUUGUUUACAACUCAUUCAAAUAUCUAGAAAGAAGUUCAUCCAUGAAAUGAAUUUCUUAUUAGAUAUUAGUCUAGAUUUUUUAUAUCCCCGAAAUACCCCAAAUUAAUUAAAACAUCUUUAGAAAAAUAUUAAGUUGAGUUGACCUUCUCAAAUCUGCAACCAACAACCUAAACCACUUCACUGGAAAGUCCACCACCGCGUCAGCAAACCAGCACUAUUACAUCCAGUCAUCUAUCUGAAAUGGCCAGCCGUCAAAAGAACAAACUGAUGAAGGCGAAGUGGAACACCACCGAGGGAAACACCAGAGAGGAACCGGAGCAGAAGACCACUACAGCUCACACCACGACAUGAGCAAGGAGGAACAAAUACAUAUACAUUUAUAUAUAUAGAACUUUUCUUAUUUUUAAUCAAAAGUUGAAAAGUUAGACAAAGUUUUAUAAAUUUCCACAUAUUUCAGAUAAAAUAUAAUAUGUUCCCGCAAAUCUAUUUUUAUGGCUAGUGAAUGACUCGCCAAGGUUCUCAAAGACUGUGAGGAGUAUGUUUCAGAUGAAAGCAGAACUUCAUACCUAUUUUCGAUGUAGUGUUCGAGAUGGAUGCACAGCUUUGUUUUGAUAUGAUUAUUGGACAGAGUUGGGUCCUUUACACCUCCUUUCUGGUCCAUCAGGCCCCCGUGAUCUUAGGAUUCCGCUUGAUGCUACUGUAUCUCAAGCAGUAACCAACGACCACUGGAAUCUCCCUUCGGCUCGCUCUGAGUAUGCAAUCACUCUUCAGAUUAUUCUCUCUACCUUGCCGGUUCCAUCUGCAACCUAUGGCUGCGAUACAUACUUGUGGAGAACGAGUUCUGGCGCUUUUGGAAACUCAUUCUCAUCUAAGGUAACUUGGGAGAGGAUGCGUGUUCCAAUUCCCCUAGUUCAGUGGCAUUCAGUGGCAUGGUUCAGAGAGGAAAUUACUCGCUGUUCGUUUAUCGCUUGGACAGCCUUCCUUCGUAGGCUCCCAACGCGUGAUCGGUUGAUAUCUUGGGGUUUGAAUAUCCAACCAGGUUGUGUUCUCUGCUCUGUAGCUGAUGAGUCUAUUAGCCAUUUUUUCUUUGAUUGUCCCUUUGCGGUUGCUACUUAGACUCGUUUUUGUGGCAGGUUUUUGGCGACUCCUCCGGCUACACUUGAUGCGGUCGUGGUCCUUUGCCAGCACUUCCCUGGUCCUCAUGCCCGGCGAGCGGUUGCGGUGAUGAAGCUCCUAAAUCAAGUCAUCAUUUACAACAUCUGGCGCGAGCGUAAUGCCAGGGUUUUUACCGGUGUGUCUUCAACUCAAGAGGCUGUGUUCCGAGUGGUGGAUCGUACUGUGCGAGAUAGACUUCUGGCUCUUUCAAGACCCACUGUCUCUGCUCCUCCCCCAUCUUUGCUUGAGUUGUACUUUUGGUUUAUCUCCCCAUAUAGUUAAUGCUAUUCUCCUUUUAUUGCUCUCUUAUUGCUCCUUUCCUUGCUCUUUUUCCUUCUUUGUAAUAAGUUGUGUUUACACAACAUUGUAAACUCUUAAAAAUGGUAUAAAUUUUAACAUUUAGACCCAAAAAAAAUAUAUAAUAUGUUUAUUAUUUUGUUUACUUUAAAUUAAAACUUUUUAAUUUUUUUGUUUAGAAUUACUUAUUGAUUUAAUUUUAGUCCAAAUUAAUAUAAACAGUAUAAAUCAUAUGAAUUAAAUCUAUUAAUAAAUAAUAAUAUAAAUUAUUUAAUGUUUUAACAAGAAUUAUAAUAAUAAAAUAUAUGUUUUUGUUUAUAUAUAUGUGAAUAAUUAUUAAAUGACAUUUAAAACUAAAAUACAAUAGAAGGAGUCAUAUCUAUCAUUUGUCAUACUUUUAAUGGAUAGUUAAAAAAAAUUAGACCAAGUUUUAUAAAUUAUUCCAUAUUUCAGAUAAAUGGAUAAUCAGUUUUUUUCUUUUUCGAAUUAUUUAGGGGGGUGUAUUCAACUGAGAGUUUUAGGUGAUUUGUAUUAAAAUGACAAAUCUACUGUUAUUCAAAAAUAAAUUUUAAAAACUCAUUUAAAAUUCAUUGUUAUUGAACUUAACAUUUCGUAGAGUACUCUAAAAUCCACUAUUAUUGAAAAUAUUUUAAGUUGUGGAGUCUUAAAGUUUUCAGGUGAUUUUAGAGUGUUUGGGUGGAGUUUGUUAGUUACAAAAAUUAAAACUCAAAUCUCAUGGUUUUAGGUUAUAUUCUAGAGUGGUUUAACAAAAAUCACCUAAAUCUCUGCAACUUAUUGAAAUCAUAUAAAACUCCAUUAAAAGUCAAAUCACCUCAAAUAUUAUAUUGACAUGACAACCAAAGAAAAAUAACAGGGAUGCGUGUUACACAUGUGUGUCCCUCGGUAUCAACUUUCUCUUUGCUGAUGAUAGUCUUUUUUUCUGUAAGACGGAGCCCCGUAAAUGUGAAUAAGUAAUUAAAGUAGUUAUGAAAUAUGGACAAAUACCAGCCAGUGUAUCAACUUUGAGAAAUCCUCCUUACUCUUUGGUAAGAGGAAUGGUGAAAACGUUAGAUAGCAACUAAAAGAUAGACUUGUGAUCCAUACUGAAGGAGGAAUGGGGUCCCACUUAGUGAUUCCUGAAGAUAUUAGUAGUUCAAAGAUAAAUUAAUGAACAUAAUAAAUGGAAGGACGAGUAGAUGGCUAUUGAAAGGAGAAAAAAAGUCUUAAUCAACUCUACCUUACUAACUCUUCCGACAUACGUCAUGUUUAUCCUUUUGCUCCCGCUUGAGAUAUGUGAGAAUCUUGCAAGCGCCAUAUCGCAAAAUUCUAGUGGAGCUUCAAUCUUCCUAAGAGGAGAAUUCACUAGGAAAAUGGAAAAAGCUAUGUUUACCAAGAGAAGAGGGUGGGAUUGGUUUCUGAAUGAUUUACGAGUUCAACAUGGAUUUAUUGGCAAGCAAUUUUGGAGAUUAGUUCAGUACCCUGACUCUCUAGUGGCGAGAGUUUUGAGAGGGGGAUAUUACAGAAUGAGUUCGCUUUUGCGAAUAAAUUCAGUACACAACCCAUCAUAUGUGUGGACUAGUAUUUCAGCGUCACAAAAACUAUUGCUUUUGGGAAUUAGACAGAAAAUUCAUUUUGGAUAUGAGGUAAAGGUGUGAGAAAACCCUUGGAUUUCUACUAUACUGGCUAGGCCGGCUCGAUCGUCUGCCCAUGUUUUGCACCUAAACAUGAGAGUCAGUGACUUUAUUAUUGGAGCCUCAAGGGAAUGGGAUGUUGGAUUAUUAGAGAACUAUGUAGCCCCUGAUGAUAUACCUCUUAUAAGAAAUUUAGCCAUAAGCUCUACUCAUUUACGUGAUUCUUUCUGCUGGAACUUUACAAAGAAUGGUUAGUACACGGUUAAAUUUGGAUAUUGGGUAGCUCGGAACCUAAUGAGAGCUGAUGAAGAAAUGGAGGUCCAGGAGCCCAGUAUAGCCAAACUUUAAAUCUUUGUUUGGAAAGUAAAAACACCUCAAAAGAUAAUGUCAUAAGAAUCUUAUGUGGCAACUCCUAACAGGACAUGUGGUUGUAACGAGAAAUUUGACACGCCAUAAUAUGAGAUGCGAUAAUUAUUUCUCAAGAUGUAGGGAACCGGAAGAAACAAUUACUCAUACUAUAUUUGAAUUUCCUCCAUCCUUGCAAGUAUGGUCCCUAUCGACUACACCAUCUAGUCCUGAUAUAUUUCCGCUAUCAAGCAUUUAUGCGAAUAUAGAUUACCUCUUCCGGAGGAAGAAUAGCUUCAUUGAACCAGAACUGGACAUGGAUCCUUACCCAUGGAUAAUCUGGUAUAUUUGGAAGUCUCAGAAUGAUAAACUUUUUAGCUAGGGGGAUCGACAGGGAUCCCAUGAAGUUAGUUCGAUAUGCAGAAAGUGAGUGCCAUGCCUGGUUUAAUGUGAAUGACUUGGUACCUCCCAUUCUACUGGACCAUAGUAGUGAGGAAUCCCUCAUAUCUGUAUGGUGGAUGGUUCGUGGACUUCCACAGGUCAGUUCAGUGGUUGUGGCUGGGUAUGGAAUGAUAGUCUAGGAAAGAUUCAACUUACGGGAUGUGAAACUUAAGAAAGCGAGAAACUGCUUUACAUUUGAAAGUGGAAGCACUGCGAUGGGCAAUGAAGAGAAUGCUACAACAUUUAUCUUGUCAGAGCUUUGGACAUAUUGCAAAGAUUUGAUCGCGAUGAUAAAAGAGCCUCUUGCUUGGUCAAGUUUUGCAACUGAAUUGGAGGCAAUAAAGACACUAAAGAUAUAUUUUACGGACUUCGAAAUAUAUCAUAUUCUAAGGGCACAAAAUGGAAUUUCGGACUCGUUAGCCAAGAUUGCAAGAUCUUUUUAUAGAGUUCUUUACUACAUUGAUUGUUUUAUUCUGGUCUGGGUAGACCAUGCACCUCAAGUUUGAAUUAUAUAAUAGCUGUUCGUUGUUAAAAAAAGAAGAUUAUAUCUUGAAAUAUGGAAAAAUUUUCUUUUUAUAUAGAAGUUUAUUUUUUCUUAGUCUAGAGGUAAAAAGAAUAUGUGAUUUGUAAGUCGGAAGCCAAAAGCAUAAGAAUGACACUCUGUCUUAUUUAGGAGGAUCUGCUUCUAAAUUAGUUAUCUCUGAUUAUAACAUUUUUAUUUUUUAUCAUAUUAAGAAGGUACUUUAGAAUACAUUUGGUAACAGAUCGACCGUUUGCCCACUAUUUUAUUGAUAUCAUUGCCACUUCAACAAUUAAUUGGUUAUGUUUAUUAUUUAAUUGACACAUGUUAGUUUGAGCAUGUUACAACUGUUUAAAACAAAUUUUGAUAGAACUCAAAAAUUUUAAUGAGUUUAUCAGUGUCUAGAUAUAACUGUAAACUUUCGGAACUGACUAGACAAUAUGCAUAAGUCAGCUAUUUUGCCAUAAUAUAAGUUUAUGCCACGUAAAUGAUUAUUAUUUAGGGAAAUUGGGCUGUAUAACCUUCAAACAAAUUAUAAUUCAUUACAUAGCUAAAACCCCUAACUUUCAUCUAUAGUACAUAUAUUUUAUGUAAUAAUGCUAUAUUACCCUUCAAUUCAACCUGUGUGACCUGCUGAGAGUUAUUUAUCAAAAGAAAUAUUAAAUAAAUAAUUUAAUAAAUUGUGGUUAUCAUUGUUCCACAUCUCUUUCUCUUCUUCUUCCUCUUCUCCUCCAAUCUCUGUUUUUUUUAUACAUACGAAUACAAACCACUAGACUAAGAAAUAAUAUGGAUUUUGGGCUUGUGGAAUUGAGUUUGGAGGAGAAGAUGGCACCGUAGACAACAACGAGGUGACAUCACAAUUUCUUUUUUUUUUUAGUUUUUUUCAAUGUUGUUCAUCUUGAUUUUUUUCAUUGUUAUUUAAAUUGUUAUAGUAUGCUGUAUUGAUAUGGUAUGAUGAAGAAUAAUUACUCUGGACUAGUGAAUGUGUGUAUCACCAUGUCUGUAAAAAGAGGAAGAUGUGAAGAAGAUGAANNNNNNNNNNNNNNNNNNNNNNNNNNNNNNNNNNNNNNNNNNNNNNNNNNNNNNNNNNNNNNNNNNNNNNNNNNNNNNNNNNNNNNNNNNNNNNNNNNNNNNNNNNNNNNNNNNNNNNNNNNNNNNNNNNNNNNNNNNNNNNNNNNNNNNNNNNNNNNNNNNNNNNNNNNNNNNNNNNNNNNNNNNNNNNNNNNNNNNNNNNNNNNNNNNNNNNNNNNNNNNNNNNNNNNNNNNNNNNNNNNNNNNNNNNNNNNNNNNNNNNNNNNNNNNNNNNNNNNNNNNNNNNNNNNNNNNNNNNNNNNNNNNNNNNNNNNNNNNNNNNNNNNNNNNNNNNNNNNNNNNNNNNNNNNNNNNNNNNNNNNNNNNNNNNNNNNNNNNNNNNNNNNNNNNNNNNNNNNNNNNNNNNNNNNNNNNNNNNNNNNNNNNNNNNNNNNNNNNNNNNNNNNNNNNNNNNNNNNNNNNNNNNNNNNNNNNNNNNNNNNNNNNNNNNNNNNNNNNNNNNNNNNNNNNNNNNNNNNNNNNNNNNNNNNNNNNNNNNNNNNNNNNNNNNNNNNNNNNNNNNNNNNNNNNNNNNNNNNNNNNNNNNNNNNNNNNNNNNNNNNNNNNNNNNNNNNNNNNNNNNNNNNNNNNNNNNNNNNNNNNNNNNNNNNNNNNNNNNNNNNNNNNNNNNNNNNNNNNNNNNNNNNNNNNNNNNNNNNNNNNNNNNNNNNNNNNNNNNNNNNNNNNNNNNNNNNNNNNNNNNNNNNNNNNNNNNNNNNNNNNNNNNNNNNNNNNNNNNNNNNNNNNNNNNNNNNNNNNNNNNNNNNNNNNNNNNNNNNNNNNNNNNNNNNNNNNNNNNNNNNNNNNNNNNNNNNNNNNNNNNNNNNNNNNNNNNNNNNNNNNNNNNNNNNNNNNNNNNNNNNNNNNNNNNNNNNNNNNNNNNNNNNNNNNNNNNNNNNNNNNNNNNNNNNNNNNNNNNNNNNNNNNNNNNNNNNNNNNNNNNNNNNNNNNNNNNNNNNNNNNNNNNNNNNNNNNNNNNNNNNNNNNNNNNNNNNNNNNNNNNNNNNNNNNNNNNNNNNNNNNNNNNNNNNNNNNNNNNNNNNNNNNNNNNNNNNNNNNNNNNNNNNNNNNNNNNNNNNNNNNNNNNNNNNNNNNNNNNNNNNNNNNNNNNNNNNNNNNNNNNNNNNNNNNNNNNNNNNNNNNNNNNNNNNNNNNNNNNNNNNNNNNNNNNNNNNNNNNNNNNNNNNNNNNNNNNNNNNNNNNNNNNNNNCCACAAUUACUUACACAUAUAUAAUAUAUACAUACAUAUAUAUAUAUAUAUAUAUAUAUAUUUUUUUUUUUUCUUAGAAUUCCAAAACUAAAUUAUCUCGUUGGCCAUGCUCUUAACCAGCCAUGCUCUUAACCAGCCAUAAAAUAAGUUUGUGCCAGGCAAAGUGAAAAAUCUAUAGUUAAUCACCACCCACCUCCUAAAAAAUCUUUACUCUUUGAUUGUUAUAGAAUUUUUGGAAGAGAAAUAUUUUCUCACCUCUAUAAUAACCAUCUUGACAAUUGUAUAUGUAAAGAUCAUCUACGCACCAAUUUCAUCAUAGAUAUAAUGGAUGAUGAUACUGGUAAAUGAUAUGUAUGCAGAUUUGAAACUCAACACAAAAUAUUUAUAAUUUUUUAAAAUAGUUUUAUUUUAGAUCUAAAUUUAAGAGAGAAAAACUUAGUAAAUUUAGAAUAUGAUAUAUUAAAAACUGAAAUAAACACUUUUUAUAUUUUUAGAUUGAAUUAAAUAUAUUGUUUCUUUUCUUAACUACUUUGAAUUUAUUUACGAAUCAUUUUUAUAAACCAACUUUAUAUAAAAUAAAUAUAAUAAACAUUCAAUCAAUCAGUAUCAAAGACUUACAUGAACUGAAGUUUUGUUUUUCUCAAGUCAAAGUACUAAAGUAUUAUUUGAGUCGUGUUUGAACUACUCCGGUCGAUAAGGUCUGGCUGAUUAUUUAGAAAUCAGGUGACGUGACUGAAAUGGGAAUCCGAGAACUACUUUUGUGAUAUUUGUAAACCAAUUUGUAAUGUUUAUUUCAUCAUUUUAUGACUAUUUUUUACUUUUGUUUUUAGCUUUCCAGAAAGUCGGCAGUAAAGUUUCAUUAAAAAUACUGUCCUUUUAUAACAUUAAUACCGUCCAUUUUGCUCAGAAUAUUUUAAUAACAAUCGAAUUUUCUGCAUUUACGGUAAUUUUUUUGUCUCUUAAAAUACAUUUUAUAACUAUAUAUUUCAUCGGUUAGAAAUUUUAAUUUUAUUGGGUUUCGACUAUCAGAACAUGAUUUUCUUAGGAAAAACUGACAUGCAUAAAGCAUAAUUCAAAGUUGUUUUUCCUUGCUUAAAAGCAUUGUAGGUUGAUAAUUUGGAUCUUUUAUGGGGCCAACUUUAUGCCAAACUCUUUCACGUGUCUUUGAAUUUGAUAAACUAUAUCGUAUUGUAAAUAAUAUAAACCUUUCAAGUACGUAUAUUAUAAGAGCUACUGAAAUAGACAUUGCACUAAAGAAAAGUAAGAAUAAAAUUCGUUUGGUCAAUUACUUUACCAUGUAUUGCAAUUCCAAAACUACUUUAUAUUGCUUUAGCGAUAUCGCCAAAUCUCUUUCUGGUAAAUAUAUUCUGACGUGAGAUUGGUAUCCCACACCUAAAUUUAUCUUCUUGAUUUGUGUCUUCGAUUCAGAGGAUAAUUAAUGGUUUUAUCAUCUUAUGUCUCCAAAAUAAACACAACCACUUUUCAAAAAAGAUCACCACCACUUGUAAUUAGUCAAGAGUUAUUACCGUUGAGUCGUUGACAAAUACAUAGUGUUUAUAUAUAUAUUAUCAGUUCUUUUGGUAAAUAAUGCUGAAAAUCAUAAAUCUUAACUAUAGUUUCAAUAUCUCAUUUAAUACCAAUAGCCAAAAAAAUAUUCAUCAUUUUAUAUUUUUUUUGGUCAAAAAUAUUCAUCAUUUAAUAAUCAAAGAAACUCUUGUGGCUUUGAUCUAUGUAGACUUAAUAUACCUACAGCUCUAAAAAUGACAAAUACAGAUAACUAGAGAUCAAUCAACUUCAAAGACUUAGGGGUUAGAUGAUUGCAGGAGAAUUAGGGGAUAUAUUCAAUUUAAAAUUUGAGGUGAUUUGAUUUUUAAUGAAGUUUUACAUGAUUUUAAGGAAUUGCAAAGAAUAAAAUGAUUUUUGUUAAAACACUCUAGAAUAUCACCUAAAACCAUGAGAUUUGAGUUUUAAUUUUUUUAACUAAGAAACUCCACCCAAACACUCUAAAAUCACUUGAAAGCUUGAAAACUCCACAACUUAAAAUAUUUUCAAUAACAGUGAAUUUCAGAGUACUUUAUAAAAUAUCAAGUUCAGUAACACUGGAUUUUAAAUGAGUUUAAAAUUCAUGUUUCAAUAACAGUGGAUUUGUCAUUUUGACACAAAUUACCUAAAACUUUCGAUUGAAUACACCCCCUUAGAGAAUUUGGUGUGAUUUUUGUUAAAACACUCUAGAAUCUCAUCUAAAACAGUGAGAUUUGAAUUUUUAUUUUUAUAACUAAAGAACUCCCCUCAAACACUCUAGAAACAAUUAAAGUAUUCUAAAAUCUCCAACUUAAAUUUUGUUUAAUAACAGUGGAUUUCAGAGUGUUUUAUGAAAUGAUAAGUUCAAUAACAUUGGAUUUUAAAGUAUUUUUUAAAAUCCACGUAUGAAUAACAACAGAUUUGUCAUUAAAAUCCACGUUUGAAUAACAACGGAUUUAUCAUUUUAAUACAAAUCACUUAAAACUCUUAGAUAUAUAUCUCCGUUAAUGUCUUAUGAAGAUUUUCAUGACGUGGAACAUUAUUAAAUGACUAACUGGAAAGGACAUCGCUAUCCGAUAACUAAGUAUGACAAACAUUCUAUCAAUCAUUAAUAUAUGUUUUUCCCUGUAACCAUCGUUUAAGCCGUCCAAGUUAUACCAGUUUUUCAACUGAUUUAUGACAUAUUUUUUUUGUUUUUAGUACGUUGAAUUGUUUAUAUGGCCAGAGUAGUUUCCGUAUACAAGAAAAUACUUCAAGAGUAGUUGUUGCACAAACAACAAGAAGCUGAAGAGAGCCUAUAUUCAGUUGUCCACUUUAUCCUCACGAUUACAUGCAGCGGCUAGUUGUUGGCUUUUCUCUUUUUUUUGUUAAAGAAGUUGUUGGCUUUUCUCACACACAAAAAAAAGAAAGGAAGAAGUAUAUAUAUUGUGUGCACUGGUGUAUUAAUGAAGAUCGUGCCCGUCAAGAGGGAGCGACGCUGUUGGAACUCUCUUUUUGACAAAAAUAUAAAAUUUGACUUUUUUUUUUUUUACUUUUUCAGUGGCUAUUCUGGUCAAACUGGUGGUCGUUAUAGCAAGGAUUAAUCGUUCGUUAGAAAACUUGCAAUGACAAAUGAAACAAUGAAGUGGACAAGUUGAAAAGAUUUUAAGACAAAGACAAGUCAUUUCUCUUUGGCUCACAUAGGGUGGAACAACAAAACUUGAGUUGCAUAAAUAUGUUCACCCGCGUAACAUUGGUCCAAGGCUUCAAGGAGAGAGAGCUUGCAUGUGUCGCCGCCACCGUCUGACCGGCUCGCGUGGGUGUGGGCUUUGGUGAAAGGUCGAAGGCUCAUUAAGAUCAUUUUAUGGCCAAAUUAAUUUCAGUUUUUGGCAUAUUUCAGAACUAAAAACAGCAUCAUAUUUAAACGAUGCGUAGUUCCUCUUAAAAUAACACGAAGUCUAUCUCUCGUCAAGAUAUUUAAACGGGAAACGAGAGUGAGAGAAACUUGAUGAAAAAAUUUCGUAACAUCCACUUCCUAAGAUCUCCGUGAAUCUCCGCUAAGGGGCUGAACAUUUUGCAACAAUUAACUGAAAGUCGUUUUUCGCCUUCUUUUUAAAAAUUAGUCUAUAUAUCCUCACUCUUCAUGGACACAUUUUCACAUCGAAAACCAUCAAAAAUCUCCCAUAAUAAGUUUACGAGUGUUUCAUAGUAUUUGUAGUUCGUAGAAACUGUUCACGAGCGUUGUGUGAAAGUUUAUCAUGAUUUUAUCAUGUGACUCUAAGUCGUUUAUGGCCUGUCGCACUACAAAGUCAAUAUAAAGAAUUAAGGAAAAAAUAUCAUAUCGACUUUGUGGUCUCAUUUGUGAAAACAUUUUUCAUUGUUUGUUUUCAUAUUAUCGGUUUUAUGUGUAAUUGUUUAUUUCAAUUUGGUUUUCUAACUCAUACAAAGAAUACUUGAAGGCUCUGUAUGAUAUAGUUGGAAGCAGUCAACGCGGGGAUGUUGCGCAUGUUCACCGAUAUGAUUGGAUUUGAGGAUUCCUUGGAUUAAAAAAUAUUGCAUAUUAAAUUGUGGUGCAACUGAAAAUAGUUGAUAACAGCCAAAAGGAAACAUAAAUCUUUACAGCAGUUUAUAGAGAAUGUUAUAUUCUGUGGAAGUAAUUUGAUUUGGUAGUCCGCGAUUUACAGGAUUGUACAUCCUUUUGACACAAACGUACUAGAAGUUCCAGAGUAAUGUUAAUAUUCAAGAAGAACCGUCUCUCAUAGUUUCAGUUCGAGUGUUGUAGAGAGUUAUCCUUCGUAAAUGUACACACUAUUAGUAUUGUGCAGAUAAAAUCGUUUCAUGGAUAUGUGUGUUGUGAAGAAAGAUGUGUUAUACAAUUAUUGUUCAUAAAACUGCAUUUUAAUCGUAUAUGUUGUGAGUAGUUGAUUUUGAUUAAUUGAUCAUCAAUUUCCAUACUCUUUGACAAAAAUAUUUGAUGAUGCAAUAAAUAAUUAAAUUAUUAUUUCAAUGAUAGUAAAUUUGAAUGUAUGUUUUAACAAUUUUAAAAUGCUAUCACUAAUUCUAUUUUUUAAGACAUCAACCAAUAUUGUAGUUAAUAACACCAUAGAAUUUGCUAAAUCCACAACUAAAAAUGAUAAUUUGCCAUUUUAACAUAAACAAUUAUAAAAACUUGAUUCAAUAUAAUCCCAGAAAAUAAAACUAUAAUGUAAAAACUCUUGUAUUAUUACAUCGUCUCCAAAUUGGCUAUACUUUUUUUGUCGGCAUAUUGGCUUAUACUUCUCUCCAACAGUCAACAUUAAUAAUAGACACAUGUUUUGUUAUAAUAUAAUAUCACUGUUUCGUUGAAAACAAAUCUCAACCGAAGGAAAUUUCAACAACGAGGGAUUUUGGUGACAUCACAUGUAUAAUUUUUCUGGACCGUCAGUUUUGCAAAUAAGAUUUUUUUUUCCUUUAAAUGUUGUCGACCCAAAAUAUCAUAAUUAAUAAUUGAUUUUGAUCCGUGCCUUAAUAAUUUUUCAGUGAAAACUUGUUAUACUCGCAUUUUCUCAUUAUCUAAAGUAGACGUAGGUAUAUAUAUAUAUAUAUAAUCCAUAACCCGAAGUCCGAACUAAACCCAAACCAAAAAUACGGUUCGUACCCGGUCCAAAAUAUAAAAUAUACCAGAAUGAAUCUUGUAUGGUGGUACAAAACAAAUCUGAAUUCGAAGUGUUAUUAGUCAAAUCCGAAUGGAUAACCCGAAAAAUCUGAAAAACCUAUCCUAAUGUCCCAAUUAAUCAAAAAUAUAAAUAUUCGAAACAUAAAUAUGUACUUCAAAUAUUUAUUUCUAUAUUUAUUUUGAAAUGAUAUAUAAAAAUAAGUAUUUAAAUUUUAAAUAAGAACUUCAAAUAUCUAAUUCUAUAUAAUAAGUAUUUAUUUUUUAUGUUUUGUUUUUAAAUUUUGAUUUAAAUUUGGAUGUAUCCGAACCAAAUCAAUAUAAUCUGAAUCCGAAUGAUAUAUAGCUACUUUAUGAGUUUUAGGAUGUUCUACAAAUCAGAACCAAAAUCAAUGUGUUAUAUUCGAGCCUGAUUUGUACUUACAAAUUUACCGGAAUGAGACUUAUGAUGUGAUAUAAAUUAGAAGAGAAAUUUAAAAUACUCAACCCAUAUCCCAAUAGAUACAUAAACCCCCAAGUCUAACUUGUGUUUUAUGUUUUCUUCAAUUAAUUUUAUAUUUAAUAAGUUCUAUUUAAUAAAUAUUUUACAUGUUUGGUGGAAUAACCCGUAGAACUAUACUUAAAAUAUCAAUAAUAACAUGUUCAGUCAUAUCAUUAAAUAUUAAAAGUAGAUAAAUAUAAUAUUUAUUUUAUUAAAUAUUAUAUAUAUAUAUAUAUAUAUAUCUAAUUUUAAUACUCUAUCGAUAAAAAUUAUAUUAUUAUGUAUUUGGUGAAGGGUUUAAAGAAUUUGUUUUCUUGCAUUUAAAUUAGAUUAGAAUUGAAUAUAUACGAAUUAGUAAGUAUAUAUAAUUCCGUUUAUAGUAAUUAAUAUAAUAUAAUUGAUUAGUUAAUUAAAUUUAGUGUUAAUAUAAUUUGAACUCAUUAUUUUUAAAACCAAUAAAUUAAUUUUUACUUCCUAAAUUUUAAGCUAGGGUGCAUAUUUAAUGAUAAUUAAAUUAACUAUAAAUAAAAAUAAUAGAAAAUCUUGUAAUGUUCAACCUUUGGGGGGUUAUUGGGAGAUGAAUUUGUAUCGAGUUUGUAAAAUUUUAAAAGUUGAUAGAUUUAACAAAGUUAUGUGGAUUGUGACAUUUUUUAUACAUUGACUAAUGAAAUUUGAUCAUAACUUUUUUAGAUUGGUAUAGAUUUUUCAUGAAUUUGUAUUACCUUUUUUCUAUCAUUCUUUUUGUAAAGUAAAUAUAUAAUAUUUUUUCUCAAUCAUAUAGCAUGAUUAUUUAUAUUUUCUUUCAAAUUAAAAAAUAAUAAUAAUAGUGAUACAUACAAAUUGGGCGAUUCUUUUAAAUAGUUUAUUUUAAGUUUUUGUCACAAAAAAAUGAACCAAAAGAGGUUUCAUUAAAAAUGCAAAAGACUAUUUGUAGAUAUAUAAAUAAUAAGAAUUAUAAUUUUUCUUUAAUUUCGAAUUAUAUAUUUUUAAAUUUAAACUUUUUACAAUUUUUUAAUACUUUUCGAAUUUUGUUUUUCAAUUUUUUGUCAAGUUUUCUUUUUAAAAUUCAAAAAUACUUUAUGAAAAUAUUUUUAUAAAAUAUUUUAAUAUUUAUAAAUAUAAUUGUAUAUUCAAAAAUGAUAAAACAAUGUAAAAUAAUUAUAUAUUCAAAAAUAAUAGUUUUGGACAUAUAAUUUGGACUUAAAUUGCAAUAGAUAUUUUUUAAGUACAACUAUUUUGUUUUGUUAGUAUGGAUUUUGAAAAUCACAUGGAUACAUAUGAUAUUUUGAACGUUGAGUCGUAUAACUAAAAAUGAAUAGAAUUCAUCUUCUAAUAACACUAAUUUUAGUUAUUGUUCUUCAAUCUCUCAUUUAUUGUUCGCAGAUGAUACUAUUCUUAGGAUUCUGAAGGAAUAUGAGGUGGUCUCGGGGCAACUGAUUAAUUUUCAGAAAUCUUCGAUUCAAUUUGGACAUAAGAUUGAGGAGUCCACUAGACAGGAAUUGAGAGACAUCCUUGGGAUACAAAAUUUAGGAGGGAUGGGAUCAUAUCUAGGUCUGCCAGAGAGUCUUGGGGGAUCCAAGAUACAAGUUUUUGGUUUUGCCAAGGACCGUUUGAAUAACAGGGUGAAUGGGUGGACGUUUAAGUUUUUUUCAAAAGGUGGAAAGGAAGUUAUCAUUAAAUCAGUAGUCACGGCUUUGCCUAACCAUGUGAUGUCUGUUUAUCGGGUACCAAAAGCAACGGUAAAGAAAUUGACGAGUGCGGUAUCAAAAUUUUGGUGGAGCCCAGGGGGAAAUACAAGGGGUAUGCACUGGAAGUCAUGGGACAAAGUAUGUACAAACAAAGACGAAGGAGGUCUAGGCUUUAAGGACAUAACGGAUUUCAAUACAGCUAUGCUUGGAAAGCAAUUGUGGAGGCUGAUAGAGAAGCCUUCAACUCUUUUUGCUAGAGUUUUUAAAGGACGGUACUAUAGGAAUGCCUCACCCCUAGAACCGAUCCGUUCAUACUCUUCGUCAUACGGUUGGAGGAGUAUUGUAUCUGCUAGAUCUCUGGUUAGCAAAGGACUAAUCAAAAGGGUGGGAACGGGAUCCUCUAUCUCUGUAUGGAGUGAUCCGUGGCUCCCAACCACUCGCCCGAGACCAGCAAACAAAAAUCAACAUGACACUUAUCAGGACCUCACAGUGGACUCUUUAAUAGAUCCAAUUUCACGAACUUGGAAGUCGCAAGUAAUCCGGGAUUUGGUGGAUCCCCAGGACGCUCAAAUUAUUGAAAGUAUUCCUUUGAGUAAGACUCAAUUGGUGGAUAGGAAUGGAUGGCAUUUCACAAAUAAUGGAAAAUAUUCGGUUAAAACAGGAUAUCAGCUGGAACGGGUCUAUCCGGACAAGGCAAAACCACCAGCUUUUUAUGGUCCCACAGUGGAUACUCUAAAAGCUUUCUGUUGGGAGGUGAGAUGUCCUCCGAAGCUUAAGCAUUUUUUAUGGCAAAUGGUAUCCGGAUGUAUAGCUGUUAAGAAGAAUCUGCAAGCAAGAGGAAUGAAGGGAGAUAUUUGUUGUAUUAGAUGUGGAGCUGAGGAGGAAUCAAUAAACCAUGUGUUUUUUGAGUGUCCUCCUGCCCGUCAAGUUUGGGCUUUAUCAAAGAUACCGUCUAACCCAGUCUACUUUCCCACAAGCUCACUAUUUACAAAUAUGGAUCAUCUUUUCUGGAGGGUACUUCCGAAGAUGGAAGAUCAUCAUUUUGCGUGGAUACUAUGGUAUAUUUGGAAAGGAAGGAAUAAUAAGGUCUUUAGUAAUUUGGAUAUUGAUCCAAAAGAUACACUUACGCUUGCAGAAACUGAAUCAACACUUUGGGCUGAGGCCCAGGUGAUUAAGACUAAGCAGGCUCCACCACAGAAUGAGGUUUUGAAUCGGCAGCUGAGAGUUGGUCGUUGGUGUUUUAUAGAUGGUUCCUGGAAAGAUAAAGAACCUUAUUCAGGUCAAGGAUGAUAUAGCAUACUCGAGGGCUUUCAGGGAUUGAUGGGUGCAAGGAAUACUAGGGCAUGUCUUUCACCUCUUCAUGCAGAGAUGGAAGCUUUGAUAUGGGCAAUGGAAUGCAUGAGGAAUUUACAUCAGUUUCAGGUUACUUUUGCUACGGAUUGUUCUCAAUUGGUGAAGAUAGUUUCGGAACCAGAGGAAUGGCCGGCGUUUGAGAGUUACCUGCACGACAUAAAGCUACUGAAGACAUGUUUUACUAGCUCAACAAUCAUUCAUGUACCUCGGACGGAAAAUCAAAAGGCGGAUAGUCUAGCACGAUGUGCCAGAAAACAAUCGUCUUUCGUCGUUCACAUGGAUGCGGAGUUACCAGUUAGGUUCGCAGAGUCUAUAUGAGUCUGUUUGUUGAUGACAAAAAAAAAAAUAACACUAAUUUUAGUUAUAAUUAAAAAAUGAAUAAUAACUAAACUUUUUGAAUGACAAAAGAUUUGAAUGGAUUUUGAAAAUUUUUAAAUCAGUAACAAAGAAUUCUAUUAAGAUUUUUGAAAUCCAAGAACCAAUAACAAUGAAAUCUCAAAAUUUUCAAAAUUGAUAAGAAUUCACUUACCAAUAUAACUUUCUGGACUAUUAAAAUUUAUUAUCUUGCACGGACGUUACUUGCUUUACAAUUAUGGGUUCACUGGUUAACUGAAGAUUCACCACCACCACGAGUUUUGAUUUUUUAGGCAAAUAACCCCAGAUUCUGAGGCGUUACUGAAAGGAGCUGCCUCCCUAUGCCAUUUGUUGAAAAAUUCAAUGGUUAACUGAAGAUUCAUCACCACCACGAGUUUUGAUUUUUUAGGCAAAUAACCCCAGAUUCUGAGGCGUUACUGAAAGGAGCUGCCUCCCUAUGCCAUUUGUUGGAAAAUUCAAUAAAUGCCAUUAUGGUUUGUUUAUGUUUUAAGUAGGUCUUGAAUCUUUCCAGAAAUUAUGAAUUAAAAGAAAACCCUUGCUAUUUUGUGAGUACACCUAAUCCGUAGAGGAUACAAAGAAGUCAACCUUUCACAUAUAUGAAGUCUUUUGUUGAUCAUUAUAAAAAUAUGACUAGCCACUUGUUGAACGAUUUCAAAGACAUGUUGUUCAUUCGUUGAAAGAGUUUCAUUGAAGAAUUGGAACAACUUGUCUUUUCAAAGGUGUUAGAGCUGUUUGAAAAAUGAGAAGCCUCAUGGGAGUAUAUUUUCACUUUUUGAAUUUAAUUCGCUUACUUAUAAUUGUCUUAUUUAUUAAAAUUGUAGCAUAAUGUUGUUUCUAUAUAAAAAGUAUCUUCAGUUAGGGGGGAUCUAGAAAUAUUUUUAUAUUAUAUACACAACAUUGUUAUGGGUAUAACCUUAUAAAUUACAGUAAAUGUAUUUAUAAAUUAGUUAAAGUAUAUUAUGUUUUGAAAAUACUAUAGGUUCAUUCUUUGAAAAAAAUAUAUAUUAUAGGUGCAUAUGCAACUUUUUCUCUUUAUUAGCUUCACAACUCUUCCGUCCGACAUAUUUACAUAAAUUAUUUGUUUUCAAAGGUUGUUUGAUAGGUAUCUAGAAAUGGUAAAUAGUUAUUUUACUAGUCAAACAACUUGUAUAUGAACUGAUAUGGAAUCCAUUAUUAUAUAUAUAUAUAUAUAUAUAUAUCUCCGAAACAAAAUCCUAUAUAUACUUAUCGCUAAUGAAUCUGUAAAUUUUUAUUAUAAUAAAAAUACGCGUAACUUCAAACCCAAAAUAUUUAAGAGAUGUAAGAGAGUUUGAAGUAAUUGUAUUAAAUAAUAAACUAAAUAUUAUUAAUUAAACAUAAAUAAAAAAUUCAUGAUUAUUAAAUAUAUUAAAUUAAAAAUAUUUGGUUACUGAAAAUAUUUUAAUUUAAGAUUUUAAGAGGUGUUUACCGAUUUAAAAUUGUUUUGUUGGAGUUUUAAUAUUUAAAAAAUUCAAAUAUCAUAGCUGUGGUAGUUUAUCUAAAAUCAUAAUAAGUUUUACAGUUCAUCUAAAAUCAUUUAAAAAUUCAUUAAAACUUAAAUCAUUUAAAAUUUUAAAUAGAAUACAUCCAUUAAUUCUCUUUUCACAUUUUGAAGUAAAUGAGUCAAUAUUGUUUUCUAGAGAAGCACCUGAAAAUAAAUAUAACCUAAAAGCAAAAAGACGAUGGUUCUAUAUAACGAUCUAACAUUUGCUUUUGUCAAAGUGCAUUUGUAUUAUUUGACCUGAUCGAGGUCGAGGAACCUGUUCCAGUUACCAACUUACCAAGAAAACAGAAUUGAUUAGUAGUGAUAAAUAUUAUAUAAGGCAACCUUGUUUAGUCAAAAAUAAAUAAGGCAACCUUGUUGUAAAAUAAUCGUUAUUUUAACUUCUAACUUAGUUUCACUAAAUCAAACUUUUUCAUUUUUCAUUUAUUCUGGUUGAACAAUCUAAACUAAUUUUGGAAACCAAAUGAAAUUAUAAUUCUUUAUGGUAAACUAAUUAUAACUACGCUCAUAGCUUCAUGAUACGCGUCUUUUUAAUACAAUUUCUUAUCAAUAAGUAAUAUUUCUAAAUUGUCGAAACAAAAAAUCUACUUUCUAAAGUUUUUUAGAAUAAAAGAGAAAAUUGAACAUCUUUGGAAGGGAAAGAUCUCCGUUUGGAAUGAUCCCUGAAUUUCUGCUCCUCGCCCAAGAUAAGCAAUACCAAAAACUCAGUCACUUUUGUUGGAUCAAUCUCUUAUGGUAGAGAAUCUUAUUGAUCCGAUUGAUCGCUCUUGGAAAUAGAUCUGCUCAAUGAUCUUUUCCAUCAUGAUGAUGUGAAGAUCAUUCAUGGAUUGGCAGUUAGUAGGAGACAACGGCUGGUAGAUGUUUACUGAAUCUGGGAGGUACAUAGUUAAAUCGGGAUUCCGAACAGAAUCUUUAUAUCCAGAUAAGGGUCCAAGGAUUCAAUUUAUGGGCUGAAUGUUAAACCCCUAUUAGCUUUCUCAUGGAAACUUAGGUGCUCUCCGAAACUUAAACAUUUUGUUUGGCAAGUAUUAUCAGAAAUCCUACCGGUAGCAAAGGUGCUUAGGACGCGUGGCAUAGAUUGUGAUCCACGAUGUAGUUUAAGUGGAGCGGAGGAAGAAUCUAUAAAUCAUGUCCUCUUUGAAUGUCCACCAGCAUUAUAAACUUGGGCUUUAUCUAGGAUCUUUUCUCCUCCCGGAAUUUUUCCAUCUUCUUCGGUGUUCACUAAUUUAGAUCACUUGUUCUGGAGAGUUCCGAAAGAAAUCGACUCUGAUUGUUUUCCAUGGAUUAUGUGGUAUAUCUGAAAAAAUAUAAAUGAAAAUUUUUAUCAGAAUUGGAAUGAAAAUCCUCAGGAAAUAUUGCGUAAAGCAGAAAUUGAAGGAACACUUUGGAUUGAAGCGUAAUUGUUGGACUAACAACACAAGUAUUUACAGCCAGAAACGAAUGUGCAAUUUAUGGGUAACCGAAUUUGCUACAUUGAUGGGGUAUGGAGGGAGCAGGAUGCUUUCACUGGACAGGGUUGGUACUGUCGAGAGAGAAGCUCAGAUGAUGUCAUGAUGGGGGCAAUGAAUUUAAGACGAAGUCUAUCUCCUUUACAUGCGGAAUGUGAAUCAUUGAUCUGGGUGAUGGAGUGUAUGAAGACCCUGUAGUUUUCAGAUGUAGUAUUGCGACAGAUUAUUCUAACUGGUGAAGAUGGUGUCGUCACCUGAAGAAUAGCCAGAUUUUGCUACGCACAUGGAGGAGUUUUAACGCAGUAAGAUUUUUUUUUUCUAAUUUCAAGAUCCGAUAUAUUCCAAAAGCACAAAAUACAAUGACGGACAAGCUUGCACGUGGUAUGAAGAGUUCUUCUUCAGCUAUGUUAUAUGUAGAUUCUUUACCUUCGAUUUGGCUAUUCAAUUCGGCGGUUUCUUUGUUCAGUAGCUUUUGUUGUCAAAAAAAAAAAAAACUAGUUACAAGUUAGUUCUUUAAAGUGUUUUCGUCGAAAAAAUAUUAUUAUUAAAUUAAACAUUAUUAUUUAUAAAUCAUAAACAUUUGUUUCUUCUAUAACUCAACACUGGUAAGCUCAAAGUCUCAAAAGGUACUAUUAUCAUACAGAAAAAAUCGUGCAAAUGUUUUUCUGUAAAUUAAUUUAUAUUUUAAAAAACAAUCGAAUAAUCAUUAUAGAAUCUGAACAUUACAAUCCUCCCUCUAUAGGUGGGCUCAUAUCUAGUCUGAAGCAAUCACACAUCCCAAGCCGCAUUAAAAAGAAAACAUUUAAAUCAUUUAUAAGAAAAUAAAAGUUGAAAUUCAACACGUAUUUACGUAUACGUCUCGUUGGCAUAUAUGCUAGAUCACACUAUAUAUAUGCAUUCAUAUACAGGUAUGCCUAUAUAUAUGAUAUUAUGUAAACACAUAUCUAUUGACUACAAUUAGACUUCUUCGUUUACUCUCUCUCUCUCUCUCUGACUUACACAUUUACUUAUCUUCUUCUCUCUGUCAACCUCCUUUGCUCUCUUCUCUCACUAUGAAGAGUUUCAACACCGAUCAACACGGUCACUCCGCGGCGGAAUCCGGCGACGUCUACGCCAUGUCCGAUCCAACAAAGAACGUUGAUGACGAUGGCCGAGAGAAGAGGACGGGGACGUGGCUUACGGCGAGUGCGCAUAUUAUCACGGCGGUAAUAGGCUCAGGAGUGUUGUCGUUGGCAUGGGCCAUAGCUCAGCUUGGUUGGAUAGCAGGGACUUUGAUUCUGAUCAUUUUCUCGUUUAUCACGUACUUCACUUCUACGAUGCUCGCUGAUUGCUACCGUGCGCCGGAUCCCCUCACCGGAAAACGAAACUACACUUACAUGGACGUUGUUCGAUCUUACCUCGGUAUGGUUUUUUCUUUGUUUUUUUUUUAACUUUUUACUGUAAAGAAGAUUGAAAAAUAGACACUUUUUAGACCAACCCUUUUUUGAAAAGGGUUCUAUACCAAAAAUUCAAUUUUGUUAAGUAAUUUUUAAGGCAUGGUUGGUUCCUUUUCCAAAAAAAAAGAGAGAGGAUAACAUAAGGUUCUCUUUCAUUAAAAUAAUAUACUGAUUUUGUCUGGUAUUUAGUUAGGCUGAUCCUUGUCUGGAAAACUAUUGUGGUCAGAAUAGGAAAAUAAUUAUUAGUAUUAAAAAUUUAUACUAAUAUUAAUUAAAAAUGACAAAAUAUAUAUUAGUAAUAAAAACAUAUAAUAUAAUUUAUAAGCGACAGUAACUUUUAGGUCAAUUUGAAAUAAAACAAAACUGGUUAUGUAAUGAGUUUAUAUAGAACAAUGAUGGUGGUUUAUAAAAUAGUUGAUGUUACGAACUAUAAGAUCAAUCAUAAGAAAUCAUCAUUGAUAUCUUUUGAAACAAUCGAAAAGCUUAUGCAUCCGAUGAGUUGUGGUUAGGAAUGUAGAUAAAGUAAUGGAUUUAUAGAUUUUCUAACAUUUCCUGCCAAUUUGGUUUUACAGAAGAAAAAAAAUCUAUCGGGCAUAUAAAUUACUGUUGCGUAUAAAUUGAUUUUUUUUGUAGACGCUUAUAAAUUGAUAUAUAUCCUUUUAAAUAUUUAAAUUUAACUGAAUAUAAAAACAGUGGUAACCGUUCUUUUAAUUUUCUAGUUAUAAAAAAUGUUGUUGAAAUAAUUAAAGGCUUGGUUAUUAUUUAUACAUGGAUUAUAUUCGUAAGCAAUUUAAAGUUUGUUGUCUCUAGUUUAAUAAACGAUGAUUUUUUACGAAUUCUUUUUAUUAAGUAAAAACACUGAGUUAUUGACAAAAAAAAAGAGUAAAACAACUGAGUUCAAUGUAAAGUGUGGUAACCGUCCUUUUAAUUUUCUAAUCAUAAACUAUGGUUGUUGAAAAAUUAAUUAGACUUCGCUAUUAUUUUCAUAAGGAUUACAUACUUCAAAUAAUUUAGAGUAUGUUGUCUAGUUCAAUAAACAAUGAGGUUUUACUUCAAAUCAUUUUAAGUAAAACAUUGAACUGAACGCAAAAGUGUGGUAACCGUCCUUUAAUUUCCAACUAUACAACGGUUGUUGAAAUAAUUAAUUAGGCUGAAAUUUUUCUUAAAUAACUCACGGUUUUGUACUGUUUAUAAGAUCCAAAACUGUGCAACCCGAGGAAAACAGAAAUUAAAUAAUAGUUUGACAUAUGAGGCAAAGGGUUUUGGUAGUAUUAGCAUUAUUGUUGGUAUUUGAUGUUGAUGGAGUAUUAUAUAUACUAGUAUAGUUCCGUGGAGUGUUUUAUGUUUGAUGUAUGAAACAGAAGAUUAAUUAAUAGCUUAAAAACAAAUGUAAUAAAUAAUCAUAGACUGAAAUAAUACAUUGGAAUUAUUGAAAAUUGACAGGUGGUAGGAAAGUGCAGCUUUGUGGAGUGGCACAGUAUGGGAAUCUGAUAGGAAUCACUGUUGGGUACACCAUCACUGCUUCUAUUAGUUUGGUGUAAGUCAACUAUGUGUGAAUAUGUGAUUUUACUUUAUGACCGUUACCAAAUGUACAGUUUAGUUAUCUACCAUAUUGAUGUGAUCAGUAUGGUUUCUUGCGCAGAGCGAUCGGGAAAGCGAACUGUUACCACAAUAAAGGGCACCAUGCAGAUUGUACAAUAUCAAACUAUCCAUAUAUGGCGGCCUUCGGGAUCAUUCAAAUCCUUCUUAGCCAGAUCCCCAACUUUCACAAGCUCUCUUUUCUCUCCCUUAUGGCUGCGGUUAUGUCUUUCGCUUACGCAAGUAUUGGGAUUGGCCUUGCCAUCGCGACGGUCGCAGGUACAUAUACAAAUCUUUGAAGAUUUAAUUAGUUGCAAAACAACAACUACUAACAAUUAUUGGUCAUCAAGUUGUAGUUUUCAAAGUACCUAUAUCAAUAAUUGUAACAAGAUAGAUAAUACAAUAAAGUAACGGUUGAUAUGUUACGAUAUGAAAAGGUGGGAAAGUGGGUAAGACGAAUAUGACGGGAACGGUGGUAGGAGUUGAUGUAACUGCGGCUCAGAAGAUAUGGAGAUCGUUUCAAGCGGUUGGAGACAUAGCGUUUGCAUAUGCUUACGCCACGGUUCUCAUUGAGAUUCAGGCAAGUUAACCAUCAAUCAAUUUUACUAUUGAGUCUUGUUUGCUUUGAAUAUGAACCUCUUAAUAGAAUUGUGGUUUGAAAUUAUUGACAAUGACAAUCAAUUCUCUAUGGACCACUUUUACUACAAAGGGUAAAAAGAAGAGAAUCUGUCUUUUAGCUUAAAGGUAUAACAUGUGCUUAUUAGUGACAAGAUGUCACAUUCAAAGACAGCAAACAAUGAUAUCAAUGGACUUUAGCUUAAUGAGUUGACAAUAUAGUUAAAAUUUUGUUGUCUCUUAAUGAUAUUAGCGUUCACCUUUCUAGUGUACAUGCAUUUAGUUCAAUAGAGUGUAUAUGUCGACUAGAAAGUGACGGCUUAAUAAGAUUUAAGUUAAACACAUGAGACAAAACUGGAUUUGCACACACUAACCGGUGAAAAUUUGAUACUUUUUGCAGGACACAUUGAGAUCUAGCCCCGCAGAGAACAAAGCUAUGAAAAGAGCAAGUUUUGUGGGAGUAUCAACCACCACUUUCUUCUACAUCUUAUGUGGUUGUCUUGGAUAUGCUGCAUUUGGAAACAAAGCCCCUGGUGAUUUCCUCACAGAUUUCGGAUUCUACGAGCCAUUUUGGCUCAUUGACUUUGCAAACGCUUGCAUUGCUUUCCAUCUCAUUGGUGCCUAUCAGGUAAAACCAAAUCCAAAAGGAGAAAAAGAUUGUUUUCUUUUUGCACUUUCUCGCAGUUUAGCUAAUGAAAAAGAAACAUACUUCUUGCAGGUGUUCGCGCAGCCCAUAUUCCAGUUUGUUGAGAAGAAAUGCAAUAGAAACUGGCCUGACAACAAGUUCAUCACAUCUGAAUAUUCAGUAAACAUACCAUUCCUUGGAAAAUUCAACAUCAACCUCUUCAGACUAGUGUGGAGGACAGCUUAUGUGGUUAUAACAACUUUAGUAGCUAUGAUAUUCCCUUUCUUCAACGCCAUCUUGGGUCUUAUCGGAGCAGCUUCCUUCUGGCCUUUAACUGUUUAUUUCCCCGUGGAGAUGCACAUAGCACAAACUAAGGUUAAGAAAUACUCUCCUAGAUGGAUUGGGCUGAAAAUGUUGUGCUGGGUUUGCUUGAUCGUCUCCCUGUUAGCUGCUGCUGGAUCCAUCGCUGGACUGAUAAGUAGUGUGAAGACAUACAAGCCCUUCCGGACUAUCCAUGAGUGAGUUUGAGAUCCAUGCAUGAGAGUGAAAAAAUGUAACAGUUUGGUAUUUUCUUUGUAACUGUUUGGUGUCUAAAAUCCAAAUGAAAAUAUUGUAUUGCUUAAAAAGCUACAUGAAUGUCUAUGUAUCAUCCACAACUUUCAGUGUAAUACAUAUGACCCAAUAAUAGCUUUUUCAAAUUUGAUUGAUCAUGUAUAAACCAUACGAACAUAGCCCAUGUCCGAAGAGAGACAAUGAAUCUCAUGUACUUGCAGAAUCCAUUUGUUUCGUUUCUUCUUCUCUUAAGCCCUCUCCCCCUUGAUUCUCUGGAACGUAAGCUUUCGGAUCAAAAUCUCAAUUCUUUUCUGAUCUCUCUCAACGCCACAGUUCAUGGACGGAACCUGUGUGGUUUUCGUCACCGCUUUCGUCCGGUGGGUUUUCUUGGUACGAACCAUUUUGCGAUUUAUAAGAACGAAAUUUACUGUUUUUUAUUUGCGAGUUGAUAUCAUCAAGUUAUCUUUAAAUGUACUUGUACAUCAAAUUGCAUUAAUAUAUUAGGGAUCAAAUCCACAAACUAAUGUUACUCUAAAUUCUUCAAGAGAAAAGAAUUAAACAAUAUAAAAAAGUUUGUUUGUAGUUUUGAGUGCAAAAAAAAAAACAAAUGGACAGAAUGUAAAUAUGAUGUUUGAAAAAAGAGUCAUGGAAAAUUAUGAUUUGUCUUCAGUAAACGAACAUAAAUUUUGGUUGCCUGAUAGAGCACAGCAUUCUAUUGUUACUCUAAUCGAACCAGUUACAAUCUCAAGAUCUCAAGGAGACCUUGAGCCUAUACACAUAAGAUCUCUCUCAGUGUCCCACACAAUUUCCCAGUAAAUGGCCAACCUCUCUUAGACUCAUUAUUUAUAGUCUAAACGAUAUACAACUCAAGACUCAGCAAACUCUCUUGCCUAAAGUUGUUACUCCACCUCCACAUCAUCACUGCUUCUUGAUUGGAUCAGCUCAACCUUGGCACUUAUCAUUGCACCAUUAGAUGGACCUCAAACAUCUGGCAUAUGAAGCUAAAUAAAUUACCUAUCAUUUGUUAAAAAAGAGCUCAAUCUUAUUAGUGGAAAGUCUUUCAUCUAUUGGUAAAAGCGACGCAUCUACAUAAUUUUGUAUUUUAUAUGCUCAUAUAAUCCAAAAGGCGACAAAAUGGUCGCCAUCGAAUGAUCUCAAUGCGCACUCGGUCGAUUGACCAAUGUCUACAAAAAUGCGAUCUAUCCAUCAAGGGGUUGAGUGAAAAUGUACUUAAGAUUUUUAUGGGCCAUGAACACCAUAACUUUUUCCCCAUACAUGUAUGACCAUCAAAAUCUUGAGUGCAAACACAAAAGAUGCAAUUUCCAAGUCAUGAUAGGAUAAUUUUUCUCGUGCUUCCUCAACUGCGGAUAUUCAUAAGCAAUCAUGCGCUUUUCAAGUAUAAGAAACUCCAGGCUGGGGUUUAUAACUAAAAAUUUUCUUUGUGUGAAAGGAACCUAGUAAAAUGUGCUUAACAUGUAGUUUUCUCUAAACAUAAAUAGAUGUGUGUAUAUAGAUACUGACCAGCUGCAUCACCAUUCACCAAGCUUGAAGGUAUGUAUGACUAAAACCAUUAUCUUGUUUUUCGCUGUCUUGUUUUUCUCCCUGUCACUGGUUUUUAAUCAGCAAAUAAAUCACAUAAUUAGGGGGAAACUGAUGAGGUGAGUUUGUAUAUUUGAUGCUGAUGGAUAAUCGUUGAAGCAAAGAUGUAACAUUUUCAAUACGUAGGCACUAUCUUAAUGAAAAUUUCGGUACAUAUCACUUUUAAAAUACGUUUGCAUUUACUAGUUAUUGUACUAACUGGAUAGCCAUUAAUUUGAAUAAGAACAUUUUCAACUGACCUUCCACCUACGAUUAGAGUCCAAAAAAAUAGUUCGCUUUCAAUCCAAGCUAUCCAAGCUAUCCAAGCAUAAACAAUUAUAAAAUAAUUAUCAAGUUGGGAGCUCUUAACUAAUCUUCAAAGUUUUGUUCUUCCUCGCGAUGAUUACCUCUCGCCUUCUUUUUCCAUUUUGUUUCUCGCAAAUUGGGUAACAGAUUUUACUUCAAGUCUUCAACCAAACCAGCAACUAGGUCGGUCCUAAUAUUUUAGGGAUGUGAGGCCAAAAUAACUGUUUCUGCCUUUAGUUUUCUAAAGCUUAAAUUUUAUUAAUAAAUUGAAAUCUGAUACAAAACGGCGGUUUAAGGGAUACAACUCUAGUUUUUAUAUCAAAGGUUGCCACACAAUUGCAUAUUUUUUCCCAUUUUCUAACGAUGAAAAGCCUGUUAGGUAAUAACAAUAUCAAGUCUGUUCAUGUUUAUUUAUACUCGUUAAUUGUAUAUUGUACCAAAUAUCUAACUUAGAGCAUUUCCAAAAGAAACUCUAUAACUUCAAAUAUAUAAUUUUUUGCUCUUAAAAAAAGAACUUAAAAACUUUAAAUUUCGAGUUUUAAGGAAGUUUCACUACUCAAAACUCUAAAUUUGAAUUUUCAUAUGGUAUUUGCAUUUUAGUCAUUAUAAUUAAUUAUACAUCACAUUUAUGAUUCUUAAGUAUUUUUUCAUUUAUCAUUUUAAUCUUUAAAAUUUUUGUAUAUCAGAAAUAUUUCAAAUUUAAUUUUAUAACUUCAAAUUUUACACAUUAAAUUAAAAAAAAAUUAAAAUAAGAUUUAUAAUAUUGUAAGACUAUAAUUAAACAACAAAAAUGUUACAAAAGAAACUUAAUAAAAGACAUUUUAAAAAGAUGCAGAAAACACAAUUACUACGGAAAUUUAAAUAUUACAACAACAAUAGUAGUCUUGUAAAUUUUCUCCGAAACCUCUAGAAUAUUGUCCAAACAAGUUUUGUGUAACCAAACUAUUUUAUGGAAUAAUUUUGUAUUUUGCUUGUAUUAACAUUUAAUUAUUUAAUUAUAUUUUAUAUUUUAGUGUAAGAUUUUAUUAAUUAAUAUUACUGUAAUAUUUUUACAUAUGUGCUAGUUACUUAUAAAUUUUUAUGGAUUUAUAUUAAUUAUGAUAAAUAUAAAGACCACAGUGUAAAUUACAAAUAAUUUUGAAGUUAUAUUAAAAGUUUUGCUUUGGAGAAGAACACUUUGAAACUUCAAAAUAGAGUUUUGGAAAUUCUAAAAUACAGAGGUUUUUUUGGAAAUGCUCUUAUUUCGAUUAGGAUAUCGACAACAUUGAGACGAUAUCUUCGAUUAUGACAUUAGGCUAACCCGGAGUCCUUCUUUAAAGAAAAAAUAUUUAGUAAUAGCUAGUGUGGAGGACAGCUUAUGUGGUUAUAACAACUUUAGUAGCUAUGAUAUUCCCUUUCUUCAACGCCAUCUUGGGUCUUAUCGGAGCAGCUUCCUUCUGGCCUUUAACGGUUUAUUUCCCCGUGGAGAUGCACAUAGCACAAACUAAGGUUAAGAAAUACUCUUCUAGAUGGAUUGGGCUGAAAAUGUUGUGCUGGGUUUGCUUGAUCGUCUCCCUGUUAGCCGCUGCUGGAUCCAUCGCUGGACUGAUAAGUAGUGUCAAGACAUACAAGCCCUUCCGGACUAUCCAUGAGUGAGUUUGAGAUCCAUGCAUGAGAGUGAAAAAAUGUAACAGUUUGGUAUUUUCUUUGUAACUGUUUGGUGUCUAAAAUCCAAAUGAAAAUAUUGUAUUGCUUAAAAAGCUACAUGAAUGUCUAUGUAUCAUCCACAACUUUCAGUGUAAUACAUAUGACCCAAUAAUAGCUUUUUCAAAUUUGAUUGAUCAUGUAUAAACCAUACGAACAUAGCCCAUGUCCGAAGAGAGACAAUGAAUCUCAUGUACUUGCAGAAUCCAUUUGUUUCGUUUCUUCUUCUCUUAAGCCCUCUCCCCCUUGAUUCUCUGGAACGUAAGCUUUCGGAUCAAAAUCUCAAUUCUUUUCUGAUCUCUCUCAACGCCACAGUUCAUGGACGGAACCUGUGUGGUUUUCGUCACCGCUUUCGUCCGGUGGGUUUUCUUGGUACGAACCAUUUUGCGAUUUAUAAGAACGAAAUUUACUGUUUUUUAUUUGCGAGUUGAUAUCAUCAAGUUAUCUUUAAAUGUACUUGUACAUCAAAUUGCAUUAAUAUAUUAGGGAUCAAAUCCACAAACUAAUGUUACUCUAAAUUCUUCAAGAGAAAAGAAUUAAACAAUAUAAAAAAGUUUGUUUGUAGUUUUGAGUGCAAAAAAAAAAACAAAUGGACAGAAUGUAAAUAUGAUGUUUGAAAAAAGAGUCAUGGAAAAUUAUGAUUUGUCUUCAGUAAACGAACAUAAAUUUUGGUUGCCUGAUAGAGCACAGCAUUCUAUUGUUACUCUAAUCGAACCAGUUACAAUCUCAAGAUCUCAAGGAGACCUUGAGCCUAUACACAUAAGAUCUCUCUCAGUGUCCCACACAAUUUCCCAGUAAAUGGCCAACCUCUCUUAGACUCAUUAUUUAUAGUCUAAACGAUAUACAACUCAAGACUCAGCAAACUCUCUUGCCUAAAGUUGUUACUCCACCUCCACAUCAUCACUGCUUCUUGAUUGGAUCAGCUCAACCUUGGCACUUAUCAUUGCACCAUUAGAUGGACCUCAAACAUCUGGCAUAUGAAGCUAAAUAAAUUACCUAUCAUUUGUUAAAAAAGAGCUCAAUCUUAUUAGUGGAAAGUCUUUCAUCUAUUGGUAAAAGCGACGCAUCUACAUAAUUUUGUAUUUUAUAUGCUCAUAUAAUCCAAAAGGCGACAAAAUGGUCGCCAUCGAAUGAUCUCAAUGCGCACUCGGUCGAUUGACCAAUGUCUACAAAAAUGCGAUCUAUCCAUCAAGGGGUUGAGUGAAAAUGUACUUAAGAUUUUUAUGGGCCAUGAACACCAUAACUUUUUCCCCAUACAUGUAUGACCAUCAAAAUCUUGAGUGCAAACACAAAAGAUGCAAUUUCCAAGUCAUGAUAGGAUAAUUUUUCUCGUGCUUCCUCAACUGCGGAUAUUCAUAAGCAAUCAUGCGCUUUUCAAGUAUAAGAAACUCCAGGCUGGGGUUUAUAACUAAAAAUUUUCUUUGUGUGAAAGGAACCUAGUAAAAUGUGCUUAACAUGUAGUUUUCUCUAAACAUAAAUAGAUGUGUGUAUAUAGAUACUGACCAGCUGCAUCACCAUUCACCAAGCUUGAAGGUAUGUAUGACUAAAACCAUUAUCUUGUUUUUCGCUGUCUUGUUUUUCUCCCUGUCACUGGUUUUUAAUCAGCAAAUAAAUCACAUAAUUAGGGGGAAACUGAUGAGGUGAGUUUGUAUAUUUGAUGCUGAUGGAUAAUCGUUGAAGCAAAGAUGUAACAUUUUCAAUACGUAGGCACUAUCUUAAUGAAAAUUUCGGUACAUAUCACUUUUAAAAUACGUUUGCAUUUACUAGUUAUUGUACUAACUGGAUAGCCAUUAAUUUGAAUAAGAACAUUUUCAACUGACCUUCCACCUACGAUUAGAGUCCAAAAAAAUAGUUCGCUUUCAAUCCAAGCUAUCCAAGCUAUCCAAGCAUAAACAAUUAUAAAAUAAUUAUCAAGUUGGGAGCUCUUAACUAAUCUUCAAAGUUUUGUUCUUCCUCGCGAUGAUUACCUCUCGCCUUCUUUUUCCAUUUUGUUUCUCGCAAAUUGGGUAACAGAUUUUACUUCAAGUCUUCAACCAAACCAGCAACUAGGUCGGUCCUAAUAUUUUAGGGAUGUGAGGCCAAAAUAACUGUUUCUGCCUUUAGUUUUCUAAAGCUUAAAUUUUAUUAAUAAAUUGAAAUCUGAUACAAAACGGCGGUUUAAGGGAUACAACUCUAGUUUUUAUAUCAAAGGUUGCCACACAAUUGCAUAUUUUUUCCCAUUUUCUAACGAUGAAAAGCCUGUUAGGUAAUAACAAUAUCAAGUCUGUUCAUGUUUAUUUAUACUCGUUAAUUGUAUAUUGUACCAAAUAUCUAACUUAGAGCAUUUCCAAAAGAAACUCUAUAACUUCAAAUAUAUAAUUUUUUGCUCUUAAAAAAAGAACUUAAAAACUUUAAAUUUCGAGUUUUAAGGAAGUUUCACUACUCAAAACUCUAAAUUUGAAUUUUCAUAUGGUAUUUGCAUUUUAGUCAUUAUAAUUAAUUAUACAUCACAUUUAUGAUUCUUAAGUAUUUUUUCAUUUAUCAUUUUAAUCUUUAAAAUUUUUGUAUAUCAGAAAUAUUUCAAAUUUAAUUUUAUAACUUCAAAUUUUACACAUUAAAUUAAAAAAAAAUUAAAAUAAGAUUUAUAAUAUUGUAAGACUAUAAUUAAACAACAAAAAUGUUACAAAAGAAACUUAAUAAAAGACAUUUUAAAAAGAUGCAGAAAACACAAUUACUACGGAAAUUUAAAUAUUACAACAACAAUAGUAGUCUUGUAAAUUUUCUCCGAAACCUCUAGAAUAUUGUCCAAACAAGUUUUGUGUAACCAAACUAUUUUAUGGAAUAAUUUUGUAUUUUGCUUGUAUUAACAUUUAAUUAUUUAAUUAUAUUUUAUAUUUUAGUGUAAGAUUUUAUUAAUUAAUAUUACUGUAAUAUUUUUACAUAUGUGCUAGUUACUUAUAAAUUUUUAUGGAUUUAUAUUAAUUAUGAUAAAUAUAAAGACCACAGUGUAAAUUACAAAUAAUUUUGAAGUUAUAUUAAAAGUUUUGCUUUGGAGAAGAACACUUUGAAACUUCAAAAUAGAGUUUUGGAAAUUCUAAAAUACAGAGGUUUUUUUGGAAAUGCUCUUAUUUCGAUUAGGAUAUCGACAACAUUGAGACGAUAUCUUCGAUUAUGACAUUAGGCUAACCCGGAGUCCUUCUUUAAAGAAAAAAUAUUUAGUAAUAGUUUUUAAGAUUGCCACAAGUUUUUGAGGAACAACUUUUAUAAUCUUCUGGUUCUAGGACUAGAACAUGUUAAUUUUUAGAAAUUUUUUAAAUUAGUUUAUGUGUUGACGUUAAAGGUUUUCUUUUUAUGAAGAAUUUCGUAGCACAUAAAUUGAACUAUAAACCAAGCAGUAGUAGUUUAGUGGUAAUUUUUUAGAGUUUUGUCUGUAUCAAUAUCUGUUAUGGAUUCGAUUAUCCCUGUAAACUAAAUUUUUGCUAUUUGGUCAAUUUGAAUUUGGGUUUUGAUUCAUGUGGUUAACAUGGUGAGCUGUAACAAACGAUUGGUUCACGUUCUGGUAUUAAUUAAAAGAUAUUCCAAAUUUGGAUCAGACAAUAUGAUAUAGUUUCGAGUGUCUAUUAUGUAACACUAAGUGUGUUUUUUUCUUGGAGCCCACCGGAUUAGCCGAUAAAGUUUAUAAAAAAAAUCAAUUGAACUAUAUCUUGGAUUCGUUGAUAAAAAAAUGUUCUGCUUUUGUAGUUAGUUUUUUUUUGUCAACUUGUAGUUAGUUAAUAUACGUACUACUUAACAAACAAUAUUUACCUUCGUAAUUAGUUAUUUAUCUGGAGUUAAUGAUUUACAGAAAGAUUGAGAAACGAUUACUGCACAUAGAUAUGACUGGAAUGUGAUAAGCUAUCGAUAUUCCAUUUUUCUUCUUUAAUGCGUGUCGGCUAUGUCAAAAUGACAUCGCACUUAAGUAUAUUUUGAAAAUUUAAUGCUUUAACAUUGAUGUAUUUUUUUUUUUCAAAGAUAGUUAUGGUUGUUUUUCCCAUGAAUACCAAUUUUUUUAAAGAAAAUGUCUUAUAACUUAUAAUAGUUUUUCUUUUACAUAUAUUUUCAUCAAUUAUGAAAUACUUUCGAAUUUUAAUCAUCCUACAAAUGCAGUCUUAUUAACGCUGUAAUUAACGAAUCUAACUAUUAGCAAUUGGAAACUUGGAAACACGGCAACAACUUCAUAUAUAACUACAUAACAGUUUUCUAUUGUACUGUAACUCAGUAAGAACCUAUCAGACAAUUUUGCGUGCAUCCAUAUUAAAAGAUACAUAGUCUUAGUUACCAUAUUCGUUAACUACCAUUUGUGUUAUACUCAGUGGCGGAGCCAGAAAGUUUUUGUACCGGAGUCAAUUUUUUUUUUCCAAAUACAUAAUUUAUAACCACAGAAAAACUAUAAAUAUACUUUAUGAUCAUUCAUAUUUUAAAACUUGUUUAUCAUAAUUAUUUACUACAAUUUAAAAUAUUUUCGAAAAAACAAAUCAUAAAAAAUUUUAGAAACUCAUUACUGAUGCAAUAUUGUAUUAAUAUUAUUUUUUGACCAUUUUAAUUGGCUGAUAUUUUUUUGCCGAUUCAAAAAUUGAUCCAUUAGUUAACUGAUAAAUUUAAAUCAUAAUCAUUUUUAGUUUGGUAAAAUAAAGUGGAGAGUGUAUAACAAAAAAAAAAUUAUUUAAAAAUUAUUCGGUCAGAAAAAAAUAUCCAAAAAUUGCUUGGGGAACAUGAGAGUUCUUCCUUUUUGCGUUGUCCAGAAAAGAAGUACAAAUCUUUUUUUUCAAAUUCACUCAUUAAUUUCAAACUUUUUUUUAAUAAUAGUUAUUGGACCUAAUACAAUUUGGACUUUAUUGAAAUAUGUAACUAACACUUAAUAUAAAACCGUGUUUAUUGAAAUUUAAGCUAAAAUUAAUAUAAAUCAAAUGUUUAACAAAUAAAAUAAACAUAUUAUUUAUAUAAUUUUAAGUUAUCUUCAAUCUUUAAUGUUUUGUGAUUAUAUUUGUGAAAUUAUAUUUUUAGUGGGGUCAAAUUUUCAUUUUUAAUAGGGUCAAUAAAAAUUUUCUUAAAUAAAAAAAUAUUUUUUAAAAAAGUAUUGGGGUCAGCUGACCCCACACCUCCUUCACUGCCUCCGCCCCUGGUUAUACUCAAGUGUGAUAGUUUUGAAAUAUGUUUAAUAGUUAUAUAAAUAUAUUUAGUUAAACAAUAUAUAAUGAUAUUAAUAAAAAAUCAGUGUAUCAAAGAAUGAUAAUUGAGAUGUUAGACAUGACCAAAAUUAAUUGAUUUAUUUUAAAAUUGGAUAUUCUUGCAUACAAAUAUUAUAUAUGUUUUAGUUAUUUUUUUGAUAAAAAAUAAAUAACUAAAAAAUAUAAUUAAUGUUUUAUUUAAUUCCGACAGAUUUUAUGACAAUUUAUCUAAUUAUUGUUAAAUUAUAAAGUUAAACGUAUAUGAUUUGCCAUAGAAAUAUUUUCUAUGAUAGACCUAAAAAAGGUUUUUGUCAAAAAUAUAAACCUUAAAAAUAAAAAUGACCAAAGUAAACUUAAAAUUUUUAAAUAUACACUUAUAGGGUUAAUUAAUCUAGACAUUAGAGUUUAGAGUUAAGGGGUGGGGUUUAGUGUUUAAGGUAUAGUGUUUAUAAUUUAGGGUUUAGGGUUUAGAAUUCAAGAGGGGGGGUUUUGGGGAUAGAAUUUCAAAUUUUAAAAAUUAAAAAGAAAAUUUCAAAAUAAAAAAUGCUAUUUUGGUCAUUUUAGUUUUUAGAAUCUAUUUUUGUGUCAAAAACUUAAAAAUGUCUAUUUGAGAAAAUUACUAUGUGCCAUGCAUUUAUAAAAUUUGAUUUGAUAAAAUAAUAGUAAUAAAAAAUUCAAAAGUAAAACUUCUAGCAUUAAACAUCAUAUGUUAUGUUGGAAUUCCUAGUUAUGUUGGCAUUCUCAAAGUUAACACUGUUUUCGAAAUGGAUAUAAAGCUGUGUAAUACAAAAUGAUGUUUUAGAAGUAAGUAUUUUACUAAAAUUAUAAAAAUGUAUUUGAAAUGUAAAAAAAUAUACAAUGAAACUUCUAUAAAUUAAUAAUGUUGGGACUAUACCAAAACUAUAAUUUUUUAUUAAUUUAUAGAGAUAUUAAUUUAUCGAUAUACUAAUUGAACCAAAAAUUCAAUUUGAGAUUAUAAAAUUAUAUUAUUUUAUAGAGAUUUUUAGUGUCUAUUACUUUAUAAAAUAUUAAUUUAAAGAGGUUAUACUAUAUAAAAGAAAAUUUUAACAAAUAGUUAAGUGAGUCUCGAGUAUCCUCCUACUUUUGGGAUGAAAAGAUUAAUUUAAAUUAAUUAAUUUAUUACUUACUCUGUAAACUAAAUGGGAAGCUCCGCAUCCAUAUGAACGACGUCCUUGAUUCUUUGCACUGCGUGCUAUUUUGUCCGCCUUUAUAUUUUGGGUUCGUGGUACAUGAAUGAUCGCUGAGCCGAUGAAACUUUCUUUCAAGAUCUUGAUAUCUUCCAAAUAGCUUGCAAAAGAUGGUCAUUUUUCUGGUUCUAAAACCGUCUUCACCAAUUGAGAACAAUCCGUCGUAAAUAUGACAUGAGACUGACAUAGAUUCUUCAUAUAUCCUAUUGCUCAAGGUAGUGUUUCCAUCUUUGAAUGAAAAGGAAAGAGAUUAACCCUGACAUUUUUUGCCUCCAUCAAACCAUCAAAACAUGGUAAAAUACUAUAACAACUUUGUUCGAAAAAAAUAUUACUUAAUUAUAUAAAUAGUAACUUUUAAGAAUUUAAAUGAUUACACGAUUUUUUAUUUUGAACUAAAAAUAUUUCGUAAUGAUCUUGAUUUUUUAAAAGCUAAUGAUUGAUUUCUUGUGUACAUAAAAACAAGUUAAUAAUCACAGUUAAAAUAAAUUAUUAAAAUAAUAUAUAGAUAAUGUUUUUAUAUAUUUGUUUAAUUUUAAUGAUAUAUCAAAUAGUAGUUUGUUUUAAAAUAAUUUAUUUAUACCAUUUUUCUAAACAAAAAUCGAAUCCAUGAUUUUAUUAUGCUAGUAUUAUCGGUCAAAACCUAAAUAAGAAAUUCAGAACAUAACCUGAGUUACACAACGUAAGCCUAUGCAAAAAACAUUAAUUUUAAAUAGAAAGUUAAUGUCUACCGUAUUUUAAUAAUUUUGCAUUGUCUUUUCGUAGCACAACCUCCAAGGGACUCUACAUAAAAUCCCAGAAAACAGAGCGCUCAUCCGUUCUUCAAGUAUUUAAAAAAAAAAAGAAUUAAAUCUUCAAAGAGUUUGGUUGGGUAGCUGGUCCCGCUGCUUUUUCUUGGAGUUCACUUGAAUCCUGCGAUUAACUUGAUAGAUCCACCAAGUAGCACACAACAGUUUGAUCUCUGUGCUAUAUAAUGAAGAGAUUCACGGUCUGCUGCUUCUCAAAUCCAAUUCACAAGAACAAAAAUCACAAUCCAGACAAGGUUUGUCUUAUCCUUUACACACAAAGGUUGAAUAUUUGUCUCUUUUCAUCAAAGUUUUCUCUGACCGAUAUGCUAACUUGUUCUGGGUCUGAUUCUGUUCUGUUAGAAACUAAGAAACAGCAUGGAGAUUUCAAGAAACGACAAUGGAGAGGUUAGGGUUGCAAGGGUUUGAUUGUCUUUUCGAUAUGUUCCUUUCUUCAUAGACAAGUCUUGUUCACCUUUUUCACACACUUUCUUGAAAUCUAAGCUAAACGUUUUGAUUCGAUCUUUCUCUGUUUAAUCAUGUCUCUACCAGCAUGCAAAACAGAACAACAACAACAAUGUGACACCAGUCAUCGGUUCUGAUCGUACCAAUGUUAUUGUGAACCAUGACUUCUCUUUGGGGACGCAUUCAUGGCAUCCAAAUUGCUGCGAGGCAUCUAUUGUCACCGCAGAUUCUGGUAUCCCUCACGGUGUAUUAGACCCGUCAAAGUAUGGCAGCUAUGUAGUUGUCAACAACAGGAAAGAAACUUGGCAAGGCUUAGAGCAAGACAUAACAAGCAGAGUGAAACCUUGUUCUCUCUAUAAAGUUACUGCAACUGUUGCCGUCUCUGGUCCUGUUCAAGGAUUGGAAGAGGUCAUGGCCACUCUGAAGCUCGAAAACCAACAAUCACCAACAAACUAUCAGUUCAUCGCAAAGUAAAUGCCUUUUUUACAUUUAUAAUUUUGUCUAAUAUUCACAAAAGAAGAACAUAUUUGUUUAUUUCUGAAUUUUGCAGAACUUGUGUAUUCAAGGAGAAGUGGGUGAGACUAGAAGGAAUGUUCUCGUUACCAAGCUUACCGGAGAGAGUUGUUUUCUAUUUGGAAGGUCCUUCACCAGGGAUUGAUCUCUUAAUACAGUCUGUUACCAUUCACCUUGAAAGCGAUCCUGAGGUAUAUAACUAAUCAUAUCAAUGAUUAUUUAUUUGCCUUAACUCUUACCUAUUUGAUUUUCUUUGAAGCUGGAACGACGAGAGGCUGUUACAGUGGAAGAUGAGAAUCUUGUAGUGAAUCCAAACUUUGAAGAUGGACUAAAUAACUGGUCUGGGAGAAGCUGCAAGAUUGUGUGUCAUGACUCCAUGGCUGAUGGAAAGAUAGUUCCACAAUCUGGAAAAGCUUUCGCUGCAGCGACAGAACGCACACAGAGCUGGAACGGUAUUCAACAAGAGAUUACUGGAAAAGUUGAGAGGAAACGUGUAUAUGAAGCAACCGCGGUUGUUCGUAUAUAUGGAAACAAUGUGACAAGUGCUACUGUGCAAGCUACUCUAUGGGUCCAGAACCCAAAUCAACGUGACCAAUACAUUGGCAUUGCCAAGUUAGUCUUCUUCUAAUAGCUCAGAUCAAGAAUCAUUAUAAAUGCUAAAGUGGAUGUUUAUUUUUGUUCAUAGUGUGCAAGCAACAGACAAGGAAUGGAUACAAUGUAAAGGGAAGUUCCUCCUCAAUGGUUCUGCAUCACGGGUAGUAAUUUACAUCGAAGGUCCGCCUCCAGGAACCGAUAUUCUCCUGAACAGCUUAACCGUAAAGCACGCUGAGAAAAUUCCUCCUUCACCGCGCCCAGCCAUUGAGGUUAGUCCAGAGAUCCACAUCACAUUUUAACCACAGUUUAUAUGUGAAGAUGAUGUAGGUGAAGCUACAAUAGUGCAAAAUCUAGUUUAGCUUAUUAAUCAAUCAAAACUGAAUACAAUUUUAGACAUUAACAGUUAUUUAUAAAAAAUCCUAAAACCCUAAAAACACUAAAAUAAUAAUAAAUAUAAUAUAUUUAAUAAAAUAAUUAAUAAAGUAAACAAUAAAAUAUUUUAUAUAUCUGUCAGACACAAGUUCUACAUUCCUAAAGAACAAUUUUGUAUUUGAGACUACGGUUUUAUUUGUUGUAUUUUGUUAUAGAAUCCUGCAUUUGGGGUGAACAUACUCACCAACAGCCAGUUAACCGAUGGUACAACCAACGGCUGGUUCCCAUUAGGGAACUGCACGCUAAGCGUAGCAGAAGGCUCCCCUCGCAUUCUUCCUCCAAUGGCAAGGGACUCGCUUGGACCACACGAGCCUCUAAGUGGUCGCUACAUGCUCGUGACUAACCGAACACAGACAUGGAUGGGUCCAGCUCAAAUGAUCACUGACAAACUUAAACUGUUCUUGACAUACCAAAUAUCAGUUUGGGUUAAACUCGGUUCCGGCAUUAAUAGUCCGCAGAAUGUUAAUGUCGCACUUGGUAUUGAUAGCCAAUGGGUAAACGGAGGACAAGUCGAAAUCAAUGACGAUAAAUGGCAUGAGAUUGGUGGUUCUUUCCGAGUUGAGAAGCAACCAUCAAAGGCUUUGGUUUAUAUUCAAGGCCCUUCUUCUGGCGUUGAUCUCAUGGUCGCUGGCUUGCAGAUUUUCCCUGUUGACCGGCUUGCGAGAAUCAAACACUUGAGAAGACAAAGUGACAAGGUAUAUACAAAAACACUAUGCUUCAAUAAUCUUUUAUAUCAAAUGAGACUUCAUAGUAAUGUUCUUGAUUUACAGAUCCGUAGAAGUGAUGUUAUCCUCAAAUUCUCCGGUGUUGAUGCUAGCAAAUUCUCUGGAGCUACGGUUAAAGUUAGACAGACAAGGAACAGCUUCCCUGUGGGAACUUGCAUCAGCAGAUCAAGUAUAGAUAACGAAGAUUUCGUCGAUUUUUUCUUGAAAAACUUUAACUGGGCGGUGUUCGGUAACGAGCUGAAAUGGUACUGGACGGAGCCGGAACAAGGGAAGCUUAAUUACCAAGACGCGGACGAUAUGCUCAACUUGUGUAGUAGUAACAACAUAGAAACCAGAGGGCAUUGUAUCUUUUGGGAAGUCCAAGCAACUGUUCAGCAGUGGAUACAAAAGAUGAACCAAAACGACUUAAACACCGCAGUCCAAAACCGCUUAACCGGUCUUUUAAACCGGUACAAGGGAAAAUUCAAACAUUACGAUGUGAACAACGAGAUGUUACAUGGAUCAUUCUACGAAGACAAGCUAGGCAAAGACAUAAGAGUCAACAUGUUCAAGACCGCACACCAACUAGACCCAUCCGCGACAUUAUUCGUGAAUGAUUACCACAUAGAAGACGGGUGUGAUCCAAAAUCCUGCCCGGAAAAGUACAUUGAGCAUAUUCUUGACCUGCAAGAAAAGGGUGCACCGGUCGGAGGAAUUGGGAUUCAAGGCCAUAUCGAUAGUCCAGUGGGUCCAAUUGUUUGUUCAGCUCUAGACAGACUAGGAAUCCUUGGUUUACCGAUAUGGUUCACGGAGUUAGAUGUCUCGUCCAUUAAUGAGCACAUCAGGGGAGAUGAUUUGGAGGUAAUGAUGUGGGAAGCUUUUGGACAUCCUGCGGUUGAAGGUAUCAUGUUAUGGGGAUUUUGGGAGCUGUUCAUGAGCAGAGACAAUUCUCAUUUGGUUAAUGCAGAAGGUGAUGUUAAUGAAGCUGGUAAAAGGCUUUUAGCUGUGAAGAAAGAUUGGCUCUCUCAUGCUAAUGGACAUAUUGAUCAAAACGGUGCGUUUGCGUUUAGAGGGUACCAUGGAAAUUAUGCUGUUGAAGUGAUUACUAGUACAUCUCAAAAGGUUCUUAAAACGUUUGUUGUCGAAAAAGGAGAUUCGGCUCAGGUUAUUACUGUGGAUCUUCAAGGUUUGUGAUGCCUAUAUGUGUGUUGUAUGUUUGUUUAUUUGUGUGUCUAUCAAGUUUCGAAUGUUCUUAAUCUUUUGGUGUGUAUACUUACUGCAAAAGAAAUGUUUUUAGUAUGGUGGUUUGCUUGCUUUUUGGAAUUUGAAAACAUAGAAGUAAAAUGACACUGAUAUAUAUAUAUAUACGUUUUAAGCUAAACAUAAUAUAAAGUUGAACUUUAAAGUUAAAACAGUCUUAUAUAUUUGUAUUCUAAUAAAAUAAUCUCUUAUUAUAUAUAUCCAAACUUGUAUAUAUCUAUAUAUAAAGAUGAAUUUGUUCUCUUAUGAUUUCACAUCAUACAUCAUCAAGUUCUUCCAUCUUCACUUUCCCUUGGCCCUUGGAAGCUGAAGAGGAAGUAAAUUCGAAAAAUCAAAGAAAAGAUAUAGACAAAACAAAAAGUUUUUGUUGUUUUGGUUUCAAGAAGGAGAAACAAAGAUGUUCAUAUGGAAAAGGGAAGCAGAAGCAUUUAACGCUCUGAUACAGUAUUGAAGAGUCGAAUAAAAUUAGUAUCUUCUUCACUCGAACAUUUGAACUUAUAAGAAACAAAUUUUGCUACAAACCACAAAGUAUUUUUGUUCAUCGUCAUAAUACUGGAAAAGAAAAACGUAAGUCUGAUUAAUUAUACAAUAUGAAUAAACACACAAAAUAGCAUAGAGAUUAUUAUUCGGUUGAUUCGCCGAUGCCCAAGUUGGUAAGAGAUUUGCUUCAGAUCAGAUCAUCUACAAAAAAAAAGAACCGAAAGCCAAUCGAAUUCAGCAGAAUUUUACUUCUUUUUUUUUACAAAGAAAAUGUCACAUACACCCUGUAAAUUCGGUUUCUGAUCCUUUCUGAAAACAUGAGAAUUAAUAUUGGAAAGAAAAGAUGUUUUACCUGAUGUGUCGCUUGUCCAAUGUAAUGGAAGGGAUGUGUUGGACUUUGUAAUAAUCUUCUCCUCCUUCCGACAGUCUCUCCUUCAAUUCAUCUCUCAUAUUUUCAAAACUCAGAUCCUCCAAGGAAGUGAUGAAUCGCAUCCCAUCGGGAAGCUCCUUUAAGUUCUUGCAAUGGUGAAUCAAGAGAUUGCUAAGAAGGGGCAUGGAGCCUUCUUCUACUAUCCACUCUUCCCACUCAUACAGUCCCUCUAACUCAAGAUUCUGCAAUUUAGGAAACCCACCCCUUGAGCAAACCAUUCUCCUACCCGUGAAAGAUUCAGUCCAUAAUCUAACAUCUUCCAAUUGACUCAAAUUCUCUAGAAUCGGCAUUGGAUCCUCCUUCAAACCAUUCUCCGAUAGACACAGGCUUGUUAGGCGAGAAGGGAACUGUAGUUCAUGAGAGAGCAAAGGAAUACUUGUCAUCAACCUCAGCCUUUUGAGAUUAUUGAAAUCCAAUAGAGUGCUCCAUUCUUUCGUCCCCUUACCCCCGUCAUACACUAUAUCAAGAUUUUCCAGGUGUCUCAAUCCAUGUAUCGAUGCAGAAAGAGUUUCUAAGCUGGUCUCAUCUGUUAUAUCGAUUCCAAGAGUUCUCAAUCUGGCCAUACCACGAAGAUCCUCUAAAUCGCAGUACUUUGUUGAGAAAUUAUUCAAGGUCUCCAAGUUUAGUAGAUGGUUUAAUUCCAACUUUCUCUUCUUUCGCCUACCCCUUGGUAAUUCAAGGUAUCUCAAUUCUUUCAUCCCCAACAAGAAGGUGAGCGUGGGUAAAUGAGAACACCGAAUUACAUUUAAAUUUAGAUAGAUCAGUAAUUUUAGAUUUUGUAGAGAAGAGGGAAGAUGAGAUACCCGCGCACCGUCUAAGCUCAGAUAUCUUAAGUGGACGAGCUUUCCAAUGCUAUUAGAUAACCUCCUUCCUUUAAAUUUGGCUCCAGGAAGAUGUAAUACUCUCAGAAGUUGCAACCUUGUAAAGCCUAAAUUCGAAACCCUCCAAAAUAGUUGAUCUUUUCUUCCCAUUGCAUCAAUUUGCCAAUUUUUUAGAACACCCCGAAUAAAUAUCCCAUCAGCCAAUAAUGAGCACCAAAAAUUCGACUUCCAGAUAACCACUAGAGAUCGAACCUUUGAAUAAUUAAUAUCUCUCCCAACAUCUAAUGUUGUGAUCCUCGGAUCCUGUGAGACAAACCUCCGUGGUGUAUUAAGAGACUGAGAGUGUAAAGUCGGAGAGCUGAUACCAACAAUAUGUAGGAAAUUCUCUUCUUUGGCUUUACACAAACAAAUUUCUCUCAUCAAGUCAUGCAAACGGCAUGUCUCAAAUCUCCCAGUGGUUUUGUCUAUUUCGGAUAUAACCAUAUUUCUUCUCACCAACUCCUCUAUGUAAUUAUCUCCAACAUCUUGAAUGCUGUCUCCAGUUUCAUACGUAAGUAUUCCUUCUGCAGCCCAGAAAUAGGACAAAUCUUCCACAUAUAUAUCAUAAUCUUCUGGAAAAUGGGCUAGGUAGAGGAAGCAAUACUUCAGAUAACCAGGCAACUCUUCAAAGCUUAGAGACAAUAUAUGGUUAAGCGAAUUCUUCUUGUCUUCAUUGGUUCUACCAAUGAGAUGAGAUCUAAUAUUCUCAGAUAACCGAUUCCAGUUGUGAAUUGUGUAAUUUUUAGCCAACAAUCCUCCUAACACUUUGACAGCCAAAGGCAAUCCUAGACAAUGUUCCAGCAUUUUCUUACCCAACUUUUCCAUUUCCUCAUCCUCUGGAGUCAAUUCUGCACAAAUCAUAAAACAAAAUAAAUAAGAUUUCAUUAAAAUGUGAUAAUAAGUUUUAUUUUGACAUGAUAAUAAGUUAUUUAAUGCUAAAUAGACUGUCUUGCGAUCAUUCCAAAACAUAUCUCAUUUGAAUUCUUACCAGAUGCAUUUUUUCUGGGCAUUAUACUUUGGAAAAGUGUCCAACUGUCUUGAUCAGAUAGGCAUUCUGGUUUAAAGUUGAUAUAUGUUUCUCCAGGUCCUGCGACUCUUUCAUUUCGAGAAGUAAGUAGCACCUUCGAACCUGUAAAACAUUUACCGUUUGGCUAUUAGUAAUAUAACACAAAAAGCAUAAUGAGUUUAUUUGUACAACAAGAUAAGUGGUCAUCAUCACCUGGUUUGUGUGGAAAUAUUGGCUUGAUCAUGUCCCAGUCUUCUUCUUUCCAUAUGUCAUCUAAUACGAUUAACGAGUUUGAUGUUUCUAACAUUCCAAUGAGUUCACCCUGGAGUGUGAUUUCUUUCAUAUUCUGGAUUUCAAUUUGCUCUUCUUUGGAUCUGAAAUGCUGCAAGAUUGCUUGCCACACUUUGAUCCGAUCACAGAUUUCGGAAACACAAACCCAUGCAAGUCUAUCAAACUUCUUUUUAACAAGGUUGUCAUGAAAAGCCUUUCUAGCAAGGGUGGUUUUCCCAAGACCACCCAUCCCGGUUAUGGAAACAACUUGAACAUCAUCUCGCUCCACCAAAUAUCCAAGUAAUGUCUUAACAUUUUCUUCCAUCCCCACAAGAUUGCUUUCGUUAACUUUAGCAAAUUCCAGUCUUUGUUGAGAAGGCUGUGGAUCCUUUCCAUCGUCAAUAAUCCGUUGUACUCCAAAAUCGUUCAUAUCACGAACUGCUUUCUUGAUCUUCUCACUUAAGCUUCCAAUUUCUGAUGAAAUCUUCCUGCGUUCUGGAACAAUGCACGCAAGUCUUCUGACGCUACCACGUUUUCCGAGUUCAUCUUUUAAAAUAAGGGUUUCAAUUGUAUCUUCAGCAUCAAGAACAAUCUCAUUGAUCCUUUCCACACAGUUUCGCACCACUUCUCUUGUAUGCUUUUUUGCGUCUGCAUCUUUCAAAAAUGACUUUAACGUUUUUAGAUCAGUUUUUAGCUCAUUAACUUGAUCUUCAACUCCGUGAAAUUGUUCGUAUUCAUGGCUCAGUAGGUCCCAUAGCUUUUGUAUUCCAAAUGACACAAGUUCCCCAGACAUAAUGGAUCCUGCUUUAAGUAGUAAGAAAAUAAGAAUCAAGUUACGUAGUAUUGAACGAAUACUUAUAAUCACAUCCCUAAGAGGUCAACCAAAGCAAUAUUGGAUUUAUAUAUUGUUUAUUUUUUAAAAAAAAAUAGUUGAUCUUGGAGAUGAGCUUGCGGACUCUCUUAAAACCCUGCCUGAAUUUAUAUCGGCCAAUCUAAAGUGAGGGAUGAGCGUAUUUUAGUGAGGAAGAAUGCAGCAGAAGCUACUGUCAAAUCUUUAUCCGAGUCUCUAAAAUGUGCCACUCUAAUUCGUGCCUUAAAUUUCAAUUCCGUUGAUUACUUUAAGGACCUUUUGACAGCUUUUCUAAAGCAUUAGAAAUGCUGCAUUACUCAAUAUUCAUCGUGGACGGAGUAUUGAUGAGCUGUACUUAAAUUGUUUUUUAGUUUGGAUUUUGAUCGAGUUUGAUUGGUUUUACUAUGUGAUUCAUUUUUUUUUUUGUGGUCUUUUGGUGUGCUUUAGUGAUUUUACAGAUUACGGGUUUGUUUGUUAGGAAAUGACGCGAAUAGAUGAGAGCUUGGAGCUUAAAGAGAGCAUUGAAAUUAAAUGAAGUUGAAAUGUGGGAAAGAUCAUAUGAUUUAGGAGGUUGAAGGAUAAAACCCAUCAACUAAAUUUGUUUUGGGUAAAAAACCUCAAACUAAGUAUUUAACGAAAAAAUUUUCAAACUAACUUUAUUUAAUAAAUUAAACUUUAACAUAUCAUAAUUACCAUUACUACCGGUAAAUCUUAGUUUAAAGCUUUUUACAUUAAGUAAACAUAGUUGAGGGGUUUUACCACUAAAAAUAAAAAAAAUUCAAAAUCUUAUAAUAUUAUCUAAGAAUUUGUAACUUAAAUUUUCAAAAUUAGCAUUUUUAAAUUGUGUUUUUAAAUAUAAGAGUUUGAUGUGUUUUUAACAUCAAAAUUAUAUAUGUAUAAAUUAAAAAUGUAAAAACCCAUAAAAUAUAAUAAAAAUUAUCUAAAGAUUUAUUAUUACAUUUUUAUUAGAAAAUAUAUAAUUUUAUUAAAUUUUAUUGUUUUUACAUAUUAAUCUUUUAGUAAUUUUAUAACAGGAAAAUCUUUAGAUAAUUUAUAUUAUAUUAUCUGGUUUUUUACAUUUUUAAUUUAUACAUAUAUACUGUUGAUGUUAAAAAAGACAUCAAACUCGUAUAUUUACAAAACAAAAUGCUAAUUUUGAAAAUUUAAGUUACUAAUUUUAAGAUAAUACUAUAAAAUUUUGAUUUUUUUAUUAUUUUUAGUAAAACCCCUCAACUAUGUUUACUUAAUGUAGAAACCCAUAAACUAAAAAUAUACCGGUAGUAGUGGUAAUUAUGACCUGGUAGAGUUUAAUUCAUUAAAUAAAGUUAGUUUGAGUUUUUUUGGUUAAAUAUUAAGUUUGAGAUUUUUUACCCAAAACAAACUUAGUUGAGAGGUUUUAACGUUAAAAAUCAUAUGAUUUAUUACAUAUGGAUCGACGAAAGAGUGAGAUGGUGGUUUUAGUUGUUCCUGCGCCAAAGAAGGAUGAGAAGAAGCCCAGAAAAAGCAAAAAAAAAAACAUAACCUCUGCCAGAGGCAUUAGAUCAGUCUAUCUAGAAUUUUUAUUAUCGUCAGUUUAACACACAAUCGCCACAUCUUUGAUCUAUGGAUCAGUCAAUCUCGUGCAAGAAACAUAGUAGCACCAUGGUAAAGAUCAAUCUAGUGCUUAAUAUCAAGAAUUUGUUGAAGGCACUAGAUCGGUCGAUCCAAAAAUUUAUAGCAGUCAUUUUGACACUAGAUCAACUAUCCGAGGACUACAGAUCGAUCUAUCCCACGCAAGGAAUCAAAAGAAAAUGACCAUGGAAGAGAUAUAGACUGUGAGGUUUCAUCAAAGCCCAUUAGAAUUGUUCAACGUUAGGCCGGUUUACACAAGUUGCGCUCGGACAAUUUAUGGGCUUAGUCGAUGAAGGCCAUUAGAUUAAGUGCAACAUAACAGGUGUGUUAGGUCAAGUACAAUAAAUGUUUCUGCUUUUUCAUCCACAAGAGAUCAAGCUUCAGAGAGAAACAAGUUGCACAAGAGAGACAGAGACAUUAGUAUAAGCAUAGAGAACAUUGUUGAGCUCAUAUUGUUCUAGCUUAAAGGCCUUGAAGUUAAUUGUGUCUUCUUGGUGUUUCUAAACCAUCACGGUUUUAUAAGUGAUUGGUUCUUGUAAAAUCUUAUUUAUCUAGUGGAUUUUGGGUGCAAGAGUUCUCUCACGAGACCUAUUGGUUAGAGACCGGGAACUCGUUAAAGUUGCUUGGGUUCAUUAAGCUUAUACUUACAAGUAACAAGUCGAUUGCUUAGGUUUGAGAUUCACACGAGGCUAAAAUCGUAACAAAGUGGUAUCAGAGCUCAGGUCAAAGGCGUGUGUUUAAUCUAAGGUAAGAGGAAGGUCAGCAUGUCCACCUCACAGAUUGAAGUGGACAUGUUUGACGGUACUGGAUAUUUUUUGUUGUGGAAGGUCAGGAUGUUGGCACACUUCGGUGUACUGGGUUUCAAUAGUAUUUCAGAUGAUGAGAAGCUGCUAAAGGAUCCACCAAGGGCAAAGAAAGAGCUUGAGCAAGCUAUGAAAGAUCCGCAGAAGGAACUAGCAGGAAUUGUAGAGAGUUACGAGUAUAGAUCCAAUCUAAGUUCGAAAAUUCUGAGAAGACAAAAGACUUGAUAGUGUUGAACGUGGUAAGAAAGUCCUACGUAAGAUUACACACUGUGAAACAGCCGCAUCAAUGUGGUCUACAUUGAACAAGCUGUACAUGAAGACAUCUUUGCCGAAUAGAAUCUACCUUCAGAUAAGGUUCUAUAUUCAAGAUGUCUCUGAUUCCAAGAGCAUCAACAAGAAUGUUGAUGGCUUUCUGAAACUGCUGGCAGACCUCAACAAUCUACAAGUAGAGGUGUCUGAGGAGGUACAAGCCAUCCUUGUUAUUGAGGUCACUAUCUCACCUGUAUGAUCAGUUGAAAGAGACUUUAAAGUAUGGUAGAUACACUCUGAGUCUCAGUGAGGGUGCUAAAGCUGCAAGGUUAAAGAAACGAGAGCUGAUUGAAAGCGGAAAGGGUUCUAGGUCCGCUGGAGAAGGAUUGUACGUUGACAGGGACAUAUAAGAUAAUAGGUCAAACCAUGGUAGUGGAGGAAUGGAAAGGGAAGAUCGAAGAGCAGAUUUGGCAGGUCAAAGUCUCGACCUAAGAACAACAAGGGCUGUUUUAUUUGUGGAAAGGAAGGGCACUGGAAAAGAGAUUGCCCUUAUCGGAAGUACAACAAACCAGAGAACUCAGCCAACAUUGCAGAGGAACCAAAACAGCCUCUGGUGUUAACCGUGAGCAUUCAAGACACGCAUGAAGAGUGGGUCAUGGAUUUUAGCUGUUCUUUUCACAUAACGCAGAGAAGGAGUUCUUGUUCGAUUUGGAAGAGUUCAAAGGAGGCAAGGUACUGAUGGCAAACAAUAUUCAGAGAAUUGGAAAGAUAAAGAUAAGUAAUCUUGAUGGCUCGGUUGUAGUCCUUACUGGUGUAAGAUACAUGCCAGGAAUGAGCCGGAAUCUAAUCUUAUAUGUAAUGCUGGAGACUUCAGGUUGCAUGUAUGAAGGGAAAGAAUUAAUGGUUCACUUCUACAAGGAUGAUAAAAAGGUGAUCUCUGGAAAAUAUCAUCAAGGCUUGUAUUAUCUGAAAGGAUAAGUGUUGAAGGGGCGAGACAAACUUGUACAACCAAAAAUCUGAACGGAAAAGUCUGUGGCACUCAAGACUUGGACACUUGAACCUGAAGAGUAUGAAAAUUCUAGCCAAGGAGGGAUACUUGCAUGAGAAAGAGGUUGGUGAGUUGAAUUUUUGUGAGGAGUGUGUAUGGGAAAGUCCCAUAAACAAAGUUUCACUGUUGCAAAGCAUGUUACAAAAGGAAUCCUAGACUAUGUGCAUUCAGACAUGUGGGGUUCACCAUCAACGCCAGACAUCUUGAGAGGUUGAAAGUACUUCAUAACCUUCAUUGAUGAUUACUCUAAGAAGGUAUGGCUAUACUUUCUAAAGAAUAAGAGUGAUUCAUCCGCCACAUUCAAGGAAUGGAAGACUGCUGUGGAAACCUAAAUAGAGAGGAAGAUAAAGUGUUUAAGGACACACAAUUCUUUUGAAUUUGCAACAAGGAGUUCGAUGGUUUCUGCAAAGAUGCAAGCAUCAAACGGCAUAUAACAUGUACUUACACUCCACAGAAAAGUGGAGUGUCAGAGAGGAUGAAUCAAACUAUAAUGGACAAGGUCAGGUGUAUGCUUGCUGAGACAGGGUUGGAUCAAAGUUUCUAGGCUGAAGUUGCAUCAACGGCUGUCUACUUGAUCAACAGAUCGCCGAAUUCAAUAGUAACUCCAAGUUACAUGAACAAGUUUGAUUAGGAUCAAACCCAAAUAUGAAGCAUCAAAUACGGCUUGGAUGUUCAGCGUUUGUUCAUGUUCAUCGUGUAUUCAUGGGAUACCCGUUUCCAACCGAGGAAGCUGAUGAACAUGCAGACGACGACACAGCUCAAUCAUUAGACAAUUAUGUUCUUGCACGAGACAGAGAAAAUAUGAGGAACAUGAGACCUCCAUCGAGGUAUGAGGAUGUAAAUAUUGUGGCUUAUGCUUUAACUACUACCGAGGAUUUGGAAAUUGAUGAACCAAGAUCAUAUGCUUAGGUAAUGAGGAGCAAAAAAAUGAAAGCUGUGGAAAAAAGAUGCACAGGAAGAGAUGGAUUCUCAUAAGAAGAACAUGACCUGGGAUUUGAUUGAAAAACCAGACAACCAAAAGCUGGUUGGGUGCAAGUGGAUCUUCAAAAUCAAACCAUGUAUAGCAGGGGUUGAGGAUGUGAGAUACGAUGGAAUACUAGUAGCAAAGGGGUAUUGAAAGACUGAGAGAAUUAACAACAAUGAGAUCUUCUCUCCAAUGGUGAAAUACGUCUCCAUCAGGUUCAUGCUAUCAGUUGUUGUAAAAUUAGAUUUUGAAUUGGAACAGAUGGACGUUAAGACUGCCUUUCUACAUGGAAGUUUAGAAGAAAGAAUCUUAUAAUGACUCAUCCAAGAGAUGAGAAUAAGUUUUGCUUAUUGAGGAAGUCAUUUUAUGGACUUAAGCAAUGUCCAGGAAGGUGGAAUCACAGGUUUGAUAGUUUCAUGAAAAAUAAGUUGUUUGAUAGAAGCACCAAAGAUCAAUAUGUGUACGUCAGAGAUGCACAAACUGAUAAAGUUUUUUACUUAUUGCUAUAUGUCGAUGAUAUGUUCAUUUUAUCAGGGAAUAAGAAUGUGAUUAAGAAACUCAAAGAUAGGCUGAAUGGGAAAUUCGAACUGAAAGAUAUGGAACAUGCUUCGAGAAUCCUAGGAAUGGAUAUUCGAAGGGACAGAGAGAAAGACACACUGACAUUGUCGCAUGAUACCUUCAUUGAGAAGGUAUUGAAAAUGUUUGGGAUGAUAGAUGCACAUUCAGUAAUUACCCCAACAGCUGCACACUUCAACUUGGGAAGUUUGACUGAGAAAGAAUGGAAGCUCGAAGCACCAUACAUAGAAAAUGUUCCAUACGCGAGUGAUGUGGAGAGCUUAAUGUAUGCUAUGGUCGGUUCAAGGCCAGACCUAGGGUUCGCAGUGUGGUUUAUCAGCAGGUUCAUGAGUAAACCUAGCAGAAAACAUUGGGAGGCAGUUAAAUGGGUGUUAAAGUAUCUAAAGGGAGCAUCUUAGAUCAACCUAAAAUUCAAGAAGCAUACAAAGUUCAUUAUUGAAGGUUACACAGAUUCAGACUAUGCAACUGACUUGGACAUGCGGAAAUCAGACACAUGAUACAUCUUCAAGGUUGGAGGGAACACGGUGUCAUGGAAAUCUUGUCUGCAGUGUGUGGUUGCUCUUUCCACCGCAGAAACAGAGUACAUGGGAAUAAACGAGGCAACAAAGGAAGGUUUGUGGUUAAAAGGAUUAUGUGCAGAGUUAGGUUUCAAGCACGAUAGUUUUCACUUGCAUUAUGAUUCACAGAGUGCUAUAACCCUAGCAAAAACCCAAUUUAUCACGAAAGGACAAAGCACAUAGACAAUAAAUUCCACUUCAUCAGGGAUCUAAUAUCAUAUGAAGUUAAAAUCCUAAACAAUAUCAACACUACAGUCAAUCCAGCAGAUUUUCUAACUAAGACCGUACCUGGUCAGAAGUUCCAGCUAUGCUGCGAGAUUGUGAACCUUCACUGAGACAGGAACGGCCCCGCCAGGUAACUCCAGAGUAUACAAGAAUACCUCACAAGACACGUCACAGAGCAAAGGACAAGCAUAUCAAAAUCAGAGGAUGAGUUAGUCUAAGUGUUUGAAGAAGGACUACCUAGCAAAAGGGGUGGACUCGUCUUAAGGUGGAGAAUCUUUCACCUGAGAAGCAAACAGAGAACCAUAGUCACUGUUAAGCAGGCUUAAUUAAAGAAAAAGGUGAUUCAAGGUUAGACUUAGCUCGAAGAUUCUUGUGAAAGACAAAGGAAAUGCGCAGGAAGAAUCGGGUUGAACAAGUUGUUACGAAUGAUUGUAAUCUUGAGGAUUAAGGAUAUGAGACAACAAUAAUCAACACUUGGUCAAGAAGCAUAAAGUCGCUACCACAACUAGUAGAAGCGUCUGUGAGUUUACCUUAGAGGAAUCGUCAUGAAGUGUCUGAGUCGGAGGUUUGAGUUGAACAGGCUCAGAAGAAAUAAGGGACGCAGUUUGGUCUCACGACCACAAUCGUCAAAAGAAAGGUCUGAGUUAACUUGGGUGGACUGAGACACCUCAAGUAAAUAGCUGAAAGACCGAAGCUUUAGCAACAUCAACCAUCAUAGAUUAAGGUGGAGCUCCAGAUAUGUCAUCAGAGUUCGUCAAGAGGAACAUACAUCAAGAUCGGUGGACAAAUUGAUCAGUUACCUUUACAGAACCAAAGUGAUUUCAAGAGAAAGAAGUCAAGGAAGAAGGCCAGAGUUACCUAAGGUUCAGCAUAGUGCACAUAGAUGGUGUUCGAAGGAAACAUUCACCAGAGGCAAAUCGGUGACUCAUCAUAAAUGAGAGAAGGAAUACGAAGAGAGAAGGUGGUGACUUUCUGAGGGUUGUCACAAGUGAGAAGAGACAUGGACAAGGAAGUGUCAUCAGAGAAGCAAGGGUUAUGGGUGUGGGCCAAACAUGUGAAGUUUUGUGAGGUUUGGUCAAAGUCUAUCAAACUUGUUCAAUGUUGGGCUGGCUUGCACAAGUUACACGUGGACAAUCUAUGGGCUUAAUAGACGAAACCCAUUAGGUUAAGUGCAACAUAAAAAGUGUGUUAGGUCAAGUUACAAGACACGGUUCUUCUUCUUCAGCCACAAGAGAUCAAGAUUCAGAGAGACAAGUUGCACAAGAGAGACAUAGACAUUAGUAUAAGAAUAGAGAACAUUGUUGAGCUCAUAUUGUUCUAGCUUAAAGGCCUUAAGACUAAUCGUGUCUUCUUGGUGUUUCUAAACCAUCACGAUUCUACAAAUGAUUGGUUCUUGUAAACUCUUAUUGAGAAAAAAGUUGCACAAGAGAGACACAGACAUUAGUAUAAGCAUAGAGAACAUUGUUGAGCUCAUAUUGUUCUAGCUUAAAGGCCUUGAGACUAAUUGUGUCUUCUUGGUGUUUCUAAACCAUCACGGUUCUAUAAGUGAUUGGUUCUUGUAAACUCUUAUUGAUCUAGUAGAGUUUGGAGCGAAAGUUCUCCCACAAGACGUACCGGUUAGAGGUCGGGAACUCGUUAAACUUGCUUGUGUUCAUUAAGCUUAACUUACGAGUAACAAGUUGAUUGCUUAGGUUUGAGAAUCACACAAGGCUGAAAUCAUAACUUAGACUGGUCCAUGUUUUGUAGAUUAACUGAUCUCGUGUGUUGCAAAUCCACUUAACAUAAACCAACCCGAAUCCGACAAAGAGUACCAUUUAUACAAGAAUAAAUAUUAAAUCAAGAAACUCGUAUUUUUAUAUAUUAUAUUCACUUUCUUUUCUUUUCUGAGUUCUGGAGAAGCCAUUGAGAUUUUGUAAACAUAUGGAGAAGAUUUUCUCUUCUUCUCAAUUUGGAGAAGUUUUCAGAACCCUCUGGCUUAUUAUGUUCAAUCUCAUGAUGUUAAAACAACUUAUAUGAAUUGACCGUAUAAAUCAAUGUUAUUAAUAAAAUCGCACUUAUAUAAAUUGACUGUCAGAGUAUUAGUCAUCUGUUAAUUUAUCAAAACGACAUUGUUUUGGAUAAAUUUUGUAAAAUUAAAAAUUAUUUUUUUUGGAGGUUUGAACUCUUGCACAAGUGGACAAGUAAGAGCAUAUUAACUGCAAGACAAAGUAAUGUUCUUGUAUAAAUUGUGUAAAUAUUAAUAUAUAAGUUUUAGUUUAAUCAAAUAAAUUUUAUCAAGUUUUUUACUUUUUUUAGUUUUAUCAAAUAAAUAAAUAGUUAUUUAUAUGUUUAAAUUUAACUUUAAAAAUCAUUGUUUUACAUAUUUAAAUGAUUUAUUAUUAAUUUAAAUAUUUACUUUAUAGGAUUGCUAAAAAAAUGAAAUAUAUUGUAAAAUUUCGAAUUAUGUGUUCUUUAUUUAUAUAAAUUUACAUUUUAAAAACCAUUACAGAAAUAUUUUAAAUUAAUAACAUUUAAAAAAAAUAAACUUUAUUUUAAAAUUUGACCAUCAAUAUAUAUAAGCACGAUUUUGAGAGUUUAUGUAGUAGUUAUCAAAAAUGAUGUAUUUUUGAUAAAUUAACGGAUGACUAACACCUUAACGGUUAAUGUAUAUAUAAGCACAAUUUCAAAAGUUCAUGAAAUAUUUUUAAAUUAUUGUUUAGUUAAAUAUGUAAUAUGCACUACUAUAAAGUUUGGAAAGGAAAGAGCACGACGCAUAAAGUUCAUGUAGUAUUUUUGAAUUUUGUUAGUUCAGUAUGAAAUAUACACUGCUAUAAAGUUUGAGAAAGAAAAUGCAGGACACGUAAAAUUCACGUUGAAACAGAAAAUAUUGAUAUCUUCAUGGGAAUCACCCAGAUACUCGCAAUACCUAAAAGGACAAAAAGAAAUUAAGGAAUGGUUUCGCAAGGUUGAACAAAUUAUUCUUAACUGGUAAAAAACUCUUGAAGAAUCAAAAGUUGGAAUUGCUUCCAUCCAGUUUUAUGGGAUACCAGAAACUUGGCAUAAGUCAUUAUUACAAGAAGAAAAUUACACAGUUGUUGUUAGGAAUUGGAUAACGUAUUAUACGUAUAAGAAUCUGCUCAUAGAAGGAUUUGAGGAGGUGUGUUAGAUGAUCCUAUAGCAAAGUUGAAAGAACUGAAUGGAACAGAUUGCUGAUAGAUAUCACAGUGAUAGAAGUUUUGGAAUAGGUGAUGCAGUCUAUGUGAAGCUUCAGCCAUAUAUGCAGGGCCGGCCUAUGGCGGAAGCAGGAGAAGCAUGUGUUUAGGGCCCACUUAAAUUUUUGUUUUGUUUCUUAUGAAAUUAUCAUAUAUUUUCAUAAUUAUUAUUGAGAAUGAUGAAAGUAGAAGAUGGGAAGAAUAUUGUAUUUACUCUCGUAAUCCUUAGCUUUAUAUUACACACGUUUAUAUACUACUAUGAUUACUUAAACUAGGCUAGAUAUAAAUAUACGAGAAUCUAAUAAUAAAAACAUAAUAUAUUUACAUCAUAAUUAUGAUAUAGUCCAAUAUCUUCAACAUCUUUCUAUACGCCCCUCAAGUCAAGGCGGAUAAAGUGUAAACGGAAGCAACGGCUUGAGAUUGACUUGCAGAUUCGAAGUAGGGAUAGGAACAUGUGAGUUAUGGUGGCUAGAUUGCUCGACACUGAGAGAGAUGGAUAGACCUGUAGAUGGAGGAUGGUGCGAAGCAAGGUGGUGUAGAUGAAUAUGCAGAUUGUAGACUCGUCCGGAGUGUAAGGCUUGAGACCCACGCUUGCGCAAAGAGAUCUCGGAAAGCUCAUGCGAAGAUCGGCUGAUCUUGUGACGGUGAUUGAGAUCCAAGGUUAGUAGAUCCAGUGUACCAACGGCAGUGGUGAUGGUGGGAGGUGAUCAUUUGUGGUGAUGGUGGUGAUUAUUGAUUUAAAAUGAAGCGAUAUGAUGCUUGUCGAGUAAGGAGCAGAGAUCAAAGAUCUCGUUGUUAAAGAUCUCGUUGUUAGGCAUCCUUAAGUGACUUGAGUUGCCGCAAACGUUAAAAAGCCUAGAGUUGCCAUGGAGAUUGUGCUCUGGACGAAGAAGAUCUUUUUUUUAAAAGAAAAUUUAAAUAACAAAAAUCUAAAUAUAUAGCUAAUAAGUUUUCAGAAAAUAUAAAAAAUUUAUUUUUAUUUUCUUUUAUAGGAGAAAACUGUUUUUUUUUUUUUGCAAAAGAAACAAAAAUUUAAAUGACCAAAAUGGUUUUAGAAUCCAGAGGCAUGUGAUAUGCUUGAAUUGUAGAAGCACUAGGCCUGGAUUCAGAAGUCUAUAAUAGACUUGGACAAUAAGAAGCUCAUUGGCUUAGAUUCAAAGGUUCAUGAUGAACUUGAAUAGUGAAAACAUUUAGUUUGAUAAAAAUAACAUAAAAAGAGACUCAAUGGCUUGAAAACGAAAAAUAAAGAAGAUCUGUGGCUUGAAGAGCAAAAAAAAAAAAAGGAACGGAACCAAUCGUUAGAUCAUUGUGGCUCUGAUAGAAUGUUAAGUUAGAUGGACUUCCAACCUAAAACCAAUUGGUGAUAAGUGGAUUGUCUCAUCUAUCAUAUAUAUUGAUUAGGAUCUCUUCCAACUAGCGAUGUCGGACUUUGUGUCUAAUAAUUACCACCCAUGUUUAUAGUUUUGUCUUUGGGUCAGAAUCUCUGUUUAUAGUUUAAGCAUGACAUUUUGUGGUUUAACUUUUUCCUCCAUCAUUUUCCUGCAUAUAUGUGAUGCAGUCUUUUUUGUUCGAACGAUGAUUCUGUUUAUAGAGAAUCCUCUAUUACAAAUGAUCUUGGUAUAUGUUGUUCUAGCUGAGACACUAGCUAAUUAACGCGCUUCAUACGUAAAUGUCUUUAAAGAUGAAAUUCACAUUUAUUUGCAAAUAAUAGCACCAAUCAAACUACCAGAAAUUUCUAAGGACAAUGUUUUACUGUGAAGACUUGAGAGAAAUAAAUAAACAAAAGAAAAUAGAGAUCUUAUUCACAGCAGACAAAGAAAUUUGCUAAGGAAAAAAAAAAGAAAAGAAACCAGAUCGAUAACAUUAAAAGAAAAAUGACUAACCUCUUGAUGCCGCCUGGGAAGAAUAGAGAGAUUCUAGCUCUUUCGUUCCUCCAAACAAAAAGAUUUAGGUUUAUGUUUUCAAAGUUAAAAUAUCCCGUUCUUCUGGUAUUUUUCUUAGAUUUCUAGCAACUUGUGGUGUAUCUUCUUAUAACCUCACAUUCUAUGGCUCAGACUUUACAACUCUCCACAGACAACAAGGAAACUACGUAACUGUGUGGUACUCGUCUUCCAUAUUUGUACUCGCAGCAACUUGUUGUGUGUCUUCUUGCCCAUCAAUAUCAUAAUCGAUGGUUCAGACUUUUCAACUCACCACAGACAACGCUGUACUCGUCUUCCACUUGCAGAUUCGAAGUAGUGAUAGGAACAUGUGAGUUAUGGUGGCUAAAAACUCCAUAUGUUGUGGACCUUCUUGACGCGGACUACGUAGUUUUUUUCUACCUUUCUUUUCUUAUCUUCAUUGCAGAAAUUAUUUUCACUCCCUCUUAUCAGCCUCUUAGAAACAGUUUUAGGUUUAGGCUGUUAUAUCUUCUUUUUUUUUUGUUAGGCUGUUAUAUCUAUAUACAUAUUAUUAUUAUUUCCUAAGAUGAUACAAUAUAUAAUUGAUCAAUAAUUAAAAACAAAAAUUCCCUUUCGAUUUGAAGUUAUAUAUAUUUUUGUAAGACUCCUCUGCUAAAAGUUCAAUACAUUUAUUUUGACAUUGACAAAAUGUAUUACAAAAUAAAAACAAAUUGAUGGAGAUAUUAUUUCAUACCAUAUAGCUGAAAAAAUUGAUGGAGAUAUUAUUUCAUACCAUAUCGAGUUCAGAAGGAUCUUGAUCAUUGACAUCAAAGAUAAUAGCAGCUGUUUCUACCUCAUGUGAUCUUGCAAUGUUUAUAUUAGCAUCAGCAGUGGCGAGUGGCGACCGUGUUUGUGUACAUAUCGUUUGUAUCUGCAACCUUCUUUUUAGCAUCAUCCAUUGUAUCAGCUUGUUGGCUACAACCUGCUGAAUCCUUUCUCAAAGUUUUUUUGGUCUUUUCUCUAUGAUCACAUUUGGCAUCUAGCAUAACAUGCCUUUUCCUGCUGACAAACAACAAAUCAAUCUUUAGAACGAAUGUGCUUAAAGAUAGUGCGGUGCGAGCAUCCAAAGGUGCCCUUAGAUGUAGAAAGUGGAUUACAUCACUCCACAAGGCCCACCAGAUAGCAGGCCCAGUCCAUCAUAAUUAGAUAUCAGCUCAGCUCCACGAACUGAGCGACGAAACACCAAUUCAAACUUUUAGCCGGCUCAAGCAGGCAACUAAAAGCAGAUCGUCUCAGCGGCUUAACUCAAACGGCUAACUGUUCGUCCCGAUGGGCUGAAGCCAAUCAAACAAGGUGACCUAGGGUAGGGUAAGGAGAAGUAACGACUGGCUAUAUAAGGAGACAAAGAGACAUCAAAAACGGGAUCUGAAAUCAACUACACACACCUUGCGGCUAGAAUUAAAGUUUUACUUCUUUUUAUUCUUGCCGACUUGUACUUUUAUGGUGUCACCAGCUUGUUUCACCGCUUGUUUCCUUAUUUGUAAACCGACAAAACUUCUUCUGAUAUAAUAAAACAUCUUUGUUACUAACCCACCGACGAGUUUUGUCUCUCUCACUUGUUUCUGACCAAACUCGGUACAAACAUUAGCGACUAAAAAUUAUAUACCGCCACGUAAUUAUAAUUCAUUAACUAGUUCAUAUAGUAAAAACAAAUGAAAAGUUCAAAUACUAAAAAAAUAUAAAAAAAAUUAAUAAAUAUUUUAAAUGAUGAGCUUAAAAAUAAUAAAAUAGCCAACCAAAUAUUUUUUUUUUACAUGACACAACCAGAUUUUAUUUAUUGUAUUGCUUUUUACCAAUUAAAAAUGAGUAUAUACCAGUUUGGUUGCUUAUAAUAUACUUUUUUCCAAGUAUCAUAAAGCCUUAAUUUUUUUUUAACAUUUUUCUAUAUUUUUAUUAAUUGAGUUUAACUAGAUGAAUAUUAAAAAUUUGCAAUUUAUUAUUUUUAGAAAACUGGAUGCUCUAAGCCAAUGCUUCAAUUUUGAACUUUGAGGCACGGCUCUGCUUAAAGAGAAACUAUAACCUCGAUGAAACAUUAAAGACAACUAAUACCAACACUUGCAUACUACUUAAGCUUUGGGUCUGCCGUUUGAAUAGAGCUCUGUAUUUUUAAAGCAAUACACUUUGUAUUACCUUUCCAUCAAUAAUCGUUUCUAUAGUGGAACCUAAAGGCACUUUUCAUUAACCCUGGCUUGAAACCCGUUUUUCCUUGAUCAAUCUAGCCAAUGUUCAAAAGGAUAUUCUCUCUUACCUGCAAUAAAAACCAUAAACAACAACUGAGUGAUUUUUUUUUUUUUUUGAAUGAAUGAAUGAUCGCAAAAAACAUCUGUUACAAUCAAUGCAUCGUUUGUGUGGAAAUAAAUAGAGAGCUAUAUAAACUUUUACAAAAUAAUCUACUCGCAAACCAGAGGCUCAUGGCAGCCUCGGGUCUCUUGGCUCAUCUUCCUUUAAUCGAGGUGAUUCGAUCCCUGACCAAUUUAUCAAGCAGUGCCGCAAGAACUGGUGGAGCCUUUGAAAGCUCUCCCACUCGUCUCCUAUUUCUUUCAUGCCACAGAGUAUAAACUGAUAGGACCGUAUUAUAUAAACUACGGAGAACUGAAUAUUGUAAAAAAUAAAUUUGAUAAGAUUAUACCAAAGAUUAAGAAAAUGAUGAUUCAACUGCAGAGGCGAGAUAUUAUCUCUUUCCUUAACUCAAAAUACGUCCCGUAGUGCGACGGUUUGAUAACGUAAUGAGUCCCAAGAUACAACUGCAAAAAAUCUUCUGAUUUGCGUCACUCUAUCAGAAGCCUGGCGAAACUAGUUUUGUGUAUACUCUCAGACUUAAAAGAAAAAUCAAAGAGAAAGAUAAAAAAAAUAUGAGGGAUUGAUUUGAUUUUUAUUCGUGUAACAACAAGUUAACACAAGUGCUCGUUUUAUAUCUUCAAAAAAAGAUGAACACGUUAUGUAAUUAUGGAGACACUAACGUACACAAACUUUAUUACAAAUAAAGGAAAUUUGAUUCCCUUGACUGCUUUGUACGUUAGAGAUUUUAGUCAUAAUGUAGCAUUGACUAAAUCAAAAACUACCAAUAUACUAAAAUUGGAUUUAUAUUUUAUAUUUACUUAAAUAUAAAAAUAUUUUAUGAAUAAGAUUUAAAACAAAUUAAUUAACAUAAAGUCUAAUUAAUUUAUUAAAUCUACAUUCAAAUCCACAUAUCCAAAGUGAAAUAUUUGUUAAAUUUUAUAUUCAACCAAAUAUAUAGCUUUAUAAGCUUUUCAUGUCAAUCACUUUGGACUUCCAUUUCUCAUUCAAAACAACUCCGAUUUUGACCAACAAAUACACUAACUCAUAGUGUUUAUGGUGACGAUUACAUCGUGCCCAAAUUCCGGUUCUUCCGACAGACGUCUCCGUCGAAAAACUCAUCGGAAAAAUGGUCUGCACCACUUUGUCAAAAACGAGUUCCAACAUAAACUGUCGCCUGGAAGCAGUACCGAAGAAUAAAGGUAAGAGUUUUAUCUUGUAAUCUAGCUACCAGGACUAGUAGUAGCUGAUUCCACUCGUUUGAGUAUCCACUCCCAAGGAUGUUUCGAAUAACUUUGCGCCACACUUCUUCUGAAUACGAGCAUGUGAAGAACAGGUGAUCCCUGGUGUCCAUAGGAUCAUUACACAACCAGCAUUUUGUUACCGCAUGUGAAUUCCAUUUAAGCAUGCGAUCACCCGUAGAGAGGCUGUUAUUAUGGACAGCUAUCCAUACAAGCGUCGCGUUCUUUGGAGUGAUUCUUGAAACCAUACACCUACCCACCAUGGAACCUUGGGAACUACCAUUCUCGUUAGGUUCCAGGUUUCUGUUGUGCUGAAUCCCGCUUGUACAUAUCAUUCUCGACCUUCCAGCACCAUUUAUCCUCUGAUUGCGUUAGACCUCUUGUUCUCAUAUCAAGAAUUAUCUUAUCUAUUUGAACCAGAGAACUUACUCUGUGCCUUUGACCUCUACGACUGAAUUGCCAUCUCCAGAGUUGAAUUAAUCGGAAUACCAAGAUCAAUACAUCCUCUCUCAGCUAGUUUCCGCUCUUGACAUUUUAGCUUCAUUUGUUUUGUUAAAGACAAGUUCCCUGGAGUUUGAUCAAACUGUGCAUCCUAUCCACCAUCUGUUAGCUAUAACUAAAGAAGAUUAUUAGCAACGUUGCACAAAAGCAAAUCUUCUAAAAUCAACCGAAAGGUUGACACAAACUUGUGUGUAGUAGUAAAUGUCAUCCAACGGGUCAAGAUUCUUAUUGCAGUCACCAAACAAAGAAUGAAGAACCAGCCUUUGAGGAUCUUGCAGACAGCCUUCUGCCAUGGCAACUACCUUGGACCAUACACCCUCUACUAUAGAAAUAAAACGACAAUCAUAUAUAUAUAAUUUUUUUUUUGGAUAAAGCAAUUGAAGCUUUGAGGUUGCCUUACAUAUAUACUAACAUCAAACACAAAUAAAUCAUUUUAAAGAUUCUGAGAAUCAGUAAGCCCUCCAAAUACAAAGUAGUUCCUCUCAAGUGCAACAAUGACGUGACCGGCUCGAGGUGCUUCCCUGAAGUUUCCAGCUGCUUCCAUACAAACAUAUCUGAAAAACAUGACUAGAACUAUUUGAGGACAUACACACGUACACAUUAAAGAAGAUGUGACUCAAGAAUGCUUUUCGAACAUGUAUCAAGGAUGUGAACACCGGAGAGCUAAUAUUAAUCCAAUAUGAACAUUGGAGAGAUAAUAUCCAAAUCUUUACUGCCGACUUCAAUGAUUUUGUUCUUUCUCGUUGAGUAAGCUUGGCUAUCUCGUGGAGAGAGAGGCUUCUCAUGAGAUUAGGGUUUGAAAAGACUAUGAUAUGACUCAUUUUUAUGCUAAAUAGGAGAAGAAACCAAACCAUUUUGUGUGUGUGAUAAAUGUGUACGUUCGGAGGAGGAAAAUGAAGGAAAUAAGAACGUGAACUCAUGUGAUAGUGUGAUUUGUUGUUAUGGAGAGUUGACAUGGUACAAAUCCAUAUUUUUGAUUGGAUGAUUAUUUUUUUCUCACGUGGCAUAUCAUUGCCCUUUAAAUUUUCCUUUUCUAGUGUAAAAUUACCUUUUAUAACUAUUCAAUUUUUAUAUUGCAAAAAUUAUGACUUUAAAUAUAACAAGUUAUUGUUUACAGUCCAAUUUUUUUUUUUUUUUUUUUUUUUUUUUUUUUUUUUUUCUAUUACUCAAACUUGAGGUGGUCUGGGUAACCAGACCGGAAUAGAACAACCAAUAAAAAAUAACUCCCUACGAAAAGUUCUUGCAGUCUUAGCUAAAAAAUCUGAGGAUUGAUUGCGCACUCGUGGCACAUAGAUAAUCUCGAAUUCCGGAAAACAAAUCUGCAGGGUCUCUAUUUUUUCCAGUUCAGUCGCGAAGCUUGGCCACUCCUGAGGUUCCUUUAUCAUGGCGAUUAGUUCCUUGCAGUCUGUUUACAGUCCAAUUUAAAAAUUCAAUUUGGACGUUUUUAUUUCCCCUACCCCGGAUCAGAUAUAUCACAAGUUACGUAUAUAAAAGAGAUCUCUAUAUAAAAUGGCAGAGAAAUAAGACCAUCAUUAUCGGGAAUCCUUAAUGGGAUCCUUAAAUAAAAAUGAUGAUUUAAUUAAAUCAAAACAAAAGAAAAGGGUUGUUACCGAUCCUUAAUGGGGCAUUUUGGUGAUCGGUUUUAAGUGUGGUUUUUCAACCACGUGUCAGCACCACAUUUUUUUUUUCUUUGCUUUGUUUUGUUUUCUCCGUCGCGUCUCACCUCCGCCUUGGGUCUUCUUCAUCCUUGUUGACUCAGGCUUGGCUCGUUGUGGUGAUUGAGUUCGUCUUCAGGCCAGCAGCACCGGACUCGCCCUCUGACGAGAACUAACUCACUCAGGUUUGAAAAUUGUCCGAUUCUGUGAUUCCGUGUAUGCAAGAUUUGGUAUAACUUCCUCAUCAGAACCUCUGUUUUCGCCAUUACCAUUGCCAAAUCAGAUCCUGAACACGAUGAGGAAGCGUCAUCCCAAGGCGGCUUCAGAUUCGUCGUCAGAGCCAUCAUCUUCCACUCAACAAAACGAUAACAACCAUCGAUGUCCUUGAUAAGAAGGUGGUUAAUGUAAGAAGAUCGGGGAAAACGUGGUUCUCAGUGUUGAUCCUCAUCAUAUACUCCUCCUGGGCUGUUUACAAGGGAAGUCGCUUGUGUAUUCAGAUAUAAGUCACAUUGUAGUGAGGAUCAUGCCCAAGUAUGAAUCAGAAGCAGGAGAGAAUGCUAUCCUUGUCUCUUCUCACAUUGAUACUUUCUUAAACGUAUGUAUUGUCUCUUUCAUCUCCUACCAAUUGACUUUUAGAUUUAGUGUUCCUGUUUUCAUCACCAUUUUGCUAGUACUAAGUGUGUGUUUUGGUUAAAAUGUAUGAAGAGGUGGGGCUGGAGAUUGUAGCUCAUGCGUAGCUGUAAUGCUGGAGCUAGCGCGGUCUGUUUCACAGUCGGCUCAUAGAUUUAAGAACUCUGUGAUCUUCUUGUUCAAUACUGGAGAGGAAGAAGGUUUUAAUGGCGCUCAUAGCUUUAUUACAUAGGUGAAUAUAACUCCGGUCGGUUCAUGACUUUAAACACGGCAAAGCCAUAGCCAAAGACUAAAAAGGUAUUGCAUUUUGAGACUUGGAAGCAUACGUUUUCUGAAUUUGCUUGCAAGUUGCAUCCUUUUGAAGUGAUCUCAAAUGUUGUCUUUUUGGUAUAUAGUGACAAAAUUAGAAUGGAUAUGUUAGAGUUCUUCUCGAGUGUGGUUUGUGUAAAGUGUGUUUUUAACUGUGGUUUGAAUAUGUUAAUCUGAGAGGAUGAGGCUUUGGCAAUCAAGGCAGCAGGGAAGGUGUGGUAGGCUGGUAGCAGAGUAUGAUCUCCGACAGCGACUACACCGAGUUUGAGAGUUGAAGUAAUCGACCAAAACUUUACUCUUCUUCAACUCUUUCUUUUUUUCUUUACUGCUCUUGUUAAUAAAUAUGUUAGAUUCAUGUCAAAAUGUUAGGAUUGUUUGCUUGAUUUGAUUAUGAUUGUUUGAGUUAGGUUGUGGUUAGGAUUUUUUUUUAAGAAUCUUUAAUUAAGAAACUACUAUUGGAGGUACAAAAUAUAAUAGUUUCUUAAGUAAAGUUCUUAAGUCCACUAAAGUACAUUUAUAUACUUAAAUAAUCCUUAAGAAACACAAAUGGGUUUCUGUGGAUAAUCAUGCUAAGGUUAUACUACCUGAUCUCAGUCAGUCGUUCGUCAUAGGUUACGCGUGUCACGUGACACAUAGGAAAAGCUAUUCACAAAGCUUUAUCGCUAUUGGCGCUUGCUUUCCAGUUUUUUAAAUAGCAAACCUUUUCUUUUAAUGAUAUUCGUGGAGGAGACAUAUUUUUUUGCUACUCCCCUUCAUUGAUGAUAUGCUACUUACUCCCGAUCUCAUCUGAUAAUUUCUGGUUUUAUUUUGUCUGCUAUGUAAUGAUAAUAUUCAUCAAAAUUUGGUAGACCAUUUUACCAAAAAUAAAAUUGGUAGACCACGGCGUGACUUCAUCAACACGGAAGAGAGUGCCUGAUCACAAACCCCCCCCGCCAAGGUAAUCAGUAAAAUAACUUUCGCGUCUCAAUGGCCCUCCUUGAUCUUAAAUUUUUUUUUUUUGGCUUAAUUUGCAAGUAUCAAAGCAGUCAUAACAAAAUCACCAUCAAUUUUUGGAUGAAUGAAAUUAAACUCAUGAUAUUAAUUACAUAAUAACAUUUAGUUAAAGGAUGUUGUCAUGCAUAACAUAUACUUCUUGUAGUUAUACAUUAGUUUAAUUUACAUGGUUAUCUAUGUGAUGACCAAUACUUCAUAGAGAAAACGGUUAAACCAUACUUCAGCAGAGCUCGCGGUCCCGAUCAAUAUAUAUAUUAAUGACCUGCAAAAAAACACCAUACAAGACCUGUUUAGAUACCUUUUUCAUUUUUUACCGGGUACAAGGUUUCGGCUCAGAUUUUGGGUAACGUAUUUUAUGCUUAGACCAUGAUUAUCGCGAGUCUUUUAUGGGGUCCUUAACUAAAAUUGAUGAUUUAAUUAAAUCAAAACAAAAGAAAAGGGUUGUUACCGAUUCUUAAUGGGGCAUUUUGGUGAUCGGUUUUAAGUGUGGUUUUUCAACCACGUGUCAGCACCACAUAUUUUUAUUUUUUUUUCUUUGCUUUGUUUUGUUUUCUCCGUCGCGUCUCACCUCCGCCUUGGGUCUUCUUCAUCCUUGUCGACUCAGGCUUGGCUCGUUGUGGUGAUUGAGUUCGUCUUCAGGCCAGCAGCACCGGACUCGCCCUCUGACGAGAACUAACUCACUCAGGUUUGAAAAUUGUCCGAUUCUGUGAUUCCGUGUAUGCAAGAUUUGGUAUAACUUCCUCAUCAGAACCUCUGUUUUCGCCAUUACCAUUGCCAAAUCAGAUCCUGAACACGAUGAGGAAGCGUCAUCCCAAGGCGGCUUCAGAUUCGUCGUCAGAGCCAUCAUCUUCCACUCAACAAAACGAUAACAACCAUCGAUGUCCUUGAUAAGAAGGUGGUUAAUGUAAGAAGAUCGGGGAAAACGUGGUUCUCAGUGUUGAUCCUCAUCAUAUACUCCUCCUGGGCUGUUUACAAGGGAAGUCGCUUGUGUAUUCAGAUAUAAGUCACAUUGUAGUGAGGAUCAUGCCCAAGUAUGAAUCAGAAGCAGGAGAGAAUGCUAUCCUUGUCUCUUCUCACAUUGAUACUUUCUUAAACGUAUGUAUUGUCUCUUUCAUCUCCUACCAAUUGACUUUUAGAUUUAGUGUUCCUGUUUUCAUCACCAUUUUGCUAGUACUAAGUGUGUGUUUUGGUUAAAAUGUAUGAAGAGGUGGGGCUGGAGAUUGUAGCUCAUGCGUAGCUGUAAUGCUGGAGCUAGCGCGGUCUGUUUCACAGUCGGCUCAUAGAUUUAAGAACUCUGUGAUCUUCUUGUUCAAUACUGGAGAGGAAGAAGGUUUUAAUGGCGCUCAUAGCUUUAUUACACAGGUGAAUAUAACUCCGGUCGGUUCAUGACUUUAAACACGGCAAAGCCAUAGCCAAAGACUAAAAAGGUAUUGCAUUUUGAGACUUGGAAGCAUACGUUUUCUGAAUUUGCUUGCAAGUUGCAUCUUUUUGAAGUGAUCUCAAAUGUUGUCUUUUUGGUAUAUAGUGACAAAAUUAGAAUGGAUAUGUUAGAGUUCUUCUCGAGUGUGGUUUGUGUAAAGUGUGUUUUUAACUGUGGUUUGAAUAUGUUAAUCUGAGAGGAUGAGGCUUUGGCAAUCAAGGCAGCAGGGAAGGUGUGGUAGGCUGGUAGCAGAGUAUGAUCUCCGACAGCGACUACACCGAGUUUGAGAGUUGAAGUAAUCGACCAAAACUUUACUCUUCUUCAACUCUUUCUUUUUUUCUUUACUGCUCUUGUUAAUAAAUAUGUUAGAUUCAUGUCAAAAUGUUAGGAUUGUUUGCUUGAUUUGAUUAUGAUUGUUUGAGUUAGGUUGUGGUUAGGAUUUUUUUUUAAGAAUCUUUAAUUAAGAAACUACCAUUGGAGGUACAAAAUAUAAUAGUUUCUUAAGUAAAGUUCUUAAGUCCACUAAAGUACAUUUAUAUACUUAAAUAAUCCUUAAGAAACACAAAUGGGUUUCUGUGGAUAAUCAUGCUCUAACAAUUACGCGCUCUUGGCAGCGUGACUAAGGUAGCCUUUUUCGUUAAAGAAAAGAACACUAACGUAGACUUUGUCCUAAAUUUCACAACAUAACUCCGUACCACCAAGUCAACAAAACCAUGGUCCAUUUAUUUCUUCAACACGCUAUUUUUCCUUCCUCAAAAUUGACCUUAAACAAUCUACCUACCUAUACAUAAAACCAUUUCAUGCUCCAAACCAAACCCAUCAUCACUACUUCAAAACCAAAACAAAAACACAAAAACAGAGAAUAUGAGAAAGAGAGGAGAAAACAAGAACAGAUUCUUUAGAAUCAUUACCAUGCCUCUAAAAGUUUUAGGCAAGGCUCGUGACCUCUACAUGCGAAGCAUCACAGGCUGCGCAGCUCGCACUCACUACUCCUCAGCCGAUGCCGUCUCCGUUCCCUUUCCGAGAAGCCGGAGCACCUCCUCAGCCUUCUCCUCCUCCACCUCUUCGCGGAGGAUGUCUUCCGAUUUCACCUUCGACGAUGACUACAGCGAGCUGGUCAGAGCUGCUUCCGUUAGGAGUUUAGGUCAUAAGAACGAGAUUGACAUGAUCAGACACUAAAGUUUCACCACUCAUAAUUUUACUUUUUAAUUUAUGUUUAAAUUUUAAAAAUAAAUGCAUUAAUUAUAUCUCAAAACAUCAUACAUUUAUAUACAAGAUAAAAAUAUAGAACAUUUUAUAUUCGUAUCCGGAUGGAGUAUUUAAUAUAACGACAGAAUCUAAGUUUCAUUACAAGUUUUUGUAAAGAACCUGAGAUCUUCUUAUGAAGAACAAUCAUCAUGAUCAAUCCCUUUUGCCGAAUUUGAUACCUACAAUAGAAUUUAUAUAUCAAUAAAGAAAUACAAACUUAUUUUGGUUUUAUCUAAUUGACUUUUCUAAACCAAGAAAAUCAAAUGACUCGAAGUCUCGAACAGAACUAAUCAACGUUAUUUUUGGUUUUAAGAUGUACUUUCUUGGAGAAGGUGGACCAGAAUCUGAUUUCAGGUGGUAGAAAUUAGAUUUUAAAGUUUCAAACGUAUGCAAUUUAAAUAUAUAAAUUACAUAUCUUACUAUGAAUGUAGGUAGUCUUUUUUUUAAAGAAUAAAACAAGGUUUAUAUUAGGAAAUAAGUUAGAAAAGCGUUGUUGUAACGCCUAAGUCAAGGGAAAUCAAUGAAUUUACUGAAUUCUUGUUUACAAAUAUAUAAACUUUUGACAAAGAUUUUAAAAUAUAUACAUUUUUCGUGUUUCAGGUUGCACUUUUAUAUAUUUCAAUAUUUUUUUUUUUUUUGGUAGGAUUAUAUAUUUCAAUAUUGAGUUGUUGUUUACACAUGUACACACACUCGUGUCUUCAUGUGUUCUGGUAGCAAACUUAAAUAAAAUCAUUUAUUUUGUUCUGCCAUUUAAUAUAGCAGACCAACAGGACAACAGGGUGUGGUUGUGUCACUGUUGAUAGUUCUUCUGAAACAUUAAAUUCGCUUUGUCUUCACUGUGGCUUAAGUCAUAUGUUCACCAGACUUUUUUGUCGCAUUAAUAAAAUGAAACUACCAACCACUGAUUUUCAUAACUUCAUUUACUGACUACCUGCAUAUACGUAAUGGACUUGCUGCCGACUUUGUGAGACUUGUAAUAGCUUAUAUAUUUAUGGGUUCAUCUGAAUUUAAGUCUUCUGAAUCUAUACAAGUACCUAGUAGGUUAAUAACUACAAUUUCGACAGAAAAAAAAAGAACACUAAUGUAUUCUUCUUCAAUUAAUGUCUUCAAUGUUAUCUUUGUAAUCUCAAAACAAAAAUUCUAAUAAUUUUACAAGAUAAUACUCCCUCUGUUUUUAAAAAAUGCAUAUUCUAGAAUUUUCACAUAUAUUAAGAAAACUCAUUAAAUAUGCAUUGUUUUUUGUAAAUAACAAUUUUUCAUAACUUUUAGCCAAUAGAAAUUCAAUAAACACCAUUAAUUUUUUGAAACUUACAAUUUCUUCAUAAAAUCAUACAUUGAAAAAGUAAAAAAUAUAUUUUUUUGAAACAAUUUUUUUUUCAGAACAUACAUCUUUUAAGAACAGAUGGAGUAUAACAUUUUAAUGACGAUAAGUAUAUUUAUACUGUUGGGUGUACAAACAACAUAUACACUGAGACAAUGUACUCCGAUUCUGCAUAUAAGCAACCAAAUAAAAUAAAGCCUGCCUUAGGAAAGAAGUGCUUCAACUUUAGUUGGCACUUUAGUUUCCAAUAUGUUAAAUUCAGUAACAUGAUAUAAUAUUUACCUGUUUUGGUGUACUUUCACGGGUGGCAAAAAUUUCUACAACUAAUUAUUGCAUAAAAAUAGUAAAAACGCAUUGAACACUUUUAUAAAGUAAGACACUUGGGAGCGUUGAUCAAAAAAAAAAGACACUUGGGAGCUACGAAAAAGAAUGAUAUUCCAUUAGUAAGAUACAACCGUCACAACCUAUAAAACAGAAAUAAUCAAUCAUUCAUACGUUUAAGAAACACAGACACAACAAAACUCGCCACAAAGUUCAUCUCUUUAGUGUCUUUUUCAUUUUCUUUUGGACGUCAUUUCUUGUGAUAGAGAAUCAAACUGGAACUAUGAACAUUUGGUUUCUCCUUUAACUGGAGGAGCUCUGUAGUAUGCAGGCACAGUCGCUGGGAAAAACAUCUGCCUCACUCCUUCCGCCUUUAUUAUCGGAAAUAUUAUCCCCGAUGCUCCCUGCCAUUUUCGUGUCAAGAUCAUGCACUGAUACAACUUUAACAAACAACUGACUAAACUGAAACAAUGUGAUUCAUACCGAGAUCAAUUUGGCUCCAAGCCACAUGCGUUUUGGGGAAGGGAACGGGAUCAACAAGCGAAUGACUCCAUAAACCGCAACCGCAAAGAAAUGGCAGACAAGAGUCAACGGUCGAGGGUUCAAACCCGAAAGCAAAGACACUGGUCCACUCGUGCACAUACCACCAAGGCUCAGAUAAUCAAAACAAGCUUCCCUCAUCUCGUUUCUCGCUUCAUCUUUUGACGAACAGAACACUUUGUAAAGCGCAUUCGCAAGGGUGUUGAUCGUUGACGCCACUGGCUGCAAAGUUAUAUAACUUUCAGACAAUGUUUCACAGUUACACAACAAGAAAAAACUUAAUAUCUCACCUUCCGUAGAGUGUAAAAAGACUCGAGAUAUUUGCAGAGACUGGACCCGUCGCUAAGGUCACGGAGCGGUCUAAGGAGAUUACGCAGGACAACAAUGUCGGAUAACGCAACCGUCAUGCCUCCACCUGUUAACGGAUGACGCAUGUUGAAUGCGUCUCCCAUCAACAAAGCUCCUGGAGUAGGGUAAGGAGAAGCCGGCAUGCUUCUGUUGGGCAUGGACUUGAUGUUUCCUUUGUUAACCGCGGCGAUGAAAGAGUCAUAGACCUCAUGAGGCAUCUACAACACACCAAGUGUGUUACCAACAGAGAGAAGAAAGUGCACAGAAUGAUAAAAGUAGUCAUUUACCUGAGGAGCCACAACGGUUUUCAAAUAGUUUUCCAUUUCACCGUUUGCGAUAGAAGGCACUUUCUGACCAGGGACGUCGACCAGACAUCUGACCUCUGUGCUGCUGAUUGGAUACAUCAAGAUUGGUGAUGGAUCUGCUAAGACGACGUGUCCGUGGUUUGCGUAUGGGAGGUUGCAGUUCUCUAGGACCAAACCCACAAAACAUGAUGGUACAUCGACCUGCGCCAAGAUAAUACAGACAUAUACUAACUUGUAGAAUCAAAAAAGAGAGAGAACAAUACUAAAGAGCAAGUUAACCUGAGGAUUGCAUAGAGAGCGACGCAGGUUUGAGAAGCAACCGUCACAGACUAUAGUCAAAGCUGCAAAUGCUGUUGAUUCCUCUCCUGCUUUAUUCUUAUAUCUAACACCUUUGAUUGUUCCAUUCUCUUCUAGAAGAGAAACAACUGUUCCUUGCUCUAACUGAACACUGUUGAGUAAAUCAGUUAAAAACAGUCAGUACCAUUACUCUAAGAGUGGCUACCAAAUAUAUUGCCUCAUAUCAAAAACAUAUCAGUGAUUCAAAUAAUGUUCUAUGCAUCUUCGUUUGGUUUUAACAUAAGCUAAUACUAUAUGUGAAACCAGAAACGUACUUGGGAAGUGAAGCAGCUUUCUCACGCAUUCUUUGAAUAAAGCGACCAUUGUGAAAGCUCCUUCCAGAUACAUCUGUGUGAAACUUCUCCAAGGGGUAAGCUAAGCGAAUGCGUUUCCCGUUCUUGAAAAGUGCAUAACCAUACACUCGCUGAGCAUCUAUUUCCUCCACGCAAUCUGUAGAUUAGCUCCCAUGAUGUCAUGUUAUAACAGAUGCGAGAAGAUAGUGCAGAAACAGAUAGAUAAACAAAAAAAAAACACCAAGAUUCAACGCGGUUCAACAACUCGACUAUACCGGUUCGGGUUAGGAUUCGGAUUGGACAAGUGAAACCGCGGUCUAGAUAUAUAACCAUGUCAUUUACUACAAAACAUCUACAGAGUUCUGAAAUAAAUUUGUCCUUACCUUCAAUACCCAACUCAAGUAACUUGAGAUAGCCACCGGGUUGUAAAAGCUCCCCAACGAUACGAUCCGGCUCUGAUAAAUCUCUUUCAAUCACAUGAACACGACGAUUAUCCUACAACAUAUAAACACUUGUCUCUUUCAAUCACGUGUCCUGAAUCAAUACAUCUAAAAACCGUCACCACCUAGUUUCGAUCAUUAACCUCUCAAAAUUCAAAACAUAGAGGACAAUGACCUUUCCAAGAGUGUAGGCCAGAGCAGAACCAGCGACUCCGGCUCCAACAACGAUAACAUCAGAGACUGUAUCUCCGCCGUUAACAUUCAGGGAUCCAACGGUUGAUGUGACUGUGCGAUCGUGAUGGAUCUUCGAAGUUGUAGAGUCUAGUUUAUUACUGUUCCGCCUCGUCUUCACGAGAAGUCCGUAGAAAGCGAAGACUGAGAUCACUAGAACGACAGAGAUCACGAGAGGCGAGAGCCAACCGAGUAAUUGAGGCUCCAUCAUCGUCGUUAGCAUUAACAGAAAAGUUUCGAUUUCUCAGCGGAGAGAACUAGAAAGGAGAUGUGUCACGAGACUUUUGCUUUGGUUUUCUAUUUUCUAAUUUUUAUUUGACUUUUUUUAUUUGUUUUGUUUUAACUUUUACGCAAACGCCAAGUUAAUUUACGCUGGCAAUUUGAAUUAGGACAGGACAUCCAGUUCAAAUACUUAGAGCAUCCACGGUGGGAGAGUUCUUAAGUGAAUCCUUAGUGGGUGUGGAGCCCACUUUCUUAGAGUUUGUGCAAAAAAGAAUCCUUAAAAUCCUUUGAUAAGGAUUGAUCCUUACACUGUUCACGGGUCUGCUGGCCAAUGGUAUUCUCUGAUUCUCAGACUACAAAAUAAGAUAAAUUACACCAACUAACCAUAAAACUAAAAACUAAACUAAAGAUAACAUAAAUAGAUGUUUUUUAUAGAAUGUUUUAACGCAAAUAAAGAGUUUGCAAAAUUUUGGACCAGUUUUCCUUUCUAGAAUUGUUGGAAAUCUAUAACUAGUUUUCAAAAUAUAUUAGUUUGUUUAUAAACGAUUUUAUGGUGAUAUGUCACAGAUUUUUUAAUUUCUUCAUUCUUUUCCCCCAAAACAAUAAUCUUCUUUCUCAAGUCACUUUUCAAUUAUACUCAUACGUAUUGUAAUUAUUAACAUUUUAGAUUCUAAAAUGUGUAUAUAUAUAUAUGUGUGUGUAUUUGUUUACAAAAUAAAUUAUAAAUAAUUUUAUUUGUAUUUUAAUAUUUGUAGGUAUAUGUUAAGGAUAUAUAAUCGAUGAAGCAAUUUUUUGUCUAAAAAAGAACGCCUAUUUUAUUUUCUUGAUACAAUUUCUGGUUUGUGAGCUUAGCUCGAAGCCUUACAGAGACAAGUAAUCAAAGCCUUACAGAGACAAGUAAUCAAAGAUGAAUUUCACACGAGAAAACAACAAUGCCUUUGCGGGUGACCCUAGAAUUAUUUUCGGAAGGCUGGACCUUAAGAGAAAGGAUGGAAAUAUACUUUUAAACAGUUGGAGCAAAGUGUACAAAAGUUAUCACCACUCAAAGUUGAGAACUUGGUUCUCUAGGAAGAAAACUCAGCCCUGGCGAUACAAGAAGAACACGCCACAGAUUUCAAACUAAUGUUUGACCAAUGCAACCCCUGGACACUCCCGCUGGAGGAGAGAACAUGACCCGUGAACUCCUGCAACAAAUGGAUAGCCAACUGAAGGAGUGACCAUCUAAACACGGACCGUAGGUAGAUGACGAUAACUCAGAUACAGACACGAACAACUAAAUGCAAGAGACAUAUGUGGCCAAGAAAUCAGUAAAAACUACCUACAUGGAAGAGGUUUUCUCCAAGAAAUUUAAAGUAGUACGUGCAUUAAUCUAAAGACUCCUUGGUGUUGCUCUCCCAAUCAUGAGGAGUGCUCUGAAUUCCUACGCGGAUACUCCAUUCUUGGACAACAUCGCCUUGAUCGAGAUGCCAAAGAAUUUUUUUCAAAGCAUGAGAAUGUAUAACAGGACUAAUGAUCCUGAUAAUCAUGUAUCACAAUACAAACAAAUGAUACUCAUUAUAGCUAUCCAUAAGAUUUGUAUCCAGAGUCUGGAUCACUUCUCAACAACAGCAACCUGGGAAUGCAUUCCGUCUAAGUGACAUGAGAUUUAUUGGCAUCGGAUUGUUUGGUAUGCUCAGGGAAUUCCUAGAGAUUCAUUCAUGGUUUGGUUGGCUCUAAAGGAAAAAUUAUCUACAUGCGUUCGUAUGAGACAAGGGGUAUCAUCCAAGAGUGUGUAUUUUUUGGAGAGUGAGAUGAGAGUAGAGAUCACCUCUAUUUAGCUUGUCUUUACACUUACACAAUAUGGAUGACCCUUGUGGCAAAGCUUCUUGGCUUCAGGGCUACUCCAGAUUGGCCAGACACAGUUUCACUGCUGCUGCGCCCAAUCUUAGUCCGUACCAUUGAAAAGACGAUCCCUAACAAAAUUAUUUAUCUGAAUUAUCAUGGCACACAUAGGCUGGAGGGGAAACAAGUGAACAUUCAAAUUAGGCGUCUAUCUCACUCUUCAACUCAUAGCUAUAAAAACCAGAGUUAACGAGAUCACAUUCAACCGCAUUAAAUUGCUAAAAGAUAGCAACUGCGAACACCUUUGGGACCUUUUUCAACCCUAGGAUGUGAUGAGUCGAUAUCGAGGUGCCAAGCGACUCUAUCGAUAAAAUCUCUUUGGUGUCAUCAGCUUGUUAUCCCCGGCGUACCUUUGCUCGACUUUCGUCUCUGUUCUACCAGUCUGUCUCACAGCCAGGCAUGCUUAUACCAUUACACUUACGAGCAGAAUCUUUGCUCGAGCCUACCUUCUCACAACUUCCGUUACUCUUUAGGAGGCAUCGGCAAGCGUAGAUGGCUGCUUGAAGGACCUGCAUCUUUUCUUUUAGUUUUCAUACGAGUUCUAUAGUGAUUUAAAUUUAUAAAUUCAUAUUGCUCACAAUUUAUAAAUGUUCGUCAUUCAUUUGAUUGAUCAAUAUAAAAAUUAAUCCAAAAAUCCAAUUUUGUUGUUGUUUACAAUCUCAUAUGCCAUUUUGGUAAUUAACUAAUUACACAUCAUUUCAAUGUUUACUAAAUAUUAUAUACUUUACACAUAUUUACAUAACUGCCAUAUAUAUUUUAAUAUUUACAGAAAUAGUCAUGCAUGUUUUAUAUUUAAAUAGAAACCAAUAAUAUUUAAUAUUUACAAAACUAUCACUUCUUUGAUCUUUCCAGUUAUAUAAGUGCGCUUUAUUUUAAUAUUUUCAAACAUACAUUUUAUCUUUUUCUGUUUACAAAAUUGUUAUAUAUCUUUAGGUAUUUGCAAAUAUACUCCAUAUCUAUAAUAUUCAUGACCCCUUGUGUUUUGUAUUUAUAAAAGUAUCACAUAUCUUUCAACAUUUACAAAAAAAACUUAUAUGUUUUGUUAGUUUUGUAACUACCUCGACUUUUUAAAACUUACAAAAAUAAAUACAUUAUUUAUUUUGGUAUUUAUUAAAAGUACCUUGUUUUUAAUUAAAUCUAAGUUAAUUUAGGUACAUCAUAACAUUUUGAAUUUUUUUAUCUAAUAUACUAAUAUAUCUAAUCUAAGUGGUUUUAUCCAAAACCGAAGUAUCAAACUAAAAUGAACCAAGAAAAAAAAUCCGAACCAAAUUUCAUAAGUUGCCAAAUGAAUUAGAUUUUCUGAAAUUAUGAACUAAAGACAAACUAAAAAAUGAAUGGUUAUCCGAAUACCUAAAAUACAAUUUGUACCAAAAUAUUAGUUAUAUUUUAUUUUGAAACAAUAAAUAUCUACAAAUAAAAUUUACAAAUUGAACGUUUAUAUAUGUAAAUAGCUAAAAUUACCUAAAACUUUGAAUUUCUCAUAUAUAAAUUCAAUCUUGUUAUCUAAAAUAAUUGAAAUUAUCUAAUUUAUCUGAUAUUUUAAUGUGCAUAACCCUAACAACAUGAUACUUUAGUCCAAAUGUUCUGAUAUUUUAUUCAAACAACCAAAAUUUUCAAAUAUAUUAUCCAAAUUAUAUGAAAUAACCAAAAAAAAACGGAACCAAACGUGACAUGCUUUUUGGGUAUUAGCCUUUUAAUUUUAUUUCUCGAACCAAACCAAAAAAUAUAGAAAACUUACAUAAACUGAAUAACCACAAACCGGAAAAGAUAAACUAAACAAAAUUUUACAUAUGCCAUACAAUAAAAGGUUUUCCAAUGUUGAACCCAAAUUAAGAGCACCGGCAACGGCCAAGAGACCAUAUGGAUUUUUUUACCAAAUAUAAUACUAAUAUUUAUAUGUGACUUAAUUAUUCAAUUAACUUUAAAUUAAAAAUAUUGAGAAUGAUCAUUUGUGUAUAUAAUCUCUUAUGAACUUUCAUGAGUUUCUCAGUUAAGAACCUAUUCCGAACUUACUUUUUUAUUGUUCUUUUUCUCUUUCUUAUUUUUGACUAUUUUCUAUUUUUUAAUAGAUAAAGUAUUGCCUCACGUAUCAGAAAUGUUGGUGCUCUAUAAAGUUCCAAUAUCUGAAUCUGAGCCCAAGUGCUAUAUCACAAACUUUAUUUGGUCACUGUAAAAUAAUUUAUUUUGAUAAUUCUAAUAAUAUUCCAUUUCCAUAUUUAAAUGAUAUUGAGUUUGGUAAAAUAAGAAAAAUAUACUUCACUUUGAUAUUAUAAAUAAAAUAUAAAUUUAAUUUUCUAAAAUAUCAAAAUUAUAUUUAAAAAAAAAUCUUCAUAUUCAACAAAAAAAAAUCCAAAGGUAACCUAAAUACUCAUUUGAUACUUAAAAAUAACUACUAUCUGAAUACUCAAAGUGGUUUCAUUAGUAAUUACUCAAAUAUCCAAUGAGUUGAUUACCAGAAGGGACACAAUAUAUCUUUUGUUUGCAUAUAGAGACACAAUGAGCUUGUAAGUCACAUUAUCUUGGAUCAAGUAGGAAAUUAGACAUUUCUGCCUCCAUAGUUGCUUUAGGGAAGUUGUUGUCCGGUUAGGAAACCGGCUUGCUAGUUGUCUGGCCGGUUUGUACACUCCAAGGAUCGUGUGUGUAUUUUUUUUUUUACACCGUUGGAUUGGAAAAAGCACUUUUAAAUCCAAGGGUGAGUUUUGAAAGUUGUGUGAGCGUUGGGUGUGAAAAUGACGUGAGUUAAAUGCACAUUGGUGCUCAACGUUUAAGAACAAGUUACAGACACUAUAUUCUGUGUUUGCGCAAGAGGGAGCAAACUAGGUUUUUUUUUUUUGUUUCCUUUCAGCAUAAUGAAGGCAAAAGAAGCUAAAUCCUCACUCGUAUUUCGUAUUCUGUUAUGUCUUUUUGAGUUUUUCAUGCGCUAUGGAGGAGCAGUGCUUGGUGAUGUGCGGCGACUGGGUGUGUGGACAUGGAAGCAAGUGAGAUUUUGUGGUUGUUAAAUGGCAAAUGGCGCGGCUUGUUCCUGUUUCAUAAGGUAUUACAAUGAAAGAACUUCAAGUGAGUGUAUUGACGGAGUUUGGUAAAGAAGAGAAGCUGUGGAAACCUGUUCUCAGUUACUGGCCGCCGAGUAGCUUGGAGCUAGCAACGGGGAUUCGAACACCUCCUGUCCAGCUUACAAGUGAUGGAGCUAUAAAGUAUUUUGUGCAGCACUUUAGGGUGAAGGGGGCUAUGAAUCUGUUUGUGAGGUUUGAGCAGAAACUUACAACCUGUGAUGUGAGCGAGAAUGUUGAUGACUCUGGAAUGGGUUUCGUUACGCCGGUUGCCUUUGGACCUAAGCGUUCAUCAAAAAUAGGGUCUGGUAUCUCCAACGGGGGAUAUGUUACAACGGAUGGUUCGAAGGCAAAAGCUGUUGACUUUGUCGAUGUGGAGUUUAUGAGCGAGGUGGAGAGAGUUGAGGCAGAGAUUGAAAGCGGAAGCAAGUGUGGGAAAGGUGACACUUUUGGGGCUAGUGGUGGUGGGGAGAAAAGCAAAAGCGGUAGCAAGUAUGUCAAAGGAGAAGCUUUUAGCGGUAGUAGUGGUGGGGAGGACGAAACUGUAAGAGGAGAAGAAGUGAACGAGCUAGACAUUCGCCCUCGAGGGUAUGACAAAGAUUUCUGGAACCCAUUACUAAGCAGUGACUAUAAAGGCUCCAAUGCUGUUAAUGUCAUCUACAAUGAGGACGAGAUUGUUGAUGGUUUGACAAGAAAUAGUGGACCUCGCCGUUACACUUGCACCACUAAUGAUGCUUUUGACCAUAUUGUUGAGUUGGGUGCUAGUAGCAGUGGCGUCAAACUCCCGAAAGAUGAAGACUUUCGUAAGCAAAACCCGUGGCUCUAUGGCGUGGUUGCCCAUGUUAGUGUGGAUAGGCCGCGCAGGGUGUCCACAAGAAAAUUAGAUGAAGUUGAUGAUGAGGAGUUUGAUAUCCCUCCACUGUUUGAUGAUACUAGCUACGCUGCAGCAGAGAUCCCGGACAUGGAUUUGGAUGACAGGGAUGGGAGGAUCUAUGUUGGGAAGGUCUUUGGUAACAAGGAAGAUUUUCAGAUAUCUUUGGCAAUAUAUGCUAUUAAGAAUCAAUUUCAUUUCAAGCAGACAAGAACCAAAGUUGAUUCCUUUGUUGUUGAGUGUCCUGAUGAACACUGUGAUUGGAGGGUUACAUCUCACGAGAUUAGAGGAUGUGGGUAUUAUGAGAUAAGGAAAGCUCAACUAGAUCAUCGUUGCCCCAUCGAGUCAAGGCAGGGGUAUAAGAGCAAAGCUACAUCUAAGGUGAUUGCAGCGGUUUACAAAAGUAAGUUUGGGCAACCCGGUAAAGGACCAGUGGCGUCUGAGUUGCAGAGGCUAGUGCUGGAGGAUCUCCGAGUGACAACAUAUUACAUGAAGUGCUAUCGGGCAAAAGAAAAAGCUAUCAUUGACAUUCGUGGAUCAGAGGAAGAGUCGUACUUGAAGCUGCCCGAGUAUUUACACAUGUUAAAACUUGCUAAUCCUGAAACUGUUGCUGAUUUGGAAACUGAUAUAGAUGAGGAUGGAGAUGAGCGAUUUCUUUAUAUGUUCCUUUCCUUUGGGGUGUCCAUAGAUGGUUUUAAGAAGCUACGUCGUGUGCUGGUGAUAGAUGGUACACACCUAGGAGGUAAGUACAAGGGGGUGCUAUUGACUGCUAGUGGGCAGGAUACAAAUUUCCAGAUAUUUCCUCUAGCUUUUGCUGUUGUGGACAGUGAAGACACUGAUACGUGGACAUGGUUCCUCCAGAAGGUUGAGCGUAUAUUAGCUGAUUCCCCAAGUCUGACUAUUAUAUCUGAUCGUGCUACAUCAAUCUCUAAUGCUGUGAAACGUGUAUAUCCAUCAGCUCAAUAUGGGGCCUGCAUUGUCCAUUUGGCAAGGAACGUCAACUCACGCUACUCUAGCAAGCACUUGGCCAAGAUGGUGACUGAUGCUGCAACUGCAUAUAGACAACGGGAUUACAGAGAUCUGUUCAGUAAGGUGAGAGCAACGAAUAGUGCAUGCGGUGUUUAUUUGGGGAAGAUCGGUUCUCCUCAUUGGUCUAGAGUAAACUUUCCUGGCGAGCCUAUAAUAUAAUGACUAGCAAUAUAGCUGAGCAGCUGAACAACGCUUUGGUGGAAGGGAGGACGUCUCCGAUAAUGGAAUUGAUAAUAUUCAUUCAGAGGAUGAUGACAAGGUGGUUUUCUGCUAGGAGAAAGAAAGCAGAGAAGCAUAGGGGGAUUGUUAGUGUGGAGGUUGAUAAAGAGAUGACCAAAAGUAUGGCAAUAAUGAAGGGUAGCAAAGUGAACUCGGUCUCUAAUUGGACUUGUGAAAUUGUGGGAAAGUUUAGAAGAAAGGAGCGUGUGAUGCUUGCUGAAAAGAAAUGUGAUUGCAAGUAUUUUGAUAAGCUACAAAUUCCCUGUGGUCAUGCAAUGAUUGCUGCUGACAGUUUGGGAGUGACAUAUGAAACAUUGGUGGGUCACUGGUACAAGACAACGACUUGGAGGGAGACAUAUGCUGGUAUAAUUAAUCCGGAGGGAGAUCCAAGAGAUGUGGAUGUUCCUGAACACGUUAAGGAGAUGGUGUUGAUGCCGCCCUUAACGUCGAGGCCAGCAGGGCGUCGUAGGAAGAAUAGAAUCCCCUCUACUGGUGAAUUCCCGGUACGUACAUGCAUAGUUAUGUCUUUACCUCGUGAACAUAAUGUGUGACCAAUGAGAAUCAUUAAAAUUGGUAAAUUUGUUUCAGGUGUUUAAGAAGACAAAGCUGAUUCCUAAUAGGUGUGGAAGAUAUCGUGGUGUAGGGCACAACAGGAGCCGUUGCAAUGAACCCAUAUAGAGAGGAGAGUGAGAUUUUUUUGCAGGAAACAUAAGUGGGAUAGGACCCCAUUGGAGGAGAGAAGCAUUUUUCAGAAAAAACGAACUUAUCAUGUUUAAGUCGUUUAUUUGGGAUCAAUAUUGCUUUUCGGAGUAUUUUGAGACUAAAUCAUUUGCUUAUCAAGACUUAAGUGUAUUUUUUUUUGAACUAAGUUGGGAUAAUUGUGUUUCCAAAAAUUAAGGAUUUUGAGUUGUUGUUGAUUUUUGUUAUCACUUUUGAUUGUCGGAUUAGGUAGUGUGUAGUGCAUGUGGGUGUUGUUAUACGCACACAUAAAUAGAGGUGUGGAUGUGGAUAUGUACAUGGAACACAUGUACAACGAACCUAAAGUAAGGCAAACACAGAGUAAAUCCCCUCCAUCACAAAAAACACUUUGAGAUCAUUUGUGCUAAUUAUAUAUGUAAAGAGUUGUAAAUCAGAUUAGAUUAUAUGAUGAGAUAGUUGGUUGAACUAGGAUUCAUAGAUUGACAUAAAAACUUAGAGUAGUGACGAAGAAGAACUAAAACGAGAAGCAAGCAUCGAUAACUUAGUUAUAAUGUUCAGAGGAGCUUCCAAUAGAGGCAUGCGAUAGCUAACACAAUGCCAACAGCAGAUGCGAAGUUAUGAACCGGUCCAUUGUUGCUGAGAAGUGUUGUGUUCAUGUUUGAAUUGAGAGUAGCAUGCAUGUCUUCUUUGAACUGUCGAGUUGCUUCAUCCAUAGAUUGGGCCACCUUCGACAUGUGUUCAUUGAGCUUAGACAUCAUCUCAACCUCAAGCUCCUGUAGCCAAGUCUUGUGUGAGUCAAUCUGUUCAGUUACGCUCUUCGAGAGGGACUGAAAGUCGUGGACGAGAUCCAAGACUUUGGCCUCCACCAUACUAACUUCAUCUAGUAUUGCUUCGUCUUUCCACUUAAAGAGGUGGGACUCAUAUUUCCUCUGUUUUAGGGGCAGAACAGAAGAAAAAGUUACGACUUAAAGCAGUGAUAUUCGAAUAAUAGAUAACUGGGGUGAAAGGAGGACCUGUAGGGCGAUUUCGCAGCGGUAAAAUCUUCGGAAUGGGUUCUCCUUGGUUUCUGAAGCCCAGAUGCUGAGUCCUUUCCCACACCAACAUUUUUUUGGGACGCCGUGAACGGACCUGCGGGCAGCGGAUCCGGAGCUUGAAGAAGACGAACUGGUCAUCUUCACUCCGACGAGGAUGUAGAAAGUAGUGAGGCGGAGAUGGUUUUCAGAGUUUUAACCCUAAUUGAGAGAUACGUCUUAAGCUUAUCGUUUGGUACAUAUAUAGAAGACCUGUUAAGUAAUGGUGGUUUAGAUUGAUAUAACCGGUCGGUAUGUACAUCCAAUUAUAAGGUGAUUUAAGGGACCAUUAUGCAGCUAUGUUGGUUCCAAUUAAACAGAAGCAACAAUAGGAAACUUAAAACAAUUCCAACACAAACUGGGCAAAAAGUCUGGAAAACAUUAUCACCCUAGAGAAAGCCGAUUAAGAAGCCAACUAGUGACUCUACAAAAAAAGGUUUUGCAGUCACCAGAGUGUACAUAGCAUAAGACACAAUUAAAAGCUUAGAGACAAUAGUACUAGAGUGGUGAUGGAAUGGACUCGUGAUCAAGGAAAUGUUGGAGCGUGAUAAGCAGGUAGGACGAUGGUUUUGUAGACAUCCAUGGCAUACUGCUUAUGUAGAUCAUCAACUGCGAUGUAUGUGAUUCCAGACAUGUGGGGUGCUGGAUCACCGUGAGCGUGAAACUCCAUGAACUUGAUGAUGAGAGGUCCACAAUCACCCGAGCGUUCGUUGAUGUAGAUAUCCUUCAUCCUUUUCCAAUAGAAAGGCUCGAGACCACGGAACUGAGUUUGCUGUGGUUUGGCAACCUUCUUCACGAGGUAGAGGAGUGCAGUGAGAAGCGCUUCCAUAAACGUGGACACCUUCUUGUCUUUGUUCAACGAAGGUUGUGGGUCCAUAAUCUCAACGUAGCCCAUGUCGAGGUUAAUAGCGAGCCCCACCCAAUGUUUAUCGGCCCAGAUCAUUGGAGUGUAUAUCGUGGUCACAUCCUCCAUCCACUUUUCCCCCGCCUUUAGCACCAACUCAGUCAGACGCUCGCCCCAUGGGAAUAGGUCUUUCCUUCUCAACGGUUUGAACCUCUUCCAUAACUCCUGAAUUCCGGAAACUAGAGGUGUUGUGAACGCAAGAGCCUCUCGAUGAAGCAUUUCUUUGUGCCUUCCAGCGAGCAUGUACAUGAAAAUUUCCAUAUGCUGCAUUAGGAUGAAACGUCUUAUGUUAUAACGUGAUAAGACAAGUAUUGAUCAUAAAAUCUACAAACCACAAUAAAAAGAACUUACAAAUGUGGUGACCCAUUUUGAGGUUCCGCUAUUUCAAGAAUGAAUUUGUUGGAAAAGUCAAAUUUAGAGAGCGUGAUGUGAAACCUGUUCAAGUGUUAGAACUUGAAUGUCAAGAUGGCGGUAAAUGCUUAAAUGUGUCGUUUGGACAUGAAUAAAGGUAGCAACACCUUACACUUGAAUAUUUGACUUAAGAGUCGACUUGAAGAGCUCCCACUGAGUAUGUGGGAGCGGAACCAAGAGUGCAAGGGCUGAUAUAGAAGGGCAUUUCCUGAGUUCUACUGCGAGGUGGCAUUCCUCAUCUGAUGGCUGAUGCCAUGGAGUGGGCCUUGCCGGGGAGGAGUCACUUACAUCAACACAAUCCUCCUUUACAAAAGAGGUUAAGGCAGUAAGGAUUGGAAAGAAGGAAUGAUAGAUUAAAGGUACAUCUACAAUCAAUUUCUACCUGGCGUUGAUCAAAAUUUAAGAUGGGGGCGGAGGUACGUUUAGAUGUAGCGGUUGCAGCGAAGGCAUUGACAGAGUCGGCAUGUUCAGGAAAGCCGCUGCUCUUAGUUGGAGAAGUCUCUGGUGUGAUGGGGUUUAGUUGUUGCUGAGGAUCUUUGCGCGAUGAAGUGUCGUAUCGAGGAUUAUUCAGUGAAGAGGGCUCUUGACUGAAGGGCUCGAAGAUUUCAAGACCUUGGUUAAGGAGGUGGUGCAAGGGCGGGGGGGGGCUGUUAGGAUGAUCAGCAGUAUCGUAGAUGAAGAACGAUAAAUGACAGGGAAGGACUCGGGAGUGUACAACCAAGGAGGUGUGCCAGAAGGGGAAGCUGGGAAUGGUGAAGUUCGUACAUGUGCAAUGAGUUUGGAACGUGGUGGAACAGAGGGAGUGUGUUGCGGUGAGUUGUGGACGGUGGUGGUUUGUUUGGGUGAGUUGUGGACGGGAGAUGUGUGUUGUGGAGAGUUGGGGACGGGGUGUGUGUGUUCAGGGGAUCUGUGGAUGGGAGAGGUGUUCUCAGGGGAGUUGUGGACGGGGGGUGUGUGUUCAGGGGAUUUGUGAACGAGAGAGGUGUUCUCAGGGGAGUUGUGGACGGGGGAUGUGUGUUGGGGUAGUGCAGGGAUGUGUAACGGAUCUGAGUUGCUUGUAUUUUGGCCGUAGUGCUGAGCUGCAUAUUGACUGACGACAGGGGAGUUGCAUUGAGUCUGGUCUUCCUCCAUAGGUGUCGGUCCCUGUAAUUGGUGGCAGAGGCGAGUAAAGAAAAAAUAUUUUUUUGUGAAUUUGAAGGAAAUUAAUAAAUUGUACUGUUUUGUUAGGUGGAACAUCUGUAGUUUGGACCAUUGGGUCAGUCUGACAUCCUCUGUGUGAUAGAUGAGCUUUCUUAGAACAACAAAUGACAGAGUGGAAAGCAGAUUGCUUGCUGUGGAUACGAGACUUUCUGCGUUUGAUCAGCUGGCGCAUCACCUUGUUCUCUUUUCAGAGUUUGGAAACCUGGGUAGAAACUUUAGUCAACAUUUGAAGAACCUGAUCGUUUGAGUUGCUGGUUGAACCAGUUCUGGGGAAGUAGUUACUGAUCCUCCUCUGCUUACGAGACGAUGAUGGUUUCUUUAGGGUUUUCCUGGGCUUGAGAGCAUUCCUAUUCGGUGAUGGUUGCUCCUCAAGAGGUACAUAAAUUAGAAUGGGCCCAGACCUGUCUCCUCCAAGCCAAAGAUGCUUCUUGAAGGGGUAGUGGUUUGCUAUGAGGUUCUCCAUGUAAGUUACCCGCUCAACAGCAACAACGUCAGUCCAAACUCCCCAUCCCGAUUGUGUUUGGCUUUGUAUUUGUAUCAGUGAUGUUACUGCAAGCUGUAAAUGGCAAAAAAAUGAGCAGCAUAAAUCAUAAUCUCAACAAUUAUCAGACAUAGCUUAUAUGCACAUAUCUCAACCAUCAUCAGCCUAGCUCUAAUAGACAAGCAAAUUAAACUUAAAAAACAAAGACAGUGAGGUUCUUACAUUAUGCUCAGCUUCCACGCGGAGUAUGUCGACGUAGUUAAUGUUUGAGUGAAGAGGAAUAUGAGGUUCUUCAAGUUGACUGAUUGAUAAAUUUUCUACAGGCGCAGGGAUUAUGGUCUGAAGUUGUGGGAUAGCUUGAAAUGCAAGAAGUUGUAAUGCUAGGGGGAAUCCCUUGAGUCUGAAAGAAUCCUGCCUCAACAGACAGACAAGCUCUCCGAUUGGGUCUUUGCAUUCCUGGGGAGGUUUCAUGCAAGUAAUGGUCUUCAGAAAAGACUCCCUGCCCCAAGGGUGUUGGGCAGAAAGCGUCGACGUUCUGGACCAUUUUGACAUACUUCAAAGUAGGGCGUGUCUUCUGUUCAUGAGCAAUUAGAACACCGUCAACAAUUAAUAUUAGAGCCAGUUGCAGCUUCUUCCACCCUGGCAUUUGUGCGUCGGUCUCGAGCUUGUGGCGUAGAUCAGCAAUGGUAACAAUUUUUUCCUUCCCGAACAGCUUGACCCAGUCAGGAUCUCUGAUGUUGUUGCUCUAGACUUCUAGUUCGGUGUCAUAGCCUGUAGGGAACUCUCCACAUGGUAACCCUGUGAUUGUGCCAAACUCUUGAAGCCCAAACCGGAUGGGAUCGCUACGGAAGACUAUCCAGAGUGUGUUAUUAUCCUCGCAAAAAGAACUAAAACGAGAAGCAAGCAUCGAUAACUUAGUUAUAAUGUUCAGAGGAGCUUCCAAUAGAGGCAUGCGAUAGCUAACACAAUGCCAACAGCAGCUGCGAAGUUAUGAACCGGUCCAUUGUUGCUGAGAAGUGUUGUGUUCAUGUUUGAAUUGAGAGUAGCAUCCAUGUCUUCUUUGAACUGUCGAGUUGCUUCAUCCAUAGAUUGGGCCACCUUCGACAUUUGUUCAUUGAGCUUAGACAUCAUCUCAACCUCAAGCUCCUGUAGCUAAGUCUUGUGUGAGUCAAUCUGUUCAGUUACGCUCUUCGAGAGGGACUGAAAGUCGUGGACGAGAUCCAAGACUUUGGCCUCCACCAUACUAACUUCAUCUAGUAUUGCUUCGUCUUCCCACUUAAAGAGGUGGGACUCAGAUUUCCUAUGUUUUAAGGGCAGAACAGAAGAAAAAGUUACGACUUAAAGCAGUGAUAUUCGAAUAAUAGAUAACUGGGGUGAAAGGAGGACCUGUAGGGCGAUUUCGCAGCGGUAAAAUCUUCGGAAUGGGUUCUCCUUGGUUUCUGAAGCCCAGAUGCUGAGUCCUUUCCCACACCAACAUUUUUUUGGGACGCCGUGAACGGACCUGCGGGCAGCGGAUCCGGAGCUUGAAGAAGACGAACUGGUCAUCUUCACUCCGACGAGGAUGUAGAAAGUAGAGAGGCGGAGAUGGUUUUCAGAGUUUUAACCCUAAUUGAGAGAUACGUCUUAAGCUUAUCGUUUGGUACAUAUAUAGAAGACAGGUUAAGUAAUGGUGGUUUAGAUUGAUAUAACCGGUCAGUAUGUACAUCCAAUUAUAAGGUGAUUUAAGGGACCAUUAUACAGCUAUGUUGGUUCCAAUUAAACAGAAGCAACAAUAGGAAACUUAAAAAAGAUCCAACACAAACUGGGCAAAAAGUCUGGAAAACAUUAUCACCCUAGAGAAAGCCGAUUAAGAAGCCAACUAGUGACUCUACAAAAAAAAGGUUUUGCAGUCACCAGAGUUUACAUAGCAUAAGACACAAUUAAAAGCUUAGAGACAAUAGUACUAGAGCGGUGAUGGAAUGGACUCAUGAUCAAGGAAAUGUUGGAGCGUGAUAAGCAGGUAGGACGAUGGUUUUGUAGACAUCCAUGGCAUACUGCUUGCGUAGAUAAUCAACUACGAUGUCUGUGAUUCCAGACAUGUGGGGUGCUGGAUCACCGUGAACGUGAAAAUCCAUGAACUUGAUGCUGAGAGGUCCACAAUCACCCGAGCGUUCGUUGAUGUAGAUAUCCUUCAUCCUUUUCCAAUAGAAAGGCUCGAGACCACGGAACUGAGUUUGUUGUGGUUUGGAAACCUUCUUCACGAGGUAGGGGAGUGCAGUGAGAAGCACUUCCAUAAACGUGAACACCUUCUUGUCUUUGUUCAACGAAGGUUGUGGGUCCAUAAUCUCAACGUAGCCCAUGUCGAGGUUAAUAGCGAGCCCCACCCAAUGUUUAUCGGCCCAGAUCAUUGGAGUGUAUACCUUGGUCACAUCCUCCAUCCACUUUUCCCCCGCCUUUAGCACCAAGUCAGCCAGACGCUUGCCCCAUUGGAAUAGGUCUUUCCUUCUCAAUGAUUUGAACCUCUUCCAUAACUCCUGAAUUCCAAAAACUAGAUGGGGUGUUGUGAACGCAAGACCCUCUCGAUGAAGCAUUUCUUUGUGCCUUCCAACGAGCAUGUACAUAAAAAUUUCCAUAUGCUGCAUUAGGAUGAAACGUCUUAUGUUACUACGUGAUAAGACAAGUAUUGAUCAUAAAAUCUACAAACCACAAAAAAAGAACUUACAAAUGUGGUGACCCAUUUUUGAGGCUCCGCUAUUUCAAGAAUGAAUUUGUUGGAAAAGUCAAAUUUAGAGGGCGUGAUGUGAAACCUGUUCAAGUGUUAGAACUUGAAUGUCAAGAUGGCGGUAAAUGCUUAAAUGUGUCGUUUGGACAUGAAUAAAGGUAGAAACACCCUUACACUUGAAUAUUAGACUUAAGAGUCGACUUGAAGAGCUCCCACUGAGUCUGUGGGAGUGGAACCAAGAGUGCAAGGGCUGGUAUAGAAGGGCAUUUCCUGAGUUCUGCUGCGAGGUGGCAUUCCUCAUCUGAUGGCUGAUGCCUUGGAGUGGGCCUCGCCGGGGAGGAGUCACUUACAUCAACACAUUCCUCCUUUACAAAAGAGGUUAAGGCAGUAAGGAUUGGAAAGAAAGAAUGAUAGAUUAACAGUACAUCUACAAUCAAUUUCUACCUGGCUUUGAUCAAAAUUUAAGAUGGGGGUGGAGGUACGUUUAGAUGUAGCGGUUGCAGCGAAGGCAUUGACAGAGUCGGCAUGUUCAGUAAAGUUGCUGCUCUUAGUUGGAGAGGUCUCUGGUGUGAUGGGGUUUAGUUGCUGCUGAGGAUCUUUGCACGUUGAAGUGUCGUAUCGAGGAUUAUUCAGUGAAGAGGGCUCUUGACCGAAGGGCUCGAAGAUUUCAAGACCUUGGUUAAGGAGGUGGUGCAAGGGGGGGGGGGCUGUUAGGAUGAUCAGCAGCAUCGUAGAUGUAAGAACGAUAAAUGACAGGGAGGGACUCGGGAUUGUACAACCAAGGAGGUGUGCCAGAAGGGGAAGCUGGGAGUGGUGAAGUUCGUACAUGUGCAAUGAGUUUGGAACCUGGUGGAACAGAGGGAGUGUGUUGCGGUGAGUUGUGGACGGGGGUGGUUUGUUUGGGUGAGUUGUGGACGGGAGAUGUGUGUUGUGGAGAGUUGGGGACGGGGGAGCUGUGGACGGGGGGUGUGUGUUCAGGGGAUCUGUGGACGGGAGAGGUGUUCUCAGGGGAGUUGUGGACGGGGGAGGUGUGUUGGGGUAGUGCAGGGAUGUGUAACGGAUCUGAGUUGCUUGUAUUUUGGCCGUAGUGCUGAGCUGCAUAUUGGCUGACGACAGGGGAGUUGCAUUGAGGCUGGUCUUCCUCCAUAGGUGUCGGUCCCUGCAAUUGGUGGCGGAGACGAGUAACGAAAAAAUAUUUUUUGUGAAUUUGAAGGAAAUUAAUAAAUUGUACCGUUUUGUUAGGUGGAACAUCUGUAGUUUGGACCAUUGGGUCAGUCUGACAUCCUCUGUGUGAUAGAUGAGCUUUCUUAGAACAACAAAUGACAGAGUGGAAAGCAGAUUGCUUGCUGUGGAUACGAGACUUUCUGCGUUUGAUCAGUUGGCGCAUCACCUUGUUCUCUUUUCGGAGUUUGGAAACUUGGGUAGAAACUUUAGUCAACAUUUGAAGAACCUGAUCGUUUGAGUUGCUGGUUGAACCAGUUCUGGGGAAGUAGUUACUGAUCCUCCUCUGCUUACGAGACGAUGAUGGUUUCUUUAGGGUUUUCCUGGGCUUGAGAGCAUUCCUAUUCGGUGAUGGUUGCUCCUCAAGAGGUACAUAAAUUAGAAUGGGCCCAGACCUGUCUCCUCCAAGCCAAAGAUGCUUCUUGAAGGGGUAGUGGUUUGCUAUGAGGUUCUCCAUGUAAGUUACCCGCUCAACAGCAACAACGUCAGUCCAAACUCCCCAUCCCGAUUGUGUUUGGCUUUGUAUUUGUAUCAGUGAUGUUACUGCAAGCUGUAAAUGGCAAAAAAAUGAGCAGCAUAAAUCAUAAUCUCAACAAUUAUCAGACAUAGCUUAUAUGCACAUAUCUCAACCAGCAUCAGCCUAGCUCUAAUAGACAAGCAAACUAAACUUAAAAAACAAAGACAGUGAGGUUCUUACAUUCUGCUCAGCUUCCACGCGGAGUAUGUCAACGUAGUUAAUGUUCGAGUGAAGAGGAAAAUGAGGUUCUUCAAGUUGACUGAUUGAUAAAGUGUCUACAGGCGCAUGGAUUAUGGUCUGAAGUUGUGGGACAGCUUGAAAUGCAAGAAGUUGUAAUGCUAGGGGGAAUCCCUUGAGUCUGAAAGAACCCUGCCUCAACACACAGACAAGCUCUCCGAUUGCGUCUUUGCAUUCCUAGGGAGGUUUCAUGCAAGUAAUGGUCUUCAGAAAAGACUCCAUGCUCCCAAGGGUGUUGGCAGAAAGCGUCGACGUUCUGGACCAUUUUGACAUACUUCAAAGUAGGGCGUGUCUUCUGUUCAUGAGCAAUUAGAACACCGUCAACAAUUAAUAUUAGAGCCAGUUGCAGCUUCUUCCACCCUGGCAUUUGUGCGUCGGUCUCGAGCUUGUGGCGUAGAUCAGCAAUGGUAACAAUUUUUUCCUUCCCGAACAGCUUGACUCAGUCAGGAUCUCUGAUGUUGUUGCUCUGGACUUCUAGUUUGGUGUCAUAGUCUGUAGGGAACUCUCCACAUGGUAACCCUGUGAUUGUGCCAAACUCUUGAAGCCCAAACCGGAUGGGAUCGCUACGGAAGGCUGUCCAGAGUGUGUUAUUAUCCUCGCAAAGUAGUUGUCUGGUGAGAAAGGCGUGAAAUAGUUUACACGAGACAUGACAAUGACGUGCUGCGAGCUCAAACAACUUCCCGAAACAAGAGUUUUUGAUGUACCGAAGCUCCUUCGUGUUCCUUAAGACAUGUUGUAUGAAAGGUAGAAUGUCUGGCUUGGAGUAGAUGUUGAGCCGACCGGUAGGGAACCGGUCUGUCGCGAAAAGCCUCGGUGGGAGGCGUUUGUCCGGUUUGUUGUUUCCUACAACGAGAUGAGAAAAAGAUUAUAACCGUGAGAAUAAAACAAACAAAACACAUGAAUAGAGAGGGGAGAAAGCAUAAGACAAAUGGAUAGAGAAGGGGGAAAUCUCGUAAAUUAAAAAUCAAAUCUUUAGUAAGACAGAAAAAAUCGCGAAAAUAAAAAAUCAAAUUUCAGAGUUUGGUUUGAGAGACCAGUUUCAGAAAGUGUUUACUUCGGAGUAAACCUCGAAUGUUGGAAUCUGUCUACGCCGGCGUAAAAAGUCUUAUCGGCUGGGAUAGUAGAGGUGAAACAGGCGAGUCUGAAACUAGGGUUCUUAGUCUCCCCCGCAAACGUUGGAAGAGAGUGAGAGAGUUAGAAAAAAGGGGAAAUGAGGGAGAUAGAUCGAUAGGGUUUCGUAUAAGUUGGUCUUGGUAUGAUUUGGUUUAGGGGAAUACUCAGUUCGGUUUGGUUUCAUUUACUAUGAGGGUAUCGAUUUCUUUAACUUAUAUGAAAGGUUGCCUCAGGUGAGAUGUGCCUCAUCAUGAAAUACCUAAGUUAAAAAGUGCCUUGGAGAGUAAAAAGAUCAUAUCCAACUGCAUGAUUCAGAUUGCGUCAAUACCAGAAACGAUUCAAAAUACGUAAUAAAAUUUUUAUGGGAUUAACAAUUAAAUACCUACUCAUGUUUUCGUAACAAGUAAUACAAUUAUUUAAGCAGAAGAAAACAAGUAAUACAAUUACUUCUAUUAUCCAUUUUAAAGUAUAAAUUUCCGAGGUAGUAUAGUCACCUAUAAAGGAUGGUGCAGGGCGUAGGUGUAAAGUAUUUUGUAAGAUGGGAUGUAAAUGAAUAGUACGUGACAUCUAUUACUACUACCACUAAACUAUGGCCGUUUCAUGGCCCAACGUUUAUAAUCAGUAAGCCAACUGUCAAUUAUCUACUGAAUGCAAGCUAGAGUGUCCAAAACGAGUUCUGCGCUAUAAGACAACAUUUCUUAAAUUAUAUUGCCUUUCUUGUCUUUUUGAGUUUUGUAUUCGAUCUCAUGUUUAGACUUAAAACGAUAGGAACAAAAUAAUUUUGUUUGUUCUCAUACAAAAUGUCAAAAAAUAUCACAUCAUUUCAAUCUCUAAUGAUAUGUUGGAUUAGUUUUCUAUAGGUGGAAGAACAAACAAAAGAAAGAAUGAUCUCUCACUUUAAAUAAACUUUAGACAAAAUUAAACGCUUUUCGAAUAUCAUGAAAAUCUAUUUACUUUUCCGGUUUUGUAUUGCUCAUAAAUUGUGUAACUAUCUAUGUAUGGAUUUUAGAUUAGUAGGUGACUGAAAAGUGAAAACCCCAACUUGAAAAACACUAAAAAUAUCUUUGAUACCAAAACAUUUUUACCAUCGAGUUUAAUACUUAACUAAUUUUUUUUUUUCAAUACACUAAGUUUAAAAUGGUGCUUACAAACUAUUCUUCCCAAUGAAAAUAUUGAUAAGUUUUUUUUAAAAAAAAAUUAAAAAUCUCCAAAAUUCAAAAAAUAAAUCUGAAAAUUUUAUAAUUUUAUUUUAAGUUUCAAAAUAAAAUUUAUUAUUGAUAAUUUUAAUAUUUAUUUUUAUUUAUAAUAUCAAAUUUAAUAUAUUGUCUGAAACUUAAUACUAAUUUAUUUAUUUUUCAUUCAAAAUUAAGUUUUCUACAAUUUAAAAUAUCAUCCAAAAUUUAGUUAGUUUUUAAAUUAGAUAUUUUCAAAUAUUUUUUAUGAAUUUAGAAAUUUUUUCAGUUGAAAUCUAUUAAUAUUUAUGAUUAAAAUUAACAUAGCUUGAUAAUCAAAAUGAACAUUAUUUUAAAGUUAGUGUAAUAAAAUGAAAAAAAAAAUUAUUAGUUGAAGUAUUAAACUGAAUACUAAAAAGUUUAGAUAUUAAAAUGUUUAACAAAAUUUGGUUGAUAUAUUUUUUGGAUAUUUCUCCCCAAAAAAACCCCAAACUAGCUUGUAAUUUUCGACAACCAUAUGUUUAUUUUAAAGUUUCAAAAGUGAAAUAAAUUUCAAGAGAUAUGUUACAUAUAUAUAUAUAUAUAUUUUUUUUUUUUUUUUCCAAACAUUACCCUUAUAACUACUGCAAUGGCUGCAUCAAAAGAGUGUAUCUUCUUCUUAAAGGCCUUGAAGCCUAGAGAGAAAGCAAAAAAAUAACAAAAAUAAUUAGUAUUUUCGGAACGAAUCAAAAGAGAAUGGAUUUGUCGGAUUUAGAAUACAGCGAUGCGGGAGAAUCAGGUUGGACAAUGUACUUGGACCAUUCUUGUUCUGUUACAUUGCAUCAUUUUGAUGAUGACAAUGGAGUAACAAAACAAGAACAUGAUGAUGAUUCUUCAAUGGUGUCGGAUGCAUCAUCCGGGCCUCCUUAUUACUCUGAAGAGGCAGUCCCCGAGGUUCCCCUCCAACAAAACACACAAUAUUGGUGCAAGAGCAAAAUCAAGAACAAGAAGAAAGUUCAUGAAGAACAAGGAUAUAUUGAGGGAUUCAAUUCUUGUCUUGAUGACACAGCUUCUUCAUUGGUAUUGUUUUACAAACUUGUCAUGUCAACAUACUUAGAAUCUUUUCUUAAUACUUAUAGCCAAAUUGUUCCUUGCUAUAUGUUAACAUUGUCAUUAUUAAAAAAAAGAGUUCUUACAUAUUUCGUUUCAACUAAAUUCAUUUGUCUCAGUUAUAUCAUUAUACUCUCAACUUUUGUAAACUUAUGUAUAUAGGCAACUGGAAAAGAAGUAUCAGCACAUAAGAAACAUCGAGAUCAAUACCAACAAUUAGAUUAUUUCUCCCAAAGCUACUCCACGAGAAGAAUAAUCAAGGUUAUUAGUUAUUACGACUUUGGCGCUUCUAAAAAUUAGUGUAUGCCAAAUAUUUUUUAAUUUUUUUGUUUUUUUAACUAAACGAAAAGUUGUGUUUAGUUACAUCAUCGCAUCUGAGAAAAAAAAUUCUUAAUUUUUAGUAUGAUAAUUUCCUUGAAUCAGUUUUCUAAUAUUAUGUUUUUUUGCAGGGAAAAUAUGAAUCGGGUUUCCUACAACAAGCUUUCCCGGUUGAGAAAUUUGCAUCGGAUCAUCAAGGUUAUGGUAUGUUCAUUGCUUACUGGCCAUUAAUUAAUACAACUAUUAUACAUAAUGAUGCAGAAAAAUCGCAUACAUUAGUCAAUUUACUUAAUUAGUUCUUGUAGAUAUGUUGUAAUGUAAACAAACAUCCUUUGGAAAGUAUAUUGUGGAUCCAGUUAUUCACAUUCCUAUAUUAAAAUAAUGCAUUUUAAAAAUUUAUGAUGUUUCAUGCAUGUAUGAGUAUAAAUGUAUGCAUGUAUAAGUGAUUUAUUUUCUUUUUGUCCACGUAUAAGUGAAUUCUUUGCUUGGGUAUAUGUGUAUUUGCAGGCGGCAGUAACCAGAUAAAGAGAACAGGAUAAAAAAUGGCGGAUAUUUAUUGUUUUAUUCCAUCUCUUGAACAGAGAACACCUUCUUCCUUUGAGUAUGUUGGCUAUAUAUGUCUUUGAGAAAGCCAUGUGGGUUUCUCCAUUUUUUUCUUGAUAAUGCCCAUACUAUGUUGUUGUUUUUUCACUUUUCUCGAUUUUGCAACUAUCAAGUUAUUUUCCUUAACAAAUAAAAAAAUGCAAGUAACGUUUGAAACCAAAAAAAUGGAUGACAAAAAACAAAGAAGAGAAAACUUGGAUUAAUCUUUUGGGUUAUUUGACUAUUUCAUAGCACGAUAAAUAAGUCUGAGAAAAGAUAAAUAAGUUUGUAAUAGCAUAUUGAUAGUACGUAUUGUAUAGUUCAGCUUACCAUCGGUUUAGUGUGGUAUAGUUUCCUUUUUGUUAAACCACUUAUGUAUAAAUACAGAACCGUACCGUUGAACAUAUUUCAGAGUAACUAGAGAUAUUCUGUUACAAACUCAUCUUCUUCAAUAGUUUGCAUUGCAUCUAACCAACUUGGAACAUUAAGAGGGGUUUUAUGUCAAUCAUUUGCCAUGUCAGGCUACGGUAGAAUUAUAGAUUGUCCUAAUUAGUACAAGUAGAUUUCGUUAUUCGUAAAACUCCAACAAAAAUACGUCUUGACUAUCGAAAUCAGAUGAAUAUUGAUGAUAAGGGAAAUUAAUCAAAGAAGAAGCAACAGUACAUUGAUUGAACAUGUAAACAUAGCUACCAUUUCUACUUAUUUACUACUUUAAGUUUCGUACUCUCAUUACUUGUAUUGUACAUUCCUACACAGCAGCUGGUCAUGGACCCUUCUCAUUAUUGUACACUUUUCUGUGUAUUAGUGGUUACAUUUAAUUGUUUUUAUAUAAAGCAUGUUAUGCAAAGUCAGAUUUAUAUUAUUCUUUACUUGUAAAAUCUUUUUUUUUUUGAAAAAUCUUUGCUUGUAACAUCAUAAAGAAGUUGGAAGCUGUUUCUUUUUUUUUUUUGAAAAUAUGUUUGAAAAAAAAAAUCUGUUUCUUGACUGUUCGAACUUGUGAAAUAAUUUAAAUACAAACGGUAGAAAUUUAAACAGAUAAAACUUUAGAAUAAAAUAAACCUAUCUUCCACGAGCGCAAAAUCAGAUUUCAGACUCUCUAGCUAGGACUGCUAGGUCUUUUCAUAGGAAAAUUUAUUUUAUUGGUUGUUCUAUUCCGGUUUUGUUACUCGGACCACCUCAAGUUGAGUAAUAGAAUAGCUUUAGAAUAGAACGAGUGAAAUUGCCACAGAUACCACAUUCAUAGUACCACUUUUCAAGUUUACACUAAUCACUUUUGCCUUCACUUUUAAUGAAAGGUAAAAGACACAUACCCUUAGGGUUAACUAAUCUAGACUUAGGGUAUGACUGGUUAAAACGCAGCGGUUGCGGUUGCGGGAGUUUGCGGAUGCGGGUGGUUGCGGUUUCUAGCGGUUUUAAGAUUUUUGUACGACAGGUUCUGCGGUUAGAAAUUGGUGCAUUUGCGGGAUACUUAUGACUGGUUAACUACCAAAUACAGCAGCGGUUAAAUAAUAAAUUAACAAUAUUUACAUUUUAUUUAAUUAUAAAAUAUCAAAAAUCAUAAUAUUAUAAUAAAUAUGAAAAUUAUAUUUAGAAAGUUAUAGUUUUAAAUUUUUUAAAAUUAUAGAAAAUAUUUUUAUUUUAAAAUUUUAUAAUAGUAACUAAAAUAUAAUAUAUUUAUUUUAGUAUUUUUAUAAUUCCAAUUAUAAAAUUUUAUUGAAUAUUUUUAUUUUUGUAUUUAUAUGUUUUAAAAAAAAGAAAAAAAAUUAUCCUCCCACAACCGCAAAUGCUAGCUGGAACCAGCUUUUGAUUUUAAGAGGUUCAGAGCGGUUUGAAACGAUUAGCGGUUUGUAUGAUUGUUUCGAAUCACCGUCACCGUUACCAGCCGCAAAAACUGUGUUUGCGUGUGGUAGCGGAAAAACAAGUCAGGCCCUUAGGGUUUAGAGUUGAGGAGUGUGAUAGAGUUUUUGGAAUGUGAAAUUUAAUAUUCUAAUAAAUAUAUAAAUAAAUACUUAAAAAUUUAUAAAAAAAUAGUUUCAAACAUAAUUUUUGAUUUUCAAAAAAUAAUUUUAAAAAAAAAUUAUAAAAAAGUUCGAAUUUGAAAAAGUAUAAUUCAAAAACAUAAAAAAAAAAUAUUAUUAUUUUUUAAAAUAAUGAUUUAUUAUAUAUAUAGAUAACAAGAGUAUAAGAGUCUUUUGCUACUUAAUAAAUAAGGUACUUUUGAAAAUGUCUCUUUAGUUGGGUAAAGAUGAAAAGUAGUACUAUGAAAGUGGUAAACAUACACGCCAGCGAAUAUAAUUUUUUUUUUUGUAAAAAAUGUUAAAUCCGGAUCUAUUAAAGACACGGACCUAAUCCAUGGAUGGGAGGUGUAGCCCACGGCAUAGUCAGUCUCUCGAGUUAUCAUAAAGACGUAUCUGCAGCCGUAGUGAACAAAAUAAUGUGACUUAGUUUCCGCAGUAGAAAGAUUAAACUCGGAAUGUGUUUGCUUCCGCGGUCCGUCUAUUACUACCGGACCACAAGACCCGUCCAGAUACGAAUUUUUAGAAAGAGAUUUCACGCUAGAGCCGGUGCAUUAAAUCUUGACCACCUUAAUUUGGGGUGACCACAAUAUCUUUCUCAAACCAGUUUUGACAUUUUACCCAAAAAAAAAUCAGUUUUGAUAUGAAAAUAUAUGAGCAGCACAUGAUGACAAGAUAUGGAAAAUUGUUUAAGCAAAAAAAAAAGAUAUAGAAAAAUAUUGUUUGUUUAUCAAUACUACUUUCAAAUAAAAUAUAGUUGUUUUUCAAGGCGGUUUAAUCUUAAAAUCUUACUUAGCUGCAGAUUUUGGUUACGUUAAUGUAAAAAAAAAAAAGAUAUAUUCCAAAAUAGACAAAUUUAAUUUCUAAAUCGUAAAUUUUGAUAAUGAAACAAAGAUAAAUCAUAAACGAGUUGGUGAAAGGAACAGUUUUAACCUUUUUUAUAUAAAACAAUUACGUUGUUGCUAUUGGAAAAACAUUAAAAUGAUACACUAGAUAGAUUUUUUUUUUUUUGAUCAAAACACUAGAUAGAUAUGUUAUUGGCCUUAUUAGACGAUAUUUGUUUGUUCAUAUCUUAUUUUUCUUAUCAGUACAUAACUCAACUGUGAACAUUUAUUAAAAGUUUUUAUUCAUCCAUUCAACAGAGGUUACAAUAUUCCAGUUGUUAUCAUUGUCUUUUUUUUUUUUUUUUGCUAAAUAGUUGUUAUCAUUGUCGACCAAAAUAUUAUAAGGUUUGUUAAUAUUGAUUUCCUUGGAUUCGUAUAGUGAAUAUGUACAUUUGAAAGAUAUUUACUUCCUUGGAUGUGUAUACGCAAGGGGUGUUCAAUCCGGAUAUCGGUUCGGUUUCAGUUCGGUUUUUUUCGGUUUUUCAGUUUUUCGGUUUGUAAAAUAUAACUACCAUUCUAAAUCCAUAUUUACUUCGGUUCGGUUUAUAUACCGUCGGUUUUCGGUUGAUUCAGUUUUAUACCAAAACAUAAUUAUUUAGUUUGGGAUCAUUUUAUAUAAAUUGUAGAGUCAUAUUGUCAUCGCAGUCAUUUAUUAAAAAAAUAUUAUAUUUUCAAAUAAAAGAACAAAAAAAUAAAAACGCUUAUACCUUCAGAUGAAAUAAUCAAAUUUAGAAUUAAAAUCAAAGCUAGAAAUUUUGAAAAUAAAAAUAAAAAACAAAAGAGAAGUAUGAAAGAAAAGUUUUUCCACUCUUGCAUAUUUAGUGUUUAUUAAAGUCAUGCUUCUUCGAGUGAAACUCUAUUCGUUUAUAAACAAGAAAAAAAUCGCGAAGAAUUUUUUCUAGUUAUUAUCCAUCAAAUUUAUAACAUUCAAUUCAAUUUAAUUAAUGCUAAAAAAAGCAAAAUAAUUAAAAGAAAAAGACUAAGAAAAUAAAAAGCCUCAGUUGCGAUGAAUUGUUAUUUAAUUAUAUUUUAAGUGUUUUACAAAUUAGAAUUUUUUAUUACUAUAAAAAAUAUGGUAAUAAUUAUUAACAAAAGAAUAAUUUAUAUAACAAAUAGAUUUUCAUGUGAUGUUAUAAAAUAUGUACAUAUUUACAUGUUUAUACUUUUGAUCGGUUUUGUUUGGUUCAUUCGGUUUAAUCGGUUAUAAAUCAAACACGAUUAGCGGUUUGUAUGAUUGUUUCGAAUCACCGUCACCGUUACCAGCCGCAAAAACUGUGUUUGCGUGUGGUAGCGGAAAAACAAGUCAGGCCCUUAGGGUUUAGAGUUGAGGAGUGUGAUAGAGUUUUUGGAAUGUGAAAUUUAAUAUUCUAAUAAAUAUAUAAAUAAAUACUUAAAAAUUUAUAAAAAAAUAGUUUCAAACAUAAUUUUUGAUUUUCAAAAAAUAAUUUUAAAAAAAAAUUAUAAAAAAGUUCGAAUUUGAAAAAGUAUAAUUCAAAAACAUAAAAAAAAAAUAUUAUUAUUUUUUAAAAUAAUGAUUUAUUAUAUAUAUAGAUAACAAGAGUAUAAGAGUCUUUUGCUACUUAAUAAAUAAGGUACUUUUGAAAAUGUCUCUUUAGUUGGGUAAAGAUGAAAAGUAGUACUAUGAAAGUGGUAAACAUACACGCCAGCGAAUAUAAUUUUUUUUUUUGUAAAAAAUGUUAAAUCCGGAUCUAUUAGGUGCAGGGCUUAAAAUGAUACACUAGAUAGUAGAUAGAUAUGUUAUUGCCUGACGAUAUAUAAUUUUUGUUUGUUCAUAUCUUAUUUUUCUUAUCAGUACGUAACUCAACUGUGAACAUUUCUUAAAAGUAUUUAUUCAUCCAUACAACAGAGAUUACAAUAUUCCAGUUGUUAUCAUUCAUCAUUGUCUCUUUUUUUUUUGCUAAAUAGUUGUUAUCAUUGUCGACCAAAAUAUUAUAAGGUUUGUUAAUAUUGAUUUCCUUGGAUUCGUAUAGUGAAUAUGUACAUUUGAAAGAUAUUUACUUCCUUGGAUGUGUAUACGCAAGGGGUGUUCAAUCCGGAUAUCGGUUCGGUUUCAGUUCGGUUUUUUUCGGUUUUUCAGUUUUUCGGUUUGUAAAAUAUAACUACCAUUCUAAAUCCAUAUUUACUUCGGUUCGGUUUAUAUACCGUCGGUUUUCGGUUGAUUCAGUUUUAUACCAAAACAUAAUUAUUUAGUUUGGGAUCAUUUUAUAUAAAUUGUAGAGUCAUAUUGUCAUCGCAGUCAUUUAUUAAAAAAAUAUUAUAUUUUCAAAUAAAAGAACAAAAAAAUAAAAACGCUUAUACCUUCAGAUGAAAUAAUCAAAUUUAGAAUUAAAAUCAAAGCUAGAAAUUUUGAAAAUAAAAAUAAAAAACAAAAGAGAAGUAUGAAAGAAAAGUUUUUCCACUCUUGCAUAUUUAGUGUUUAUUAAAGUCAUGCUUCUUCGAGUGAAACUCUAUUCGUUUAUAAACAAGAAAAAAAUCGCGAAGAAUUUUUUCUAGUUAUUAUCCAUCAAAUUUAUAACAUUCAAUUCAAUUUAAUUAAUGCUAAAAAAAGCAAAAUAAUUAAAAGAAAAAGACUAAGAAAAUAAAAAGCCUCAGUUGCGAUGAAUUGUUAUUUAAUUAUAUUUUAAGUGUUUUACAAAUUAGAAUUUUUUAUUACUAUAAAAAAUAUGGUAAUAAUUAUUAACAAAAGAAUAAUUUAUAUAACAAAUAGAUUUUCAUGUGAUGUUAUAAAAUAUGUACAUAUUUACAUGUUUAUACUUUUGAUCGGUUUUGUUUGGUUCAUUCGGUUUAAUCGGUUAUAAAUCAAACUAUAUCCAAAUUCCACGUUUUUGUAAAAUUAUGUCCAUUCGGUUUAUAUGGUAUAUACCUAAACCAUGCCAUAUUGUCUAUUUCGGUUCGGUUCGGUUCGGUUUUACCAUAUUGGAUAGACCAUUUCGCAUGUAAGUGAAUGCAUGUGAGACUAUAAAUGUAUUUAUGUAUAUGUUUGUAGAUGAUGAAUUUAUAAAAUGGUAAUAAUGAAAAUGGACCAAAUGGUCCCUUAGGAAGUGAUAUUUCAUGUUCACAUGGCAAAUUGGUCAGUGGCUACUGGUCCUUUUGCCAGUCUAUGGUCCGUAAUCUGCGUUUGUAGGUACAACCCCCAUCGCUUCUGUCAUUUUAUUUCAUGUAUGUCACAAAAUUUAAAUAUGUAGAUAAGAGUAGAUAUUAUAGUGGUUUCAGGUACAGAUUCAGUUGUGAUCUUUCGGGUUUUUGGAUUCUUAGGUUUAUGAGAUAACUCAGCUGAAUUAGAACAUAAUCUAUGUCUGUUUGGUGAUGACUCAGUUUUGAGUAUAAGACAAUAAAUUGAAGCUACUUGUUAUGUAAAUCUUAACAAACUUGAUAUUACCAUUAAAAUGAAAUUUUUACUUAAUACUUAUUUUGAUUAUUUUUAACUACAUAUUUUCAAUUAGGAGUUUGAAUGAUUUAGGUUAAAUUGACAAAUCUAAUCUUAUUCGAAUAUGAAUUUUAAAAUUUAUUUUAACAUCAACUGUUAUUGAAUUUGCUAUUUGAUAAACUAUUUAAAAUCUACUACUAUUGAAAUUUUUUAAGUUUUGAAUUUUAAGAUUCUUUUAGUCAUUUUAGAGUAUUUUGGUGUUGUUUUAAAAAUAACAAUUCAAAUCUCAUAAUUUUAAGCGAGAUUCUGAAUUUGUUUAACUAAAAUCAUAUUAAAUUCUCAAUUCACCUUAAACUAUCUAAAACCUUAGGAAAAAUCAAAUCAAUUUCAAUUCUAGAUUGAAUACACUCCCUAAGUUUUCAAAAUAUAUUUGUAAAGUGUACAUAAUGUAGAUGAUAUCCACAUUUGGAGAUGUGAAGUCAUCACUAGUGGUGGGGGAGGAGCUGCCAAGAAGGAAGCGUGGUCGGCCAAAAAAGAUACCUAAGGUAGAAGAGAGCACUCUAAAAUGGAAGAAGUUUUGGAUAGUACUAGAGUGGUUGGUUCAUGAUUAAUUAUAAAACUUAUAAUGAAUGCAUUAAAAUUAUAAAAAAAACACAUGUGCAGUUUGCUGAGCAGACUCUAGUAAAUUCUUAUUUUUGAGAAAAAUGUUCAUAUUACAUAGUAAACAUGUUUUUGUAAAAUAAUAAUAUACUUACCAGGAAAAAACUCACAUCAAUAAAAUUAAAUUGCAUAGUUUUUAUAUACUUUUAUAAAAACAAUCAAAUUUCAUAUGAUUUUGUAUAUUUAUUUUUUAUAAAGCUAACCUACAUAAGAUUAAAUUUCAGGAAGAUCCAUGGAUCCAAACAAUCUGUGGGAGGCCCUACCCAAAACUAUUGUACAUCCAAUUUUAAUAUCAUAUCAGCGCUAAAUUAAAACUAUUACACAUGUGGUCUAUGAUGACAAUGAGUGAUUUAUUGUUGCGGAGGAAAAAUAUGGAAUACAAAGUUAUUAAGCAUGUGGAAGCGGAAUGCCAAACAAACAACCAGAAGAACGAUUGAAUCCAGAGAAGGUUACGUAAAAAGACACAUUUCGUCUUUUCUUUGCAGCAAAAGACACAUUAUGGUUUUAGCGCACUUUAUUUGUACGGGUUGGUAGAUUCGAGACCAAAAUGCCCCCGUCUUAUUUUUAGAAGGAAGUAACAAAUAAACUAGUUAUUUCUUUUUAUGUUAAUAAAUUAAACGGUGCGUUUUGCUAGGAUAUGGUGGUUACAGAGUCGUGGAUAGGAGAUAGUGGUUAGGCGUGUAUAUUAGAACGCAUUAUUAUUGUUGUGGACGUGAUUGUUGUGGUUAAAGUACAAAAGAUACAAAGUUUCUAGCACAUAUAGUAUGGAUGUGAUACAUUGAAUAGGUCAAAUAUCUUAACUUGAUAAGCAUACAUAAUGUUUGAUAAUAUAAAAGACCUAGAAACCCAUAUAUUACAAAAACAUACAUAAUGUUUAGGAAGGGGAUGUAUGGACAGGCGUGAUGUUUCCAAGUCAGUAACCACGAACUUCAUAUCCAUAACCACACAACCUCAUUUACGGUAUCUAUCGUCACCACAGUCUCCACCUCUGUAUCCACUUUCGCAUUCAUCGCCUCUGUAUCCAUAACCACCAUAUUCUCCACUCCGGUGUCAACCACCAUCUCCACCUCCGUAUCCCCCCUACUAUCCCGUCUUCCACAUCCACUGUAUCCACCACCAUCUCCUCAUCUCGAGCAACCACCUUAGUAUCCACCAUUUUCAUAUCCAUAACCACCUUCCUAAGUCACCAAAAUUAGUCUCGUCGGAACUCAGAUCUCCUCAGCGACUCAACCACAAUCCCAGAUCUCUGCUCAAGCUUCAAAAGCUCACUGUUCUCAACUUUAGUCUCAAUUCGAACCUUCUUGACGGAUUAAUUGCCUUAGUCACCGGAGCUGGAUUUUGGAAUUCACUCUCCUCUGUGACUUCACUAAACUCUCCAAAUCUCCUCUGUUCAAGUCCAGAAAGCUUGAAUCUGCUUCUAGUAAUAGCCAUGGUAGCUACAACCAUCUUCUCCUCCACCCCCAAUUUCUUCCAAUCUAAAUCCUCACUGACCUAUGUCCCUUCUGUCCCUGACCACCUCCUCUGCCAGCUCCACAAAAUCCACACCGCCAUCAACCGCCUCACAAACCACCAGCAAGAAAAGUCCAUUUCAACUGCUUCCAGCCUUACACCGUCUCCUCCUCCGUGUCAUAAGAUCUUCUCAUCUACUCUAAGUUAUCCUCAUAGCUUAUGCUUGACAUAACAACCCUGGCCUCUAUAAGUACAUGGACUACACUUGUUUCUCUCUUUGCCCUUUCGAUCUGGUUAGACUCAUCCUCUGUGGCUGCAACACACACUGUCGUUGCUUCUCGUGUACGCUGCGUAAUUCUAUAGACACGAAACCACGACAAUUAUUUUCGGUGAGAGAUGUGUCUUGUGAUGGAGGAGGAGCCUGAAUCUUGGUGAAAGACAAAAGAUCGGUGGAUUUCUCAUCUAAUUUGAUUUUUUUAAAACAUUUACUCAAUUUGGAAUUUGAAAUCGAGAAACGAAGAAGAAGAUAAAUUGUUAUGCUUUUCUAUUAACUUUUUCAUUUUCAUUUUUUCUUUAAUUUUGGUUUAGAAGAAACUAGAGAUGGUGUUGUACAAGGAUAAUAAAGUCUUUUCGCAGCUAAAAAGUGUGUCUAGUAUUCAAUGUGUCUUUGAAUGUAAUUGAUAUGUUGAAAUGUGUCUGUGGUUGUAAUUUUCUCUUGAAUCCAUCAUUUAUCCGAGGAGUAAGCUCACAUGAGAGUUGUAUGGUUGGUGGAUCAUGCACUCAUGACUCAUUCUUUAGUGGAUGUGGAUGGAUGGGUCUGAAUAUAUUCAUCAUGUAAAAUUCAAGUUUUGAGAGCUAAAAGUCAUCGAUACAUACGGAGGUUGAUACCCUAUAUUUGAAUACGGAAUACAUUCUAUAAAUGUCAAUGUGUCAACACUUUGAUACUAAUUGCAACGACUUGAUCUCGAUGAUACAAGAUCUAUAAGUGUGGUCAAACUUUAUAACGGAGUUAAAGAAGUUAUCAAAACUGAGUAAUAUAUUUGUAGAAUUUAUGUUGUGUAUCAUCUUCGUUCUGAAAAAAAAAAAAAAAAAAUAGAUCUAUUAUCUAAGAUAGCGAAAACAUAUCAUAUGAAUAUGUAUUACACUGAUUGUUUUAUCCCAGUCUAAUUUUUUAGAUCAUUUCAAGCUUAAAUAAGAAAUUAACCGUUUGAUGUGAAAAAAAAAGGAGAAGAAGAUAACUACUACAAAAUCGAAAAGCCUAAUUUUUAAAAAAGGGAAAAAUAUCGGAAAGCUUAGGUCAGCCUCAAAUUCGAAACGCUCUACCGACCCGUAACACCAAUUGGGCCUAAAAUCUAAUAAAUAAAGGCUUAAGCCCGGUAGUUCCAUUCUAGAAUAUCCAAUAAUUAUCCGAUGUAUAUUUAAAUAAACAAAAAAAAAAAAGUUUAACCAAAGCUGAAGAGUUUUUAACUUUUAACUCUCUUCGACUUCUCGUGCCGUGUCAAAUCAACCUACUGUGUUCUCUCUCUCUCUCUCUCCUAUCUGGUAAACUUUCCUCUUCGCCAUGAAACUUUGAUGUUUUUAUCUUCUAGGGUUUUUUUUCUACAGUUUUCCCGGAAAAUUAGGGCCUCCCUAUAUCUUCUCAAUCUCUAGUUUUCUCUCCGUGAUUCAUGCUUAAUUUAGCUUCCCUGUUUCAAGAAUUUUACGAAUUAGGGUUUCCGUACACAUCACUGUUCAAUUUUUAGGGGUUUUUUAUUUUUGAUCUGAAAUCUCUGAUCAUUUGACUUGGAAUUGAAGAUUAGGGUUUUUGGGUGAUAUGGAUUGCGACCAAUACAAGCUAUUCGUCGGAGGCAUACCGAGAGAGACUAGUGAAGAGUCUCUGAAGCAGCAUUUCAGUAGAUAUGGAGCUGUCUUGGGAGCUCUUGUUGCUAAGGAGAGAGCCACUGGUCAACCCAGAGGGUUUGGGUUUGUUCGCUUUGCUAAUGCUCUUGAUGUUGAUAAGGCUCUCACUGAUUCUCAUUUCAUCCUCGGUCGUGCCGUAAGUUCCACUCUUUGUUCUUUACUUAUAUGUCCCUGUCUUGUGUCACUGUUAAAGGGCUCAGCUUUGGUUUCAAUUGGGUUUUGUUUUCUUUUAGGUUUGGUCGGAAAGUUGAAUUUGUUAUCACGUUUAUUCUCUAACUUAUGUCUUCUGUUUUGUGACACUUUAUGUCAGUGGGAUCAGCUUUGGUCUCAACUGUUUUUUUUUUUUGUUUUAGGUUUGGUCGGAAAGUUGAACUCUGAACUGAUUCUGCAUUGUAGAUUGAUUAGUGUCUCAUAUCACUUUGUUAUCAGGUUGAUGUGAAAAAGGCGAUACCAAAACAGGAACAUAUGAGAUAUCAGCAACCGAACAUGCAACCAUAUGUGAGUCAAGUUCAACAGAACAACGGUGGUGGUGUUCAUGACAUCUUAAGCAAUGGUAAUAACAACAACCACAGGACCAAGAAACUGUUCGUUGGGGGCUUAUCGUCCGAGACGACAGAAGAGGAGUUCAAGACAUACUUUGAGAAAUUCGGCAAGACGACCGAUGUGGUUGUGAUGCAUGACAGCGUGACGAACAGGCCGAGGGGUUUCGGGUUUGUCACAUAUGAUUCAGAGAACUCUGUUGAGAUCGUAAUGCAGAGUCAUUUCCAUGAGUUGAGUAAUAAGCGCGUCGAGGUGAAACGCGCAAUACCUAAAGAAGGAAUCCAGAGCAAUAACGGUGGUAAUCAUCAUAACCUUCCGCCUACCUACAGCAGCUUUAAAGCAACACCGUAUGUGCCUGAGAGUAACGGAUAUGGGAUGUUUCUUCAGUAUCCUCCUCCUGUCCUUGGUUAUCAUCAAGGUCUCCCAGGCUUUCACUAUCCUUAUGGUUAUCCAGUCACAGCUCAAGGGCCUAACCUUCCAUGGAAUAACCAGAUUAUGCCACCCACCACCGGAUUUUACGGCCAUCCUCCUCCUCUUCCCACCAACACUCCUUGGUAUCUCCCUUCCAUGAACGGGUUUGAUCCUACGGGUAUGAGCGUUACUGUGUUCAAUGCUAUGCCAUGGCCUGUAGCUGGUGAUGGAGUUGGUGUGAUAAUACCUCGGUUGGAAGAUAUGAAGCUUGAGGUCCCUAGUCAAGCCCAUGAGAGAAUGAAUGGAGGUAUCAUGGUGAAGCCAUUGCCCAAUGGUACAUAUAGAUGACAGUUGCAGAAUAAAAAUGCAGUUAGGAUCUCACAAGGCUAGUGAAAUUCUUUUAAACUCUUUUAAUGUUUUUAGGUCUCUCAUCUUUGUUGUUCAAAAAAAAAAAGGGGUCUCUCAUCUUUCUUUCUUUAACGUACAUGUGUUGGUGGCUUUGGUUUCCUUGUAUAUUAUUUAGCUAUUUUAUUUAACCCCCAAAACAUCUGUAAUAUAUCAACAUCAUUUGUAAUAUGCCACACAUUUCGUUCAACCUCUUUUGCUUUAUGUGGUGUUGUUUUCCUCCUUGUGUUUAUGCUUACCAAACAACAUUGCCAAUGACGUUUUAAUUUCAAAGGCGAAUACAGAGAAAUAGAGCGGUUAUACAAAUUCAUAGAAAAAUUAAUAUACUCCCUUGAAAGAUCAAUAUAUCAACGUUAAGAAUAUAUUAAAAUAAUUAAUGUUAAAUUAUAAAUAUAUGAUUUUUAACUAAACAAUUUUUUGAUCUGAACUGAUAGCAAUUAAAAUUAUAACUUUUUUAAAAAAAGUUUUUUGAAACACAAUUAAAAUUAAAAUUAUAACUAUUGAUAAAUAUUUUUUGAUACCUGAAAUUAAAAAAUUGUCUUUCAAAAACAUUAAAAACUGGAAAAUCAUUAAUGAAAUAUGUGUAGAAACUAAACAUAGUACAUUCAAGUUGUGAAAAGAAUUGAUUCAAAAGAAUUGAUUCCGUUGUCGUUGUGACGAACCAUCAUCCAAGUAAGUUUUAAUAACUAACUAGAGAUAAGACAUCUGGUGUAACAAACUAUUGUUCAUAGGAUAUAUUUUUAGAAGUCCAACAAUCUGAAACAAUCUAUAAAUGCAUGCAUGUCUUCAACAUUGUAAAACACACAAGCAAAUUUCGAGCACAACAGCAAAUAACGCAGACAAAACAAUGAAGCUUUAAAUGUUAUGGCUCGCUUUGGUACUAAUAGCCGUUAAAACUGAUGCAGCAAAGCAAGAUAACAAUGCAACAAUCCCAGCACUAAUAGUUUUUGGAGAUUCCAUAAUGGAUACUGGUAAUAACAAUGGACUUCACACUAUUCUAAAAUGCAACUUUCCUCCCUACGGCAAGGACUUUCCCGGCGGCUAUGCCACUGGAAGAUUUUCUGAUGGAAGAGUUCCCUCUGAUCUAAUUGGUAACGAUUCAAAUUAUUUUUGUUUACAUUUGCUAAUAGAAAUCUUCUAGCUAUUUUAAUGACACUUUUUGUUUUUAACCAAUUGUCUUUCAGCGGAGAAGUUGGGAUUGACUAAAACAUUGCCAGCAUAUAUGAGCCCAAAUUUGAAGCCAGAAGAUCUUCUUCAAGGUGUAACAUUUGCAUCUGGGGGAACUGGUUACGAUCCAUUAACGGCUAAGAUGAUGGUACGUUAUAAUAUAUUUUCAUCGUCAACGUUAGCUUCAUAUUAUAAACUAAUACAUUUUAUAUUUUUUUUUGUUAUUUUGUAGUCUGUAAUAUCAGUGUGGGAUCAACUAACAUAUUUCAAACAAUACAUAGCAACCAUCAAGCAACAUUUUGGAGAAGAAAAAGCCCAAAAUAUCUUGGACCAUAGUUUUUUUCUUGUGGUUUCUAGUAGCAAUGAUCUUGCUCACACGUUUCUAGCUCAAUCUUAUAAAUAUGAUCGUACUUCUUAUGCUAACUUUUUGGCUGAUUCAGCAGCUAAGUUCGUACGAGUAAGUAUCUUAAACUGAUAUAUAAAUCAAAUAUAAAUUCAUAUUUUAAACUAAAUAAUUAUCGUAUAUGUAAUAUAUAGGAAUUACAUAAGCUUGGAGCUCGAAAAAUUGGAGUAUUUAGCGCAGUGCCUGUUGGAUGUGUACCACUUCAAAGAACAAUGUUCGGAGGCUUAUUUACAAGAAGAUGUAAUAAGCCUUUAAACAAUAUGGCAAAACAAUUCAACGCUAGACUUUCUCCAGCACUGGAUUCUCUAGAUAAAGAAUUAGAUGGUGUUAUCUUCUACAUUAAUGUUUAUGAUACUCUUUUAGACAUUAUCCAAAACCCUGAAAAAUACGGUGAGUUCAUCUUACAAAUACAACUAUAUAAUUUUUCUAUUUUAUAACAUUAACUAAUUUAUAAGUCUCAUUCUCUUUCAGGUUUUGAGGUAGCUGAUAGAGGAUGUUGCGGUAAAGGCACUGUUGCAAUAUCUUAUUUGUGUAACUCACUGAACCCAUUCACAUGUUCUAAUUCUUCUGCGUAUGUAUUCUGGGAUAGCUACCAUCCGACUGAAAGAGCUUAUCAAGUUAUUGUUGACAAGUUACUCGACAAAUACUUGAGCAAGAUCUAUUGAUGUUGAUCAUCUAAAUUAAACCUAUUUAUAUCAUUGUGUCUUGUUGGCUUUCUUUAUCUAUGUAUUCUUUUAUUUUUCUUUUUUUUAUUUUCUUUUCUAUAUGUAUUCACUCUUUAUAUUUUCAAGGUAUUAUGCCACUUUUACUCAUUAUACUUUUCUUUAACUUCAAGACUCCUUUAUAAAUGACUCAUUAACAUAUGAAAGAAGCACUAGUAAAGCACAAAUUAAAAGCUUUUGGGGUUAUUUCUUAAGUAAUUGAACUUAAUAGAUCAUUAUGUUAGAUGUUGUUGUUGUUUUGAUAUUACGACAUUGGUUCCUCGUUCUCUCAGCAUGUGGAAUAAAAACGUAAGUACUUAUGUUUUCUCAUAGAGGUGAAGAGUAUCAGCGGGGAAACUCAUCUCCCUGACCUCUUCGGCAAGAAUCCAAGGGAGGUGUGCAACACUAUGAAACCUAAAUCCGCCAUUGUUAAAUCUAGAACUGAGGAUUUUAUUAGAACAUAUGGAUGUAAAUUUGGUUAUUGGAGGAUCAUGAUAGGUAGUCAAUCAUAAGAUCAAAAUUGGGCAAGAUGUUUUUAGCAAUCAAGAAGAUUCUGCGAAAAAAAGAAACCUAAAGAGUACAAGAGAGCAGUGUAAAGAACAGAAAGACUGGCAAAAAGAAAUGCUAUGUUUUUACAAAGAUUAGACUCAUGUUCCAAGCUGAAUUGAAUUUCUUGCUAUAUAAUCAUUUAUGUGGCCUAAGUGUUGCUAGAGAUUCUAGGUUAUCAAAAAAUAUUGGUAAAGAACCGCUUACGUUGCUGAUAUUCCGUAUUUUUAACGGUUUUAAACUCGUUUUGGAGCAAUUAAAUGGUCGGUUUUAAAGGUUUGCGCGGUCUUGGUGGGGAUUUGGAAUCAAUGCCUUGACAGUCUAUGAUUUAAGUGGUUAGCGAAAUCACAAGGUAAGGUCUACUGAGGGUUAGUGAGCUCCCAAAUUUUAAUCCUCUUUACUUGAGGACAAGCAAAGAUUCAAGUCUGGGGGAGUUGAUAUUCCGUAUUUUUAACGGUUUUAAACUCGUUUUGGAGCAAUUAAAUGGUCGGUUUUAAUUAAUGUUUUGGUCUAUUUGAUGCGUUUUGGUGUUCUUAAGUGUAAUAUGCAGGUUACUAGAUAGCUUGAAAGAAAAGAACGCAUUCGGGAUUUAUUCAGAAGCAAGAUGGACCGAACAAUGGACCGAAUGAAGUAUUGAUCGCACAGAGCACGAGAUCGACCGAUCCGGGAUACUUGGAUCGACCGAUCCCAGGCUUUCAUACACGAGAUCGACCGAUCCGAGCCAUGGGGAUCGACCGAUCUCAGGCGCUACGGGCUCCACAUGCACAAACGAGCUUUUCACUCCUUUUUACCCACUCCCCUCAAUAAUUCACAGAGGAACUCAGCACGAGAUCGACCGAUCCGGGAUACUUGGAUCGACCGAUCCCAGGCUUUCAUACACGCGACCGAUCCGAGCCAUGGGGAUCGACCGAUCUCAGGCGCUACGGGCUCCACACGCACAAACGAGCUUUUCACUCCUUUUUACCCACUCCCCUCAAUAAUUCACAGAGGAACUCGACUUUGGAGACUCAGAAAAGACCAGGGGGCGACCAAGGAGGAGAUUUACAAGUUCUAGAGAGAGAUUUGAGUGUUUUGUACUUGUUUUGGUGUGAUUUGUGAAGAUUUGUAAAGGAGUUCAUCUCAAAACCAUUUGGAGAAGAUCUUCUGAACCUUUACUCUGUUUUAAUACAAUCUUAUCAUGUUUUCUUCAUCAAAAUCGUUUUGUUCUUGCUUAGUUAUGUGUGAGUAGUCAUCUAGUUGGGUUUAGGGGUUCUCAUAAGGGAUUUCUUGAUGUUUUGAUCCAUAAAACGUGUGUAGACUAAGGGAUUACGUUUUGGUUCUUCAUCUAAUGGAUUUCUUACUGCUUGAACUGAAUUGAUCACUUAGUUCAUGAUAUUAGAUCGUUUGAUGCACCGAAAGUGAUUGUUUGAACUUCCGAAAAUACUUCAGAUGAGCAAAGUGUCCUUAACCCUCGGAAGUUGAUGUUAUUGCGCUUUGUGAACAUAUUGAACCUGUUCUUAAUGCUUGUUUAGAAAUUGAAACUCAGCGGAAGUUAGUGUGGAGAUUUCUAUAACAUAGAGAAUUAGCGCUACGGAAGUAGGUUAAUUCUAAUAUCGUGUUUGAGUUCUAGACGAUUCUUAAUAUAUCCCUGUCUCUUCCAUUAAUUGUAUCUUGAUUAAAAAGAAAUCUCUGAGAAUUCCCAAUGCCCAACGUUUGUUUUAAAAUAGUUUUCAAAUCGUUUAAAUCAUCUUUUUACAACUUGUUUAUGCUUUGUGACACUAGAGAAAAUUAAAUAAAAACCAACAAAAAUAUAUCUUGUUUCGCUGUAGCUAUUAACUUGUCUGCAACUCUACGUGUGAUCAUCGGUCCCUGUGGAUUCGAUCCCGUAUUACUACUGCGUACUUUACUGUGCACUUGCAGUUAGAUAAUCGGGUAAAAACUCAAGACAUCAAGUUUUUGGCGCCGUUGCCGGGGACCAUUUGGUCACCCUAGAGUUAAUGAUCAGUUUAAGACUAUAGCAUUUUCUUUAUUUUGUCUAAUGCUUCUGUCUUUCUCUUUUUGUUUGUGUUUUCAGGUGAAUGAGCGGAUUUCAUACUAGAAGCAAAGGAUCAUCGAAUUUAAUACCUUUGGAGUUAGAGCUCGGCCGCCUAGAGAGACAAGUGAAAAAGAAAAGACUUGAGUCCGCUGAAGAGGUUGAAAUGGCUGAACACCAAGAAGAUCAAUUUCAGGACAACCCGCAAAAUCCAAUUCCUGUAAAUGAACGAGAAGGCAACAAUGCCGGUGAUAAUCAGCAGGCUGGUGUAGCUGCAAGACAACAAGCUGGAGACUAUGGCAUGCCUAGGAUGACGCUUGCACAUUAUGAUACACCAGAUGCAUUCUAUGCCGAUCGUUCUGGGAUUCGCCCACCUCCCAUUGAGAGAAGAGACUUUGAGAUCAAGACUGGUCUCAUUAAUUUGGUGGAGAAAAAUCCGUUUCAUGGAAACCCGUCUGAGGACCCGAUGUAUCACUUGGAGCAUUUUGAGCGAGUCUGUGACACCAGCAGACAUAAUGGAGUUCCCCAAGGCGCUUUGAAAUGCAGAUUGUUCCCGUUUUCCUUAGCUGAUAAAGCUAUCAGAUGGUUAAAGUCCAUCCCUCCAGGAUCUCUUACUACAUGGGAAGAGACAAGAGCUGCUUUUCUACAGCAUUUCUUCACCAAGUCAAGGUCCACAUAUCUGAGAAGCAGAAUUGGAAGCUUUCAGCAACUUGAUUCAGAAAGCUUUCAUGAGGCUUGGGAGCGUUUCAAGGAGUACACACAGGACUGCCCUCACCAUGGCUACACUGAUGUGAGUUUGCUGAACAUUUUCUAUAAUGGAGUUCAUGAAGAGAGUCAAGAUGCCAUGGACACAGCAAGUAAUGGUGAUUUCAUGACCAAGACUGUUGAAGAAGCUUACACCUUGUUGAACAACCUGUCAUCCAGCAAAGCAAACCGCAAGUCAAGGUUUGAUACCAGCCAGAAGGGUGUUGGUUAUGAAUCCAAGAAGAUAGAUGAGCUGAAUGCCAAGAUUGAGAUGCUUCUCAAGAGAGAUCAGAAAUCUGUGAAAUUUGUGGAGGAGCAAGGCUAUCGUUCCUCACAAGAAGCUGUUGGUGAUGAUUCAAGUGAUAUGCAGGCUGAUGUGAACUACAUUGGUGGUCAAGGAAACUACAACAGAGGCUACAAUCAGAACCUUGGGUGGAAUCAAAAUCAGCAAAAUAAUCUGUCUUACCGGAGCAACAAUGUGGAGAAUCCACAACAUCAGUCCUACCCUCAGGCAGGAAACAGGCAGAACCAGAAUCAGAACCAGAGUGUGUUCAACCAAGGAUUUCAGAACAGAAAUCAAUAUCAGGGGAAUAACUCGGGCAACUCAGGAUUUCAGCAAAGACAGCAGUACAACAACUAUCAGAAUCAAGGAAAUGCCUCUUCGUCACAGCCUUCUCAGGAUAACGAAAUUAAGAAGAUGCUGCAAAUGGUGCUAGAAGGUCAGAAGAAUAGCACUGCAGAGAUAAACACCAAGGUGGAUAACAUGUAUGGAGAGCUUAAUGGGAAGUUCGAAGCUUUGAACACCCAUUUGAAAGUUUUGGAAAAGCAAGUUGCUCAAACCGCCUCUAGCAGCAGAACAGCACCUGGAUUUCUACCAGGGAAGUCAGAGACGAAUCCCAAGGAGUUUGUGAAUGCUAUAACACUUAGGAGUGGAAAAACGGUUGAGGAAUCGAAAGAGAAAGAGAUCGACCGAUCUCAAGAACAGAUCGACCGAUCCAAGGGGAAGGAGAUCGACCGAUCCGGUCCAUCUGGAUCGACCGAUCCCGUGUCGACGAAACCAAAUUCCUCCGAACCUGAAGAGGUGUAUGUGGCGCCUCCUGCUUAUGUUCCUAAGGCUCCAUACCCAUCCAGACCAAGGCAGAAGAUCAAAGAACGUGAGUACGAGAAGCUAAAGAACCUUGUUGGGGAGUUACAUGUGAGAUUGCCAUUUGUUGAAGCGGUGAAGAUGGUACCUUCUCUUAAAAGGUACAUGAAGGAGAUUCUUACCGAUAAGAUGAGCCUAGAGCGGGGUGUGUUGAUGCUCAAUGAGGAGUGUAGCGCAGUUCUACAAAAUGUCAUGCCUAAAAAGCGUGAAGAUCCCGGAGCAUUUGUUCUACCAUGCCGCAUUGGAUCACUUACUUUUGAGAAGAGUCUCUGCGAUCUGGGUUCAGGAGUGAGCCUAAUGCCUUUCUCUGUCUCUGAGAGGCUGGGCAUGACGAACUACAAACCUACAAGGAUCUCCUUGGUCCUUGCUGACCGAUCAGUGCGAAGACCAGUCGGUGUACUAGAGAACAUCCCUGUUGGUGUUGGAAAGGGAUACGUGCUUACCGAUUUUGUAGUUCUGGAGCUGGAAGAGGAACCUAAAGAUCCUCUCAUUUUGGGCAGACCAUUUUUAGCUACUGCUGGAGCCAUGAUUGAUGUACAGAAUGGGCAUAUAGACUUACGUCUAGGAGACAUGGCGAUGAGAUACAAUGUGGAGAAGGUGCUGAAAAAUCCGACUAUUGAUGGACAGACUUUCUGGGUUGAUACAUUGACUGAACUGGUGGAGGAAAUGGAUGAAGAGUUGCACACUGAUGAUCCUCUACAAGUCGCAUUGACCCAAAGGGAGAGUGAGUUCGGGUUCAUGAACCAAGAAGUGGUUGGAUUUUCUGAGAUUUUAGAUUCAGCCCCACCGAUUGAGAAGCAUGUCGCCUAUGUCAGCCUUGAAGACUCAGGCACCGAUAAAACCGCCAAACCGUCAUCCUCCCAACCAGAUUGGAGUGAGGAGAAUGCUCCAAAGGUGGAACUUAAAGCCCUCCCAGCUGGGCUGAGGUAUGCAUUCUUGGGACCGAAUUCCACAUAUCCUGUUAUUAUUUGUGCUAACCUGAAUAAUGUGGAGACCGCUUUGCUUCUUUCAAAAUUGCGAAAGUAUAGAAAAGCAUUGGGGUACUCUUUGGAUGAUAUUACAGGUAUUUCUCCUGAUCUUUGCAUGCACAAGAUUCACUUGGAGGAUGAGUCAAAGACGUCCAUAGAGCACCAGCGAAGACUGAAUCCCAAACUGAUGGAAGUUGUGAAAAAAGAGAUUCUAAAGCUGUUGAGUGCAGGGGUGAUCUACCCAAUUUCAGACAGCACUUGGGUGAGCCCGGUUCAUGUGGUUCCUAAGAAGGGUGGCAUCACUGUCAUCACAAAUGAGAAAGCUGAGCUGAUUCCUACCAGAACAGUCACAGGGCAUAGGAUGUGCAUUGACUACAGGAAGCUAAACUCAGCCACAAGGAAGGACCACUUCCCACUUCCUUUCAUUGACCAGAUGCUGGAAAGACUAGCCAACCACCCCUACUACUGUUUUCUCGAUGGUUACUCUGGGUUCUUUCAGAUACCCAUUCAUCCAGACGACCAAGAGAAGACAACAUUCACCUGUCCAUACGGUACUUUUGCCUACAGGAGAAUGCCUUUCGGAUUGUGCAAUGCUCCUGCCACUUUCCAGAGAUGCAUGAUGUCGAUCUUUACUGAUCUUAUUGAGGACAUUAUGGAGGUUUUUAUGGACGAUUUCUCAGUCUACGGUUCUUCAUUUAGGGACUGCCUUGCUAAUCUGUGCAAGGUGCUGGAAAGAUGUGAGGAGAAGAACUUGGUAUUAAAUUGGGAGAAGUGUCAUUUCAUGGUGAAAGAUGGCAUUGUUUUGGGUCACAGGAUAUCAGAGCAGGGUAUCGAGGUUGACAAAGCAAAGAUUGAAGUUAUGACCAGCCUACAGCCUCCCAGGACAGUGAGGGAUAUUCGGAGUUUUCUUGGACAUGCCGGUUUCUACAGGAGGUUUAUCAAAGACUUCUCUAUGAUAGCGAGGCCACUCACCCGUCUGCUGUGCAAAGAAGCGAAGUUUGUUUUUGAUGCUGACUGCCUCGCUGCGUUUCAGAUUCUCAAGAAGUCUCUAGUCAGUGCUCCCAUUGUGCAGCCACCAGAUUGGGACUUACCAUUUGAAAUAAUGUGUGACGCAAGUGAUUACGCGAUUGGAGCUGUUUUAGGGCAGAGAAAAGACAAGAAACUCCAUGUGAUCUAUUAUGCCAGCCGAACGCUUGAUGAUGCUCAAAUCAAGUAUGCUACCACUGAGAAGGAGUUGCUGGCAGUAGUUUAUGCUUUCGAGAAGUUCAGAUCCUAUUUGGUGGGCUCGAAAGUAAUUGUGCACACAGAUCAUGCAGCCUUGAAGUACCUGAUGACGAAAAAAGAUGCUAAACCGAGACUCUUAAGGUGGAUCUUACUCCUACAGGAGUUUGAUAUUGAGAUCAGAGACAAGAGAGGAGCAGAAAAUGGAGUGGCAGAUCAUCUUUCCCGAAUGAGAGUGGAAGCUGAAACACCACUGGAUGAUACAUUACCCGAGGAGAAUGUCUAUGUGAUCACCUUGCUGGAGGAUGAGUAUUUGGAUCAGGCUGAUUGCUGUGCCAUGAGACAAAUUCAGGAUGAUCUCCCAUGGUUUGCAGACUUUGCAAACUACCUAUGUGCUGGAAUUGAACCACCGAACCUGAAGGGAUAUGAGAGGAAGAAGUUCAUGAGAGAUGUGAACCACUAUUACUGGGAUGAUCCCUUCCUCUACAAGAGAUGCUCAGAUGGUUUAUUCAGGAGAUGCGUUCUGGAGAAUGAGAUGCAAGGGAUUCUUUUCCACUGCCACAGCUCAGAAUACGCAGGCCAUUUUGCAACAUUUAAGACGGUUUCUAAGGUCCUGCAGGCUGGUUACUGGUGGCCUACACUUUUCAGAGACGCCCAUGAGUUUGUCUCAAAGUGUGAUGCAUGUCAGCGGAAGGGUAACAUCAGUAAGAGAAAUGAGAUGCCCCAAAAUUUCAUCCUUGAAGUUGAAGUUUUUGAUGUAUGGGGAAUUGAUUUUAUGGGCCCUUUCCCAUCUUCUUAUGGAAAUGAGUACAUCUUGGUUGCGGUUGAUUAUGUCUCCAAGUGGGUGGAAGCGGUAGCCAGCAAGACAAAUGACUCUAGUGUUGUCAAGAAAAUGUUCAAGACAAUCAUUUUUCCAAGAUUUGGGAUCCCGCGAGUGGUUAUUAGUGAUGGAGGCUCUCACUUCAUCAACAAGACGUUCGAUAAACUGCUGAAGAAACAUGGAGUAAAGCAUAAGGUAGCUACACCUUAUCAUCCUCAGACAAGUGGGCAGGUUGAAAUAUCGAACCGAGAAAUCAAGGGAAUUUUGGAGAAGGCUGUAGGCAAAACAAGGAAAGACUGGGCUGUGAAGCUUGAUGACGCAUUAUGGGCGUAUAGAACCGCCUACAAGACUCCUUUGGGCACCACUCCUUUUAAUCUGGUCUAUGGAAAGUCUUGUCACUUACCUGUGGAAUUGGAGUACAGUGGUUUCUGGGCAACAAAGUUGAUGAACUUCGACAUUAAAACCGCUGCAGAAAGGAGGAUGGUUCAGUUGAACGAGCUGGACGAGAUUCGGUUGAACGCCUAUGAGAACACCAAAAUCUACAAGGAAAGAACUAAGGCGUGGCAUGACAGAAAGAUAAUCCCGAGAGACUUCGCUGCUGGAGACAAAGUCCUUCUAUUCAACUCUAGACUAAAGCUAUUUCCUGGAAAGCUUAAGUCUCGUUGGUCCGGACCUUUCACCAUCACAGACGUUAGACCUUAUGGAGCUGUUGUCUUGGAAGACAAUGGGAGGAAGUUCACAGUCAUUGGGCAGAGGCUGAAACCUUACUUCACAGAUGCAAAACCCGAAGAAGGAACCAACAUUCCUUUAACGGAACCCGAUCUCGCCUAAGGACAACAAAAUAGUCAGGCUCGCGACUUUAAACAAGCGCUGACUGGGAGGCAACCCACAUGGUUUGAUUUUCUUUCUCUUUUGUGAUUAUAUUUUCUUGUGUGAAUUGAUUUUUGGUUGUGUUUUUAGAUGAUUUUUAGGCAUGUAUCACGAUCAGGCAUAGAUCGAUCGAUCCACGACACUAAGAUAGGUCGAUCCACGUCAAAGAUCGCUCGAUCGGGGAUACUAAGAUCGGUCGAUCCAAGUCAAAGAUCGGUCGAUCCGACUCGUAUGGAUCGGUCGAUCCAAGGUAAGUAUUGACCGGUUUGAUUUCACUUAGUUUAAACCGGAAAACACCCAUACAAACACCCACAUCUCGAAAAUGUCGAUCAAAACACCUACAAUUUCAUCUCCUUCUCCUCUCAAACUCUCUCAAACCUCUCAAGAACACCCAAAAUCGAUUUUCAUCAUUUCUCAACCGAUUUUUGUAAUUCUUGGUGCUAAACUCAUUAGUUUUUCGAGCUCUAUCCAUUUCUACCAUCAGUUUUCAUCAAGACACAGGUAUGACUCUCUAAAUUGGGAAUCAAAAAUCGCCCUAGGUUUAGAUUUAGGGGAAUCUCCGAAUUCUAAAUGGAAUAGCAUCUAGAAUGGUUUAUUUGUGAUGAUUAUACUCAUGGGUUACCUAGAUUGCCAAUUUUUAGGAUGAAUUGCGAUUUUGCCAAAAAAAAAAAAAAAAAAAAAAAAAAAUUUGGAGUUUAAUUGAAAAACGAAAAUGGGAAUGGAGUGUGAUAUGUUAUCUUGAGUUUUGAGAAGGGAUGUGUNNNNNNNNNNNNNNNNNNNNNNNNNNNNNNNNNNNNNNNNNNNNNNNNNNNNNNNNNNNNNNNNNNNNNNNNNNNNNNNNNNNNNNNNNNNNNNNNNNNNNNNNNNNNNNNNNNNNNNNNNNNNNNNNNNNNNNNNNNNNNNNNNNNNNNNNNNNNNNNNNNNNNNNNNNNNNNNNNNNNNNNNNNNNNNNNNNNNNNNNNNNNNNNNNNNNNNNNNNNNNNNNNNNNNNNNNNNNNNNNNNNNNNNNNNNNNNNNNNNNNNNNNNNNNNNNNNNNNNNNNNNNNNNNNNNNNNNNNNNNNNNNNNNNNNNNNNNNNNNNNNNNNNNNNNNNNNNNNNNNNNNNNNNNNNNNNNNNNNNNNNNNNNNNNNNNNNNNNNNNNNNNNNNNNNNNNNNNNNNNNNNNNNNNNNNNNNNNNNNNNNNNNNNNNNNNNNNNNNNNNNNNNNNNNNNNNNNNNNNNNNNNNNNNNNNNNNNNNNNNNNNNNNNNNNNNNNNNNNNNNNNNNNNNNNNNNNNNNNNNNNNNNNNNNNNNNNNNNNNNNNNNNNNNNNNNNNNNNNNNNNNNNNNNNNNNNNNNNNNNNNNNNNNNNNNNNNNNNNNNNNNNNNNNNNNNNNNNNNNNNNNNNNNNNNNNNNNNNNNNNNNNNNNNNNNNNNNNNNNNNNNNNNNNNNNNNNNNNNNNNNNNNNNNNNNNNNNNNNNNNNNNNNNNNNNNNNNNNNNNNNNNNNNNNNNNNNNNNNNNNNNNNNNNNNNNNNNNNNNNNNNNNNNNNNNNNNNNNNNNNNNNNNNNNNNNNNNNNNNNNNNNNNNNNNNNNNNNNNNNNNNNNNNNNNNNNNNNNNNNNNNNNNNNNNNNNNNNNNNNNNNNNNNNNNNNNNNNNNNNNNNNNNNNNNNNNNNNNNNNNNNNNNNNNNNNNNNNNNNNNNNNNNNNNNNNNNNNNNNNNNNNNNNNNNNNNNNNNNNNNNNNNNNNNNNNNNNNNNNNNNNNUUCUUUUAAGUAAUCCUCUUUUAUGCUCAUCUAAUCCUCUCUUCUCUGCUCAUCUCCGGCAUGGCGUGGCGUGAAGAUACCUCGACGUCAGAUAUACAGAUCUGGUCAUUCCUCGCUCGUAACCAUUCCUUUGGAUUCCGUCGCGUUCGUCGUCACCCCAACCGUCUGGGCUCGUCGCCACUCACCUGUCAUCUCUCUCUCAGUUUAAAUCUAUGCGUGUUUUACAUCUGAUUUUGUUUUGUUCUUGGAAGAGCUUGCUGGAGGAUACCGAAGAAGGUUGACGGCGGAAGAGUCAAAAGAAGGUUGAAGGGAAGUGGUUGCCAGAUCUGUACCGGAAAGGUCUCGAAAAAUUAAGAAACGGGACUUUUAGCAUGUGAGAUAUGCUCUGACAAAAAAAUUUGGGCUAGGAUAUCAUAGAUUAUUAUAUCAAUAGGGGUAAUAAUGGUAUAUUGGAAAGACCACAGUGUCAUGGGUACUUACCUAAUUAUGCAUUCUUCCGUGUGUACACAACCUAAUUUCUCUAUUAUCUUUUAACAAAAAAAUUUCUAAAUUUCUUGUCAACUUUUUCUGUGAAGUUAUUUUUGUGAAGUUAUUUUUAUGCAUAUAUAAAAUAUAGAUUAAUAAAAUUUCUAGCUAUUUCCUUUUUACUAAGAUUAUUUUGGGGAAAUAUUAAGAAUAAUAAAAUAUUUUAAAAACAUAUGAUCUUGUAAAAAUAUAUUAUAUAUUAAGUUUUUCGUCUAUAUAUAAAAAUAUAUAUGUUUACGUUUAAAAAAAAAUCUUUUUUACUAUUUAUGUGCUUUUGUAAAAAGGAAUACAUAAAUGAAAAAGUUUACUAAAAUUUAUUAGGAAAAAAAUAAAAAACGAUUGUAAUUAAUGGCAAUUGAAUAUAAUCUUUUUAGUUCACUAAGGGUACUAAGUAAUUAACUAUCGUGAGAAUUAACGUUUGGGCGAUACAUAUGAAAGUAACUUUUCAGAUAAUAUUAUAAAGAUUGCCUAUCAAAACGUUGAAUUUAAUUUCCACUAAGCCAUUUUGAUAUAAUAUAAAAUUUAUUAUUGGUACAGUAAAAUUUGAAAUUUUUAUUUAGUAAAUUUUUGAACCCAUAAAAAUACUACUAUAUUGGUAUAUAUGUUUUUUGUAUUGUUCCUAUUAUUCGUAUAAAAAAAUUGAGUUUAUAAAAAUAUUAAUUUCAUGAGAUUUCAUUAACAUUGAUUAACAGAAAGGACAAUAAAGGUAAAAAUAGGACAAAAAUGGUGUUAUCCUAUAAAAACAAUCGUACUAAAUAUUUGGUCAAUAUUUCCAAUUUUCCUAAAUUCAUUACCAUGAUUGGAAGAUUCAUAAAGAAAAGAAAUCUAUAUAUUUGUUUACAUGUACAAACACAAACAAGACCAACACUAUAAGUUUUCAACAAAUAACUAGAGUAAAGGUAAAUUGGUUUAUAUUAAAACAAAAGUUAUGGCUACAAAGAAAUUUCCAUCUCUUCUAUUACUUUCCAUGAUGGUGUUUGCUCUCAUCAUUUUUCCCAUUGAUUCGGCCUUUCCAGGUAAACGUAUUUCUUUGUUUAGAUAUGGACUGUCUCAAACCCAAAAAUCUUUUUUAAUCCAAACUUUUUCAAUCCUUCAAAAAAUAAAAUUAAAACCAAGUCUAGAGUCACUAAACACAAAACAAAAGCCCCUUCAGAUUUGACCAAAAAGUUCAUGAUUCUUAUAUGCAGUAUGUUAAAAUAUUGAAUUGAUUUAUUUUGGUCUUGAUGUAUUGCUAAUUUGUGUUUAUGAUGAAUCAAUUAAUUAGGACUUUAUUACAAAUGUACGGUGGACGGAUGUACACUUACACCAGCAUGUUCGGUAAAAUGCAAGUCUAUGGGGUUCCUUAGAGGAGGUGAAUGUCGAAUUUAUAGCUAUGGCGGUGCUUGUUGCUGCGAAUGCACUGAUAAAUCAUGUAUAAAUAUUGCAGUAUCUAGUCCUUGUCCGUACUAAUCAUUUGUUCAAUCUAUAUGCACUCUUAAUUAUACAUGAAUAAAAAAACCAUAUAUUGAAAUAAGUUUCAUCUUUAAACGAUCUACAUUGUCUCAUCCAACCAAAAAUUAUCAUCUCUUGAUCUCUUCUUGUACUAUAUGUACUCUCAAUUCACAACAUCACACGCCAAUGCGCCAUCACAAUCAAAUCCCAACUCGCUAUAUGUAUGAUAUAUGAAAUUUAGAUAUAUAUACAAUCAAGUUGUUUGGUUUCUUCUAUCGUUUACUUGGCCACUCAUAACAAAGCAAAAGCUUGAAACUUAGCUUAUCUGAACUGAAAAAAUCAGUCAAAUGGUUCGUUUGAUUGGUUCAUGUUCUGUUUCGGUUGAGCGGGAUAACCAUCAAGUAUUUUUCGGUUAUUUUCCAAAAUUUUGAGCAUUUAAAAAUAUUUUGCAUAGUUUUCAAAAUUUUUUUUUUGAUAUGAGUUGUUUUCUAUAAAGAAGGGAUAUAUUGGUCUAUAUUGAACCAAAAUAUUCCGGUUUGAUCCAAUUUAUAUGUGGUCCUUUAUAUACAUGCAUAAUGGAUUGUUUGCUAAAUCAAGAUCUAAUCAGCAAACUACUGAUAAAAUAAUUCGAGAAAUAAAAGAUUAUUAUCACCAAAAACACUGAGUAUUGAGUAUUCUUUAUCAAAUAUCCAUGAGAUAUUUUUUUUUAAAUUAUAGUAGAUUGUAAUCACCGCAAAAUAAAAUAACAACUAACAAUAUAUAUCUAGACUAUCAAAUACAUGCAGAUGGUAUAUUUAAACAGAACAUAAGUUUGUAGUUUGUGUAUUUAUAUAAUAAAUCAUAUUAUAUUUCAUUAAUUAGGUGAUAAUCCGCGCUUUGCGCGGAGUGAAAGUUAAAAUAAUUUUUAUUUGUUGUAUUUUGUAUUCAAGUUACAUAUUAUUCAUAUAUAUAUAUAUAUAUAUAUAUAUGUAUUGUGUCUCUAUAAUAAUAAAACAGCUUUUCUCAUUUGGAAAACAUAAAAAGAAACUAAUAAAAGUAAAUGAACCACAGAACUGAAAUCUGUAAACAAAUCGAAUAAGGCCCAAAUGGAAAUAUAGGCUGUACUAAUAAAAUUGAUUGCAAUAAUGUUAUUGGGCCUUUUUGUUAGAAAGUUCAGUUUUCCAAGGUUACCAAUUAAUUAAGGCCCGCGCCAGCUCAAGACUUUAUUUGUAUUUGGUCGGUCAAGUGGCAUAAACCGUAAAUCUUCUAGUAACGAAAGGACAUUUUUUCGAGGGGUACGAGUCCGAGAGGCGCUGAGAAGCUGACACGUCAGCUUUGUACCUUAAGUUCAUUUUUUUAAAAUGCUUCUCAAUUAGUAUAUAAGAGAUCGUAAAUGAAAUGUUAUACCGGUAGAAAAACAUAAUUAAUAAAUUAACCAUUUAUCAUAUUCAUAUUCCCUAUAUAUUAGUUGAAAAAUAUUACAACUUAUUUUUGUAACCACAUGUUAUCAUUAUGAUGAUUCUUAGAACCAUUAGAAAAAUAAGUUGGUCCACCUAAUUAUAUAAUAAAAAUUUUAUUAAACUAAUUAUAAAUUUAUUAUUAAUGUUCUGUAUUAUUUGCCCUAAAUAAAAGUUACGGAAUUACCUAAUGUGGCUAAAAUAUAUAAUAAUUAAUGAUUUUAAAUAAUAAAAAUUUGAUAAAAAAAUAGUAUAUCUUCUAUCACACUUUUUAAUUUUAAAUUAUUAAAAUAAAUUAAAAAAUCACACUAACCAUAUGAUAAAAUUUAGAUUUUUCUGUAUCUGUUAUAUUUUGAAUUUUUUAAAAAUAAUUAUAAAUUACUAAAACUGUUAAAAAUCUCACAUUUAAAUUUUAUGAUCCAUUUCUUGUUAUGACAAAAUAAAAAUAAUUACAAAAUUAUAUAAAUAAAAAAUCUAAUUUAAUUAAGUAUUAAAAAGUCCAAUCAGUCCACGAUGCACCAAAAACUGCAGUUGCUAGUACGAACUAUGAAAUUGAAAAUUAUAGAGAUAAUCAAAGGACUGUUCCAACGAUAAACUUGAAUCAAUUUGAGUUUCUAAGCCAUUCAGUAUUUUACUAAUACAUGCACAUCAUCAAAAUCUUUUUUAAAAAAUCAUAAUUGAAAAGGGGAAUCUCAAAACCUAACCUUCAAUUUUGGAAAAAAAAAAACGAGAUAAAAAUCGAACACCUACUGGUUCUUAAUCAGCGAUGAAAGCUUCGCCCACCUUGUGCCAACGCCGAUUUACGCUGUCAGAGAAAACAAGGUCACUUAGAGUACAUAAAAAAAACAAGGUUAGAAAAAACAAGGGAGGAGGAAAUAGAAAAAUACCACAGAUGAAAGAAGAAAGAGGAAGGAAAGAUGGCACGACAACGUAGAAUUAGCAGGCGAACCAAGACGCACCGGAGAGAACACAUUGAUGGAGAAGCGUUGGGUUUAGAUUUUUUUUUUAAAUUUUAUUUACAUUUAUUAUACCAUAUUAUAACUCUAUUUAAUUAUUAUUUAUGUUAUUACAUUUUAAUUACUUUUAUAAAUCUAAAUAUGAAGGACUAAAGUGGUUUUCCUUAUAGUUUGUACUAAGGGGACAUGGAUUAGUAAAAUCAUUCUGAAUUAUAGGAUAUUAUAAUCGCCACAAAAUAAGGUAACAAAUAAGUUUUUAAACAAAACAUAAGUUUAAAGCUUAUGUGUUUUAGAAUGAAUCUUGUAUAAUGCUUAAUUAAUCAUACGUAUCAUGCUACCGCUAGAACAACAUAAUAAAUUAGGUAUGUAUGAUAUAUAUCUUACUAAACGAUUUGGAUGAAUUGGAAUUAGUCAUGUUCAAGGAGACUGCAUAUCUAAUUCAAGUAUUUUACGGAUGCAUAAUGAUUUGAAAGACCUUAGCCAUUUUUAGAAUUUUCUGCAUGGUAUAAAUAAAUCUAAAGUUAUUAUAUAGACCAUAACAAACCUAUCAAUUAUUUAUUUUCUAAAUAAAUAUUUAGUCAACAAACUAGUGAUAAAAUAAUUCAGGAAUUAAAUUAUUAUUAUCACCAAAAAACGUUGAGAAUUCUUUAUCAAAUAUCCACGAGAUAUUCUUAUUUUGUAUUUUGAACUAUAGUAUACUGUAAUCACCACAAAAUAAGGUAAUGACUAAUAUUAUAUAUACUUCUUCCGUUUCUCAAUAAGUGUCACUUUGACACUAUUCACACAGACUAAGAAAGUAGCAGAAAUAUAUGUAAAUUGUUAUUAAUUACAUCUUUCUAACUAAUACUAUUUGAGAUAAAUAAAAUUAUUUAUAAAACCAAUGCAGUUUGCAAUUAAUUUUCAGCUGAAAGUAAGUAUAAUUUGCAUUGGAAUUGUAAAGUGACACUUUUUAUGUAACAAGAGAAAAAAACUAGAAUGACACUUAUUAUGAAACAAAGAGAUUAUAAUCUACCAAAUACAUGUAAAUGGUGCAUUUAAACAAAAUUUAAAUCAAAAAGUUUGUGUGUUUAUAGUCAACAAAUUGAUGAUAACAUAAAAUAAUUUAGGAAUUAAAAUAUUAUUAUCACUAAAAACAUUGAGGAUUAUUUAUCAAAUACUAGGGGGUGUCCGCGCGAAGCACGGAAUAUUGUUUUAUUGUUCUUAAAUAUGAUUUUUUGGAUGAUGUGAUUAUGUGGUUAAUAUUUAUUUGUGAAUAGCAUUAUUUGGUGUUUCAUUAUGGUAUGUAGUAGUAGAUAAUAAGUUAAUAUAUUAUGUGUAUGUCUUUUUAAUAAUGUGUUGUUGUGUAUAUAAUACUACUUGUUAGUGGUGAAAUGAGCUUCUGAUGUAAAACAUAUUGAAUUUCAAUAACUUUGCAUUUAGGCAUUUGUUGAUUUUAAGAUUAACGGUAUCAAAAUUGUAUUUUAAUUUUUCACAUUUUUCACAUUACUUUUUUAGAUGUUUCUGCACUCUCCCCAUAUUUUGACCUUGAACCGUCACCAUCUAUGUAUUUCAUUUACCUUUAGGGUGUGCAUGGCUUCUCACCAUCACUGAGAGAAGACUCACCUACAUGCUCUUGUUUUUCCCCACCUUUCUCUUCUGUGAGAUUUUAUGGUAUUUGUUAGAUAUCACGCAUAUUAGUUCCAUGUUGUGCGGUUGUUUCUUACGGCGUUGUAGGUUAUUUCAGUCAAUGUUGGUCAUCUUUUCCAUAAAUUUUGGCUAAUGUUAGAAACUACAUAUCCUUGGGUUGAGUUAGAGUUUAGUCGUCUUUGAUGUUGUCUUCGUCGUCGUUGGUUAAACGUCGAUAGUCUCUGUUGUCUUGGUUUUCAAGAUCUGGUUUUUGGUGAUCUGACUUUUAUGCUCUUUUUUAUAGUUCGAGGAUGUCUCCACAGUUUAUUGAUUUCAUUUCGUCUCCUUUUAUCACUUUGUUCUCUCAUCUCGUUGCACCUUCAUCGCUGAUCACGUCUUUAGUGGCUCUCCCUUUCGCCAUAUUUUCUACUCCAGAGUUGGAUAGUGUUUUUCUCUAUGUAUGCUUUGUGCGCUUGGAAUGUUGUUUAUGGUCUCAAGCUUGAGCUUUGGUUUCUCGAUGGUUGGUUUCCAUUCCCCCCCCCCAUUCAUUUUGAUUAUCUUUUUCUCAUGCGUUCCUUGGUGUAGGUGUGCGGAGUUAGUAUUUUGGAGCUUUGGUUUUUUCUAUUCAGAGCUUUGUGGUUCUUUGUUGGCAUGGGCGCCUUUAUGUUCUUGUUUAGUUUGUGAUGUGCUUCUUACCAUGCGUCUUCUUAUUUCAUGGUAACUUUGUUCAUCCAAUGAUUAUUCUUUCUCUAACCCGUUUUUUGGCUUUUUGCGCAGGUGCUUGAUCGCGAUCCUUUGUGUUCUCGGGAUUGUUUUGUCUCAUAUUUUAUCUUUUUACAUUUUUCUGACAUCUGUUUGUUCUAGUCAAAACAUUUUAUGGUAAGUUAAGAUAACUUAGUCUUCUUUGUUGAUAUCUUUGUAGCUUCAAACCUUUAUUAAGUUAGUGUUACUAUGGUGUUUUUCUUUUUCUCUAUGAUUGUAGAAGUUUUAAGUUUAAAUUAUAUAUUGCACUCUAGUUUCUUCUUAUUAGUUUAGUCAUUUUAUAUUUUUAAUAGUUAAAUAAAUAUAUAUUUUGUAAAUAAAUAAAAAAUGGUAAAAAAUAAUAAAAUAAAAUAAAAUUAUGUUAUUUUUAGUUGUGAAUAAAUUAAAUAUUUAAAAUAAAUUUUUAUUAUUUUAUUUAUUUUUUUAUUCAUCUUGAAUUUUAAUGAACAAUAAAUGGUCCCACAAUAAAUAGAUUAUCAAAUUUCAUACAAUAAUAGUUAGUGAGAAAAAGAUUAGAUAGUGCACAAUUAGAAAGAAUUUGGUCAAAUUGCAAUAAUCUAAAAAAAAGACUUAAAAUAUAAAAAAUGUAUAUGGAUGACACGUGUCGCAAAACCCCUCUGACACUUGUCAGAAAAAAGAAAAAAAACCAACUUUAUAUAUAUGGAUUGUACAAUUCAAACUAUAUGGCCUUAAUUACAUCAAAUUGACCAAGUAAAACAAUCUUAUACACAGUUUGAAGACGACUUAGUAAAACGCUAAAGUUAUUGAAAAUUCUACUCGUUAAAAUUGAAUUGGAGAAAAAAAAGUAUUAAAGACGGAAUAUAUCUUUCAACAAAAUCUCCGAUAUCAAAAAUCAUAAGCUUAAUAAAACUACUUCUUAACUGACAAUUCUCAACCUCAUACAAUGCAAGUACAAUCUUAAGCUUGGUCUUCAACCUCGGUAAUAGCCUUGGCCGCAUAAUCAAGCUUGAUAGCCAAGAGAUCCGUGUACUCUUGGUAUGGCGAUUUCUGAAACCUAGUCUCUUUCCAACAUUCAGGUGUAAGAAACCCAUAUGUCUUCUGAAGACAAUCAAAUGUAGCCUGUGUAGUCCCAAAAACAAAACAUCAAAUCCCAAGAUCAAUCAAUAAUCCAUCAACGAAUUGAACAUAGUCGAGAAUGUAUGUGCUUAAAUCUUCUACAGAUUACAUGUAGAACCACACUGCAUACAUACUAAGGCUAAUAAAGAAUCAUAAAGAUACAAAAUGUGGAUUACUUAAUAUUGCAUUCAAAUAUAAAACAACUAAGCAAACAUGCACUAAAUACAUAUUGGCCGUAGAAACAACACAGCUUCAAACCCAAUAUAAAUCAAUCAAAGAUAACUUAGCAGUCGAUUUGAACAUAAUCAAAAAGGUAUGUGCUUAAGUCUUCUACAGAUUACAAUUGACAAAAAAAAACUAAACUAAGGCUAAUUAAGAAUCAUUAAGAUAAAAAAUUUAUCAUUACAUUCACACAUGAAAAAACUUAACAUGUGUGCACUAUAUACAUAUUCAUCGUAACAACACAGAACCAAACCCAUUCUCAAACAAUCAAAUAUAACUAAGCAGUUGUAUCAAACACAAUCGUAACUUCGGCUACAAGUAAGGACAUAAACAGACCUUAACGAAGUUUCCGAGAGUUUUAGUAGAUCCUCUAGAGGAAGUGAAGACAUCAUCAAUACCAGCAAACUUAAGAACUUUCUUAGGAACCCUAGCCGCCACAAUACCAGCACCUCUCGGAGCAGGAACCAUCCUCACACUUCCCAGUAACCUUACAAGGAAUUGUAUGUGGCUUCCCAAUCUUGUUACCGCAAUAGCCUCUCCUCACAGGAACCACAGAAUCCCACCUCUAAUAGCAGUCGCAACCUCCUUCGAGCAUUUCACUCCCAACCCCACGUGUCCGUUACCAUCUCUGACAACGACAAAGGCCUUGAACCUUCUCCUCUGACCAGCUCUGGUCUGUUUCUGGACAUGCAUGAUCUUCAUGACCUCGUCUUUCAACGAAGUACUGACGAGGAGGUCUAUGAUUUGGUACUCCUUGACGGGGAGAGAGUGGAGAUAUAGAUUGAAUGACUUGAUUCAUUAGAAGAGUAGAUGUACAAUAUAUAUACAGACGUCUAUGCUAGGGUAUCUAAUACAAGUAAUUACAUUGUAAUCCCUAAUCAUAUAUUUCCUUAUCUUGUCUAUAUGCCCCUUCAAGAUGGAGGUGUCUUGACAACUCCAAUCUUGUUGCAGAUAAGCUGAAAAGGUGUCCGAGGUAAUGGUUUUGUGAGAACAUCAACCAGUUGGUCUCUUGUGGAGACAUGUGUAACUCGAAGACAGCCUGUUUGUAUUUGUUCCCUGACGAAAUGAUAAUCCAAAGCGAUAUGCUUCAUUCUUGAGUGGAAAACAGGAUUAGCACAUAGGUAUGUUGCUCUAAUAUUGUCACGAUAUAUGACUGGUGCCUGUGGUAAAUUGAUCCCGAGUUCAGUCAACAACGAACAUACCCAUCUUAGUUCAGACGAUGUGUUGGCUACAGAUCGAUAGUCCGCCUCAGUGGUGGAUCGUGCUACUCCCUUUUGUUUCUUUGAGGACCAGGAGAUAGGAUGUCCUCCUAGAUACAGAACAUAACCAUUUGUGGACACAAAAUCAUCACCGCCAGCCCAGUCAGCAUCAAAAUAAGCAUGAAGAGUCAAAUGGUUAUGUUUCCAUAGUAGGAUCCCAUGAUUGACGGUACCUGCGAGAUAUCGAAGCACCCUCUUUGCUGCAGUCCAAUGGUCAUCAGUGGGGCGAUGCAUAUACUGUGAGAGUUUAUUGACUGCAAACGCUAAGUCCGGACAGGUGAAGGCCAAGUACUGGAAGCUGCCAACUAGUGUUCGGAAUUGCGUAGGGUCCUGAAGUCGUUCGCCUUUGGUGAUUGUAAGUUUGUUGUUGGCAUCCAACGGAGUUGAGACAGUUUUUGUAUUUAUCAUGUUGAACUUGGUAAGCAGAUCGGUGAUGUACUUCCGUUGCAUUAAGUGUAGACCCUCCUUUGCUCUUGUGACCUCUAUACCCAGAAGGUAAUGCAAAUCUCCCAAGUCUUUGAGUGAAAAUCGCUUUGAGAGUGAGGCAGUGAUCAUAUUAACCAGACUUGUCGAUACGCCCUAGACUGAAGUAUCACUUUAGCUGGGUGUUGGAUAUGAUCAGAGAACGCAAACAACACUUCUGGAACUGAGAUGAAUUAAAAGGAUCGCCAAGAGAUGCGGAAUGGCUCUUGAUAUACCCACGAUCUAAGGCAAACCACCAAAGAAAGAAUGAAUGUGUUGGCUAACCACCAAACAACACACAAAGAUGAAUUGGUUGACCACCAAAUCAACAAGCCGAUUGACACCAAUGAACAAGCUAAAGAACUCUCUCUCUCUCAUUCAGAGAAGAAACGAAAUAAACUCAAAACAUAGACUGAUUUUAUUCAUAGAAUGAGAUUAUACAUAUUUAUAUUGUUUGUAGUCAAAGACUAAUAAAGAAGAUACACGAAAAAUAAUGCAUAGAAAAUAUAAAUUUGACCAGAUCUGAAUUAAUGAGUCAAAGAUUCAGUCUUCCAUGCAGAUUGGUCAAAAAUGGCCCUUUAGAUAAUGUCCAGGUUCUUCCAAACCAGAUGGAUGCACGGGGUAAAGAUAAGGACGCUUGCAGGAAUGUCCGGAUGGUCUGCCGAAUGAGAAUGCAUGUCCGUCUUCGGUUUCUUCACGACCCAAGCUAAGUCUUGCUCGACCGUGGGUCUUAGAAUGUCGAGUUGGUCGGGGGAGACGAGCCCUGGUACGGUCAGUUCGGUCGUCUGGUCGUGGUUCCAGCCGAAGCUCCAACCAGGACGCACGCGGGACGAACCUCGGUCAAAUUAUUCAGAACGUCCUGAUCUCCAUGCUGGCCGGCUCCAAUGGAAUGAUCCACGAACCAGGGCAAAUCAUUCCCUCCCUCUUCAAAAAAAUUUGUCCUCAAAUCUAAAACAUUAAAAGGAAAAGGAUUAUAAGCAAAAGAACCAUAAUCAGCACAAUGCUCACCUUGAGUUCGGUCUAUUUUUUGAAUGGAAGAUGAUUCUUCUUGGUUGGCUUGAUGACCAUGAAUUUGUUCUUCAUCUAGCCCCUCCAUUGGCUCAUAUGUUAAGUCAUCGAAAAUUGGCAAUGGGUAUUCCUUUUCAGGCUCGGUUUCAACGUUCUCAUUCUCAAAAGUCACCAACGGUCUUUGCUUUUGACACUUGUUAGCAUAAUGACUGAUCCUAUGGCAUUUGAAGCACCUGGUAGAACGAGAUUUGCUUGUGAGUUUCACAGCUUUGCUUUUAUCAGAAGAAAACACAUUAGUUUUCAAAUCAGAAUUUGAAAAAGAAGAAAAAUUACUUUGUUGUUUUGGUGUAGGAGAAGUGUUGGUGUUUCCCUUCUUUUUGAGUCAUGAAUUGCCUUAUGCAACAUCUUCUCCAAGCUGACAUAAGUCUGAAGCACAUUCUGAUCAAACACAACACGGUUGCUUCUCUUGGCUUUGGUGAAGGGACGAUCACCACUUCUGACCCACUUCUCAUCAUCAUCGAACAUGUUUUGUCUUUUCCUUUGGUUUCUUUGUUUCUGCACAAAAUCAAACCCAUUAGAAACAAACUGUUUCUUAUUUCUAAAAAUCAAUUGCUCUUUUUCUAACACGGUUUUAAAAGGAAAGUAAACGUCUUGUUGUGGUUUUGAUUUCAUGAGAAGUCCAAAUAUCCUGAAAAUACUUAACAAAAUAGUUAUCAAAUAAAAAUCCUCACACUCUCAAAGUGUUUAGCUCACGAUUUUUAGGUGAUCACUCAGAGUUCUUUCCACUGGUUCAAAGGAUGAUAGGCAAUCAAAAUUCAGCAAUCAAAACCCAAAACAAACUUUUGUGGGAAAAAGAAAAGAUAAAGAAAGAUGAAGAGAUUUUUGAUAUGGAUCCGUCUUAACUGUCCUAAGGGUGAGUUUCUCUUCAGCCAGUAGAGUUUCUCUUCCACCACUCCCCCCUGGAUUUAUCUUCAAGAGUGAUUCAAGCCAAAACUUUUUUUUUAUCGAUAUAUAUAUUUUUUUGAUAAUAGGCGAUCACAAAGGAGUAAAGGAACAACCCGGAUCCAAGAAAUAAGAAAAGAAAAACGUGGAGAAAUGAGAAGAUGAAAGAUGAAAGAAAACAAACCAGCCAAAGUGGCUCUGAUACCACUUGAUACGCCUUAGACUGAAGGAUCACUUUAGCUGGGUGUUGGAUAUGAUACAAGAAGGCAAACAACACUUCUGGAACUGAGAUGGAUUGAAAGGAUCGUUAAGAGAUGCGGAAUGGCUCUUGAUAUACCCACGAUCUAAGGCAAAACACCAAAGAAAGAAUGAAUGUGUCGGCUAACCACCAAACAACACACAAAGAUGAAUUGGUUGACCACCAAAUCAACAAGCUGGUUCACACCAAUGAACUAGCUAAAGAAAACUCUCUCUCUCACUCAGAGAAGAAACAAAAUAAACUCAAAACAUAGACUGAUUUUAUUCAUAGAAUGAGACUACAUAUUUAUAGUGUUUGUAGUCAAAGACUAAUAAAGAAAAUACACGGAAAAGAAUGCAUAGAAAAUACAAAUUUGACCAGAUCUGAAUUAAUGAGUCAAAGACUUAGUCUUCCAUGCAGAUUGGUCAAAGAUGGCCCCUUCAGAUAAUGUUCAGGUUCAUCUGAACCAGAUGGAUGCACGGGGUAAAGAUAAGGACGCUUGCGGGACUGUCCGGAUGGUCCACCGAAUGAGAAUGCAUAUCCGUCUUCGGUUUCUUCACGACCCAAGCUAAGUCUGGCUCGACCGUGGGUUUUAGAAUGUCGAGUUGGUCGGGGAAGACGAGCUCCGUUACGGUCAGUUCGGUCAUCUGGUCGUGGUUCCAGCCGAAGCUCCAACCAGGACGCACGCGGGACGGCUCGGUCAGUCUGAUCGCUACGGUCGGAUGAACGAACCCCGGUCAAAUUUUUCAAAACGUCCUGAUCUCCAUGCUGGUCGGCUCCAAUGGACCGAUCCACGAACCAGGGCACAUCACUUGUGUUGCUAUCAGUAACGAUGAUAUCGUUGACGUAUACUAGAAGAUAGACUAUGUCAUUGCCUUGUCGUAGCACAAAGAGUGAGGUAUCAGCGACAGAGUUCCGAAAAUCAAGUGAUAGUACAUAGACCUUGAGUUCUUGGUACCAAGCGCAUGGGGACUGUUUCAAGCCGUAAAUCACUUUAUUAAGGCGACAAACAUAGUCAGGUCGAUCCUUGUCCACAAAUCCCGGUGGUUGCGUCAUAUACACUUCUUCUGUGAAGCGAGCUUGCAGGAAAGCGUGGUUUACGUCGAGUUGUCAAAGAGGCCAUGUCUUAGUUUCUGCAACGCCAAGUAUCGUUCUCAUUGUUGUUGCUUUGAUCACAUGACUGAAAGUAUCUGCAAAAUCAAUCCCAUAUUAUAAACACGAGCCACGAGCCUUGAUUUGUGCAUGUCAAGUUGAUCGUUAUGGAGCAAUUUUUAUCUGUAAAAAUCCAACGACAACCAACAAUGUUUUGAUGCGGGGAUGGUGGAAUCGAAUCCUAAGUUCUGUUUUUGAUUUGAGCAUUCAACUUUACCGAACAAGCUUGUCUCCAGGAUGGAUAUCGCAACGCCUGGUUAAUGGUUUUGGGUAUUUGGUAUUUUUGUAUUUUGGUGGUGAGGGUGUUCACAUACUUUUUGUUUGGCUUGCUUAUGUUGUUUUGAGAACGAGUUUGUUGAGGUUGAACUGCAGAUUGGUUGACAUUAGAGAUCGUCGAAGGUUUUGGUUCUGGGAUUAUAGGAAUUGUGUGGGAAGACAACAUUGCGGUGAAAAGUUGAGUGGCCCAUUUAUCUUAUAUAUUACUAAGGAUCUCUUCCAACAUCCGAUGUGGGGUACUUUGUGUCUAAUACGCUCCCUCGAGAUGAUGGCUCUUUGAGCAUCAAUCUCAGAAUGCUCGGGCAAGGAUCGAUGGGCCAACUUUGGGCCAGAUCGAUGGGCCAACUUUGGGCAAGAUUGAUGUGGAUCGAGUUGAACUGUAUGAAUCGGGUUCUGAUACCAUGUUGGUUGAAUGACUUGAUUCAUUAGAAGAGUAGAUGUACAAUAUAUAUACAGACGUCUAAUGCUAGGGUAUCUAAUACAAGUAAUUACAUUGUAAUCCCUAAUCAUAUAUUUCCUUAUCUUGUCUAUAGGAGAUAGAUAUGCUCUAGCUGCGUGAUUUUACCGCUCUGAACGAGACGACCGAGCUUGGUGACUGGUGUCCAUUUCUUGUCUGGGAUGGCCUCCAUGGUGUCCGCGGCCUCUUCUAGGACCGCCUCUUCCGCCACCGCGACUGCUGAAUCCACGUCCGAAAGUGCCACGGUCACCGCCACGCUCAGUGCUGCGUUCUCCGCCUCUUUCCACCAUUGUCGAUGCAGUGAGCUUGCUUAGGGGUUUGAAGGUAUAUAGGUGGGCAAAAGAUCAGGGUUUUCUUAAACCAGAAUUAUGGGCUCGUGGACUGAAGUUUGAUUAAUUUGCCUAUUUAGGAUAACCCCGGUUUUUCAAAGAAAAAUUCAAAUAAUUCGAACUUUUUUAUAAGAUAUUGGAUAAUUCAAACAUUUUGAAAUAUUUUUGAUAAAAAAAAUUCUGAUAAUUCAGCUUUUUUUUUUAAUAAUUUGAUCUAUAAAUGAGUUUUAGAAUAUUUGGUUAUUUUAAAACUUUAAAUAUUUAAUUAAUAUUUUAUGUAUAUAAGCUGUAUUUUGAAAUUUCGGAUAUGCGUUCAGUUUUUUGUUUGGUUUUCAGUUCGAUUUUGAUUUUUUCAUCUAAAAAUAUAAAAGAAACCCAAUCAGAUAUUUACUAAUUUGUUGACAAAAAAAAAGAUAUUUACUAAUUUGAUUUAAUUUUAUUGGUUCAGUAAUGUAUGGUUCGGUUUCAGGGAAAUGUGCCCGAACUUCAAUCAAUACUAUCCUCACAUAGACCAAGCGAGUCAGAUCGACCACAUGAUGAAUUAAGGGGCUAUGUUCAACAGACGAGGCUCCUCUUUCUGGCAACCUGUUCAGAACACGUGGUGGCGGCUAUUGACAACAUGUGUGGACGCGUCUCUAAACUCUACUUUUCUUUUAACGUUUUUGACCCGCGUCUCUAAACUCUACUUUUCUUUUAACGUUUUUAACGUUAUGGUCAUCCUUAUGUGUGGAGUUCGGCUAAUUUGGGGUUCUCUAAUUCCAGUUUAGUUGCAGAGACAAUAGCUUUACUUGUGGCAAUAUAUCCUAUAAAAGCUGUCACAAUUAUUAAUGGGAAGAUUACAACUCCAAGUCAGCAGAAUGUUUGGAUAGGACGAUAUAGCAAUAUGAUCUUUGAAAGAGACUCAGAAAUCUUGGUUAAAACGAUCAAUGAUCAACUAACGAACUCAACCAUUCAUAAUCUUCUUGAAGAAAUUACUAGCUUGAAGAAUAAGCUUUUUCUAUCAAUAUUUACUUUUGUCAAACGUAAUGGAAAUCAAAUCACCCAUAAAAUCUUAACUGUCCUAAGGGUGAGUUUCUCUUCAGCCAGUAGAGUUUCUCUUCCACCACUCCCCCCUGGAUUUAUCUUCAAGAGUGAUUCAAGCCAAAACUUUUUUUUUAUCGAUAUAUAUAUUUUUUUGAUAAUAGGCGAUCACAAAGGAGUAAAGGAACAACCCGGAUCCAAGAAAUAAGAAAAGAAAAACGUGGAGAAAUGAGAAGAUGAAAGAUGAAAGAAAACAAACCAGCCAAAGUGGCUCUGAUACCACUUGAUACGCCUUAGACUGAAGGAUCACUUUAGCUGGGUGUUGGAUAUGAUACAAGAAGGCAAACAACACUUCUGGAACUGAGAUGGAUUGAAAGGAUCGUUAAGAGAUGCGGAAUGGCUCUUGAUAUACCCACGAUCUAAGGCAAAACACCAAAGAAAGAAUGAAUGUGUCGGCUAACCACCAAACAACACACAAAGAUGAAUUGGUUGACCACCAAAUCAACAAGCUGGUUCACACCAAUGAACUAGCUAAAGAAAACUCUCUCUCUCACUCAGAGAAGAAACAAAAUAAACUCAAAACAUAGACUGAUUUUAUUCAUAGAAUGAGACUACAUAUUUAUAGUGUUUGUAGUCAAAGACUAAUAAAGAAAAUACACGGAAAAGAAUGCAUAGAAAAUACAAAUUUGACCAGAUCUGAAUUAAUGAGUCAAAGACUUAGUCUUCCAUGCAGAUUGGUCAAAGAUGGCCCCUUCAGAUAAUGUUCAGGUUCAUCUGAACCAGAUGGAUGCACGGGGUAAAGAUAAGGACGCUUGCGGGACUGUCCGGAUGGUCCACCGAAUGAGAAUGCAUAUCCGUCUUCGGUUUCUUCACGACCCAAGCUAAGUCUGGCUCGACCGUGGGUUUUAGAAUGUCGAGUUGGUCGGGGAAGACGAGCUCCGUUACGGUCAGUUCGGUCAUCUGGUCGUGGUUCCAGCCGAAGCUCCAACCAGGACGCACGCGGGACGGCUCGGUCAGUCUGAUCGCUACGGUCGGAUGAACGAACCCCGGUCAAAUUUUUCAAAACGUCCUGAUCUCCAUGCUGGUCGGCUCCAAUGGACCGAUCCACGAACCAGGGCACAUCACUUGUGUUGCUAUCAGUAACGAUGAUAUCGUUGACGUAUACUAGAAGAUAGACUAUGUCAUUGCCUUGUCGUAGCACAAAGAGUGAGGUAUCAGCGACAGAGUUCCGAAAAUCAAGUGAUAGUACAUAGACCUUGAGUUCUUGGUACCAAGCGCAUGGGGACUGUUUCAAGCCGUAAAUCACUUUAUUAAGGCGACAAACAUAGUCAGGUCGAUCCUUGUCCACAAAUCCCGGUGGUUGCGUCAUAUACACUUCUUCUGUGAAGCGAGCUUGCAGGAAAGCGUGGUUUACGUCGAGUUGUCAAAGAGGCCAUGUCUUAGUUUCUGCAACGCCAAGUAUCGUUCUCAUUGUUGUUGCUUUGAUCACAUGACUGAAAGUAUCUGCAAAAUCAAUCCCAUAUUAUAAACACGAGCCACGAGCCUUGAUUUGUGCAUGUCAAGUUGAUCGUUAUGGAGCAAUUUUUAUCUGUAAAAAUCCAACGACAACCAACAAUGUUUUGAUGCGGGGAUGGUGGAAUCGAAUCCUAAGUUCUGUUUUUGAUUUGAGCAUUCAACUUUACCGAACAAGCUUGUCUCCAGGAUGGAUAUCGCAACGCCUGGUUAAUGGUUUUGGGUAUUUGGUAUUUUUGUAUUUUGGUGGUGAGGGUGUUCACAUACUUUUUGUUUGGCUUGCUUAUGUUGUUUUGAGAACGAGUUUGUUGAGGUUGAACUGCAGAUUGGUUGACAUUAGAGAUCGUCGAAGGUUUUGGUUCUGGGAUUAUAGGAAUUGUGUGGGAAGACAACAUUGCGGUGAAAAGUUGAGUGGCCCAUUUAUCUUAUAUAUUACUAAGGAUCUCUUCCAACAUCCGAUGUGGGGUACUUUGUGUCUAAUACGCUCCCUCGAGAUGAUGGCUCUUUGAGCAUCAAUCUCAGAAUGCUCGGGCAAGGAUCGAUGGGCCAACUUUGGGCCAGAUCGAUGGGCCAACUUUGGGCAAGAUUGAUGUGGAUCGAGUUGAACUGUAUGAAUCGGGUUCUGAUACCAUGUUGGUUGAAUGACUUGAUUCAUUAGAAGAGUAGAUGUACAAUAUAUAUACAGACGUCUAAUGCUAGGGUAUCUAAUACAAGUAAUUACAUUGUAAUCCCUAAUCAUAUAUUUCCUUAUCUUGUCUAUAGGAGAUAGAUAUGCUCUAGCUGCGUGAUUUUACCGCUCUGAACGAGACGACCGAGCUUGGUGACUGGUGUCCAUUUCUUGUCUGGGAUGGCCUCCAUGGUGUCCGCGGCCUCUUCUAGGACCGCCUCUUCCGCCACCGCGACUGCUGAAUCCACGUCCGAAAGUGCCACGGUCACCGCCACGCUCAGUGCUGCGUUCUCCGCCUCUUUCCACCAUUGUCGAUGCAGUGAGCUUGCUUAGGGGUUUGAAGGUAUAUAGGUGGGCAAAAGAUCAGGGUUUUCUUAAACCAGAAUUAUGGGCUCGUGGACUGAAGUUUGAUUAAUUUGCCUAUUUAGGAUAACCCCGGUUUUUCAAAGAAAAAUUCAAAUAAUUCGAACUUUUUUAUAAGAUAUUGGAUAAUUCAAACAUUUUGAAAUAUUUUUGAUAAAAAAAAUUCUGAUAAUUCAGCUUUUUUUUUUAAUAAUUUGAUCUAUAAAUGAGUUUUAGAAUAUUUGGUUAUUUUAAAACUUUAAAUAUUUAAUUAAUAUUUUAUGUAUAUAAGCUGUAUUUUGAAAUUUCGGAUAUGCGUUCAGUUUUUUGUUUGGUUUUCAGUUCGAUUUUGAUUUUUUCAUCUAAAAAUAUAAAAGAAACCCAAUCAGAUAUUUACUAAUUUGUUGACAAAAAAAAAGAUAUUUACUAAUUUGAUUUAAUUUUAUUGGUUCAGUAAUGUAUGGUUCGGUUUCAGGGAAAUGUGCCCGAACUUCAAUCAAUACUAUCCUCACAUAGACCAAGCGAGUCAGAUCGACCACAUGAUGAAUUAAGGGGCUAUGUUCAACAGACGAGGCUCCUCUUUCUGGCAACCUGUUCAGAACACGUGGUGGCGGCUAUUGACAACAUGUGUGGACGCGUCUCUAAACUCUACUUUUCUUUUAACGUUUUUGACCCGCGUCUCUAAACUCUACUUUUCUUUUAACGUUUUUAACGUUAUGGUCAUCCUUAUGUGUGGAGUUCGGCUAAUUUGGGGUUCUCUAAUUCCAGUUUAGUUGCAGAGACAAUAGCUUUACUUGUGGCAAUAUAUCCUAUAAAAGCUGUCACAAUUAUUAAUGGGAAGAUUACAACUCCAAGUCAGCAGAAUGUUUGGAUAGGACGAUAUAGCAAUAUGAUCUUUGAAAGAGACUCAGAAAUCUUGGUUAAAACGAUCAAUGAUCAACUAACGAACUCAACCAUUCAUAAUCUUCUUGAAGAAAUUACUAGCUUGAAGAAUAAGCUUUUUCUAUCAAUAUUUACUUUUGUCAAACGUAAUGGAAAUCAAAUCACCCAUAAAAUUGUUUGACAUGGUCCAGCAAAUUCUAUUUUUGAAAAUUGUAAAGUUUAUCCACCCAAGUGGUUAAUUCCAACUUUGUAUUAAGAUAUUAUGUUUUCAUAUUAAUAAAAUUUAAGUUCGUCGGAAAAAAAAAGGGCUUUUUGCAAAAGUGACUCAAAACUUGGAGUCAAACAGAAAACUAACCUUUUCUUUUGACUCCUUUUUUUUUGAGAUUUUAACCCCACACCUGCAUUUUAUCUACGAAAAUGCCAUUAACAUUUUGUUUUUUUUUUUUCGAAAAUGGCUUCUUUACUAUCUCAACCUCAUCUUCUUCAAGUAUUUACAAUAUUGCCACUGCAAUGAAUAGUGGCAACAACCUUGUACGAACUGUUUGGAGCUUUUAAUGCCCUUUAAUGCACGUAAAUCUCUUUACACUCUCUCUGUUUCAAUUGUUAUGAACUAAAAACAACAUUUCUUUCACUUUCUCUCUAUAUUCAUCCAAAAAACUCAAGCUUUUGAUUCAAAAUAUGGGCUAUGGUUGACAGAGCCAUAUUUCUUUCGUUUUUACUUACGGUUGCUUUCGUUUGAGGUUCUGGGAGAUGAUGGCUCUUUGAGCAUCAAUCUCAGAAUGCUCGGGCAAGGAUCGAUGGGCCAACUUUGGGCCAGAUCGAUGGGCCAACUUUGGGCAAGAUUGAUGUGGAUCGAGUUGAACUGUAUGAAUCGGGUUCUGAUACCAUGUUGGUUGAAUGACUUGAUUCAUUAGAAGAGUAGAUGUACAAUAUAUAUACAGACGUCUAAUGCUAGGGUAUCUAAUACAAGUAAUUACAUUGUAAUCCCUAAUCAUAUAUUUCCUUAUCUUGUCUAUAGGAGAUAGAUAUGCUCUAGCUGCGUGAUUUUACCGCUCUGAACGAGACGACCGAGCUUGGUGACUGGUGUCCAUUUCUUGUCUGGGAUGGCCUCCAUGGUGUCCGCGGCCUCUUCUAGGACCGCCUCUUCCGCCACCGCGACUGCUGAAUCCACGUCCGAAAGUGCCACGGUCACCGCCACGCUCAGUGCUGCGUUCUCCGCCUCUUUCCACCAUUGUCGAUGCAGUGAGCUUGCUUAGGGGUUUGAAGGUAUAUAGGUGGGCAAAAGAUCAGGGUUUUCUUAAACCAGAAUUAUGGGCUCGUGGACUGAAGUUUGAUUAAUUUGCCUAUUUAGGAUAACCCCGGUUUUUCAAAGAAAAAUUCAAAUAAUUCGAACUUUUUUAUAAGAUAUUGGAUAAUUCAAACAUUUUGAAAUAUUUUUGAUAAAAAAAAUUCUGAUAAUUCAGCUUUUUUUUUUAAUAAUUUGAUCUAUAAAUGAGUUUUAGAAUAUUUGGUUAUUUUAAAACUUUAAAUAUUUAAUUAAUAUUUUAUGUAUAUAAGCUGUAUUUUGAAAUUUCGGAUAUGCGUUCAGUUUUUUGUUUGGUUUUCAGUUCGAUUUUGAUUUUUUCAUCUAAAAAUAUAAAAGAAACCCAAUCAGAUAUUUACUAAUUUGUUGACAAAAAAAAAGAUAUUUACUAAUUUGAUUUAAUUUUAUUGGUUCAGUAAUGUAUGGUUCGGUUUCAGGGAAAUGUGCCCGAACUUCAAUCAAUACUAUCCUCACAUAGACCAAGCGAGUCAGAUCGACCACAUGAUGAAUUAAGGGGCUAUGUUCAACAGACGAGGCUCCUCUUUCUGGCAACCUGUUCAGAACACGUGGUGGCGGCUAUUGACAACAUGUGUGGACGCGUCUCUAAACUCUACUUUUCUUUUAACGUUUUUGACCCGCGUCUCUAAACUCUACUUUUCUUUUAACGUUUUUAACGUUAUGGUCAUCCUUAUGUGUGGAGUUCGGCUAAUUUGGGGUUCUCUAAUUCCAGUUUAGUUGCAGAGACAAUAGCUUUACUUGUGGCAAUAUAUCCUAUAAAAGCUGUCACAAUUAUUAAUGGGAAGAUUACAACUCCAAGUCAGCAGAAUGUUUGGAUAGGACGAUAUAGCAAUAUGAUCUUUGAAAGAGACUCAGAAAUCUUGGUUAAAACGAUCAAUGAUCAACUAACGAACUCAACCAUUCAUAAUCUUCUUGAAGAAAUUACUAGCUUGAAGAAUAAGCUUUUUCUAUCAAUAUUUACUUUUGUCAAACGUAAUGGAAAUCAAAUCACCCAUAAAAUUGUUUGACAUGGUCCAGCAAAUUCUAUUUUUGAAAAUUGUAAAGUUUAUCCACCCAAGUGGUUAAUUCCAACUUUGUAUUAAGAUAUUAUGUUUUCAUAUUAAUAAAAUUUAAGUUCGUCGGAAAAAAAAAGGGCUUUUUGCAAAAGUGACUCAAAACUUGGAGUCAAACAGAAAACUAACCUUUUCUUUUGACUCCUUUUUUUUUGAGAUUUUAACCCCACACCUGCAUUUUAUCUACGAAAAUGCCAUUAACAUUUUGUUUUUUUUUUUUCGAAAAUGGCUUCUUUACUAUCUCAACCUCAUCUUCUUCAAGUAUUUACAAUAUUGCCACUGCAAUGAAUAGUGGCAACAACCUUGUACGAACUGUUUGGAGCUUUUAAUGCCCUUUAAUGCACGUAAAUCUCUUUACACUCUCUCUGUUUCAAUUGUUAUGAACUAAAAACAACAUUUCUUUCACUUUCUCUCUAUAUUCAUCCAAAAAACUCAAGCUUUUGAUUCAAAAUAUGGGCUAUGGUUGACAGAGCCAUAUUUCUUUCGUUUUGACUUACGGUUGCUUUCGUUUGAGGUUCUGGGUGGUUGGAGAAGACCCUGUGUGCAAACGAAGUCAUCUCACCUAGUUUAAGGUACGAAUUUGAAUUUUUUUUCAAGAUCUGUUCGCGUAGAAGACUUACUAGUAAGUCAUCUGUAUGUAGAAGACUUACUGAUGAGUCUUCUGGUCAAACGGACGACUUAAAUUAAGUCGUCCAGCUUUGUUUGUUAAAAAAAACACUCCAGACGACUUAUAUAUACGUCGUCUACGAGAAACGGGCUAGUUUUGCAUUUGACCGAAUCGUGUCAGAUCUUUGACUAUUUCUGGACGACUUAUAAUUCAGUCGUCUCUGGGAAAGUUAAAAUUUCAAUAUUUUAUGAAAACUUGACGACUUACGUGUAAGUCGUCCUAGGUUAGUUUUGUAAUUGAAAAAUAAAACUUCAUAAUUUAACUUUAACCAGACGACUUAAUAUAAAGUCGUCCCUCCAGAAGACUUAAUUUAAAGUCGUCCGGGGAAAGCAAAGUCGUCCAGAAUUUUUCCCAAUUUUCUGGUCAAACCUUGCUUAUCCCGGACGACCUUAAAUUAAGUCGUUUAGCUGGACGACUUUCAUCUAAGUCGUCUGGAGAAAGUUAAAUUUCAAGUUUUAUUUUUCAAUUACAAAACUAACCUAGGACGACUUACACGUAAGUCGUCAAGUUUUCAUAAAAUAUUGAAAUUUUAACUUUCCCAGAGACGACUGAAUUAUAAGUCGUCCAGAAAUAGUCAAAGAUCUGACACGAUUCGGUCAAAUGCAAAACUAGCCCGUUUCUCGUAGACGACUUAUAUAUAAGUCGUCUGAAGUUUUUUUUUUAACAAACAAAGCCGGACGACUUAGAAUUAAGUCGUCCCUUUUAAUUUUCAAUUGCAAAAGUGACCUCUUUAGACGACUUACCUUUAAGUCUUCUGGACGACUUAAUGCUAAGUCGUCUGCGGCAAUGUUUAUUGAACUUCUUCAUUUUCUCUAUGUUUACUAAUGUGUUUUAUUUUGAAUAUUUGCAGAUGAUUUUUCAGUUACAUGCAGUGUAUGGAGAAUGGUUGUUGAGAGAUUUCCGUUGGGAUUUUGUGGUUGAUGAUCUCAAAGGAGCAAGAUUGUUUUUAUUGAAUGAAGAUUCAACACAUGCUGAACUUGUUGCAAUGGCUCAAGAAGAUUAUAACCUGGACAUGAGAACAGUGAGUGUGGAGAUUAGCUACUCAUUACCAGCAGAAAUGAUGAUGGCUCCAGGCAGUCUUCCCAUUCAUGUUACAAGUGAUAGACAAGUUCGAAACUUGCUGGAGAUACUCAAAACCCAUAGAGUAUGUCUUUGUGUAUCAAGCCGCAGCAAGGUCGAAACGGUUUCAGAGAAAAGGGAUAUUGAUGAAGCUGGUGAAUGGGAAAAAGAUGUUGGUGAUAAUGAUGAAGCUGGUGAAUGGGAAGAAGAUGUUGGUGAUGAUGAUGAAGCUGGUGAAUGGGAAGAAGAUGUUGGUGAUGAUGAUGAAGCUGAUGAAUGUUUUGAAGAUGUUGGUGAUAAUGAGUUUGUUGAAGAUGAAAAUCAAGAUGGGGAGGAGGAAAAUGGGGAAAAGGAUGCUGAUAAUUCUAUUGUUGGUGAAACGGAUCAGAAUGGUGGGGAUUACAGUCUUUAUGGAAAGGUUCCAGAUGAGGACGAGGAAGAUGAUGAUAAUAUUUGUUUUGAAGAAAUCCAAAAGACAUAUGCUAAGACAAAUGCUAUUGAAGGAGGAAAAUCGAAUGGUACCAGUAUCUAUGUCAACCAGAGUUUUGUUAGCAAGGGUGCACUGCUUUCAGAGCUGCGGUUGGCAGCAGUGAGGGGUAAGUUUUCUUUCAGAUUAUACAAAUCAACGAAAACUCUCGUUGUGGCAACAUGUCCGGUUAGCUAUUGUGGAUGGAAGGUCAGAGCGAGUGUCAAACAUGGGACAAACACGUUUUGGGUAACAAAGUAUGUGGAAAAACAUUUAUGCUCAGCGGGAGACCGAAUCGCUCAGCGGAGACACUGUACUCCGAAGUAUGUAGGUAGUCUUUUCAUUGAUCGUGUUGGAAUCAUUGAUGGGAUAACUCCGCAGCAUAUCACUGAUGCAAUGAGGAACAUGUUUGGCAUGGCGCUUGAUUACACCACUUCAUACAGAGCACUGUUAUAUGCACAAAGAUUGGUGAGAGGAUCAGCAGAAGAAGGGUAUUCGCGUCUGGCAUCAUAUCUCGAGCAAAUCUCCAUUGCAAAUCCUGAUUCUAUCACGGCGAUAGAACUUGAUUCUAUGAAAAGAUUUAAGUAUCUAUUUCUCUCUUUUGGAGCUUCUAUCAAAGGUUUUAAGUAUCAGAGAAGGGUCAUUGUGGUGGAUGGAACUCACCUAAGUGGAAAGUAUGGAGGAACUAUGUUAGUUGCAGCCGCACAAGAUGGCAAUUUUCAGAUAUUCCCAUUGGCUUUUGGGAUCGUGGAUGAGGAAGAUAUACCUUCUUGGGAAUGGUUUUUCACAAAAUUGGCUAGUUGUAUAUCUCAUGACAAGCCUCUGGUGAUAGUCUCCGACCGGCACAAGGCCAUUAAAAGUGCGUGUGAUAAGGUGUUUCCUUGGGCAACCCGAGGAAUAUGUUAUUAUCACCUUCAAGAUAACAUUGUCAAAAAGUUUAAAGGGAAACAUCUCAUGUACUUGGUGAAAGGGGCUGCUUAUGCUCACACGGUUUACGAUUUUGACCGGUACAUGGCUGAGAUACGGAGUGCAAACCCGGAACUUGCAACGUAUUUGGAGAAAGCCGACGUCAGGCUAUGGUCAAGGGUUUAUUGUAAGGGGAACAGGUUCAACAUAAAAACAAGCAACAUUGCUGAAUCUAUUAAUUCCGCACUGAAGCGAGCAAGAGGAUUUCCGAUUACGUUCCUGCUGGAGUUCAUAAGGCAGAAGUUAGGAAAAUGGUAUUGGAAAAGGAGACAAGAUGCUUUGAGUCUCACAACUGAACAUAGCGGGGGUGUUGAAUACUUGCUUGCUGUUCGAGAAGAGAUAGCGGGUACGAUGACGGUCGAACCAAUUGAUGGAUGGCAUUUCUUUGUCAAAGGUGGCAAAAUGGACUGUGUGGUUGAUUUGGAACAUGCAAAGUGUGAUUGUGGUGUCUAUGGAGUGGAGAAAAUACCUUGCUCUCAUGCUAUAGCUGCUGGAAUACAUGCUGGUUUGCAUAUCUCCACACUUGUAUGUCCACUGUACUCAAAGAAUUAUCUGUAUGCAGGAUACUCAGAGAAUAUAUAUCCUAUCGUGUCACAACAUAUUGAGGAACGAGAAUGCUUUCCUCCAGAACUAAAGCGUGGUCGGGGGAGACCGAAGAAAUCAAGAUGGCAAUCUUGGUUGGAGCUAUCUAGGAUGAGAGGACACAAACCCAGGAAGAAACACAGGGCACGGAGAUGCUCAAACUGCAAGGAAACUGGCCAUACAAAACCACAAUGUACACAACCAGUUGACUAGUUGUCCAGACGACCUAAAUUUAAGUCGUCCAGUCUUGAUUACCCGUCCAGACGACUAAAUUUUUAGUCGUCCAGUGUAUUUUAUUUUUAGACGACCUUCUACUAAGUCGUCCAGUGUAUUUUAUUUUUAGACGACCUUCUACUAUCCCUUCAAGUGUAUUUUAUUUUUAGACUACCUUCUACUAUCCCUUCAAGUCGUCCAAACCUUCUAGACGACUUAUUUGUAAGUCGUCCAGUUGGAAAACCUUCCAGACGACUUAUAAUAAGUCGUCCAAACCUUCUAGACGACUUAUUUGUAAGUCGUCCAGUUGGAAAACCUUCCAGACGACUUAUAUUAAGUCGUCCAAACCUUCUAGACGACUUAUUUGUAAGUCGUCCAGUUGGAAAACCUUCCAGACGACUUAUUUCUUCCAGACAACUUAUAUAUUUACAAAUCUAUACAAAGACAAGCUGAAAUACAAAUACUUCGCUCGUUAAAAAAUCAUGUUCAAAUACAAAGACAAGUUCAAAUACAAACACAAAUCUAAUCAUACAUGCCCACGAACUUAUCACCAUCCACAUUUUCUUUCAGAUGCUGAUCAACAAGCUCCUUCCAUAUAUCCACCGCCAUAUUAUCCCUCAUUUUCUUCGCGUUGCACCUAGCAAAGUCUUUAGGGUCAAAGGAGACCCCAAGAGCAUGACAUUCAAUGUACUUUACAGCGUACACGCCACAAUCACCAUUGUUGGCCGUGGGUACACCUUUCAGCGGUCUCUCAUAUGUGUAUGGCUCCAACCCGUAUUUGACCCGUAUUUCGUCGGUGGCUGCGCACUCAACAAGCAGAUAAGGGACCAUCUGGAGAAAAGGCUCCAUUAUCGCAUCCCAUGCGUCUGGUACACUAGAUGAAGGUAUGCUGUCCCAGACGACUAUGUGCCUCUUAGGGAUCGAUAUCCAAAUAGCAACCCAAUGCUUGUCGUCCAAGUUCACUGGCGCAUAGAUAUCAUCAAUGUCCUCCCCCCACUUCUUGUUUGAUUGGCAAAAUGAAGGUAUUGAUCCGUCAUAAAAAUUCGACGCCCCACCAGGUAGAACUCUUCCUAAACCUUUGUGAUCAGGUUCCGAUGUUUUGAAGAGCUGAUACUGCUCUCUCCAAGACUGGGAAAAGUUGUGAUCCAGGAAGCACAUUCGCUCGCUCCUGAAAGCUUGUGGGUUCUCCUGAUACCUCUGCCUUAGCACAUUAAUCCAAGCAUCUAUAUGCUGCAUAUUAAAUAUAACAAGUUAGAAGUUACCAGACGACUUAAAUAUAAGUCGUCUACGUGGUCGUCCAAGUAGACGACUUUCCAGACGAUUUAUCUUUAAGUCGUCUGGAAAGUAGUCUACUUGGACGACUUUGUAGACGACUUAAAUCGUGUGCAGAAGACUUACGCAGUCUUCCAGCCAUCCUCUGGCUGUCCGGAGGAAGUGGUACCACCUUGUUGGUGAUGUACGUGGUUUGUCCUCGGUCUUAGUUAAAUAAUGACUGCAAACAAAAAAGCAAUCAGUUUUGGACGACUAAAUCAAGCUAUUAUGGGUAAAGCAAUCACUUACGGAUCAGUUUUCAACCAAUCAGCGAGUUCCUUCAACUUAUCUUUGUUUACUGGCGGAAAUGGAUUAUAGGCUGCCACUUUAUCUUUUUUUUUCUCUGCCGUAUAAGGAGAUCUCACAGUGGGAGCAGGUUUCUUCGCUCGUUUACUCUUUGCACGCUUGUCCAAUACAACCAGGCUCGGUUCUGAAACUGGAUCGCUUGGCUCGGUGGAAGCGAGGCUCGGUUGUUGAUCGGUGGAAGCGAGGCUCGGUUGGUGAUCGGUGGAAGUGACAGCAACAAUCUCUUUGGAGGUGACACCAUCUGCUUUAUCCUCCGGCAAGAUCUUAUUUACCGAGUUCGCCUCGGUUGCUGUAUCCUCCGGCAACCAUCUCUGCAAUAAAAGUUGCACACAAGUUAACCCUGGACGACUUAAAUAAAAGUUGUCUGGACGACUAGUUGACCCUGGACGACUUAAAAUUAAGUCUUCCGUGGUCAACUAGUCGUCCAGACAACUUACGUUUAAGUCGUCCAGGGUCAACUAGUCGUCCAGACAACUUUUACAGUCGUCUGGACAACUAGUUAACCCUGGAUUUGAUACUAACCUCUUUGAUUUGAGGAGGCUGUUUCUUUUGAGGAGGAGGCUGUUUCUUUUGAGGAGGAGGAGGAGGCUGUUUCUUUUGAGGAGGAGGAGGCUGCUGUUUGGUUUGAUGAGGAGGAGGCUGGUUACUAACCACGGUUUCAUUGGCAUGAGGGGUAGCCUGUUUGUUACUACCCCCGGUUUCUUUGGCAAGAGGGGUAGGCUGUUUAUCUUGAGGGGUAGCCUGAUUGGUUAGAGGUGGAGGGGUAGCCUGAUUGGUGACACCAACCUUCUUCUCCACAGCUUCCAAUCUAUCGGACAACUUCCUAAACUCCCUCAUGCACUUAUUAAACCCUUUUUUCAUGCAGUCAGCUACGCCCUUGAACAUAAUUUCCAACUCCUCUCUGGUCACCCCUCUAGCCUCUUCUCUAGCCUCUUCACUAGCCUCUUUAGGAGCCUCUUUACGAGCUUUCUUCCGAGGUCUUGGAUUGUCUUCCUCCUCCUCCUCCUCCUCCUCCAACACAACCAUCUCUUUGGCCUUCUUCGAUGGAGUCACAACCUUAGGUUUUGUAUUGACCUUAGUACCAGUGACUUCCCAGCAAUCCAUGGUCCACUUCCACGGUCUCCGCUCAUACAUGACUUUAAUGAUGUUCUCCGCGGGCAGGUCCUCAACCUCAGAGUCCCAUUUUGGCCACAUUUCACUAAUGUCCUUCUCAACAAAGUUGAUCACGCGGGUCUGCAGUAAAUAGAAGAAUCGAGUUAGAUAUUUGAAAAAAAAUACUAAAUAGACGACUUAAUUAUAAGUCGUCUACUAAGUCGUCCAGCUGGAAGACCUUCCAGACGACUUAUAAUAAGUCGUCUAAUAAGUCGUCCAGAUGGAAGACUUUCCAGACGACUUAAUUAAGUCGUCCGAUAAGUCGUCCAGCUGGGAAGACUUUCCAGACGCCUUAUUAUAAGUCGUCUAAUAAGUCGUCCAGAUGGAAGACCUUCCAGACGACUUAUAAUAAGUCGUCUAAUAAGUCGUCCAGAUGGAAGACUUUCCAGACGACUUAAUUAAGUCGUCCGAUAAGUCGUCCAGCUGGGAAGACUUUCCAGACGCCUUAUUAUAAGUCGUCUAAUAAGUCGUCCAGAUGGAAGACUUUCCAGACGACUUAAUUAAGUCGUCCGAUAAGUCGUCCAGCUGGGAAGACUUUCCAGACGACUUAUUAUAAGUCGUCUAAUAAGUCGUCCAGAUGGAAGACCUUCCAGACGACUUAUAAUAAGUCGUCUAAUAAGUCGUCCAGAUGGAAGACUUUCCAGACGACUUAAUUAAGUCGUCCGAUAAGUCGUCCAGCUGGGAAGACUUUCCAGACGCCUUAUUAUAAGUCGUCUAAUAAGUCGUCCAGAUGGAAGACCUUCCAGACGACUUAUAAUAAGUCGUCUAAUAAGUCGUCCAGAUGGAAGACUUUCCAGACGACUUAAUUAAGUCGUCCGAUAAGUCGUCCAGCUGGGAAGACUUUCCAGACGCCUUAUUAUAAGUCGUCUAAUAAGUCGUCCAGAUGGAAGACUUUCCAGACGACUUAAUUAAGUCGUCCGAUAAGUCGUCCAGCUGGGAAGACUUUCCAGACGACUUAUUAUAAGUCGUCCGAUAAGUCGUCAAGCUGGACGACCUUCCAGACGACUUCCAGUCGUCUGCGCAGUCUUUUGGAUUGAAGUAAAUACCUGACUCAAGAUAGCAGCUUUCAUUGAUCUGCGGCCUCUGCUGCCCUCGUAAGCCAGUAUCGGUGGAGACGGACUGUCUGCUCUGGGACCACCAAUACUAGCACCCAAUUCCGGCAUAGCUGUGUACGUCCAGACUUGAAGAGCUUGUAUAAACCCAUCCACGGUGUAACAACCAGCAAUUUCUUUGUUCCACAAAGAGUCCAUCAGCACCUUAAACGCGACUCUCCCCCAUGGAUAAUUCUCAAACCGUUCUAAAUCCAUCACUAGCCUUGCCAGAGUAGAUCGUGUAGCGGUUGAAAACUUUCUCCCUUCAAUGAAUCCAGUGAAGAUGGAGAGGUACGCGAGCCGCUUGCGAUCUUCCCUGGACCAAUCCCCGCAUCUCUUCAGUGCUGCUAUUAUCUGAUCAGUAGUUGGCCCAGCUUCCAGAUGAACUCCCAGCAUCCCCCAGAAAGAAACCAUCUCUGGGGUAACGUCACAUUUUGGUGUCUCAAGGUCCUCGAUGUACUCGCAGUUUAGACCAGUGAGGUUUUCAAACUCUAACAGUGAAAACCUCAAAGGUUCUGGACCAACGAGAGACCACAUCUCAUACUUCUUCUUAAUGUCCAGCUUGAAACUGAGCAUGUAGUGAACCAGCCUUGAAGCCCAACCAAAUCCCUGCUCCUUGAACUUGAUGAAAACUCCCAAACUCGACUCCUUGAGCUCUUCAAAUUCGUCAUCAGUAAGAGCUUUCCUAAGAGCAGUAUGCAACUUGCUGUUAUCCGUAUGAUACGAAAUGCUAUUGUGGGCUUCUGGCUCUUCCCCUGAUGUGUAUAACCUACGGGGGAGUUCUGGAAUAUCCAUCCUUUUUGUCUGCAAAAUAAUCAAAGACAACAAUAUAAGUCCAGACGACUUAGUAGACGACUUAUAAUUAAGUCGUCUGGAAAGUCUUCCAAAUGGACGACUUAUAUUUAAGUCAUCUACUAAGUCGUCCAGUUGGAAGACUUUCCAGACGACUUAAAUUACUUACAAGUCUUCCAGUCGCAGAAGGAGUUGGAGUACUCGUCAUUGCGGUUAUUGAUCUGAAAAAAUAAACGUGAAACGGUGAGAAUGAGUAAAUUGAUAGAGACAACGUUUUAUGUUCAUCUUUUCCUCGAGAUUGAUGACUUAGCGGCGUUAGGGUUUACAGAGAAACGGCGCUAAGGUUUACAGAGAAGAAGCGGCGGCGCUAGGGUUUAGAAGAAGCGGCGGCGCUAGUGUUUAGAACGUUGGUGACCACGGUGGCGAGGGCGACGGUUUGUUCGGAAAUAGUGGAAGCGGCGGCGCUAGGGUUUAGAGGAAUCGGCGGCGCUAGGGUUUAGAGGAAUCGGCGGCGCUAGGGUUAGAAGAAGCUGCGGCGACAACGGUGAGAAUGAAGUGAGAUAGAUAGCCGACGUUGAGAACGAUGGUUUGUUCGGAAAUCGUGGGAAUUCGAAAUCGCCUUUGAGAGAGAACUGUUAGGGUUUCUGAAUUUCGCGAAAAAUGAAACAAAAAAAAAAAAAAUCACCUUAUAUAUUGGGUAAAUAAUCCGGUUAGCUUUAAAAGUACAUUGGUAAACUUUAAGGUUUGGUCCGGUUUAGACGACUUAUUCUGGCUGAUAAUGUACAACAGACGACUUAAUAUUUAGUCGUCUGUUUUCAGACGACAAAAUAUUAAGUCGUCCUAGACCCUAAAAUGAACCCCUAAACUAAAAUGACUAGAUUAACUAACUAACCACGUUAUAAAAUCAAAUUAUACUUAAAUAGUGUUUACUAUACACAGAAAUGAACACGCAUAAGUAAUUUUAAAAAUUUUCAAAAACGGUUUUAAUGCUUUCCAAAAUCUAACCCUAAGAACACAUACAAUACUACAACAUAUGUUGAUGAAACAUAAACUAAAGAAUAUCAUGACUCACUACUUUCACUCAUCUAUGCUGAAAACAAUUGAAAUUUGUUAUAUCUUAAUUUAUACCUCCUAAGACAUAUGUUAAUUACAUAAUUCCCAUUUUUCACUUAUCAAAAUAUUUUUUACAAAAUUUUUAAAUUAUGUUUAAGACUAACUGUCCAGACGACUUUCAGUUAAGUCGUCUGGACGACUUAUUUUCAAGUCGUCUAAACAGACGACUUUCAGUUAAGUCGUCUGGACGACUUAUUUUCAAGUCGUCUAAACAGACGACUUGCGAGGGGUAGAAACGUAAAAAAAAAUCCGUUUUUUUGUUUGGUCACAAGGGGAUAUUUGUAAUUUCAAUAGCCUUUUAGGUUACUUUUGCCUUUGAUCCAAGUUGGAGUAUUGUUUUGGGUUUGACUCCAAGUUUUGAGUCACACUUCGCAAUUCUCGAAAAAAAAAAAAAAGACUUCAUGAUGGGCUAACACGUUAAAAGCCCAUUGUUAGGCACUAGUUUAUACGUAGUGGCUGGUGGGUAUAUAAAAAGGAACCAAAUGUUUAACCCGAACCGGGAAGAUUCCAUUAAUAAAACAAACCAAAGAUUCGUCGUCUUCUUCAAAUUGUUAUUUGUUUCCUUUUCCUCUCUCGGCUUCCGGAGUUCCUCACUUCUUGGCUCUACACUCAUGUCACAGUCCAAAUCAAUCACGUAAUCAAAUCAUCCCCUUCUUCUACUCGCGAAUCUCACAAUCCCUAAAUUUCCGCGUCUCUCUCUCCCUCGCGCUUUUGAUGGACAUUCUUCGAUUAGGUUCGAUUUCACCUCAUAGAAGAAGGAAAUGGCUGAUUCUAUUAUCCCUUCUCGGAGUCUCGAGCUACGGAGCUUACAAAGUUUACAACUCCCCAUACAUCGCCGCGAAAAGGAAGCGUCUCACGAACCUCUUCGAAGGAAUCGCCUCCUUCGCCGAGCUAGUCACCGAUUCAGCAGAGACGAUAACUCUCGUCUCCCGAGACUUGAAGCAGUUUCUCGAAUCCGACUCCGACGAAAUCCCAAACAGCUUGAAGCAGAUAGCGAAAAUCGCCAAAUCGAAAGAGUUCACUGAUUCAAUAUCUAGGGUUUCCGAGGCCGUAGCCGUCGGUGUCCUCCGCGGGUAUAACAUCGAUAACAACGUCGAAGCAGAAUCGAAUCCAAGCGUUUUAUUCUCAGAGGCGGGAACUGGUUUCGUCUCGGUUCUUGUAGGUAGCUUCGCGAAGAAUCUCGUUCUUGGAUUCUACGAGGUUGAGAGUAGUGUUGAAACGACGAGUACGAAACCUAGGUGGAUGAGUUUGUUAUGCGAUGACAAGUUUAGAGAGGUGUUAGCUGAUUGUAUAGAGAGAUUCACUAGCUCUGCUGUAACCGUCUACAUCGAGAAGACUGCUGGGGUCAACACUUACGACCAGAUAUUCUCUGGCUUGACGAAUCCGAAACACCGAGAUGGAGCGCGAGACGUUCUCGUCUCGGUCUGUAACGGAGCUCUCGAGACGUUCAUGAGGACGUCUCGCCAAGAAGAAGAAACCGUUAGGGAUUCGUCUUCCUUUAGUGGAAAUGGAUGGGCGGAGGUGCUUACGACUACGUUAGCGGUUCCGAGCAAUAGGAAGUUUAUGUUCGAUGUUACGGGAAGAGUGACGCUGGAGACGAUGAGAUCGAUUCUUGAGUUUGUUGUCCUGAAGACGUCGCAGAGCUUUAUGAGGAGUUUCGUUGCGGUUCAAGAAGAGGUUACGGAUAGAGGACGGCAAGUGGUUGGGUAUGUUGGUGCUAAGUCUUCAGUGAUAAUCACUCUUUGCCUCGCGGUUUACCUUCAUGUUGUGAACCGCUUUGUUCGAGGUUCUCCGGUUUGCUUAAACCAGCAUUUCUAGUCGUUGGGUGGAUCUUUUAGCUCAUUAGAAUAUGUUAGGGACGUGAGAUCUUCAGCUUCCACAUUCUAUUGGUUUAUGUAGUUUAGAGCUGAAUAAUGUAGAUUUUUUGUGUUGUCCACAGAUUGAUUCUAAUUGAUAAAGCAAGUUCUUGAGAUAAUAUUUGCAUCUAAUUUUAGCAAAAAAAAAAGAAAGAAAGAUAAUAUUUGCAUCUAUGCAAGUAUAAAAGUACCAACGCAAAGCCUAAAAGAUCAUAUGAGAGUGUGUGAUGUUUUGAGAUGAAAUUAAUAUUAUUUUGUGAUUUUGGAGUCUAAAACACUCCUUGAAUCCACUUUGCGCCUCCAAAACCUCUCCUGAACUCCUCAAGUGACAGUUCUCGGCAAUUCAGAGUCCUGCCAGAGACCAUCGCCGUCAAUAGAAGAAGGGGACGAUACAACUUCUGAUGACAAUCCUCCUUCGACUGUCAACACUAAGCUCAAAUCAUCCAAGGCUUCGCUAACCCUGAGCACGUCGUGGUUCUUUACAACAGAGACACAGGUCAGAGCCGUGGAUUCACCUUUGUGACCAUGAGAAACGUCAGAAGAUCGCAACGUCAUUAUCGAAAACCUCGAUGGAAUUGUAAGUGAGAGUUAAAAGGUGUGAAGCUUUACAAACAUAAAGUCACGUUUCUAUUGUUUCUUAUUCAGGAGUAUCUUGGUAGGACUUUGAAGGUGAACCUCUGUAUCCAGAAACAGAGUACAUGCUGUUUGUUGGUAACUUGUUGUGGGCACUCACUUCUGAGUCACUAGCUGGAGGCUAGAGAGAGCGUUUCGAGAGUGUGGACUUAAUGUGGUUGGUCCUGGAGUUGUGAAUGACGGAGACACCGGGAAAUCAAGGGGUUAUGGCUUUGUUUGUUACUCCUCCAAAGCUGAAAUGGAAAACGCGCUUGGAUCGCUUGAUGGACUUGAGCUGGAGGGUUGGGCCAUUCGAGUAAACCUGACUCAGGGAAGAAAUCCUGAUAUCAUACACCAGCAUUUUGGAAUCAUUUUGAGCUUUCUAGAGGUUAUGAUUCAACUGAACUAAUCAACUCUAAAGAUCAAUGUGUUGCCCUAUGGAAUCACCUGAUAUCAUACACCAGCAUUUUUGGAAUCAUUUUGAGUUUUCUCUCUUACAUAUCUCAGAAAAAGGUCUGCCCAACUUGUGUUUUGAAUCAUCACAUCCCAGAGUUCACAUAAGUUAGAAUCAAAACGGCAAAGCAGAAAGUAACUAAUUAGAUCACUCUUGUCUGAAUGAGUUUGAGCUUCUUAAGACACAGAGUUCAAAUGCCUUAUAUCUACAACAUUCUAACAAACAUGGCCAGGGCAGAAAUACAUAUAUGAAUGAUAUGGUAAAGCAACAAUUAUAUGUUUCAACUAACAAAUUAACUUCAAAUGAUUAUUACAAGAUGACAAGAAAAAAAACUAACUAAUUAACUCAAAGAUCAAUUAAUUUUUGUAAAUCAAGGCUGCUCCUGAGGCUUGUGGUCUUCACGGUGCUUGUCUGCGGUGGUGCCAAUGAAAGAUAUGAUCAAGAAUGUACCAGGCAGGACCUGCAAGAAAGUUCAAAAGUCUGUUAUCACAAUAGCAAACCCCAGAGGAAGGGGCAAAAAAAGAAAGCCUGUCAGACAACCAUGCGACCACUCCGGAGAGGUCAAGACCUAACCAGAUAGCGAUCCUCUACAGCGCUGAGACUCCGAGGAGAAUCGUAACCGUUACUCACGCUCAAAUCGCACGGUCAUGAUUCAUCAACCAGGUUUGAGGGCCUGUCUCCUUAGAAAUCAAGGAUACAGAGGUGCAAGCCUAUAGAACAGAUCCUGUUCAAGUAAGGUCGUGACCGUCACUUCCUUCUCUCUGAUAUGUAAACAACACGAGUUCUCUGUUUUUUAACGAUAUGGGAUGUAAUAAACAACAUCACAUACAUGCUUAAUAAAUACGCCGUCGUUUCUCCCUUCAAUGAACUAAUACCAAAUACAUUAGGCAGGUGAAGAGACUGAAGCAGAGGUUUCUUCUCUGAAUCCAAAUCUUCUGAGCCCUGAUUGCGUUUCAUAACAAGUUUCCGGUAGAUUUGUUUGUGACGGCAUUUCAUGAUGUUUCUAACGCUCUGUCACCUCAGCGCCGAAGCUCUUGCCCCAUAAGUUCAUAGUCUCAUUCGCUCUCAAUCGAUUGAUUCCCACUUCUGCGUACGUUUAAUGCGGAAAGAUCUUGGGCUGUCGGAUAAUUUCUCAAGAAGCAGACCCAGGCUUUGGCUUCUGUCAAGCCAAAGAAAAUACUGGACCAUUUAGAAACCGUUCUUGUGAAUGAACUGGUUGUUGUUAACAUAAGUCGCAUUGCCAAGCUAAGAAUACUUGUCAUUCGGACCUUUUAACUCUGUUUGUGACUAAACAUGACAGACUCAAGUAUGAGAUAACAUAUCCUUCUCUUGAAGAUUCACGUCAAGUACUUUUCACCCAAACACUUGUGAUCCAUUGUGUUUCCCCUGGAUAUCAGAUUACCAAACAGCCUUACCAUAUCAUGUCUGUUAGACAGUCUUGACAAUGAUCAUGGAGCUAUGAGUCAAGUUGCAUUGUUUGAUCUCCAUUUUUUUUUGCUUGCAUAACUCUUGAUUCUUGAGUUAGUGUAGAAAGCUCUUUUAAAAGAAAAAGAAAAAAAAAAAGACGCCAUUCUGAUUGCUUCCUAAAUUUUAUCGGUGAAUUUUCAUGUUUACCACAUUGUUGGUACCAUUAUUCAUGUUUAACUUCGCUAAAGAGACAUUUUCAAAAAUUCAUUAUUCAUUAAGAGGCAAAAGACUUUUAUACAUUUGCUCUACAUAAAUAAAAAAUAAUUAUUUAAAUAAAUUAAAAAAAAAAUUCUUUUUUUAUAGUUUUCGAAUUAUACUUUUUCAAAUUCAAAAAUUAUUUUUUGAAACUAUUUUAAAAAGGAAUUUAAAAAAAUAGUUUAUAUAUAUAUAUAUAUAUAUAUAUAUAUUUAUUAGAAUACUUAACUCCAUAUUCUAAAAAUCCCUACCACACAUCUCAAUUCUAAAUCCUAAAUCAUUUAAAUAUUUUUUUUCUCUUUAAAAGUGAGGGUGAAAAUUGUUAAAGUAAAUAUGAAAAGUGAUAUUAGGAAUAUGUGCUAUUUUAGAUAAUUUCUCAAUUUUAUCCGAGUCUCAAAGAUAAAAAGGCGAAUCUGCUUCGGUCUCUACAGUUUAUUUUCAAUGUCUUAUAUAUCUAUAGAAUCUAACUGAAUCCUCUAGCAAACUUUGUAGUUAUGGUCCUGAUACUCUAUUUCGCUGCUUACUUACAUUAGUCUUCUCAAUACAUUAGUCUUCUCAAUGGUACAAACCUACAACUAUCUUUAUUGUCUGUUUUUUUUUAUAUUUCUCUCAGAAUAUUUUUAUGGAAAGGAUAUAUUAUGGGUCAUUAUUUGUAUGAAACUUGUUCUCGAGCUUGCCUCCAGGAUAACAUAAUAGCAGUGGUUAUGAAACUGUUUUGAAACUGUGGAUAGAAGCUUGCGUGACAUAAUGGGAUGCGAUGAGCCUUUUGGAGGUAAAGUUGUUGUUUUUGGAGGAGACUUUAGACAGAUUCUACCGGUAGUAACAGAUGGUGGCAGAGUAGAGACUGUUUUGGCUUCUUUGAAUUCAUCACAUCUCUGGAAAAGCUGCAAGGUUCUAAGACUUACAAAAAACAUGAGACUUAUGGCAGGAAUUACCAAUAGUGAAGCUAAAGAACUUGAAGCUUUUUCUAAGUGGAUUCUAGAUAUUGGUGAUGGAAAUAUCAAUCAACCAAACGAUGGAGAGGUUGAGAUUGAUAUUCCUGAAGAUUUGCUAAUAACUGAGUGCGAAAAUCCUAUAGAAACCAUAGUGAAGGAAGUUUACGGAACAUCAUUUGCAGAGAAACGAGAUCCCAAUUUUUUCCAGGAAAGAGCAAUAUUGAGUCCACGAAAUCAAGAUGUUGACAGUACCAACGAGUAUAUGCUAUCACAGUUAUCAGGUACCAUCUUAAUUAUUUUAAUUUUAAUUUUCCUUGCUGGAAUCAAGGCAAGUAGUCUUAUGUACGCUGAUUUAUAUUGCUAACAGGUGAAGAAAAAAUCUAUCUCAGUUCUGAUGGUAUUGAUAUAUCAGACAAAGGCCCAAAAGAUCCCAUGGUUUAUUCUCAAGAGUUUCUAAAUAGCAUCAAGAUCUCUGGAUUGCCAAACCACUGUUUGAAGUUAAAGGUUGGUGCAAUAAUUAUGCUACUUAGGAACAUUGAUCCUCAAGGUGGUUUAUGUAAUGGUACAAGGCUGCAAAUUACUCAGUUGGCUGAUCAUGUUAUUGAGGCUAGAAUUAUAACGGGUCAUAGGAAUGACAAAGAAGGUGGUGAAAGGGUCUUAAUACCAAGGAUGUUUGUAUCUCCACCAGAAACGAGAUUCCCUUUCAGGAUGCGCCGUAGACAAUUCCCCGUUGCAGUUGCUUUCGCAAUGACCAUAAAAGUAUAUGAAAUAUAUAUAUAUAUAUAUAUAUAAUUUAAACUGUGGAGAGCAUGACAAAUAAAAUUUUUUAUUAAAACAUAAAAAAUAAGUAAAUUUCUUAAAAUUGUGAAAAAUAAGACAACUAAACAAUAAACAAUGACAAAUAAUCAAAAUUAACUAAAAUUAUGGAGAAGAUGACAACUAAGCAAAAUCAAUUCUCAAAUAAUAGUAUAGAUAAUGACUCAACCUAAAUCAUGAAAUAUGACAUAUAAGUUUUUCAAAAUAAUAAAACAUAAAAUAUAAUCAAAAUAUCUUAAAAUCAUAGCGAACUAAUUUUAAUUUUCCUUGCUGGAAUCAAGGCAAGUAGUCUUAUGUACGCUAAUUUAUAUUGCUAACAGGUGAAGAAAAAAUCUAUCUCAGUUCUGAUGGUAUUGAUAUAUCAGACAAAGGCCCAAAAGAUCCCAUGGUUUAUUCUCAAGAGUUUCUAAAUAGCAUCAAGAUCUCUGGAUUGCCAAACCACAAAAUAUGACAAGUAAGAAAAAUCUCACUUAGAAUUAUUUAUUAUAAAUAAAUAAAAUUAUGAAUUAAAAUUACUAAGAAUAUGAAAUAUAUAUAUAUAUAUAUAUAUAUAUAUAAUUUAAACUGUGGAGAGCAUGACAAAUAAGAAAAAAUUAAAAUUAUUAAAACAUAAAGAAUAAUUAAAUUUCCUAAAAUUAUGAAAAUUAAGACAAAUAAACAAUGACAAAUAAUCAAAAUUACCUAAAAUUAUGGAGAAGAUGAUAACUAAGCAAAAUCACUUCUCAAAUAAUAGUAUAGAUUACUAAACAAAACUAUAUAAAGGGUUUGUCAUGUUUAAAAAAAUACUGUUUGAAUUUUUUUUAAACAUAGGAAAAAGCUUUUUCUAUUUUGAUAAAAUGUGAAUAUAUAUACCAAAAAAUGGAAAAGGGUAAUGUUUUACAAAUAUUGUUGAAGCAGAAAUCUACAUUUGGCUCAAAAAUAAAAUAAAAAACAGUAUAGAACUAUGAUUUGAGAGGACCUUACGUAAACCACAGCGACAGCUGACCAUUGCACUAGCGGUGAGGCAGACGAGCAAGGAGGAUGUCCCGUGGUGAUCUAUCUGAACAUAUAAACACUAUAUCUGUGUCCACAAUUUCUGAUUCAACCCUAAAUACAAUUAUAAUUACUUAAAAAUCACUAUAUUAUUUAUAUAAAACAUGUAUUUUAUUCAUUAUUGUAUAAAUCUACUAAACCCGCGCAUCAGCGCGGGUGAAUCACCUAGUUAUUUGUAUGAAACUUGUUCUCGAGCUUGCCUCCAGGAUAACAUAAUAGCAGUGGUUAUUGAUGGCAAGGAAACUGCAGUCUCCAUCUUUAUGCUCAAUUGGUGGAAAGCAUUGCUGACCCAAAAGCGAACUUGGAAAUUUUUAGAAGUGAUAUAGUUCUCUUGGAUGUCAAGGAGGUGUGGUAUUAAACUGCAAACAACCUCAAGAUGGCUGGAAUACACAAUAAAUUUUUGAGAUAAUGUAGACAUGCAAUUUUGAUUUAUUAAGAGCUAAAAGACCUAAAGAAAUCUAUUCCUUGUUGCUUUAUCUAUCUAGGCUGAUAUUACUGUUGUCUAUUUGGGCCAAUUGAUAUUCUCACGCUUUGACUGCCUUGUCCGCUUUCGGAUAAUUCCACCGAAUUCAACCGAUAUUCAGUUCUGCUUUCGGUUCAAAAACAAACGUGCCAAAUUAUGGUUAUUUUUAUUUUUUGGUUAAUUUUGGUUUACGUUGUAAGAGUUUGGUUCAGUUUGAUCAAUUUUGGUCUAAAAAUACAAACAUCAACCGAUUUUAUAUAACUAAAAUAUACAUAAGAUGAAACUAUAAAAUUGUUUCUAAAAUUUGAUAAUAUUCGUUAAUCAUAAUUAUCCCUGAAUAUAAUGUGAAUAUUUAUUAAAUAAUCACUAAAACUGUUUUAAAACUAACAAGUUAAAAAAUAUUUAUUAAAAAUAAUGACUCAGCCUAAAUCAUGAAAUGUGACAAAUAAGUUUUUCAAAAUAAUAAAACAUAAAACAUAAUCAAAAUAUCUUAAAAUCAUAGAGAACUUGAUAAAUUAACAAAACUAAAAUUAUCACCUAAAAUUAUUUAUGACAAAUAAAGAAAUUUAUCAAUUAAAAUUAUUAAAAAUAUGACAAAUGAAUAAGUAAUUUAAAUAUGAAAAGCAUAACUAAAGCAAAAUUAAAAUUAUCAAAAUAUAACAAAUAAGUAAAUUACCUAAGAUUAUGGAAAAUAAGAUACAUAAGCAGUAAGAUAUGAUAAAUAAUCAGAAUUACCUAAAAUCAUGUAAAAUAUGACAAGUAAGCAAAAUCUCACUAAGAAUUAUUUAUUAUAAAUAAAUAAAAUUAUGAAUUAAAAUUACUAAGAAUAUGAAAUAUAUAUAUAUAUAUAUAUAUAUAUAUAAUUUAAACUGUGGAGAGCAUGACAAAUAAGAAAAAAUUAAAAUUAUUAAAACAUAAAGAAUAAUUAAAUUUCCUAAAAUUAUGAAAAUUAAGACAAAUAAACAAUGACAAAUAAUCAAAAUUACCUAAAAUUAUGGAGAAGAUGAUAACUAAGCAAAAUCACUUCUCAAAUAAUAGUAUAGAUUACUAAACAAAACUAUAUAAAGGGUUUGUCAUGUUUAAAAAAAUACUGUUUGAAAAUUAAGUAUCAUAUUAAUGUGUUAAAUAGCUAUGGUGUAUAGUUUAACAAUAUAAUAAAUUUAAUACAACUCUUUUUUUUUGUCAGCGAAUUUAAUACAAUUAUCAAAAUACUUUACUAAUCAUUUUUUUUUAAAAAACGCAAAUAUGAUCACAGAUAAAAACACAAAUAUGAUUACAAAAAAAUACAUAUAUGAUACAAGGCAAGACACAAUUACAUACUUAUAAAACAUAUACUUAUGAAACUUGAUUUAUCUAAUAUAUUUACAAAAAUUAUCUGUUCUAUUAAAUUCAUAUCUUACAAAAAUAUGAUUAUACAAACACACAAACAUAUAAAUUAUAUUAGGUAAAAAAUUUAAAAACAAAAAAUAUACCCGCCCUCGAGUCUAGUAUAGUUUAAAUUUGAUGUGUUGAGUCAUUUUGACACUGAAAAUCAGGAGUAUAAGCAUGCAUGUAUCUCAUUUAUAUGAUUAUACUUAAUUAGCCACACAAAUAAAAGCCCCCACGUUUCCCUGUGUGUGUUUUGGUCCAAGCUCUUUAUUCAAACCCCGACAUAUAGUGUACACUACCAAAAAGUAUUUGUGAUUUUGGGAGGAACACUUUCUCUAAAUGAAACCAAUAAUCAUUGCCAAACUCAAAUAAUUUGUUUCUAAAUACAUGUAAAUAUAGCACUUCAUCGAGCUAGCCAGUUUGAAGUUUCGACCUUGAACUCCGAGUGUGAACUUAGGGAAAAUUCCUUAUAGAUAUAUGCAUAUAUAUAUAUAUAUAUGUAUAUCAGUAUAUAUAUAUAUGAAGAAAUAAGUAAGCAUGUGUUGUUAUCUUCUAAGUUUUGAUCUUUGUGCAAAUAGCAUUACACAAUAUUUCUUGUUAAGACGCUUGAGUUUAAAUCCUCAAGGUUAAAACGGAAUGAGAUGGCUGCCAAUAAACUACCAUCGUCCAGAGAGAAAGAGAAUCACGAAAGCUGAUCGGUCAAAAAAAGAAAAGGAUCAUGAUAAAAACAAGUAUGCAACGUGACUUGAUGUGUCAAAAUUUUGACCAAAGAGGAGGAUGCUUGCUUGGUGAGUGGUGUGAGAGGACGUCGGUCAGUGCACAUUAUCAUUAAUUAACAAAAUCCUUGAGCAAGACUGAGUUUUCAUAGUACGAUGAUAUGUACCUAUGUAGCCAAAUAGCGGUCAAUAAUGAUUUAUAUAGAUCAUGGUCUAGAACUUGAUUGGAAAUUAUGGUGAGCAAGCACUCUUUGAAGUCAAGAUACAUUACGCCCAUUUCUAUAUAUGGACAGUACAUCAAACUUUCUAACACAUCUAAUUAUUCAUCUUAAUCGCAAUAUUGAACAAGAAUAUAUGAAGAUCAAAGUAUUGCCUACUUAUGAUCAAAAUAUACAAAUAGAACAAAGCAAUUAUAUAUAGAUGGUGUUCAAACGAUUUUGGCAACUAAAUAGUGGUGAAAUUGAACAUGUUUGUUGCUAUUUCGAACUUGACAAUGUAAUUCAGCCUGAAGGUUUAAACCGUUCUUGUUUCGGGUUAAAACGGUUUAUAUUUAUAUCUUAGAAACGUAGAGGGAAUUAAAUUUCACAAGUACUAUAUCCAUACUUGUAUAGAAUGAUAAAAUAUGUUUCACAUAUAGAUUACACAUAAACAUUCACAUACACACAUGUAUCUUUUAGCCGAAGCGUAAAACUUCUUAGUAAAAUCGUUAAACCUCUUAACAAAUGCUCAAUCUCAAAUUUGAUUUUGUUUUUAACUUAAAUCAUAAGCUUUGAAAUGUAAUUUAAACUCGUUGAGAUUGGCGAUUGCAUGGCCACUAAAAACCGGUACAACUCUAGAAGCCUGAACUCAAGGCAAACCGAUUCAGUUUUCAAUCGGUUAUUCUCCUUUGAUAUGGCAUUACCACAGCUCAACACAUUAGCCAGCUGGUUAACAAGCUCCUGAUUCUUAGACUUCAGCCGGUUUACCUCUUCGGUUAAGUCCUCAAAACGUCUCUUCUUUCUUAACCUUGAUCUCUUUGCUGAUUCCCGGUUUGAUAUCGUUCGCUUUCUCUUCCUCUCAUCAACCGGUGCUUCCAACUCGUUUGAACCGCUAGGGUUGUCCGACGUAUCUGAUUGAAGAAAUUCCAAAAUUUCUGUGAUUUCAUCUCCGGUUAUGGUAGCAUCAUCAAAGCAGAUACGAACCGGCUCUAAACUAGUUGAGGACAUUGCUUUUAGUGGAAAAUAUAUAUCCGGUAUAGUACUAAACCGAUUAUUGGUAUGAUCAAUUUUGUACGUAUGAGAAGCAAGAGAGGGAGGGGAAGUGUCACAUGAACCAUGUGUGGCUAUUUAUAGAGAAAAAUUAGUAAGUGCACAUGGGACCCAUUUAGGGUUAGUUUGUCCACUUAAGAAGCGCCAAGUAUUUAAAAAUUAAAAUGUUAUAAUUAGAGUGAAUCUAGAGAUUAUUUGCAAUGCUUGUCCACUAGCACUCUGGAUAUAAGGUAUUACUAUUUUAUUUGUUUUUAAGUUCUUUUAAACCUUUUGUUUCGAUAUUGCUUUUUAUUACUUUUAUCCUUUUUUGUUACACAACUCUCAUCUUCUAAUCUCUUAGCUGCUUGGCACUACUUUUUAAGUGUAGAGAUAGGAUAUUAGUUUCACAUUUUCAUUGUAAUUUUCAUUGUAGGGUUAGUGUAUAUUUCAUUUGUAUUUCGAUUAAUAACUUGCAGUUAUCAUCAGCAAAGGAUGUUAAGGAUGUCAUAGUGUUAUGGAUCAAUGUCUAUAAGAACAACAUAUUAAACUAUAUAAAAGAUAAAAGACUAGAUGUCCCCUUUUUCAGUAAAAAAUAGGUUACGAAAAUGUAUAAGAUAUAAUUAAACAAUUAUUAAGCUAUGACAUGUAUUUUUUUUUUUUUUUUUUUUUUUUUUUGUAACUGAGGCUACUAUGACAUGUAUGUUUUCUUCUCUUCGGUCGUCAUAGUAGAAUUUCUUUCCUGUUUUUUUAUGUUAAAGUUAUAUAUAUACCUAAAGAAACGAAGAUUUGGAGUUUGUAUUCAGCUUUCAAAUUAGACUUACGGAGAGAAAAUGGUGUGUGGGUCUCGACGAAGACGAUUGUUUAGCUUAAUGACGAAGAAUCUAAGAAAAAGCAUAUUACGUCUAAGUUUUGAUGUGUUUUGGAUUUUCUUAUCUUUUUGAUAAGAUAAAGUAAAGAAUACAAGUGAAACUACAGCUGCAUUCUCUUUAUAAUGCAAGUAUCAGUUUAACUUUAAAUAAAUAGAUUAGUUAAUAUGUUAAUAUGUAUAACUUCAUGUGUUUAUGGUACAUUUAUAUUUACAUUAUUAUUUUAUGAAAAUAUUAUUACAAUAAAUCUGAAAAUUUGAGAAAUAGAAUAGAAAGUUGCAAAAAAAAAAAAAGAAUAGAAAGUUGCACACUGAUGUCUGAUUCAAUAUAUUUUACAAAGUAAUUAUAAUAUUGUUAAAUAAGUAAAAUAUCAGCCAUGAAAUAUAAGUCGCUUAAUUUAACAGUAUUUUUUUCUUUAAGAGGGGUGUAUUCAAUCUAAAAUUUGAGGUGAUUUGACUUUUAAUGAGGUUUUAGAUGAUUUUAAUGAAUUGCAGAGAAUAAAAUGAUUUUUGUUAAACCACUCUAGAAUAUCACCUAAAACCAUGAGAUUUGAGUUUUAUUUUUUUUAACUAAGAAACUCCAACAAAACACUCUAAAAUCACUUGAAAACUUUAAAACUCCACAACUUAAAAUAUUUUCAAUAACAUUGGAUUUCAGAGUACUUUAUAAAAUGUCAAGUUCAAUAACACUGGAUUUUAAAUGAGUUUUUAAAAUUCAUAUUUCAAUAACAGUGGAUUUGUCAUUUUGACACAAAUCACCUAAAACUCUCAAUUGAAUACACCCCCCUGAGUUAGUUAUUUUAAAUGUAAAUGUAAGUAGUUAAAUAUUAAAUUGUCCAUCUACUAUAAACGAUUAUAUGUUGUUAACCUAAAAUGUUGAAUGGGAACUCUCUUUGACAAAAACUUUUGAAUUAAAACUCCGACUAAUCUUUAGAAGCCACAAGAAAACUAGGUAUUAACAUGAAUAAUAUCUAUUAUAUUUAUUUGUUUUCUCAAAAUAUUAUCCAUGAUAUAAAAUAGUAUUGAAUUUGUAAUCGCUCUGAUAGACCAUAGAACUCAGAUGCUAACCAUUGAAUUACCAUUAAUUGGUUGAUAUGAUAGUUUCAUCUUUUGUAAUCAACAUGCCGACACAUUAUAAUUAUAUAUUUUCUUGAAUUUAUCCAUACAUAUAGUAACUUUUGAAGGUGUGGAAACAUAAUUUGAAAAGACUCUUUUAGAAAUAAUAGAUCAAAGUAGUAUUAUUUACAUGGGGACAUAAUUCACAAGUAUAUGAAAGAAACAGUACAAUAUAACAUCAAUAUGGUAAUGCCGUCUCACCAUUGGGAUAAAAUAACCAAUCUUGCCUAUUUACUUGGAAUUUGUUUUUUAUUUCACAAGUUUACGAGAGAAUUCAUUAUUUGCCAAUUACUUCCAAGCUUGUUCAUAUCAGAAACCAGGAUGAGAAAUAGCAUGAUAUAUAUUGAUGAAAACUGGUAAAUUGGAUAUUAUAAAGCACUAUCCAAAAUGUUUAUAAUAAAACAGGAAGGAUAAUCUGGAUAACAAAAAGAUUUUUUAUUUUUUUGAAUAGCUAUCAUUACCUUAACUCUAGAUAGUCAUUAUUUUAUCUACCAUAAAAAAUCUAUGUUAAACCACUAAUUAGAAAUUUAACAAAAUAUCCUAAAUUUACUCUUAUGUGAUAUUUUCCUAACAAAAAACAAUAUAGAUUGAAACAAUAACAUUUCCAACAAAAGCCAAAUACAUUUCUAUUCUACAAUUAUUGUUCAUUUCUUACCAUAUUUAGUCUAGGCCAGAUUUUACAUAUUUCUAGGUAAUUAAUUUUGAAAUUAAAUAGCAUAGGCUAAUUAUUUUUAAAAUUAUCACAUGAACGUUUUAUAUAACAAAAUAAAUAAUUAUUUCUUAGUUGUAUCAUUUUAUGUUAGAUUUUAUAGUAAAAACAAAAGCACCAAAUUGAUAUAUAAGAAAUUAAACAAAAGAAUUCAAAAUAUAAUAUUAACUAAGUUAAUUUAGUCACAUAUAUAUAUAUAUAUAUUUAAAAUAGUACAAUUUCAUCAAAAAUAAAUUUUAAUAAAUAUAAAAAAAUUAAAAUAAUAUUAUAUACAGAUAUAUAAAACUGAUAUAAAAUAUAUAUUUUAUAAUAAUUUUUAUAUUUAAAUAUUAUUUUAAAAAUAAACAUAUAUCCACAUUGAUGUGGGGGUUCAACACUAGUUUUAAAUUUAAAUAGAUGAUUCAGAUAUUCAUUUGAUAUCCAUUCUAUACAUGUUCUUUUCUUUUACAUAUUUUGUUAGCAAUAUUUUAUCUAUUUUAUUUAACGCAAAUGGCCCCAUAUAUGUAAUAAUAUAAAUGAGAACGAGAGAAAAGGAAAUUUCAAAACAAAUACAGACUAUGAUUAUUUUUUAUGACCAAAAAUAAAUAUAUAAUAAAAUAUUUAUAAAUUAAUAUUUAAUAAAUUAAUAAUUUAGUGAAUCAUUUAAAAAUAGUGUUGAAUUAAAUUUUUUAGCCAGUCAAUCUUUUGAUAAACUAAUAUUUCGUAAAACUAAUAAUAUUAGAGGUUUAGUUGUAUCCAUAUUUGUUUGUAGUUCAAAGGAUGUUAAAGGAUAUACUAUUCUUAUAUUUGACUUUUAGUAAUCACGUUUCAAGAAAAUCCAAAGUCCACUGUUUGUAACUUUUCUGGCUUUUGUUAGUGGACUCAAACACGCACCCACAUUUCUCAACUUCUAUUAACUGAAUUUAUAUUUUAACACGCGCUAGAUUUUGAUCCGCGCAACCACGCAGGUGUUUGUUUUCAGUUUUCUAUACAUAAAUUAUUGUUUUAGAACAUAAGUGGUAUAUAUUUUUAACGUUAAUCAUAUACUUAAAUAUUUAUAUAACUAUUUCAAAUACAAUAAUUUUAUAAUUUACAUGUUAUAAUUAAUCAAUUGUUUAAAACCGUAUAUAUUGGUCACUUCUUAUUAUAUAUUUAUCUUACUUUAUCUGCAUAUAGUUAUUAAGCAAAUUAAUAUAUUCAUGAGAGAAUAAAUUUAAAAAUUAUUUUUUAUUUAAUUUAUGCUAAAUUCUGACCCGUCUUUCAAAACUGGAUUUCUUUUGGGCAAAUCUCCAAAAUAGCACAUUUCUAAGUUUAUAUCACAAAAUAGCCUUCAAAAACGAAAAUGACAAAAAUAGCAUUUUAUCUUUUGAAAAUUUUAAUUUUUUUUAUUAUUCAAAAUUUGAAAUCUUAUCCCCAAAACCCCCACUCCCCAACUCUAAACCCUAAAACCUAAACUCUAAACCCUAAAACCUAAACUCUAAACCCUAAACCCUAAACCCUAAACUCUAAACCUUAAACCCUAAAUCCUAAACCCCACCCCUUAACUCUAAACCCUAAUGACUAAAUUAAUUUACCAUUGGGGUAUAAGUGUAUAUUUAUCUCUUUUGAUAAAACAUUAAGUGCAAUUUUGGUCAUUUUCAUUCUUAGAGGCUAUAUUUGUGACAAAAACUUUUUUAGUGUUAUUCCGGUCAUUUUCUCAUUUCUUUUUACCAAUAUUUUUAUGUUUAUUCAUUUUAGAUAAUUCAUAAAUAUUUUAUACUUAAGAAAAUAAAAUAUACAAAAUAUAUAAAUUUAAUACAAUUUUAUUAUAUUUAGCUCAAUAUAAUAAUUUUCUUUUAAUAUGAUUGAUUAUGAUUAUAUAAUAGAUAAAAUACUAUAGAAUUUUUUAUUUUUCAUUUUAUAAACGAUAACUGGAUAUAUUAAUGUAUAAUAAUAUUUCAAACUAAUUUCGAAAUUAGUGAAAAUAUUUAAAUAUAAUUUCAAAAAUGAAGAUCUUGUAAAAAUCUUUUAAAACAGAUUUGUUAGAAUUUUAAAAUAAAUAUAUUUAGAUUUAAAAUAAAAAGAUAUCAAAAGAUAUUAUGAUUAAAGUAUUUUAAAGAUUAUAUGUAUUAUUAGUCUUAGUAAAAUAUAUUUAAUAAGAUUUCUAUGUGGUGGUCCAAAUUAAAAAAUCACACAUGAAAGAAGUCAUUACUUUUGUUUUAAUAUAUAAGAUUUUUUUGUUAUAAAAAUUGAAACAUUUGUUUAACCUCAAAAAGAGUUUUGUCAUCUAGUUAAGAAAUGUCUAGCACCAAUCUUAUAUUUUAACACAAUUACAUUUGUUAUAAAAAAAUAAAAAAGGUUUAACCUCAAACAGAGUUUUGUCCUCUAAUCAAGAAAUGUCUAGCACCAAUCUUAUAUUUUAACACAAUUCUUUUUGCUAUAAAAAAAGAAACAUUAGUUCAAUCUCUAUACAGAAUUUUGUCAUCUAAUUAGAAAAUGUCUACCACCACGAGUUGGAUUCAUGUGCUUCUUCCCCCUUUGCCGACUCCUAUCUUUUUACUUUUACAUUUAUUUUAUUUGUUCUUCAGCAUUCCACAUUCUCAAGUAUAGUCCAAAAGAAAAGCAAAAAAUGUUUCUUUUCACAAAUUUAGUUCUCGUAACUAGACAUGUACAUAAAUAUGCCAAGCCGAUUUGGUUGAACAGAGCUGAAGUUUAGCCAAUUCGGUUUGCAUUCGGUUUGUGCACAAAACCGGUCAACAACAACAUGUUUUUAGUCAGCAUUCAGUUCGGAUUUGAAACAAAUUAUUUGAGUUUGGCAAUGACUAUUGGUUUCAUUUAGAGAAAGUGUUCCUCCCAAAAUCACAAAUACUUUUUGGUAGUGUACACUAUAUGUCGGGGUUUGAAUAAAGAGCUUUUAUUUGCGUGGCUAAUUAAGUAUAAUCAUAUAAAUGAGAUACAUGCAUGCUUAUACUCCUGAUUUUCAGUGUCAAAAUGACUCAACACAUCAAAUUUAAACUAUAUUUUAUGUUAACAUCAAUAUAUCAGUAGGGUUAAGAAAGAAGAUUUUCAACGUCUACAUUUUAUGUUAAUGUUAUUUUCAUAAGCUUUAGAAUUCGAAACCAAAAUUAUAGUACGUAGGCAACAAGACAAGUAUUGAUUCAUAUGUAUAAUAUAUCAAAGGACAAAUCAUCAAAAAAAUCUUGGAUGAAUCAAUAGAUACGCAAAACAUUGUACUGCAACUACCAACAUUAAAGAACAAAAAUAAGGUGGUGUGUCACUGUGUAUGAAGAAGGAAAAAGAGAUGUGUCUUGUGAUGGGAUCUUCUCGGUGGAUAUCAUAUAAAGCUCUUCAUAAACAACUCAAAUAAGUUUUUGUCGCUUUUAUACGGCCGACAUAUCUUCGCAUAAGUUCUACAUACAUCUUUAUCUUUUAUUAACCCUACACAAGUAAAAAACAAAAACAAAAAUGGAUAAGGAGGUCUUAGAGCCGAGUAUCACCAAACUUCAAGCCUUUGCUUGAAAGUUAAGGGCACCUACGAAGAUAUGUCAUCUUAUAUGGCAGUUGUUAACUGGUCAUGUGGCAGUAACAAGGAACUUAGCAAGACGUAAUAUGAGAUGUGAUAAUUACUGCCCAAGAUGUAGAGAUUUAGAAGAAUCUGCAACCCACACCAUUUUUGAAUGUCCGCCAGCUCUACAAGUUUGGUCCUUAUCAGCAACUCCAACAAACCCAGAGGUAUUUCCAGUAUCAAGUGUCUACACAAAUAUGGACUACCAUUUCUGAAGGAAAAACAAUAUUAUUGAGCCGGAAGAAGACAAAGACCCGUACCCCAGGAUUAUCUGGUAUAUCUGGAAGGCAAGGAAUGAUAAACUGUUCAAGGGGAUCGACAGAGAUCCUUUGGAGUUAGUUCGAUAUGCAGAAAGUGAAUGUCAGACCUGGUUUGAAGCGAAUGAAGUGGCACAACCAGUGGUACAAGAUAAAAAUAUGGAGAAUCCCCAAGUCAUAAGCUUGGGUAAUAUAUGCUUGCUGGAUGGAUUUUGGACUGCCUCUGCCAAUUAUAAUGGAUGUGGGUAGGUUUGGCUGGACAGUAGUGGAAAGACCCAGCUCAUGGGAACAAAAAAUCUCACUCGACGUGAAUCAGCCUUACAUACGGAAGUAGAAGCACUGAGGUGGGCGAUGGAGAAUAUGCUUCACCACUCAACAUGUUAGAGCUUUGGGACGGACUGCAAGGAGCUGAUUGCAAUGUUAAAUGAGCCUCAUGCUUGGCCAAGCUUUGCGAUGGAAUUGGAGAGGAUAGAGACACAACAGAUAUGCUUUCCGGAUUUCAACAUCAUACAUGUUUCACGAGCGCGCAAUCAAAUUUCAGAUUUUUUAGCUAAGACUGCUAGAUUCAUCAAUAGGGAGUUUUAUUGGUUGUUCUAUUUCGGUCUAGUUACCCAGGUCUCCUCAAGUUUGAAUAAUAGAAUAGCCGUUUGAUGUAAAAAAAAAAAAAGGGAUAUAUAUAUAUAUACUGAAGAUGCUUAAGAUGUCGGUCAUAUAUACAGAUAAAUUUCUCUGACUGAAAGAAGAAGAUACAGAUUCUCUUUCUUUCUCUUAAGAUAUAUUUUCAUGGAUGGUUGGGAUUUGACGUACGGUUCAUUGCUUGUUGAUUCGUAAUCUGAGAAUGUAUCAUUUUAAAACACUCAAGUCACCUAAAAUAUCUCUAUUUCACAUAAUAUAUUGGUGACUAUCUUGUGGGGGUAUGGGAGGUAGAGAAGUUAGAAUAUCCAUAAUGUCGCAGUUUCAUUUUAUGCUGUACAUUUAUUUGAAUGAUUGGUUGGAUUGUAUUUUUUGAUGCAACAUAUAUAUAGUUGUAGGCUUGUAGCAGAGUGUUAUUCUGAUUAUAGUUAAAAUAAAUUAAAACAUGACUAGAAAAUGAUUCCAGUUAAAUAGAAAAAUAGAAAUUAUAGUUAAAUGAAAACAUAAAUAAUAAUUGAUAAUAUUAUCUAUAUAUUAAAUAACAUCUAAGUAUGCUAAUUAAUAUAAGAUAUAUUGUAUCUAUAAGACUAUGAAUUAUCUAUACUAUUAUUUGAGAAAUUAAUUUGUUGAUUUGCUGAUUUGUCAUGUUCUCCAUAAUUUUAGGUUUAGUCAUAUUUUAUGCUUAAUUGUUAAUUUUGAUAAAUAAUUUUAGUGACUUAGCUGAUAACUUAUCUUUAUCUUCAGAAUAAUUAAAAAUUCUAACGAAAAUAUCAUAGUUAAUUUAUAUUAUAUUUAUUUUAUUAAUAUUAAAAUAUUAUAUAUAUGUUUAUAAUAUUUGGUUAGUAAAAUUAAACAGACUCUGUUUUAAUAUAUAUAUAUAUAUAUUAUCACAUAAGAUAGAAUAAAUCAUAUAUUUGUUAAGAUAAAUUUCUUAGAACAAUCAAAAUCACUCAUUGUGAUAAUUUCUGAAAAACUAUUAUGUACUACCUGUUUUUGGUCCCGAGGAACGGAGGAGGCUAGGUUAGCCGAAAGAUGGUUAUCGGUUUAAGAGCGCAAGGUGUCCCUGUUUUUCCAGGGUAAGAAGGGGUAGAGAAAAUGCCCUCAAUCAAAUACAAAAAUAACUCAAAAGCCUUAUAAAAUUACUAUCAGUACCUUUUGACCAAACAAAAAAUCAGACUGUAUUUUUACAAAUAUAAGCCGAGGAAGUCUUCUCUCAUAUAGUAGAUCUUAAAAAUAAAUUAUAAAUUUUAUAAAAAAAUAUUUUGAUGGGAGAAAUUGAAAUCAUGUAAUUAUAAACAUUUGUAAAUGAUAUAAAUUAAGAUCUAGUAAAAUUAAAUUGUUUUCAACAUAGAUGAGUGAAUGUAGUGUGUCAUGGUAUUCUUUGGUUUAGGGUUUGGUAACAUAUGUUAUAGUAUUGUUUAUAUUUUAGAGUUAGAUUUUGGAAGCUUAAUUUUCUUUUUUGAAAAAUUUAAUUUUUACUUAUAUGUAUUUAGUUUUGUGUAUAUUAAAGACUUUUAAAGUUUAUUUUAAGUUUGACAAAAAAAUUAAUCUUAAGCUUUAUGAAGUAUUUGUUUCUACUUUGUUAGUUAUUUUGAGUUUAGCGUUUAUGUAACUUAAGUCUUCCAAUAAUUAAUGCAGUAGAAGAUUUCAUAGAAAGAAUUCCUUGAAAGUCUUAUGAAUAAAAAAUAUUUAACUUUAUUAGAAUUUUGUCUCUUUACAUAAAGAAAAUUUACAUAUUCUCUCUCCUUCUCUCAAAUGGUUGCAACAAAAAUAUAAUGUUUUUCACUCUAAAACUCAUCAACCUCCCUCUAAUCUCUUUGAGCUUGAAAACACCAAACUUUAUAUUAAUUUUUCAUUUUUAUUUCAUGUCUUUCUCAUUAAUUUAUUUUGUUUUUGCAAGUUUUUCAUUACAUGGUUCUCAUCUUCCACUCCUCUAAAGGUAGAUCUAUAAAUUAUAUUUCUUCAUUUGGUAACCUCUUGUUGCUUAAAACUCUUGCCUUUUGAAAACUUCUUUUUUUUGUUUUUAAAGCUCUUACCUUAUUUUUGAAGUUUUUUUCUGUUUUGAAGUCAUUUGAAUGCUUUUGGAUAUGCAUGUUUUUCAGAUCUGAGUCAGAUUUGGAAGACUUCGAGGGAAGUCAGAUUUGGAGGACUUUUAGGGAAGUCUUCUAACAUAUAAUGCACCAGAAGACUUCCAUGACAGAGUCUUCUCCCAUGUCUCCUUUUGCAUAACAGAUCUUAACGUUUUGGUAAGUCUUCAUGUCUGGUUUUUCUUCAAUUGAUAACCUUUUGCUGCUUAAAACUCUUAGCUUUUGAAAACACUUUUUGUUGCUUAAAGCUCAUACCUUAUUUUUGAAGCUUUUCUUUGUUUUGAAGUCAUUUGAAUGCUUUUGGAUAUAUAUGUUUUUCAGAUCUGAAUCAAACUUUGGAAGACACAUAAUGCAUUACAAAACUUCAUGGAAGUCUUCUAACGGAGUCUUCUCUCAUGUCUCUUUUUUCAAAAUAGAUCUAAGCAUUUUGGUAAGUCUCCAUUUUUUAUUUUUCUUCAUUUGAUAACAUCUUGUUGCUUAAAGCUCUUACAUUUUUCCAAAGCCAUGUUUUGAAUCUUUGUUUUAGCUUCAGAUCUUGAGCUAUCAAAAUGGAGGAGCUGUCCGAUCAUCUGGUAAACAGAUCUGAGUGUGUUUAAGAUGAUGAAAGUUUCAAGUUUUAGGAAGCUUGCAUGAAGACUUUCUGGAAGACUUCAUGGAAGUCGCCCGCGAAGUAUUCAAAAACCUGAAACAUGAACACGAGAACUAUCAAAGUUUAUGAUGUGUAUGUCAAGUGCAGUCCAAACUUAUAUUUGUGGAUGAAUGAUCUCUAACUCCAAGUGUAACAAUUUUAUUUAUGGUUUAUUUUGUGAUUUGUAUGUGUACUCUUUUAGUUGUGGAUUAUUUUGUAAAUUUGAAGAAAUGUUAAUGAAAAGUUGGUAAAUAUGUUUAUGUGUACAAAAUUAUCUUGCUAAAAGUAUUUGACAUUAUUGAAAUUAUAUACAACUUCAAUAGCAGAACACAAUAAACUAAAAAUUUAGUCAAAUUUACUAAAACUAAAGGAGAAGACUUCUAAAAAAUCAUAGUUAAAUUAUAAAAGAUCAAACAUUACAUAAGUCUUCUCGGAAGACUUCAAUUUUAAACGAAAAUUUAAAAUAUAAACGGGAAAUUUAAGCGAGAAAUUAAACUUUAAGCGGAGAACUUAAAUUUUAAGAGAAAACUGAAAUUUUAAAUCACAUGAAAUUUAAAAAGUAUAUCCUAUGUUCUAAAAAGACACAAACCACAUAUUCAUGAAUUACUUAACAUUUUUGAAAGUUAAAAAACUGAUCUUAAAGUUACUUAACACUCUUGAAAAUACAAGUUCCCAAAAAUUAACGGAGAAGACUUCUUACUAAGUCUUCUCUCGUUAGCUAGAAAUCUUAAUAAAAUGAAUGUUGACAACCUUAUAAUUAUCACCAAUUAAGUUAUCAAUUUCAUUUAGUAGCUCCAAUAGUGACUAAUAUACAUGAAUUAACAAGAAAAUGUUAAAAAGUAUUUAUAAUUUUAGAGAAAAUGAAAGUUUAUUAAACAUUGACGUAGAAUUUGGCAGUCCGGCAGAAGAAUUAUACAAAAAUAUUCAGGCAUAAUACUUCUAAGAAGUUUUGCAUUUAGGUCAUUUUUGCAAUUUCAAAUUUACAAAUAACAACUUCCAAAGAAGUCUACUUUAGAGCAGACUUCUCUCGAAGUCUUACUUUGUAGAUAAUGGCUUAUUUUUGUGUUCAAAAAAAUCUUGAAAUACCAUAGUAAACAUACCAUAAAGUCUUCUCAGAUAGUCAGGUUAGUUUUACAAUUGACCGAACUGCGUCAAAAAUUUGAAUUUUUCUAGAAGACUUACCCGAAAUUCUUCUCUACAGAAGACUUCCAGGGAAGGUGACUCAGUUGUCGGUGGAAGUCUUCUCACUGUCGCUGAAAAUCGUCUUAGGUUACUUUUGGAAUUGACAAAUAAAUUUAAUAUUAACUGGAAGUCUUAUGGCUCUUAUGUCGUAACCAAAGGUUUGACCAUAAUCUUCGAAUAAAAAUGUGGACGAUUUCGAGGAAGCCUUCCGUGAGAAGACUUACAUAGAAACUUCUGGUUAAAAUAAAUAUUUAAGUUUUAUUUAUCAAUUGCAAACGUAACCUAAGAUGACUUUUAACAAUAAUGAGAAGACUUCCACAGACAGUUGAGACGAUUUCUCUGGAAGUCUUAUGUAGUGAAGACUUCCUAGGAAGUCUUUUAGAGAAAGUCAAAGUUUGAAACAAUUCGGUCAAUUGCAGAAUUAACGUGUUUAUCCGAGAAUACUUCCCGGUAAGUCUUUACUUUUUUUUGUUAACAAAGAAAAGUUGGAAGACUUCUAGGGAAAUCGUCUCUAAAACAUACAAAAAAUACAAUUGCAAAACUAACCUAUGCAUUGACCGAAGCUAAAUCUGUAAAAAAAAAAAUCAAAAUUCAUUGUCAGAUUCAAUGAGGUUAAUGUUUAGCCUCUCCAAGCACACAUCACUUCUUAAUGAAAGUUACUCACUCGUUCUUGACUAAGAAUCAUGAACUUGAGUAACUCUAAUAAGCUUAUAAAUUUUGGAAUAAAAAGUUGGGAUGUUGGGAUGAAAUGGUUUAUGUGCGUAAGAAAUAAGAAUAUGAAGAUGUUGAUGUUGAUUUUAGGUGCAUUUAGACCUUGAAAUUGGUUGUUCAUGGUGGUUGAUGUAUUGAUGACAAUGAUUAUAUAUGUUGUAAAUAUACGAGGAGGAUGAGGAUGAAUGAGUAAAACAAACAUUUUCGGAAAAAUAAAUAAUAAUCUCAUUUUCGUGAAUAAUCUGAACUUCUUCACAAAGUCAUGGGUCAGUUUGCAUUUUACAUUUCGUUUUGAGUCAUUUUUGCAAAAACCCAUAAAAAAUGGAGGAUUUACCAAAUAUGACCCAAAACUUGACUUUGAUUGCAAAAGUAUAUCAAACUUGAAUCAAAUGCAAAACUAACCUAAAAGUCUUGUGAAAUUACAGCCAUCCCCUUGUGACCAAACAAAAAAAACAUAAGUCAUUUUUACGAAUAUAGCCAUAGUAAGUCGUCUGGUGUAGUUGAUCUUAAAAAUAAUUUACAAAUUUUUUUAAAAAUAUUUUGACAAAUGAAAAAUUAAAAUCAUGUAAUUAUAAACAAUUUUAAGUAAUGUAAAUUAAGAUAUAAUAAAAUUGAAUAGGUUUCAUAGAUGAGUGAAAGUAGUUAAUCAUGAUAUUCUUUGGUUUUAUGGUUUGACAACAUAUGUUGUAGUAUUGUAUUGUAUGUAUUCUUAGGGUUAGAUUUUGGAAAGCUUGAAUGUUUUUUUGAAAAUUAAUUUUUUAGCUAUAAGUGUUUAUUUUUGUGUAUAAUAAAACACUUUUGAAGUUUAAUUUGAUUUUAUGAAGUGUUUAGCUAGUUAAUUAAGUUUAGGGGUUAUUUUCAGGGUCUAGACGACUAACUUGUAAGUCGUCUGGUGAAUAAUUUAAAUAAGACGACUUACAUGUAAGUCGUCCAAAUAUUUCCGCCUAAAAAAUUAUUUUUCCGCUUAAAUAAAUUAAACCAGACGACUUGUAAGUCGUCUGGGAAGUCUUCUAUUUUAGUUUCCCGCUAAAAAUAUUUUAGUUUCCAGCUAAAAAUAUUUUAGUUUCCCGCUAAAAAUAUUAAAGUCUUCUGGGUGACUUACAAGUAAGUCGUCUAGGAAGUCGUCUAAAUCAAAAAUAUUUAACCUAAUUAGAUUUUUUGUUUCCCUAUAUAAAGAAAAAUUUACACAUUCUCUCUCGUUCUCUCAAAUGGCUGCAACAAAAAUGUAAUGUUCAUCAUUAUAAAACUAUUCAACUUCUUUCCAAUCUCUAUGAACUUAUAAACACUAAGCUUUAUAUCAAUUUCUUGUUAUUGUCUCAUGUCUUUCUCACUAAUUUAUCUUUUUUUGCAGGAUUUUAAUCACAUGGUUCUCAUCUUUCACUCAUUUAUAAGUAUAUCUACCAAUUUUAGAUAUAUAUUUUUGUGUGUUCUAUAAAAGUAGAUUUAUCUAAUCUUCUACUCAUUUUCUCUGUUUUUAAGCCAUUUGAACGUUUUUGAAUAUGCAGGUUUUUCAGAUCUGGAUUUGGAUAUGCUGUUUUUUUUGGAUAUGCAGGUUUUUCUGAUCAGACGACUUACCUGUUAGUCGUCUAAAAUAUAAUGCGCUAGACGACUUCCUGGAAGUCGUCUGACGGAGUCUUCUCCCAUGUCUCUCCCUUUCAUAACAGAUCUGAGCGUUUUGGUAAGUUUUUAUGUCUGAUUUUUCUUCAUUUGGUAACUUUCUGUUGUAUAAAGUACUUACUUUUUUCCAAACUAAAACUCUCCAAAUCCACUCUAAUCUCUUUGACUUGAAAACACCAAACUUUAUAUGAAUUUUUCAGUUUUGUCUCAUGUCUUUCUCACUAAUCUAUCUUUUUUGCAGGUUUUUAAUUAGAUGGUACUCAUCUUCCACUAAUUUAAAGGUAGAUCUCCACGACUUCCUGGAAGUCUUCUGACGAAGUCUUCUUCCAUAUCAAGUGGAGUCCAAGUUUGUCUUUGUAGAGGAAUGAUCUAUAAUAGUUUUGUUUGUGGUCUGUUUUGUGAUUUGCAUGUCCACUCUUUUAGUUGUGAUUUUUUUGUAAAAUCAGUAAUAAUGUUUCCCAAGAUGUAAUAUAUGUGCUAACAAUGUAUUUACACAUUUACAAAUCAAUGAAAUAAUAUACUUUAAUAGCAUUUUUCUUAUAUUUGGAUCUCCCAUAUGCAAUAAUAAACUCCAAUGACCUUUUUCUCAUCUUAAUAAUUCCAGACGACUUCCACGACUUCCUGGAAGUCUUCUGACGAAGUCUUCUUCCAUAUCAAGUGGAAGUUUGUUAAACAUUGACGUAGACGACUUCCACAGAGGUCGUCUGGAACACCUCUAGGAAGUCGUCCAUUUAGAUUAGUUUUGCAAUUGAUUUUUAACCUAGACGACUUACAGGUUAGUCGUCCACCUUUGUUUGAUAAAAAAAAAAUCGAGAUGACUUACAUGUAAGUCGUCUAGAGAAAACGGGUUAGUUUUGCAUUUGACCGGAAUGUGUCAGAAAUUUGACUUUUCCUGGACGACUUACAAGUAAGUCGUCUAGUAGAAAAUUAAAAAAUUAAUAUUUUGUUUUUUCUAGACGACUAACUUGUAAGUCAUCUCAUGUUAGUUUUGCAAUUGAAUUAUUAAACAAUUUUUUUUUUCUAGACGACUUACACGUUAGUCGUCUCGAGUUUUUUUUCCUAAACGACUAACUUGUAAGUCGUCCAAGAUAAGUAAGGUCUGACCAGAAUCUUGGAAUAAAAUCCUGAACGACUUACAUGUAAGUCGUCGGACGGACGACUUCCUUGUAAGUCGUCUAGAAAAAAAAUCUUUUUUGUUUAAUAUUUCAAUUGCAAAACUAAUCUGAGACGACUUGUAUGUAAGUCGUCUAGAAAAAAAAAUAUUAAUUUUUUAAUUUUCUACUGGACGAAUAACUUGUAACUCGUCCAAGUUAGUCGUCCAGGAAAAGUAAAAUUUCUGACACAUUCCGGUUAAAUGCAAAACUAACCCGUUUUCCCUAGACGACUUACAUGUAAGUUGUCUGGAGUUUUUUUUUUAACAAACAAAGAUGGACGACUUCCAUGUAAGUCGUCUACGUUAAAAAUCAAUUGCAAAACUAACCUAAAUGGAUGACUUCCUAGAAGUUUACCAGACGACCUCCGUGGAAGUCGUCUGCGUCAAUGUUUAAUAAACUUUCAUUUUCUCUAAAACUAUAAAGGUUUUUUAAUUUUUUUUUUGUUAAUUCAUGUAUAUUAGUCAAUAUUGGGGCUACUGAAUGAAAUUUAUAACUUAAUUGGUGAUAUUUAUAAGGUUACCAACAUUCACGUUAAUUAAAGUUUCUAACUGAUCCGAGAAGACUUCUAUGCUAGUUUUUAAGUCUUCUACACUAGUUUUUGAAUAACUUGUAUAUUUAAGAGUGAUAAGUAACUUCAAGAUAUGUAAGACUCGUAUUUUCAAAAUAUGUUUUCUCUAUUAGUUUUACUAAAUUUGACUAAGUUUUCAACACAAACUUGUAAAAAAUGUGAUAUGCUUUGACUAGUUACUAUUGUUUGUUUCCAGCUCUUAAGUAUUAUUGUUAUACACACCAAUGAUGAUUAUUGUUAUGAGUUGUAAGAAGGGUUAAAAUGCUUCUUAAAAUGUUGUAUCAAUAUGAGGCCACCAACAUUCUUGUUUAUUAAGAUGAGAAGAAGGCCAUUGGAGUUUAUUAUUGCAUAUGGGAGAUCCAAAGAUAAAAAAAAAGACUAUUGAAGUAUAUUAUUUCAUUGAUUUGUAAAUGUGUAAACACAUUGUUAGCACAUAUAUUAUUAUUACUGAUUUUACAAAAAAUUCACAACUAAGAGAGUAGACAUGCAAAUCAAAAAACAGACCACAAACAAAACUAUUAUAGAUCAUUCUUCUACAAAGACAAGCUUGGACUCCACUUGAUAUGGAAGAAGACUUUGUCAGAAGACUUCCUGGAAGUCGUCUAGCGCAUUAUAUUUUAGACGACUAACAGGUAAGUCGUCCCAGAAGUCUUCCAGAUCUGAAAAACAUGCAUAUCAAAUCCAGAUCUGAAAAACCUGCAUAUCAAAAAGCGUUCAAAUGGCUUAAAAACANNNNNNNNNNNNNNNNNNNNNNNNNNNNNNNNNNNNNNNNNNNNNNNNNNNNNNNNNNNNNNNNNNNNNNNNNNNNNNNNNNNNNNNNNNNNNNNNNNNNNNNNNNNNNNNNNNNNNNNNNNNNNNNNNNNNNNNNNNNNNNNNNNNNNNNNNNNNNNNNNNNNNNNNNNNNNNNNNNNNNNNNNNNNNNNNNNNNNNNNNNNNNNNNNNNNNNNNNNNNNNNNNNNNNNNNNNNNNNNNNNNNNNNNNNNNNNNNNNNNNNNNNNNNNNNNNNNNNNNNNNNNNNNNNNNNNNNNNNNNNNNNNNNNNNNNNNNNNNNNNNNNNNNNNNNNNNNNNNNNNNNNNNNNNNNNNNNNNNNNNNNNNNNNNNNNNNNNNNNNNNNNNNNNNNNNNNNNNNNNNNNNNNNNNNNNNNNNNNNNNNNNNNNNNNNNNNNNNNNNNNNNNNNNNNNNNNNNNNNNNNNNNNNNNNNNNNNNNNNNNNNNNNNNNNNNNNNNNNNNNNNNNNNNNNNNNNNNNNNNNNNNNNNNNNNNNNNNNNNNNNNNNNNNNNNNNNNNNNNNNNNNNNNNNNNNNNNNNNNNNNNNNNNNNNNNNNNNNNNNNNNNNNNNNNNNNNNNNNNNNNNNNNNNNNNNNNNNNNNNNNNNNNNNNNNNNNNNNNNNNNNNNNNNNNNNNNNNNNNNNNNNNNNNNNNNNNNNNNNNNNNNNNNNNNNNNNNNNNNNNNNNNNNNNNNNNNNNNNNNNNNNNNNNNNNNNNNNNNNNNNNNNNNNNNNNNNNNNNNNNNNNNNNNNNNNNNNNNNNNNNNNNNNNNNNNNNNNNNNNNNNNNNNNNNNNNNNNNNNNNNNNNNNNNNNNNNNNNNNNNNNNNNNNNNNNNNNNNNNNNNNNNNNNNNNNNNNNNNNNNNNNNNNNNNNNNNNNNNNNNNNNNNNNNNNNNNNNNNNNNNNNNNNNNNNNNNNNNNNNNNNNNNNNNNNNNNNNNNNNNNNNNNNNNNNNNNNNNNNNNNNNNNNNNNNNNNNNNNNNNNNNNNNNNNNNNNNNNNNNNNNNNNNNNNNNNNNNNNNNNNNNNNNNNNNNNNNNNNNNNNNNNNNNNNNNNNNNNNNNNNNNNNNNNNNNNNNNNNNNNNNNNNNNNNNNNNNNNNNNNNNNNNNNNNNNNNNNNNNNNNNNNNNNNNNNNNNNNNNNNNNNNNNNNNNNNNNNNNNNNNNNNNNNNNNNNNNNNNNNNNNNNNNNNNNNNNNNNNNNNNNNNNNNNNNNNNNNNNNNNNNNNNNNNNNNNNNNNNNNNNNNNNNNNNNNNNNNNNNNNNNNNNNNNNNNNNNNNNNNNNNNNNNNNNNNNNNNNNNNNNNNNNNNNNNNNNNNNNNNNNNNNNNNNNNNNNNNNNNNNNNNNNNNNNNNNNNNNNNNNNNNNNNNNNNNNNNNNNNNNNNNNNNNNNNNNNNNNNNNNNNNNNNNNNNNNNNNNNNNNNNNNNNNNNNNNNNNNNNNNNNNNNNNNNNNNNNNNNNNNNNNNNNNNNNNNNNNNNNNNNNNNNNNNNNNNNNNNNNNNNNNNNNNNNNNNNNNNNNNNNNNNNNNNNNNNNNNNNNNNNNNNNNNNNNNNNNNNNNNNNNNNNNNNNNNNNNNNNNNNNNNNNNNNNNNNNNNNNNNNNNNNNNNNNNNNNNNNNNNNNNNNNNNNNNNNNNNNNNNNNNNNNNNNNNNNNNNNNNNNNNNNNNNNNNNNNNNNNNNNNNNNNNNNNNNNNNNNNNNNNNNNNNNNNNNNNNNNNNNNNNNNNNNNNNNNNNNNNNNNNNNNNNNNNNNNNNNNNNNNNNNNNNNNNNNNNNNNNNNNNNNNNNNNNNNNNNNNNNNNNNNNNNNNNNNNNNNNNNNNNNNNNNNNNNNNNNNNNNNNNNNNNNNNNNNNNNNNNNNNNNNNNNNNNNNNNNNNNNNNNNNNNNNNNNNNNNNNNNNNNNNNNNNNNNNNNNNNNNNNNNNNNNNNNNNNNNNNNNNNNNNNNNNNNNNNNNNNNNNNNNNNNNNNNNNNNNNNNNNNNNNNNNNNNNNNNNNNNNNNNNNNNNNNNNNNNNNNNNNNNNNNNNNNNNNNNNNNNNNNNNNNNNNNNNNNNNNNNNNNNNNNNNNNNNNNNNNNNNNNNNNNNNNNNNNNNNNNNNNNNNNNNNNNNNNNNNNNNNNNNNNNNNNNNNNNNNNNNNNNNNNNNNNNNNNNNNNNNNNNNNNNNNNNNNNNNNNNNNNNNNNNNNNNNNNNNNNNNNNNNNNNNNNNNNNNNNNNNNNNNNNNNNNNNNNNNNNNNNNNNNNNNNNNNNNNNNNNNNNNNNNNNNNNNNNNNNNNNNNNNNNNNNNNNNNNNNNNNNNNNNNNNNNNNNNNNNNNNNNNNNNNNNNNNNNNNNNNNNNNNNNNNNNNNNNNNNNNNNNNNNNNNNNNNNNNNNNNNNNNNNNNNNNNNNNNNNNNNNNNNNNNNNNNNNNNNNNNNNNNNNNNNNNNNNNNNNNNNNNNNNNNNNNNNNNNNNNNNNNNNNNNNNNNNNNNNNNNNNNNNNNNNNNNNNNNNNNNNNNNNNNNNNNNNNNNNNNNNNNNNNNNNNNNNNNNNNNNNNNNNNNNNNNNNNNNNNNNNNNNNNNNNNNNNNNNNNNNNNNNNNNNNNNNNNNNNNNNNNNNNNNNNNNNNNNNNNNNNNNNNNNNNNNNNNNNNNNNNNNNNNNNNNNNNNNNNNNNNNNNNNNNNNNNNNNNNNNNNNNNNNNNNNNNNNNNNNNNNNNNNNNNNNNNNNNNNNNNNNNNNNNNNNNNNNNNNNNNNNNNNNNNNNNNNNNNNNNNNNNNNNNNNNNNNNNNNNNNNNNNNNNNNNNNNNNNNNNNNNNNNNNNNNNNNNNNNNNNNNNNNNNNNNNNNNNNNNNNNNNNNNNNNNNNNNNNNNNNNNNNNNNNNNNNNNNNNNNNNNNNNNNNNNNNNNNNNNNNNNNNNNNNNNNNNNNNNNNNNNNNNNNNNNNNNNNNNNNNNNNNNNNNNNNNNNNNNNNNNNNNNNNNNNNNNNNNNNNNNNNNNNNNNNNNNNNNNNNNNNNNNNNNNNNNNNNNNNNNNNNNNNNNNNNNNNNNNNNNNNNNNNNNNNNNNNNNNNNNNNNNNNNNNNNNNNNNNNNNNNNNNNNNNNNNNNNNNNNNNNNNNNNNNNNNNNNNNNNNNNNNNNNNNNNNNNNNNNNNNNNNNNNNNNNNNNNNNNNNNNNNNNNNNNNNNNNNNNNNNNNNNNNNNNNNNNNNNNNNNNNNNNNNNNNNNNNNNNNNNNNNNNNNNNNNNNNNNNNNNNNNNNNNNNNNNNNNNNNNNNNNNNNNNNNNNNNNNNNNNNNNNNNNNNNNNNNNNNNNNNNNNNNNNNNNNNNNNNNNNNNNNNNNNNNNNNNNNNNNNNNNNNNNNNNNNNNNNNNNNNNNNNNNNNNNNNNNNNNNNNNNNNNNNNNNNNNNNNNNNNNNNNNNNNNNNNNNNNNNNNNNNNNNNNNNNNNNNNNNNNNNNNNNNNNNNNNNNNNNNNNNNNNNNNNNNNNNNNNNNNNNNNNNNNNNNNNNNNNNNNNNNNNNNNNNNNNNNNNNNNNNNNNNNNNNNNNNNNNNNNNNNNNNNNNNNNNNNNNNNNNNNNNNNNNNNNNNNNNNNNNNNNNNNNNNNNNNNNNNNNNNNNNNNNNNNNNNNNNNNNNNNNNNNNNNNNNNNNNNNNNNNNNNNNNNNNNNNNNNNNNNNNNNNNNNNNNNNNNNNNNNNNNNNNNNNNNNNNNNNNNNNNNNNNNNNNNNNNNNNNNNNNNNNNNNNNNNNNNNNNNNNNNNNNNNNNNNNNNNNNNNNNNNNNNNNNNNNNNNNNNNNNNNNNNNNNNNNNNNNNNNNNNNNNNNNNNNNNNNNNNNNNNNNNNNNNNNNNNNNNNNNNNNNNNNNNNNNNNNNNNNNNNNNNNNNNNNNNNNNNNNNNNNNNNNNNNNNNNNNNNNNNNNNNNNNNNNNNNNNNNNNNNNNNNNNNNNNNNNNNNNNNNNNNNNNNNNNNNNNNNNNNNNNNNNNNNNNNNNNNNNNNNNNNNNNNNNNNNNNNNNNNNNNNNNNNNNNNNNNNNNNNNNNNNNNNNNNNNNNNNNNNNNNNNNNNNNNNNNNNNNNNNNNNNNNNNNNNNNNNNNNNNNNNNNNNNNNNNNNNNNNNNNNNNNNNNNNNNNNNNNNNNNNNNNNNNNNNNNNNNNNNNNNNNNNNNNNNNNNNNNNNNNNNNNNNNNNNNNNNNNNNNNNNNNNNNNNNNNNNNNNNNNNNNNNNNNNNNNNNNNNNNNNNNNNNNNNNNNNNNNNNNNNNNNNNNNNNNNNNNNNNNNNNNNNNNNNNNNNNNNNNNNNNNNNNNNNNNNNNNNNNNNNNNNNNNNNNNNNNNNNNNNNNNNNNNNNNNNNNNNNNNNNNNNNNNUCUGAGCGUUUUGGUAAGUUUUUAUGUCUGAUUUUUCUUCAUUUGGUAACUUUCUGUUGUAUAAAGUUCUUACUUUUUUCUCAAAAUAAAACUCUCCAAACCCACUCUAAUCUCUUUGACUUGAAAACACCAAACUUUAUAUGAAUUUUUCAAUUUUGUCUCAAGUCUUUCUCACUAAUCUAUCUUUUUUUUGCAGGUUUUUAAUCAGGUGAUUCUCAUCUUCCACUCAUUUAAAGGUAGAUCUAUUAAUUUUAGAUAUGUAUUUUUGUGUGUUCUAUAAAAGUAGAUUUAUCUAAUCUUCCACUCAUUUUCUCUGUUUUUAAGCCAUUUGAACGUUUUUUGAUAUGUAGGUUUUUCAGAUUUGGAAGACUUCUGGGACGACUUACUUGUUAGUCGUCUAAAAUAUAAUGCGUUAGACGACUUCAAGGAGGUCCCAGACGACUUCCAGGAAGUCUUCCAGACGGCUUCCAGGAAGUACGACUUCCUGGAAGUCUUCUGACGAAGUCUUCUUCCAUAUCAAGUGGAGUCCAAGCUUGUCUUUGUAGAUGAAUGAUCGAUAGUAGUUUUGUUUGUGGUCUGUUUUGUGAUUUGCAUGUCUACUCUUUUAGUUGUGAAUUUUUUGUAAAAUCAGUAAUAAUGUUUCCCAAGAUGUAAUAUAUGUGCUAACAAUGUGUUUACACAUUUACAAAUCAAUGAAAUAAUAUACUUCAUUAGCCUUUUUCUUAUCUUUGGAUCUCCCAUAUGCAAUAAUAAACUCCAAUGGUCUUCUUCUCAUCUUAAUAAACAAGAAUGUUGGUAGCCUCAUAUUGAUACAACAUUUUAAGAAGCAUUUUAUCCCUUCUUCCAACUCAUAACAAUAAUCAUCAUUGGUGUCUAUAACAAUAAUACUUAAGAAAUGAAAACAAACAAUAGUAACUAGUCAAAACAUAUCACAUUUUUUACAAGUUUGUGUUGAAAAACUUAGUCAAAUUUCGUAAAACUAAGGGAGAAAACAUAUUUUGAAAAUAUGAGUUUUACAUAUCUUGAAGUUACUUAUCACUCUUAAAUAUACAAGUUAUUCAAAAACUAGCGUAGAAGACUUAAAAACUAGCAUAGAAGACUUCCACGAAAGUCUUCUCGUAUCAGUUUGAAACUUUAAUUAACGUGAAUGUUGGUAACCUCAUAAAUAUCACCAAUUAAGUUAUAAAUUUCAUUCAGUAGCCCUAAUAUUGACUAAUAUACAUGAAUUAACAAAAAAAAUAUUAAAAAGUCUUUAUAGGUUUAGAGAAAAUGGAAGUUUGUUAAACAUUGACGUAGACGACUUCCACAGAGGUCGUCUGGAACACCUCUAGGAAGUCGUCCAUUUAGAUUAGUUUUGCAAUUGAUUUUUAACCUAGACGACUUACAGGUUAGUCGUCCACCUUUGUUUGAUAAAAAAAAAAUCGAGAUGACUUACAUGUAAGUCGUCUAGAGAAAACGGGUUAGUUUUGCAUUUGACCGGAAUGUGUCAGAAAUUUGACUUUUCCUGGACGACUUACAAGUAAGUCGUCUAGUAGAAAAUUAAAAAAUUAAUAUUUUGUUUUUUCUAGACGACUAACUUGUAAGUCAUCUCAUGUUAGUUUUGCAAUUGAAUUAUUAAACAAUUUUUUUUUUCUAGACGACUUACACGUUAGUCGUCUCGAGUUUUUUUUCCUAAACGACUAACUUGUAAGUCGUCCAAGAUAAGUAAGGUCUGACCAGAAUCUUGGAAUAAAAUCCUGAACGACUUACAUGUAAGUCGUCGGACGGACGACUUCCUUGUAAGUCGUCUAGAAAAAAAAUCUUUUUUGUUUAAUAUUUCAAUUGCAAAACUAAUCUGAGACGACUUGUAUGUAAGUCGUCUAGAAAAAAAAAUAUUAAUUUUUUAAUUUUCUACUGGACGAAUAACUUGUAACUCGUCCAAGUUAGUCGUCCAGGAAAAGUAAAAUUUCUGACACAUUCCGGUUAAAUGCAAAACUAACCCGUUUUCCCUAGACGACUUACAUGUAAGUCGUCUCGAUUUGUUUUUUAUCAAACAAAGGUGGACGACUAACCUGUAAGUCGUCUAAAACAAAUAAAUUAAAAGUCAAUUGCAAAACUAACAUCUGCAUUGACCAGACGACUUCCAGGUAAGUCGUCUACAGCCAGAAGACUUACCUGUAAGUCGUCUGGACGAAAAGAUCUGGAAAAAAUCUCAAUUUCAUAGUUUCAACCAGUGAGAUAACUUGUUUUGCACACAUAAGUCUUCUCCAAGCACCCAGAAUCUCAAACAAAAGUGACCCACCAAGAAUCGUAAGCUUCAAUGGCUCUAUGAACCAUAAAAAAUUUAGAAUCAAAAUUUUGGGUUUUUUUGGAUGAAUAUGGAGAAAAAGUGAAAAAGAUGUUUUUUUAGUUCAUAAUAACUGAGAAAAAAAGAGUGUAAAUCGAUUUUUAGGUGCAUUAAGAGCUUCAAAUGGGUUGUUCAUGGUGGUUGGUGUAUUGAUGACAAUGACAAUAUUGUGAAUACUUGAGGAAGAUGAGGGUGAUAGAGUAAAAUAUGCAUUUUUGAAGCAAAAAAAAGUGAUGGUAUUUUCGUGAAUAAUCUUAACUUUAGGGAUGAAAGAGGCAAGUCAAAGUUCCAAAAAAAACAUGGGUUAGUUUUGUGUUUGACUUCAAGUUUUGAGUCAUAUUUGCAAAAACCCCUAAAAAAAUUAUAAAAGUUAAUUAUAUAAUUUUACAAAUAUGUUUAUCUAACUAAAAUUAAAAACCCUACAAUUAUGAAUCAAAGUCUUAUUUGAUUUUCCAAAAUAAUAAUUGAUAAUAAAAUUUAAAACAAAUAAAAAAUAAUAAUUCCAAGCAUCUUUUAGAAAAUAUAACAAUUUUUGUAUUUACAUUGUUUACAUUUUGGAAGAGUUGUUUUUGAAGAAAUAAAAAUAAAAAGACAGAAAUGAAUGCAUGACAUGUUUUAUUGUUUACAAUCCAUUCAAAAUAUAAAAACACAUACAAGACAAAAAGAUACAAUCAAACUUGAACUAUGACCACAAGAUUUUGCACAAAAUAUUUUUAACAAAAACUUGAAAGAUGAACGACAUAUACAAAGCUAACAAAUGAUUUUCAAGCUAAAAAUAAAGAAGUAAAUGCAAUAAUCAUUAGGUAAUGCAUAUCUAAUAUAUUAAAACUGAAGUACACAUUUGAACUUCCCCUUAAUCUUUCACAAUAUUUACACCCAAAUGCCAUUAUGAAUAUAUUUCCUAUUUUUUAAAUUAAUUUAACUACAUCAGGUAAUGCAUAUAUCUAAUAUAUUAAAACUGAAGUACACAUUUGAACUUCCCCUUAACCUUUCACAAGAUAAACUGGUACUCUUCUCCAAUCAAAGUGGUAUAGAAGCUGUGAUUUCUCAUGUUCUCAUCUUUCACUUUUGGAAUCUCUGCCACACUACUGAAGAACCCUAAGACAUUAUCCCCAAAUAUUUUUUUGACCCCCAUUUUAUUUGUACUUUUAAUUGAUUUAGCUUUGCGUUUAUAUCGGAUCGGGUUUUGGAUUAUGGGUAAUCGUAACCAAACGAAAUUUGGGAGAAUUAAACGCAAUUUCAUGUUUUCAAAUGUGGAAUUAGUUAAAAACUUAGAAUCGAAUAAUUUAAGUUGGUUUUCGAUGAGUACAAUAGAGAAGAACUUGCAUCCUUUUUGGGGAAUGAGUGUGGAUUUGUUUAGUAGAUAGGGUUUUAGACAAUUAACCCAAUUUAAUUUAAUGUUUAGAGUUGUGUAUUUUCAACAUAAACUGAAAUUGUCUAUCCAAAUUCUAUACGCAAUUUUAAGAAUUGUAGAAGGACACAAUUUUUUUAAAAAUAAGUGUCUUUUUACAGUUAAUAAUUAUGAGAGUAGAAAGACACAAUUUUUGUGUUAUCAAUCUUCUUUUACUAAAUGAAAAUUAAAGUAUGUUUGACAAAAAAAUAAAAAGUAGGAGUAUUUUUUUCUUUUUUGCAAAACUACAUUUCUUAUUAUGUUUGACACAUGAUUCAUGUCUUAUAUUUUCAUACUUUUAGAUUAUAUUAAAAAAUUGAUAAAUAUAUUAAAUAUUCUAAUAAUUCGGUUUGUUGUGUAAUUUAAUUAUUAUUAUAAUUUUAUAUAUUUUACAAAAUUAUCUAUAUGGCUUUCAAUUAUAUUGAAUGGUUUGUAAUAUCAUGGUUUGGUGUGGAUAUUUUUGUCUGAUCUGGUUUCAUUAUUCGGUUUUAAGAAAAGAUUUAGGUCUUAUUUAGAUAAUUUUAUUUAUUAAUAGAUUAAUAUGAAGAAAAAUUAAACCAUGUACAAAUAUUUUUUUUUUAUAUAUGUACAUUUUAAUUUAUGUAUAAAUUUGAUAUAUGUACUAUUUAUUAAUUUAAUAUCUAAUUACACAUAAAUGAUAAUGAUUGUUGGAGAUUUAAGCCAUUCUUUGAAACCAUUUAAAUGAAUUAUUGCAAUUAUCUAAAUGAACAACUGCAACUAACUAAAUGAAACAUUACAUUUGUUGGUAAUUUUAAAUUUUGGUAUAGACCACUGCAAUAUUUGGCAAUGAACCAGUGUAAUUGUUGAUAAUUGUAGCAUCUGGUGAUUAUAGCAUUUGGUGAUUGUAGGACUUGGCGAUGAGCCAUUUUAAAAUUUUGUGUUAUCUAUUGCAACCAACUAACCACAACUAAAAUAAAAUGCACAACAAUCACAAAAUAAAUUAGGAAAGGGAGAGAUUCAUUUUUAAAAGUUCAUUAAGGAUCUUGGAAAAAAACAUAUAAACUCAGGAAAGUUUUAUUACUUUGAAAAGAAUGUCAAAAUAUUUAAGGAUGUGUCUUCUCAUUCAAAAAAUUGCAUAGAUUUUUUUUAAAAAUAUUUUUUCAUUUCUUUUAUAUCUAUUUAUCUACAUUUUAAAUAAUCUUUAAAAUUAAAUAAAAAUAAUAUGGUAGUUAUAUUUUCUUAGUAAUUUGAUUACUUUAAUAAUAUUAUAUAUUUACAAAAUUAAUAUAUUAAUACUUGUAUCUUCUGAAUUUCACACUAUUUUUUUUUUGGUCGGUUAACCCCAAAUUUUCACUUAAGCACAAAACUACUAAUGCAAAAUACAUGUAUUAUCAAUAAAAAAAUAUAACUGUAUACAAGAUAUUUUGUAAUACAUGUAUUUCUUCGCAAGCAAUUGUAAAUUUUUUUUUUUAAGUUUUUCUAAUUAAAAUCACUAAUUUAAACGAUUGAAAAAAAACACUUAUUCAAUAUACAAAACUUUAGAUUAGAUAGGUAACAUGAAAUCCAAUUAGUACAACUAAAAGCUCUACAUCAAAUAUUGAUGAUGAUGCAGAAUCAACUGUCCAAAAAUAUAUAUUUAAUGGGAUGCACUCAACUUUCUAGCAUAUUAUUCACAUUUUCAUAAAAUAUUUUUAAAAAUAGUACCGAAAUUUAUAUAGAUUUUGCUUUGGAUAGGUGAAAACUCUAAACUGAAAUAGAUUCAAAAUGAACUUGACACUUAUUUAUGUUAAAAUUCCCCUUGAUUUGUGGUGUUUCUGGGAUAAAAAUGAUAAUAAUUAAAAACCAAUAUGGGAGUAGAGAAAUCUUGACGCGAGUAUGCUAUACGCGCCCCCAAAAAAUCUCUGUCGAGACAAACCUAAUUAUUUACGGCGAACUUCGGCGAAUCCGAUCGGAUACGUCGCCGGCUACUCUUCCGUUAUACACAACGGUGAGUCCAUUUUACAGGCUCAUCUUCUCCACCUCUCUCUGCCAUGGCCUCCUCGAUCUUGAAUUCUUCAAAUUUCCACGUUACGAAACCACUGGUGGAGCCUCCUGGUGAUAGCAUUUUGGUUGAAGCUGCUCUUACUCCUCCUUCAGUCGACUCUGAAACUGUUGAAGGUUCUAAAGAUUCAGAUUUGAAGAAAGUAAUGGAUACUGAUACAUCUUCAAUUUCUCCUUCUUCACGGCUUGGGGCAUGAGCUCAACCGCUCAAAUUCAUCAAUCCUUCGUCAUUGAUGAACUCGUCUCUUGAAUCAAAUGGAGAAGAAGUUGCUCGGGAUCACUGGCCGUCUUUGCCGAGUCAGAAUUCUGGAAGGAUGGGAAGAAAGGUUCCUGCGACUAUGUCUAAUAAGUUUGUAACUCAUGGACUCCCAAAACCGUUAGACAGAAAGGAGGACGAUCUUCGGUUUCCUUGGGCUGCAAAAAUGAAUCCGGCAUCGCGUAAUCUGUAUAGAGCAACAAAACCAGAAUAUCUAGAAGACGGCAUGCCAAAGGUAACCAUUCCUUCACAUGUUCUGCUCCAAGGUCUACAAAACCAGAAAGAAUACAUCUUAGGGCAAUUCUAUAGAUGCUCUCCUCCUCCUGGUGGUUUAAUUUAUGCGGUUUUCAACAAGUUAUGGGGUAGAAACUGCAGAAUUACCAUUAGGAAGUUGGGUGAAUCGAAUUAUUUGUUUCACAUUCCGGAUGAAGCCUCUAGGACUUGGGUACUUCAGAGGGGUAUGUGGCAUAUUGAUGACUGUUUAAUGGUUGUUGCUCCAUGGACUCCUGAAGCAACUUUGGCUAUCCCUAAGAUCAAAACUAUUCCUAUAUGGGCGACUUUAAAGAAGAUACCCAACAUUAUUUACUCAAUUCCAGGAACUGGAUUGGGAGCUCCAAUGGCGACUCACAAACCCCGUUUGGAUCCCAUUCACAUGGGAGAAGCAAAAAAUCUAGUUGAAGUUGAGUUGAGUAAAGCUUUCCCGGCGAGGAUCGCUGCAACUGAUACAACAUGUUUUAUUUUUAUGGUGUAGAAUAUGCUUGGUUAUCCACUAAUUGUAGUAGAUGCGGACAGUUAGGACACAAAGUGAAGCGUUGUCUGCAAUCUGACAAUGGUGAGGUGAAGAAUGGAUUUGAAAAAAAGUCUUUUGCUCCUAUUUCUGAUCAGUCUCUUGCAAAAUAAUCACUAGCUCUAGUACAUGUCACUGCUUCUAACAUUGAGGAUGUCCAUACCCCAUCAGCUUCAGUUGAUAACAAUUCUGAUCCUAUUGAGUCUUCUAUUCUUUCAGGCAUGGAGAUAUCUCUUUCUAACACUCUCCCCGCUGAUCUAGUUAAUCCAAACGAGGAUGAUCUUCAUUCACUCACGACAAUCUCGAUACUUGAGAACAUGUGUAUGUCUCCAACAGUUAUUUGCAUCAACGACCCUAUGGAGUCUCCGAUCUUGGAGUCUGCUCAAAAGUUAUCAUCAGUCACCACUCCUAUUGCCAACACAAUUUCUACGGUCCAAAGGGAUGGUAGUAGAACAGCUGAGCCUGACUUUGGCUCUAACAAAUUUGCUUUAUUGUUCAGUGGGGAGGAAGAAGAAGAUUCAUCAGAUUUGGAAGAAGAUCCGGAUUCGAUGGAUCUCAUGACACCUCCAGGCAAAAGAAUCCUUCGAGAAAGGCCAGUUAAACCAUCAACAAGUCGCGGACGGGGAAACAGAGGACGUGGGAACCGUGGUGGACGUGGUUAGAGUUGUUAUGCCGCGAACUCAUUAUCAAUUAGAGCUUGAUCUGAUUGUUUCUGGUUCAUAUUAUGUUCCCUUUAUUUUGUAAAAGCUUUUUAAAAAACUGUACGACUUCAAUAAAAAAAAAAAAACCCAAUGUGGGAGCAGAGCUCGAACCCUGGCCUACGAUAACCAGUAAAGUCACAUAACCACAUUGACAGAACAAACUCAUUGCGGGAUCUCUCAAAAUGUAUACAAGUACAUUACAUUAAGCCCAAACUGUUUAAUAUAUUAAGUUAAGCCUAGACGGUGUCUCUCUCUCUGUAUCCCUCUCUCUUUUCUUUUCUGGGGUUUUCUUCUCUCCUUCUACUGCGUUCUUCGUCGUCUCUUUCUAGGUAUCUCUACAUACAUACUGUCUCAGAUUCGUAUUUUGGUUCUCUGAUCUGUUACGAUUCUGAGAUUGAUCACUCUCAAACCUUUAUUUGUAGAUGGCGACUGGCAGAUCCGCAAGUAUGCCGUCACGGUUGCGGCAGCUUCUUUCCGGCGAAGGGUCCAUCGGCCCCUCUAUUAGGCUCGACGCUGAGCCUGUGAGUUGUCUCAAAUUCGAUUUUUAGGGUUUUUUUUAAUUGAUAUUGAUUGAAUUCAAUUAGGGCUUUUUAAUUUGAUUUUGAAAUCCUGUCACAAGCUUUAGCCUUAAUUAGGGUUUAUUAUUGUCAUGUGUUGUAGCCUCCGGAGAUCAAAUCGUUUAUUGAGAAAGUAAUCCAGAGUCCACUCUCUGAUAUUGCGAUACCUCUCUCUGGCUUUCGCUGGGAGUACAGUAAGGUAACCAUAAUAAUAAUACAUAGAAGCCUUUCUCAUAUUAUCCUUUUUUGUUGAUUGAUUGAUUAUUGUUAUUCCAGGGCAACUUCCAUCACUGGAGACCUCUUUUUCUACAUUUUGACAAGUACUUCAAGACGUUUAUAUCAACUAGGAAUGACCUUCUCUUGUCUGAUCACAUUUUGGAAGAUGCGGAUCCCUUUCCCAAGUACUCUGUUCUUCAAAUUCUCCGUGUGAUGCAGAUCAUUCUCGAAAAUUGUCCCAACAAAAGUUCCUUUGAUGGUUUAGAGGUAUGCCUCAUCUGUUUCCCAUAUCUAUCUUAAAGCUCGUUUAACUUUAUUAGUAACUCUUUCCUACAUUGUUUGUUUUUUUGCAGCACUUUAAGCUCCUACUUGCCUCCACAGAUCCAGAGGUUCUCAUUGCUGCCCUGGAAACCCUUUCUGCGCUUGUGAAAAUCAGCUCAUCUAAGCUCCACAGGAGCGGAAAGUUGAUUGGAUGUGGUUCCGUAAACAGCUUCCUUCUCUCUAUUGCCCAGGGCUGGGGUAGCAAAGAGGAGGGUCUGGGUUUGUAUUCCUGCGUUGUCGCUAACGAGAGAAACCAGGAAGAAGGUCUCAGCAUCUUUCCUUCCGACUUGGAAAAUAAUCACAAGGAAGCUGAUUUUCGGAUUGGUUCUACUGUUUAUUUUGAGUUGCGUGGACACAGUGCCCAGAGAAUAGAUGAUGGUAGUAGUAGUGCUACUUCUUCUUCUUCUUCUUCUUCAAGGGUGAUACAGAUUCCUGAUUUGCACUUGCGGAAAGAGGAUGAUCUUGUGUUAAUGAAGGAGUGUAUAGAGCAUUACAAUGUUCCCCCGGAGCUCAGGUUCUCUCUACUGACCCGUGUCAGGUAUGCUCAUGCUUUUCGUUCUUCCAGAAUAUGCCGGAGUUAUAGCAGGAUCUGCCUACUUGCGUUUAUUGUACUUGUUCAGUCAAGUGAUGCCCAAGAAGAACUUGCAUCCUUUUUUGCAAACGAACCUGAGUAUACAAAUGAAUUAAUAAGAAUUGUCAGAUCUGAAGAACCAAUCCCCGGAACCAUUAGAACUCUUGCCAUGCUUGCAUUGGGCGCUCAAUUGGCUGUAUACUCCGCCUCUCAUGAUCGAGCCAGGAUUCUAAGCAGAUCUAGCAUCAGUUUCGCCGUAGGCAACAGAAUGAUUCUGCUUAAUGUGCUUCAGAAAGCCGUUCUCUCUCUGAAGAUUUCUAGUGAUCCAUCAUCUAUUGCUUUUGUUGAGGCGCUACUUCAGUUUUAUUUGCUUCACAUUGUUUCAUCAUCGUCAUCUGGAAGCACUAUAAGGGGGUCUGGCAUGGUUCCCACAUUUCUCCCUCUCUUGGAGUAUACUGAUCCGAGUCACCUGCAUCUUGUGUAUUUGGCCGUUAAAGCACUACAGAAGCUCAUGGAUUAUAGCAGUUCUGCAGUUCCUCUACUCCGGGAUCUUGGGGGAGUAGAACUUUUGUCUCAGAGGUUAGAGUUAGAGGUUCAUCACAUUCUUAAGUUGACUGGAGAGAACAACAGUGAUAUGGUGGUUGGUGAAUCGUUAGAUAUAAAUGGUGAUCAGUUGCUCUCCCGAAAGAGACUCAUCAAGGUUCUUUUGAAGUCUCUUGGUUCUUCUACGUAUACUCCUGGAAAUGCGAAUAGGUCUCAAAGUUCUCAGGAGAGCACGUUGCCUGCCACUUUGUCUUUGAUAUACAGGAAUGCAGAUAAAUUUGGUGGCGAUAUCUAUUACUCAGCUGUGACGGUUAUGAGUGAUUUAAUCCACAAAGACCCCACAUCUCUUACUUCCCUGUUUGAAAUGGGCCUCCCUGAAGCAUUUCUGUCUUCAGUUGUAUCAGGAGUACUUCCUUCUUCCAAGGCUAUUGCAUGCAUUCCAAAUGGCCUCGGUGCAAUAUCUCUUAAUAGCAAAGGUUUGGAGACUGUAAAAGAAACUUCGGCACUGCGCUUCCUUGUUGAUGUAUUUACUUCCAAGAAGUAUGUUCUAGCUAUGAAUGAGGCCAUCGUUCCGUUUACAAAUGCCGUGGAAGAGCUUUUGCGUCAUGUCUCAUCUCUAAGAGCCACCGGUGUUGAAAUAAUCAUUGAAAUUGUGGAUAGAAUUGCAUGCUUUGGAGAGAGUGGUUCUUCAUCAUCCUCUGUAAGUACUGCAAUGGAAAUGGAUUCAGAUGUGAAGAACAUAAAUGGCGUCAGCCAUGAGCAGUUUGUUCAACUCUGCAUCUUUCAUCUGAUAAUUCUGCUCCACAGAACAAUGGAGAAUGCUGAGACUUCUCGUCUCUUUGUGGAGAAGUCUGGCAUUGAGGCGUUACUUAAGCUUCUCUUGCGACCUAGCAUUGCUCAGUCUUCUGAAGGGGUGUCUAUUGCCUUGCACAGCACCAUUGUUUUUAAGGGUUUUACGCAGCAUCACUCUGCUUCUCUUGCUCGGGCCUUUUGCUCUUCUCUUCGUGAUCAGGUGAAGAAAGCUUUAGGAGGACUGCAAGAUCUCUCGGGGACAUUCUUACUUGAUCGAAAACUUUCUCCAAGCUGUGGAAUUUUUUCUUCUCUUUUCCUUGUGGAGUUUCUUCUGUUUCUAGCUGCAUCAAAGGAUAACCGUUGGAUGACUGCAUUGCUUUCGGAGUUUGCAAAUGGAAGCAAGGAUGUUCUGGAGAAUAUAGGCCAUUUGCACCGUGAAAUUCUAUGGCAUAUAGCAGUUUACGAGAGUGGAACGCUGGAAAGUCCAAAUACUUCUCCCGAGUCAGAGCAAACAGAGCUGUCUUCAAAUGGAACGGAAGGACAAAGGUUCAGUUCUUUUAGACAGUUUCUGGAUCCAUUAUUUCAGAGGAGAACGUCAGGAUGGAGCGCAGAAUCGCAAUUCUUUGAUUUAACCCUACAAAGUGUAGAUUCGCGGUGGCAUCAGGAGAAUUUCUCGGGUACCUAGUCACGUGUCGUGGGAUCGAAGCCAAUCCUAAGCAGAUAAGCGCGUUAAUAGAGAUGGUCUCGCCAAGGAUGAAACGGGAAGUCCAAAGGCUAACCGGAAGAGUCGCGGCCUUGAACCGUUUCAUCUCGCGCUCGACGGAUAAGUGUCUUCCUUUCUACAACACGCUAAAAGGGAAUAAGAAGUUCGAAUGGUCGGAGGAAUGUGAGAAAGCUUUCCAACAGCUAAAACGUUACCUGGCCACUCCUCCCGUCCUCGCAAAACCAGUGGAGGGAGAACCCUUGUUCCUGUACAUCGCAGUCUCCACAACAGCGGUAAGCGGCGUUUUGAUUAGAGAGGAACGCGGUGAGCAAAAACCAAUCUUCUACAUAAGCAAAACGUUACUGGACGCUGAGACCCGGUAUCCCCUGAUGGAGAAACUAGUAUUCGCAGUUGUGACAUCGACAAGGAAACUCCGGCCGUUCUUUCAGUCGCAUACCAUAAUAGUCCUCACCACCUUCCCCCUGCGAACGAUCUUGCACAGUCCGAGUCAGUCAGGACGACUCGCAAAAUGGGCAAUCGAACUAAGUGAGUACGACGUGGAGUACCGCCCANNNNNNNNNNNNNNNNNNNNNNNNNNNNNNNNNNNNNNNNNNNNNNNNNNNNNNNNNNNNNNNNNNNNNNNNNNNNNNNNNNNNNNNNNNNNNNNNNNNNNNNNNNNNNNNNNNNNNNNNNNNNNNNNNNNNNNNNNNNNNNNNNNNNNNNNNNNNNNNNNNNNNNNNNNNNNNNNNNNNNNNNNNNNNNNNNNNNNNNNNNNNNNNNNNNNNNNNNNNNNNNNNNNNNNNNNNNNNNNNNNNNNNNNNNNNNNNNNNNNNNNNNNNNNNNNNNNNNNNNNNNNNNNNNNNNNNNNNNNNNNNNNNNNNNNNNNNNNNNNNNNNNNNNNNNNNNNNNNNNNNNNNNNNNNNNNNNNNNNNNNNNNNNNNNNNNNNNNNNNNNNNNNNNNNNNNNNNNNNNNNNNNNNNNNNNNNNNNNNNNNNNNNNNNNNNNNNNNNNNNNNNNNNNNNNNNNNNNNNNNNNNNNNNNNNNNNNNNNNNNNNNNNNNNNNNNNNNNNNNNNNNNNNNNNNNNNNNNNNNNNNNNNNNNNNNNNNNNNNNNNNNNNNNNNNNNNNNNNNNNNNNNNNNNNNNNNNNNNNNNNNNNNNNNNNNNNNNNNNNNNNNNNNNNNNNNNNNNNNNNNNNNNNNNNNNNNNNNNNNNNNNNNNNNNNNNNNNNNNNNNNNNNNNNNNNNNNNNNNNNNNNNNNNNNNNNNNNNNNNNNNNNNNNNNNNNNNNNNNNNNNNNNNNNNNNNNNNNNNNNNNNNNNNNNNNNNNNNNNNNNNNNNNNNNNNNNNNNNNNNNNNNNNNNNNNNNNNNNNNNNNNNNNNNNNNNNNNNNNNNNNNNNNNNNNNNNNNNNNNNNNNNNNNNNNNNNNNNNNNNNNNNNNNNNNNNNNNNNNNNNNNNNNNNNNNNNNNNNNNNNNNNNNNNNNNNNNNNNNNNNNNNNNNNNNNNNNNNNNNNNNNNNNNNNNNNNNNNNNNNNNNNNNNNNNNNNNNNNNNNNNNNNNNNNNNNNNNNNNNNNNNNNNNNNNNNNNNNNNNNNNNNNNNNNNNNNNNNNNNNNNNNNNNNNNNNNNNNNNNNNNNNNNNNNNNNNNNNNNNNNNNNNNNNNNNNNNNNNNNNNNNNNNNNNNNNNNNNNNNNNNNNNNNNNNNNNNNNNNNNNNNNNNNNNNNNNNNNNNNNNNNNNNNNNNNNNNNNNNNNNNNNNNNNNNNNNNNNNNNNNNNNNNNNNNNNNNNNNNNNNNNNNNNNNNNNNNNNNNNNNNNNNNNNNNNNNNNNNNNNNNNNNNNNNNNNNNNNNNNNNNNNNNNNNNNNNNNNNNNNNNNNNNNNNNNNNNNNNNNNNNNNNNNNNNNNNNNNNNNNNNNNNNNNNNNNNNNNNNNNNNNNNNNNNNNNNNNNNNNNNNNNNNNNNNNNNNNNNNNNNNNNNNNNNNNNNNNNNNNNNNNNNNNNNNNNNNNNNNNNNNNNNNNNNNNNNNNNNNNNNNNNNNNNNNNNNNNNNNNNNNNNNNNNNNNNNNNNNNNNNNNNNNNNNNNNNNNNNNNNNNNNNNNNNNNNNNNNNNNNNNNNNNNNNNNNNNNNNNNNNNNNNNNNNNNNNNNNNNNNNNNNNNNNNNNNNNNNNNNNNNNNNNNNNNNNNNNNNNNNNNNNNNNNNNNNNNNNNNNNNNNNNNNNNNNNNNNNNNNNNNNNNNNNNNNNNNNNNNNNNNNNNNNNNNNNNNNNNNNNNNNNNNNNNNNNNNNNNNNNNNNNNNNNNNNNNNNNNNNNNNNNNNNNNNNNNNNNNNNNNNNNNNNNNNNNNNNNNNNNNNNNNNNNNNNNNNNNNNNNNNNNNNNNNNNNNNNNNNNNNNNNNNNNNNNNNNNNNNNNNNNNNNNNNNNNNNNNNNNNNNNNNNNNNNNNNNNNNNNNNNNNNNNNNNNNNNNNNNNNNNNNNNNNNNNNNNNNNNNNNNNNNNNNNNNNNNNNNNNNNNNNNNNNNNNNNNNNNNNNNNNNNNNNNNNNNNNNNNNNNNNNNNNNNNNNNNNNNNNNNNNNNNNNNNNNNNNNNNNNNNNNNNNNNNNNNNNNNNNNNNNNNNNNNNNNNNNNNNNNNNNNNNNNNNNNNNNNNNNNNNNNNNNNNNNNNNNNNNNNNNNNNNNNNNNNNNNNNNNNNNNNNNNNNNNNNNNNNNNNNNNNNNNNNNNNNNNNNNNNNNNNNNNNNNNNNNNNNNNNNNNNNNNNNNNNNNNNNNNNNNNNNNNNNNNNNNNNNNNNNNNNNNNNNUCUGAAGCAGGGGAAAUUAUGCUGCGGUCGAAUCAUGAUUCCAUGACCGCUGAUCAUGCGGAGAAUUUUGGCGGUUCCCACACUUUUGUUGGUUCAGAAGAUGUGACAGAUGACAUGGAGCAUGAUCAAGACUUGGAUGAAGGAUUUGCCGCAGGUGGGGAUGAUUAUAUGCAAGAAGCAGCUGAGGAUGCUAGGGGGUUGGAAAACGGGAUUGGGUCGAUGGGUAUAGAGUUUGAGAUGCAUACCCACGUGCAGGAAAAUCUUGAUGAAGAGGAAGACGAAGAGAUGUCUGGUGAUGAGGGUGACGAAAUAGAUGAGGAUGAAAACGAUAAUGAAGAAGAAGACGAGGAGGACAAUGACUUGGAAGAAGAAGAAGAUGUACAUCACCUGCCUCAUCAUGACACAGAUCAAGAUGAUCAUGAGCUUGAGGAUGAUGAAUUUGAAGAGGAAAUACUGGUUGAAGAGGAUGAAGAGGACGAAGAUGAUGAAGAUCGGGUAAUUCUCAGGUUUGAGGAUGGAUUCAAUGGGCUAAACGUUCUUGAUCAUUUGGAGGUUCUUAGAGAUCAUAGAUUUUCCGAUGAAACACUUCAUGUAAUGCCUGUUGAAGUGUUUGGCUCGAGACGUCAAGGACGAACAACUUCUAUUUACAGCCUUCUUGGCAGAACUGGGGAUGGUGCUACUCCUUCACAGCAUCCUCUUUUAUCGGGAUCUCCAUCACUUCCAGCGUCGCAAAGUCAAACAGGUACUCUUUUGUUUUUACUUGUGUUCAUUUCCCUUUAUGUUAUGUUUUAUUUGGGUUUGCUACCAGAUUACAUUUUGUUUGUGUUGAUCUUCCUAAAGGAAUAAUUUGUUAAUCGACCGUUUUCUUCUCUUUGUAGAAAGCACACAUGAUCAUACUGUUGGAGGUAGGGAUUCCAACGGUAGUUCUUCGUCACGGCUGGAUGCUAUAUUCCGAUCUUUGAGGAAUGGCCGGCAGGGGCAUCGUUUGAAUUUAUGGGCUGAUGACAGCCAGCAAAUUGUUGGAUCUGGCGCUUCUACCGUACCACAAGGCCUUGAAGAUUUGCUGGUAUCUCAGUUGAGACGUCCCGGCUCUGAUAAUCCUUCUGAUCAGAAUCCAUCACCUUUGGAACCCCAGUCACAGGCCGAGAGUGGGCAGCCACAGGAGGCAACUGUCAGACCUGAAAUUCCAGAUGAAAACGCCACUGAUAAUGGAGGUGCCAAUGUGUCUGCUCCCUCUAUCGUUUCGCCAGUUGCAUCUGCUACCCCGGAUACACGAGCCCCUGCUACUGAUU